This 233970-nucleotide long non-coding RNA is filed under the name Vitis vinifera (wine grape). Its description in RNAcentral is "long non-coding RNA (VVIN_LNC000544)". The record is from RNAcentral. Lineage: Eukaryota; Viridiplantae; Streptophyta; Magnoliopsida; Vitales; Vitaceae.
GAAGGAGGACCUUAGCUAGGUUGUCUCCUAAAUUGCCCAUCUUUUUAUAUCUUUGCAUUCAUCUAUCUCAUCAUCGUCUUUGAUUUUAGAUGGUGAGGAUGUGAAAGUAACAGGAAGCAGUGGACGAUUGUUCACAGUGAGGCUUAGCACAUCAGCUCUCGAAUAAUGUCCUACCACGUCAAACUGGAACUUUGCUUUAGGAAUCUCUCCACGAACAUCUGCAUAUCAAGUGAUCAUAAAAAUAUUUGAUCAGCCCAUGAUAAAUAUCAUAGAGUAUCAAGUCUUCCAUAAAACUAUGUUUGCAGUCCCUUUAAACCUAAAGAAUUGACUCAUUUGCCUUAUCUGCAUACUGAAUUAUUUGGAUAUAUAAUCGGAGAAGUUAGGGCCAUACCAAGAUCAGCUGUGAAGAGGCCUUCUCCUUCAUAAUUCGGUCCUGCUAGAAUUUCGCCAUGGGGCGAAAUGAUGACACUACCUCCAGCCCAAACAAUAGAAUCUGGAGUGACAUCUUCUUCUGUAGGACUGUAAAGAUACUCAGGUGGAGGUGGGUAAUCUUUCCUCCGACAGAACUGGAUGGGUGAAAGAACAUAGCAUCCACCCUCCAUAGCGAUGUGUCUCAUUGUAGCUACCCAUGUAUCCCCGGAAUCGGCAGUAGGAGCACAAUAUAUCUCAAUUCCUAUAUAGAAUCGGUGUUUUGUGAUCAAUCAAUCCCAUAUCAGAGCCAUAAUGUAUUUCAAGCCUAUUUAGGCUAAAACCCUAAUAACUUAAAAAAGAGUACUGAAGUAUUUCAAGCCAAACCAUACUAGUUAGUGAAGAGAAAGAAAUGGUAAAAUAUAUACCUUUGCCAUACAUUGCUGUCCUCAGAAGCGGCAUUCUAUUUUCCCAACAAAUGACUGAACCAAGUUUUCCAUAUGGAGUGUCAUAAACUGGAGUUGUCGAGCAAUCUCCGAAACCCCAGACGAGCCGCUCCCAAUAUGUUGGCAUGAGUUUCCUAUGUUUUCCAAGGUAAUUACCUUCAGGAUCAAAGAAGAGAACAGUGCAAUACAAUGUGUAUCCAUCUCUCUCAAUAACACCUAUCACCAAGUAGACUUUGUAUUUCGCAGCCAUUGAUGCCAAUCUAUCAACUUCAGGUCCUGAAAAGAUAUUAAGUGGUUGAUUCAUCAAACGUGUCUUGUUUCAAUAAUUUAUUAAGUGGUUCAGUUCUUUAGCUAUUUAAGGAAAAGAGAGAGAGGUAACUGACCCGGCACAUUAAUGGCAGAAGCAUGGUACUUGCGGAAACUUUCUUUCCCUCUUGGCGACUGGUCGGCGAAGUUGUAUCCACGGGGAUACCCACCGAUAAAUGAUUCAGGAAACACAACCAGUUGGGAUCCCAGUGCAGCUGCUUCUUUCAAAAACCUCUCAGCCUUAUCUGCUCCCAAAAUCACAUUGCAAGAAUUAAUAAUUCACGACUUAGAAAGUAAAUUAAUUGGUUGAAUAGAGAGAAUCAAAAUUAACCUCCAGACAUCCCAAAUGACUUUUUGGUUGCUGAGAAAACUCAUGGAAAAAGAGACCUAGAUAAAACUCGGAACUUUCAUAUUUUCAGCUGUUUUGUAACUAAGAAAAGAGAAACCACCUCAACCCAACUCAUCCAAGUAAUUAUUCCUUGAUUGGCAGCUGAAAAUAUGUUCAAGCUUCAAUAAUCCUUUUCUUUCCUUCAGUUUCUCAGCAACCAAUCAACUCACAGAUUCUCUUACACAAGUUGCAGAAUUGAGAGAAAUGGUACGUUACCUAGAGUGGCAGGAGUAUCAUAAAAGACACUAGAGGCUUGAACAACGGUGGCUCUAACAGUUGAAGACAUUGCAGAAAUCGUAUGCCUUUUCGUUUCCCUUCUGUUUGAGGAUUCCUCACACAGCGUUCAGUAUUUAUAUAUAGCCCAAAAGGUUCUUCUGCCAUUACUUGAACAAGACGAAAAGGCUGGGAAAAGUCUGCCUUGGUUUUCCAUAUUGAUUUAAGUUAUCCGCAGACAUUGUGGACCAGCCACAUGACUUAAAACAAAUUGAAAAUAACUGAGUCAUCUGUGAAAUAUAUAUAUCUGUGAAAUAUAUAUAUAUAUAGAUUUCAUCUUUUAUACUUGAAUCAUCUCCCCCCUCCUUUUUUUUUUCCUAGUUUUGGCCUUAUUUUUUAAAAAUAUAAUAUUUAUUUUACUUUUAAUCAAUGGCUCAUAUUUCGAACAAGUGCGCCAGAUUUUCUGAAGUUGUAUAUAUAAUAAUCUGAUAGUGAUUAUAUUUGGAUAAAAAGAGGGACCCGCCCACUUGCAUGGAUUCUAUAUAGGACACAGACAAAUUGUCUUUAGUGGCGGCUGAGGAGGCUUUCUAUGACUUAAAAAAUAAAUAAAACAAAAAUAGUCAUUAAGAAAUCAGUGCCAUGUAGUUAGUGUCCGCCACUAUCUACACUUUCUUUAAAAGAACAAAAUUGUCAUUUUUUUUAAUCUCAGAAAUCACUGAAUCGUACAAAAUAAUAUAAGAUAAGAUUCAAUUCAGUCUUUUUUGGCCUCAUAAGAAAACCUUAGCCAACUCAAGGUGACCACUCCAGAAUCAAAAUAGGUUUUCUUUUUCUUCAAAAAAAAAAAAUAUAUAUAUAUAUAUAUAUAGUUGGUGAAAGAGGGUAUAAACAAAUAUAUGCAAAAAAAAAUUAUGAUGAUUAUAUUUGAAUAAAACAGAGGGAGCCCCCACAUGCAUGGAUUCCAUCUAGCACCCAGAGGAAUUGUCUUUAGUGGGGGCUGAGGCUUUCCAUGACUUAAACUAUAUAUAUAGGUAAAAACUAGGUCUAACUUUAUGUAUUGGACCCAACCAAAAAUUGAGUGAUUGAAUGGCAGCUCUAGUAAAAAAAUAAAAAAGGGAGAACCAUGCUUACUGUCACAGAAUGCUUGAAAUGAGCCCCCUUAUGGGUUUAUAUAGAGUUCAAGAAGCUUCUAGAGACUCCUAGAGCCAUCUACACUAAGUCAUUGAUGGGAAGAGUGUGGAAGGUUCUAGAGAUGCCUAGAGAUGUCCACACAUCUCUACACUAUAGUGGAAGGCAUGAGAGGAGUCCAAGGUUUUCUAGAGAAUUCUAGAAAUCUCUUAUAUAUUCUUGUACAUAGGUUUGUAUAGGAUAUUCUAGAAUCUUCUUGAGUUCUAAGGAACCCUCCAAGGUUCCAGAGAGUUCCAUUGGUAUCUAUAAAUAGGUGAGACCCUCAUUUGGCCAAUACACCACCCAAGAACCUAAUCAACCAAGCAAGUGAGUUCUCAAAGCACUUGUAAAGGUUUCCUUUGAGCAAUAAAAGCUUUCAUUCUUUAAGAGUUGCCUACUACGCCUUCUAAAGCUUCCAAGUCAUGAGCAUCUUAGCCUAGCAAGCUAAGCAUUGGGAGUAACGCUAACUUAGCAAGAUCAAGUACCUUGACUUGUCUAAGUGCCACAUGAGCUUAGGAAAAGAUUAAGUCUGUGACAAGUGGUAUCAGAACACGACUACGAAGCGGGCAUAGUAAAGGAAGCAUGUCGGGUUCCAAUGUAGAAGAGACUAGUGAGCAAAUCCGUGGGAGGGAGACCGAGCCUGCUGCACGGGGCAGGGGCGGGGAGGAUAAGUCUCGUGAUGUCGUUGCUAACAUGGAGGCAAGCUUAGUUAAGGUGCAUCUAGACAUGGCGGACACUCGGGAGGGGUUGGACUUGAUCGAGCAAGGCAUGAAGAAGGGCUUAGAGGAUCUAAGGGAGUAGAUCCAAGACGUUUGUGAGGGGAUGUUAGUCUCACAAGUUCAGCCAGUGUCACAUGAGGAGUUUGUGUCCUUCCAAGAAAAGGUCUUGAGCAUGCUUGCUAGCAUGGAGUCAAGGAUAGAGGCCUUGGUCAUUUGAAUGGAGUCCCGAGACCAAGUUAGGCAAGAGUUGGCCAUCUACAAGGAUGCUGUGUUGGCACGGGUCAUGGCCAUCCAGGAGGUAUCUAAGGUGGAGGAGUCGAAACCACAAGAGUUUAGUGGCAAGUGGGAUGCCAAGGAGUUGGACAACUUCUUAUGGCAUAUGGAGAGAUACUUUGAGGCUAUCACACUAAUUGAUGAGGUGGUUAAGGUAAGAACUGCAACCCUUUACCUUACUGACACAACUACUCUAUGGUGGCGUCGGAGGUUUGCCGAUAUGGAGAAAGGCAUUUGCACCAUAGUGACAUGGAGGACUUCAAGAGGGAAAUCAAGAGGCAGUUCUACCCCAAGGACGUGGCAUUUGCACCAUAAAAAUAUUACCAUAUUCAUUUUUAUGUUGAAUUUAAAUGUUUAAUAAUUUGUUAAAAAUAAAAUAACGUAAUUAUGAUAUAUGAUGAUUUUUUUUUUUUGUUAAUAAAUAUGUUUUCAAAUUUUAUAUCAUUUUUAUUUUUAUUUUUUUUCCAAUUCUAUUUUUAUCUCAUAUUUAUUUUCUUUAAACCCAAAAUUGUUGAGAAUGGAGGAAGAAAGAAGGCCACAACCGGUUCUUUCCUUAAGUGGUUAAGUUGAAUUUUUAUUUCAAAUUUAAAAUGGAUGGCCAAGAUGUAAUCUUGGACAUCCAAUGGCUUGAAAAACUUUUUCGGUAUGUACCGAAGAGGUACCGUAGAAUUUUCUAUAUAAUAAUCUACAAGUUACGAUAGUGAUUAUAUUUGGAUAAAAUGAGGGACCCGCCCACUUGCAUGGAUUCUAUAUAGGACACAUAAAUUGUCUUUAGUGGCGGCUGAGGCUUUCUAUGACUUGAAAAAAAAAACUAAAAAUAGUCAAUAAGAAAUCAGUGCCAUGUAGUUAGUGUCCGCCACUAUCUAUACUUUCUUUAAAAGAACAAAAUUGUCAAUUUUUUUUUUUUUAUCUAAAAAAUCACUUAAUCGUACAAAAUAAUAUAAGAUAAGAUUCAAUUCAGCCUUUUUUGGCUUCAUAAGAACACCUUAGCCAACUCAAGGUGACCACUACAGAAUCAAUAGAGGUUUUCUUUUUCUUCACAUAUAUAUAUGGUGAAAGAGGGUAUAAACAAAUAUAUGCAAAAAAAUAAUCUACAGGUAUGUUGAUUAUAUUUGAAUAAAACAAAGGGAGGCCCCCACAUGCAUGGAUUCCAUCUAGCACCCAGAGGAAUUGUCUUUUGUGGGGGCUGAGGCUUUCCAUGACCCAAACUAUAUAUAUAGGUAAAAAUUGAGUGAUUGAAUGGCAGCUCUGGUAAAAAAAAUAAAAAAGGGAGAACCAUGCUUACACUCUCGUUCAUUCCAACAAAUAUAUUGUUUAGGAAUUCUAAUUUUAAUAUUUCACCCCAAAUACAUAAUCAAUAAAAUUAUUCUUCAAAUAUGUAUUUUAAUAGCAACCAAAUUGAGAAUUAUAUAGUUAUCCCUUUCUAAAAUCUUUAAUGUAUUUGAUAUCCUCUCCAUAUCACGUCUUUGAUAUCCUACCUUUGACAUUUUUUUAUUUAUAUAUGUCGAAGUGACGAGACUUUCUCUACUCAACCUUUUUCCUUUCAGAUUUCUUUUCACUCUUUUAAUAAUUUCACAUUUAUUAACUUUAAUAAUUUUUUGGACACAUUAAAUAUAAAAUUAUAAUACAUAAUAAAUAACUAAUUAGAAUAAAUUAAAUGUAAAUACAAGUAUGCAAUGGGUAGAAAAUGAAAAUUUUAUCCUAUAAAUAGUACGCUUGAUAGUUUAAAAUAUUAAUUAUAAUAAUACAUUUGAUAAUUUAGGAUUUAGAUUUAAAAAUUAUGUUUUAUGUUUUAGAGGCCAAGAUAUAAGAUUUCCAUUAACCAAAGAUUUUUUUUAUGUGAAUCUUAAAUAAAAUGUUUGUUUAUUUUGCAAAUUCUUAUCAUUUGUAAAUAAGACAAAUAUAUUUUUAUCAUAUUAUUUUUAAUUUUUAAUAUUUUGUGUCAAAAUCAUCAUCAAUGAUGGUAAUCUUUAUUAGGAUAGAACCCUUAAACGUAUGAUAUGAUGUAACAAAUAUAUAGUUUAUUAUUUAUUUAAUAAUAUUCAAGUUUCACUUUUAUCUAUCCUUAUUCCAUGUAUUAUAUCUCAUGAGUAUUCUAGCCAAACAUUUAUUGCAUUAUACAUGACUUGAAUGCAUUAGGUAUAGACCCCCCAUUUUGUUCUCUUAGCACAUGCAUUAUGAGGUGUUCUUUCAAUACUCCACAACAAUUCCCUAGUGUCCCAUUACUACUCAUACUUUUUGAGCCACCUUGGAGACUCUGGUCGAGGGAUUUAUAUGGCUCCUCAUUGUGACCAUUGGUAACCUUGAGUUAGAUUUAGGUUAUUUUUUUCCUUUUUCUCUCAUGUUAGCCCUUUUAGGUGCACUUUCCGUUUUUAGGAUAGCAUAUUAGGCAUUUCCUAGGACACCAUGCCCCACUUAAGCUCUUAGGCACGUUUUACAUUAGUUCACCCAACCCCCUUAGGUUCACUUAGAUAGAUUUUUUAGGCUUAAUGUACUUAGGUUUGUUUUUUGAGUUGUGAUGGCAUGAUUCUGAGUUUAUGUGAGUAUUUAGUUUGAUUUUUUUUUUUUGUUUUUUUAAUUGCUUCAAUAUUUAGUUAUGAGAUUUUGACAUUUCAUUUUGUUUCAUCAUUAAUUACACUAGAUUAACAUUUGAAUUUUGAUUGCAGUAUUUAGCAUCUAUAUUAUUAUUAUGAAUUAUUUAUUUAUUUUUUGUCUAUUUUUUAUAUUUACUUAUCUAUUUAUUUAUUUGUUAAAAAAAUGCAUGAGGUUGCAUUUUAGUUUUUUUUUUUCCAAAAAUUGCAUGAAUUGAUAUUCAAAUUUCCUUAUAGAUGGAUAUGAGUUAUUUUAUUUUAAUUGGGUUUGGGUUGUCAUUUCUCAUUUUUGGGCUUUGUUUGUUUUGCAUGGGCCCAAGAGUUUUCUUAGGGUGGAAGUCUUGAAAGCUAUAUAAAAAGGGCACAGAAGCCCUAGGCAAUAGGGAGGACAAUCAAAGAGAGAAAAGGUGUUGCUACUUUAUUCUUUUUGUGCGUGUGUGUGUGUGGUUUCUUUCUUUCUUGAUUGUAUAUUGUUGGUGAGAGAGAAUUUUUCCUUACUAUGUAUCUACUAUAGGGCAGUUCAUUUGUUUUUUUAUAUUGUAUUCGUAUGUUGGAGUUGCCUUUGGUUCGGAGAGUCUAGAUCGAUUUAGGGUGGCAUUCAAGUAAGUUAUUUCUUCUUCAUCUCUUUAUUUGUAUUAUGUUUUUGUUCUUUUUAGGAUUUCUUAGAUUUAUCUUGUUUUAUAUUUAUUAUAUUUGUAAGCAUUUUGGUAGUUGAAUAUUUUAGCCAUUUCAUUUAUUCAAUUCUUUGCCUAUUUGAGUUAUAUGUUCAUUAUACUCUAUAUUUUGUAUGUAUGCACAUUUGCUAAACUUUUUCUACCCAUCUAUAUGUUUGUCAUGUUUAUUUAUUAUUUUGUUGAUAUGUGUUGACAUGUGUUUCUAUAUGGUCAUGCGAAAUGAAACAAAAUAGGCUUGGUUGCAGCACACAAGGGAAACGUGAAAAGUGAUUUCGCAUGACCAUGCGAAAUUUUCGCACAGUCAUGCGAAACCCUCCAAGAAGAUGAAAAUGAAGCUGAUGGACUUUCCACUUCGCACCAUCAUGCAAAAUUGCUAGGGGCUCGUGCAAAAUGCAUUUUCUCCAUAUGUUGUUUCAAGUUUUCUAUAUUUGUGCAAUUCCUGUCCUAAAUUUUCUAUAAUUUUGUUUAUGUUAGUCUUGUUGCCUCAUUUUUCAUUUUGUCUUAAUUUUUGUAUAAUUCUAUUAAUAUUAGUCUUGUUGCUUCAUAUUUCAUUGUCUUAAAUUUUUUAUAAUUCUAUUUAUGUUAGUAUUUUUGUCUCAUAUUUCAUUUCAUGCCAUAUUUGGGUUUUGAUUUAUUUUUCUGGCUUGAGUUUUCUUUCUUUUUUUCUUUUUUUUUACUAUGCAAUAAAAAUUUCAGAAAAAUCAGUUUUAAUAAAAUUUCUAGAAAAAUAGUUUUUAAUAAAUUCCAAAACGGUUUUCUUUAAUUAAAAAUCUAGAAUUUUGUUUCCCAUAAAAUGCAAAAAAAAAAUUGUUUUAAUAAAAUAAUAUGGAAGAACCAUUUUUACUAAAUUCAGAAUUUUGGUUUAAUAUAAAAUAAUUCAAAAAAUCAUUUUUUUUUAAUAAGUUCAUAAAAUUCAUUUUUUUAAUAAAAUAAUUCAAGAAUUUCAUUUUUUUUAAUAUAUUCGGUAAAUGGUUUUUAAUUUAAUAAUCCAAAUAUUCAUUUUUUAACAAAUCCAGAAAAUUGGUUUUUUAAUAAAAAUCCUCAAAGUUUGUAAAGUCCUAAAAGUUUGUUUGAUGGAAAUUUUGAAAUUUGUGUUUUAAUAAAUGUUCUUUAGAAAAUCAUUUUUUUAAUAAGUUUGAAAAUUCUAAAAUUUGUGUUUUAAUAAAUGUUCCUUAGAAACUCAUUUUUUUAAUAAGUUUGUUAACUGAAAAAUUGUGUUUUAAUAAAUAUUCUUUAGAAAUUUUUUUUUUAUAAAUAAGUUUGUUAAUUGAAAAUUGUGUUUUAAUAAAUGUUCUCUAGAAAAUCACGUUCUAAUAAAAAUUAUGAAAAUUUGUAAUAUCCUAAAAGUUUGUUUAUUGAAAAUUCUGAAAAUUCUAUCUUAAUAAAUGUUCUUUGGAAAGUCGUUCUUUAAUAAAAUUAUACAUUAUGAAAAUUGUGUUUUAAUAAAUGUUCUUUAAGAAAUCGUUUUUUAAUAAAUUUGUAAAUUCUAAAAAUUGUGUUGUAAUAAAUGUCCCUUAGAAAAUCGUUUUUUUUAAUAAGGUUGAAAUUUUUGAAAUUUGUGUUUCAAUAAAUAUUCUUUAGAAAAUAAUUUUUUUAAUAAGUUUGUUUACUAAAAAUUGCGUUCUAAUAAAUAUUCUUUAGAAAACCAUUUUUUUUAGUAAGUUUAUUUACUAAAAAUUAUAUUUUAAUAAAUGUUCCUUUAAAAAAAAUCAUUUUUUUUAAUAAGGCAUAUUUAAUGAAAAUGCUUAAAAUAAGUGUUUAAAUAAAUAUUUUCAAAGUUUUUCUUCAUAAAAGUCGUGAAAGUCAUAAAAGUCAUAAAAGUUCUCAAAUUUGAUUUAAUUAAAAUUUUCAAAAUAAAUGUUUUAAUAAUUGUUCUCAAAGUUGUGUCUUUUAAAUUUACUUAAAGUUUGUCUCAGUAAAAGUUUUAAAAGUUUUAAUAAGUGUCUUAAUAAAUUCUCAAAAUAAGUGUUUUAAUCCUAAAAAUUCUCAAAUUUUGUUUUUAAUAAAUUCCCAAAGUUUGCCUUAUUAAAUUCUAAAAGUUGCUUAAUAAAAACCCUCAAAGUUAGUCUAAAAAUCCACAAAGUUGUUUUCUCGAAGUUAGUGUUUUAAUCAAUGUCUCUCUUUUCAAAUAAAUUUGAUUUAUAAAUAUUUUUUUCACAAAUAAAAGUUGAAAAAUUUUGUUUUCUUAAUGAAUUGAAAUUUGGUUCCUGUCAUUAAAAUAAAUAAACCAUUUUUCCUUGUAAAAAUAUUUUUUUUCCAAAAGUAGAACUGAUGUUUCUUUAUAAUUAUCGAAUCUUCCUUUUUUUUAAAAAAAAAAAUAAAGUCGAAGCCAAUAUCAUUUCUUUGUAAAUAGAAGAUCAAAUUGAGCUUUUCUUUUUAAUAUAUUUGAAUUCAAUCAAAAUUAUUUUAAUAAAAUCAAGAAAAGUCUUCUUUUUUUUUAAUUAAUUUUGGAUGUGAAUAAAAAUCGAGUCUUUUGUAAAUAAAUUGAAACUUUGUGAGUAAAUAAGUUUGAAAUCUUUAAUUUGGAAUUGUUCCCAAUAUAAAUAAAUUUCUUUUGAACUUCCUUUGAAAUGUUGCAACUUGAACAAAUAAUUAAAUUAUAUUUUGUGCUCUUCACAUUCAUUAAUUGUGUACAUUCUUGUGUAAUCUUUUUCUCAUCUCAUGACUUAUAUGUAUCUUGUUGUCCUGUUAUCAGUAUCCUCAAUAAAUUAAUCAAUUCAUACUGACUCGUUUUGAUUUAUGUUUGCAAUUUUUCAAGAUGAUUGACAUAAUGUGUUUCAAAGGAAAAUCAAAUCCUUCUCACCAAGUAUGUCUUAAAAUAAUUUUUUUUUUUUUAUAACUUCAAAUUAGAAAUGUCUUCUUAGCUUUGAUAAUGAUCUUUUGUAUUUUUUUUUUUAAAUUGCAACGAUUUGAAAACAUUAUAGAAUAGAGUUAUUUAUAAACUUAUUUUUAUGUACAAAUAAAUUAUACAAAUAUGUGAAAUUAAUUUAUUAAUUUAUUAAAUUAAAAUUUAUUUCUUAUUUUUCUAAUUUUUUUUCUUCAAAUGAACUCAAAAUUGUAGCUUUUAACAUGUGAAGCUAGAAAUGUUUGGAAGGUAUAUAAUAAUGAUAAAAUAGGCAAUCAUCAUUUUCCACUUGCAAGAAAAUCAUAAAAUAGGCAAUGGUCAUUUCAAGAUUUGUAUCAUUCAUCAAACUAGUAAAUUUGGAAAUGGAACUCCAUUAGAUUGUGAAAAAAAACUACUAUAAACCAAAAAAUAUAACAAAGAAUAAAGAAAUUAGAAUAUAACUUCCACUUUGAAACUAUUGCUUGUAUGAACUAUUAUCCACUUGCCAACUUAACAGAAUUGACAUAGCCAUAAACCUAAUAUAAAAUAAUCAUUUUAGCAAUCUAGAAUAAUCAAGCAUAAUUUCAAAAUGCGUCUCUCAUGCUUACAAUGUUAUAGACCAAACAAACUAAAACAAUGAUUUUUCUCCACUGAUACAAUCUUAAAUAAAUUUAUUUUAGAAACAACAUAACCUAAUUGCCUAAUGAAACAUCAUUGAUCCAUAGACCAGUAGACAUUUUUCCUGAUUUCAUUUUUUGGCGACAUUAUCAUUUGUGUUAGGAGUUUUUCCUUGUACUUCAUGACCUUGUCCUAUACAAAAGAGUAUAUAAUAGAAUAUUAACGAAAAUUCAUGUUAUUUUAUUGAACAUAAAAAAUAAAAAAUAUUGUAUUCAACACAAUAUAAUACAUUUGCAAUUGUAUGAAAAAAUCCAUUGUUAUCCCAUAAUUGCAUAAACUUGAUUACAAAUAUGCCACAAUCUGUUCUACAAGUAGCAAUUAAGGAAAUUAAAAAUAAAUUAUGCAUCAAAUCAAUAAAUUUAGAACCUCAUUUGCUUUCCAUAGGUAAAGAGGAAUAAAAUUCUUGCAACUUAUGAAUUCAAUUGUUGCAAAACUUCUAAAACAACGAAUUUGAAUUUAGUCAUGUCCAUUGAUGGUCUUCUUUCUUGAAUCCCAAUGACAAUUGAUAGAACGCUUACCUUAACACAAUAUAAAAUUAUAAAUAUGGACAUCCUUAAAAAAUAAUGACAACAAGUCACAUAAGUAAUUGGAUAAUAACUAUAUUUACUAGUUUCUCUGUGAAGACAUCCAUUUGCUUUUUCCUUUCGUCAAUCAAUGAAUCCAACAACUCGAUUCUUUUUCUAAUGAAUAUUCAAAAUGUUUAAAUACCAAUGAUUUCUCCUGCAUAUUGGUAUGAACAGCUGAAAAAGAAAAAUAAAUAAUGAUUUUAUCAAGUUAAUUGUGUUCAUGUAUUUCCUGCACUAUACUUAAAAAUAUCCAACUAUAUAUGACUUUCAUUAAAUUAAAUAAAACAUGUUCAUAUGUGUACAACCGAGUGUUUUUAAAAUAUUUUCAUAAAUUGUCACAUGUAUUUUGGAGAAAAUGUACCCCUCUUAUUUUCCACAUCAAAUUGUAAUAAUAAAAAAAAUACAAAACAUACAUUAGAUUAAAACAAUCUACUUAAAACAAGAAAACCAAUCUAUAAUUCUUACAACAUAUCUUACCUCAAAAUGGGGAGAUAAGAAAUGCUCCCUAUUUCCUUUAUCCUUACCAUUCAAAAUUCGACAAAACAUGGUUACAACCUUCAUGUAAAUGAAUGAAAAUUAGAAAUAUAGUUUUAGAGUAAUUUUAUCUUAACUUCAUAUAACUAAAUAUGAAUACCUUAUUGUUAACUAAUUUGUCGGGUCCCAAGCAUUUUAAGUCGAAUCUUAUCAAGAAGAAAUCGUACAUGGAACACAAUAUUUGGCUACAUAGAAAUAAUUAUGAUGUUAUGAAUUAAAACUAAAUCUUUUAAAUGGUUGUCUUAAUUGUACUUGUUUAUACUGAAUCAAGUUCAACCUGACCUUUCAUCACGUGUAUCGUCCAAUGCAUAUGCUAAAACUUACUUUGCUACAAUGAAGACGUUGAAAAUUUGAUUGAUUGUUGUACCACAUAUGGUGAUUGUAGGGCAGUAGCACAUCGACGUAGCCGACAUAAACAUAAUGGAGGAUGUUCAGUCUAGUAAGGAAUAAUAACAUUCGACUUAACUUCAUCCUCAACUAUAUGUAUAGAAAAUAAGAAAAAAAAUUCAUUAACGAAAAUAACACACAGAGGAAAGACUAGCCAUUAUUAUGAACUCAUUAAUAUUUUGAUAUUAAAAAUUACUAUAAAAAAAUAAAGAUGCAGAAAGUAUAAUGCUAUGUUGCGCUACUGGCUGUGAGGUCGAUGGCCCUGCAUUAUCUUCACCAUGAGCGGAACGAUCAUUCAAUGGUGAUCCAUAUGCUAAUUUAAAAAUGGAUAACAACCAAAUUUUAAAAAAAAAUUAUAGAACAUUUGCAAUUCAAUUAAAAGUAAAAAAAAAAUUUAACAGCUAAUGCUAUAAAAACCUUAUUACCAUGUGGUGGUGAUGGGAAAGAUUCAUUGAUGUCAGGUUGGUUAUGACUUCCGCUUUGAUGAGAAGGUGAUGGGGUUUUGUUUUUAUUAUGCCGCUUUGCUAGUUUAUCAAUUGCUUCUUUCAUUGUUCGAAGCAAUUGGUGAAUUUGUUCCUCCACUACAUUAUACUCUGCUAUAAUUUCCUACAAAAUGGUACAAAGUGUAAAAGAUGUAUAUUAUUAUGCAUAACAUGUUUGGUUUACUCUUUAAAUAAAGGAAUAGAUGUAAAAGGUUCUCACAUCACUAGUCUCUUCUUCAACUUCAUCUACUGGAUUAGUAGGGUCUUCAUGUGCAUCUUCCCCCCUUUCAUCUUCCUGAACCUACAAUAAUAAAAAGAAUAUAUAAUUUUUUUAAAAUUAUUUUUCAAAUAUUAAAAUAAAAAGAAAAUGUAGAAAUAAAAUUUUGUUCCUUACAUCGACUAGUCCAAGGUCAUCAUAAUCCUGCAACUCUACAUGCACCAUUUUCUUCAUCAGGUCAUCACUCUACAAUGCACAUAUGGGGAUGGUGUGUGGCACCAACAUAAUUGGAAUGUAGAAUUUAUUUACAUAAAAAAGCUCAUACACAAAUAUUCCACACAUCAAUACGUUAUUUAGAGAACACUGUUUAAACAUAGAAAAUGAUAUGGAAACCUUGAGCAUUUAAUAAAAAAAGAUAUUUACCUACAAAAAAAAAAAGGUAACCUGUAAACCAUGAGCCUUUACCCAAUCGAAAAUGCCUAAUUCGAGCAACCAAUGUGUCAAGUACAAAUUGGUCCCAAUUAACAUUGAUGUCAAAGUUUCUAGCAAGCAAAGUACACCGCAACUCAUGACUACCAUCCAACUUCAAUGUUGGAGCAAGUAAUGUAGCACAUGAGAAGAAGAUAAACAAUUUUUUAAAGUCACCCAUGUCUUCCAUUGAGAUCAGCCUAUCUCUAAGGAUAGAUAGGUUUUCCAUCCUAUUAUUCCUAUUGGUAGGUGUAGACACUCCAUUUUGUAUAUCUAGUACUUGUCCUAUUAUGUGUUCGUUUGGUACUUUACAACAAUUCCCUGGUAACCCAUUAUUACUCAUGUAACUUAUCUUUUAUGAGCCACCUUGGAGACUCUGAUUGAGAGAUUUAUCUAACCUCAUUACAACCCUUAGCAACCCUAAUUUAGACUUAGGUAGUCAAUACAUGUCUAGCAUAAUACCCUAAGCUCCCAUUUUUACAACUUGGAGGGCUAAAUUGGGUAAAAUAUAAGAAUGUCAAAUAACAUGUAUAUGUGAAAUAUGGACAAAAAAAAAGGAAUAGAUAAAGGUAAUGAUUAAUUAUAUUUAUUAAGAAUAGUGAUUAACUUAAAAAAAAAAAUAGUUAACUUUUGUGAAAAUAUCCCUUAGAAAAGAUCAUGACUUUUAUGACUUCAUUAAGGUAAAUCAAUCAAGCUUCAAGAGCAAUUAUCGAUAAUAUAUUUGGAAAUAUGUAGUAUUAGCAUCCUUUUACAUCUCAUAGAUUGACAUUAUAGAAGAGAAAUGCAAUUAGUAAUUAUAAGGAAUAAAUGUUUUACAUAUGAACAAUUUGAUUAAAGAUGGAUAAAAGAGUAAAGAGUUUAGAUUAGAGAGAGAGAGAGAGAGAGAGAGAGAGAGAGAGAGAGAGGUUGUGCCUUACAAGAAAUGUCUAAACUAAAUAUAGGAUGUAUAUAAGACAUACUAAGGCCAAAAGAAAGAUAUAAAGAACAACUCACACCUAAGUAACAUGAUCAAAGCUAUUUAAAUGAAUCCUCAUUGCUUCCUUACCUAUACAUACAUCUAAAUUGUUGUAAAGGAUUGUAAAUAUUAUGAGUUUGUUCUUUUUUAGUACUACUUCAUUACUAGUGGAAUAAUGGACAAAUGAGUACAUUGUAUUCAUAGCAAUUUAGAUUAUAUUUUCAUAAGGUGGUGAAACAAACAUAUAUGGUAUCCUUCUCAACUCAACUUAGGAAUAGGAAAUAAUAACAAAAACAAUUAUAAGCUAACAAAAUUCAUAUAUAUAGGUAUAUAUUCAUGUGAGAGGAAGCCAUAUAGAAUCUUUACAUUUCAAAAAUCAAGUAAACUUUAAUUCAAGAAAGCAACUUAAAUGUAGGUAAGUCUUCAAAAAGUUUAGAAGAAGAAAAAAAUGUAACCUCAAUAACUAUCCACUUGAGCUAUUUUUUAGAUCAUUUCUUCUUUUGAGAUACAAAAAUUCGAAACCCCCUGCAAAAAAGAAGAUUACAUUAGUGUUUAUUUUGAAACAUGAAAACUAAAAUUAUGGUAGACUUACAUGUUCACAAUAUCUUUUAUAUCUUGGUAUGGUUGUUGUAAUAGCAAGUCUAAAUAGUAAACUGUUUGUAAUUUGAGGUCAAUUACAGCCAAAACCCAAUGAAACCUACAAUAUAUUAACAUAUAAUUUAGAUAAAUAGCAUUUAUAAGGCUAAGAAAUUAAAAACAAUUAUAAUUAACAACUUACCUUGGGUUAUACGGAAGAAAAAUCAGAUCUGCCAAUUUGGAGUCAAUUAGGCGAUCAACAAUGAUCUUUGCUCUUUUUUCAAUUUUUGGGGCUAUUGUUCUAGCCUUAGACACCAGUCCUGGAUGAACAGAUAUAAUUUUCUCAUGUAGUGUAUCAUCUAGAUGUUCAUGCAACCACCUAAUGAAAUAUCACCCAGUUUAGAAUUACUUAAAAAAUAAAAAAAAUAAACGGUUUCUACUUAUUUAUAUCAUGAAUAUAACAUAAAGAUUUACAACAAAAUCUCACCAAAUAUAGAAACAUAUACAAUUCAUAGUCAACUCUUUUGCAAAAAUUACAUCAUUCAUUUCAGUUGUCAAGAGGAAGAUUUGAAAUUUCAUCCCAAAAACAUUGAUUGGAAAGUCAACUUUGGGUGCCAGUUUACCCUCCAACAUUGUUGAAACUGUUUUAAAAAAUAAUUGUAUAUCUCUUGGAUUCUCAUAUUUGAUUUUCUUUGGGGAUGCUUGUAUCUUAUUCAUUUUAUUCUUCCUCUUGCCAAAAUCCUAAACACAUAAAUAGAUGCAUGACAUUAAAAUGAAAAAUAAAUAAACCAAGAGUGUAGGAAAAUAUAACUCAACUUUGAAAGUUUGGGUAUAACGUUAUUCCCCUCAACAUUUUCAUCAUUUAUCACAAAUGCAACAGGCCACAAAACCUCAUAUCCAACACCCUCCCUUAUUGUACUAAUGUUUUCAGAAAGUGGGAAUGAAAGAAGUGCAUUAGGUUGAAGAGGGUAAAGAAUGACCACUAAUAUAUCAGUUCUAUCAAUGGAAAUGUUUGAAUCUCACAAAUAAGUUCCAUAUGCAACAAUGUUUUCUUCAGUUUCAAGAGCUAAUUUGCAUUUAUAAACCUGUAAAAACAUAUUUUCUAAUCCUUCGUCUUUCAUUAUAGUUAUUUUAUAUAUUGUUUUUAUAAAUUUAACUUAGGAAAAGCCAUAUAUACCUGAGUUAGUGGAGAAGCUUUUUGAGUCCUUUCUGCUGAUAGGUUCUCCACAUGAGCACUAUAAUGAGUCUUCUCUCGUAUUUCUUCAUGUUCCAACAAUUGUUUCCUUAUGUUUGUGCUGCUCACUUCAGAGUGGGGUGUGAGGGGUUCUUUUUUUUUUCAGCUUUCAAAGAAAUGAUCUCUUCUUCCAAGCUUUUUACUUUCUCCCUUAGCAUCCUUUGACAUUCCUCUUCUUCAAGAGUUUUUAUGGGUUUUAGUGUGUUGAAUAAUUGUUUGGGAUUUUUUUUCCCACCUUUUCCUCUAACCCGUCCAGGAUGCUCGGAUGUACCCAAUGCUAAAGUGAGGAUAUCCUUUUGGCCAACACAUGUGAUCUUCCCUUCCUCAACAGCCUUUGCCAACUCAUCCUCCAAAAAUAUAUAAGAUGCUUCAAGAGUCAUAUUUAAUAAAAUAAAAAAACAAAUGAAAUUGACUAAAACUAAGUAUAGGUUUGACAACUUACAAUCUUUUCCGCUACAGGCCUCGUAACAUCAUCAUAUUCACCUUUUUUCAAUCUUUCUAGCUUCCACAAGACCCAUCUAUCAAUAGGUUUCCUUGAACCUGUCUUUUGCAUCUAUCAAAAAACAAAAAAGUGAAGCAAUUAAACUUUACAAAAGUAAAUGUCCAACAAAAUAAAAUACACUAAUUCAACUUACCAAUUCUUCUUGAAGUCUUGCAUAUCAUUUCCUACUCACUCAAUGAAUAUAAACGUAUUUUGCCCUCCUUUCUUUUCCUUUUUUUGGUUUAACUUGAAACUCUAUUGACAACCUAUUAGCCACUAACUUUCUCCAGUCUUCAAUUGGAAUGUAAUUAUAUUCAAUUGGUGGCUACAAAAGGUACUCGGGCUUAUCCUUAUAAGGCAGGUGUGGACCCCGCAUUUCGAUGGCUCGAAUGCGUUCCCCACUCGAUGGCGAGCUCGAUUUUUAUUUUGAAAAAUUGAUUUUUAUUGAUUAUUUGAAAAUGACUUGGAGUCGCCACUUAUUUUUGUUUUAUUUUUAAAGGGUAAACAAAAUAAGAAAGAAAAACCCUAAGUGUGACUCCUUAUUUUGGAAAAGGUGAUCUACGAAAAACCGGAUCGGGUUCGGGGGUCAGGUUACUUAUCGGGAAGGUACGGUAAAGACCGUAGCACCCCUCUAAGUCCCUAAAGUCGGGUCUCUACUACUAAAAUGAAGCUGACAUGGCAAUCAAUGAGAAAAUCAAUGAAUACUCAAAUCAAUCAUGCACAUAUAAGUAUCAAAACAUGCGUAUAGCAAGACCAGAAUAAGGACAGAUGCGUACCUGGGCAACGAUCUUCAAUGCGCUAUCAAGAAGUGAGAUUAGUGCACAAUUAAAGGAUGGUCACAUGCAUAUCAUAGAGCAGAAUAAAUCAUGUAUGGCACCCAAAUCAACCAAACAAUCCAUCAAUCAUAAAAUCUCAUAUGUUGGGCCCCCACCAAAGCCCGAUUGAUUUUUGCAUGAAUUAAUUCCAUAAAUUCCCUUGCUUGGAAUUACGGAAUUUUAUUCUAGCUUAUUUUAAAACAUUUUGAAAAUCUGAGGAGUUGUGAAAAUUGCUUGUCAGGGAGAAAAGUGACAGCAAAUUUUUAUUAUAAAGUGGAAACUUUUGGGAACCUAAAGAUUCCAAUGAGGAAACAUGAGAGAAUUGGAAUUAUUUGAAAAACCAGAUUUUUGAGAAAAUGCUUGCAAAAUGGGAUUAGGAACAGUUAUUAAAACAGAGAAUGAGGAAGUAAAAGGUGGUGGCACAUGGUCAAAGGCUGCAUGUCCUAGGUGGUCAUGCAAAGAAGCGGUCUCCUGUAGCUUUUGUAGGGUCCAUUCUCUCCCCACUUCUCAUCCCAUGAGUUCUUUACGAUCCAGUAAGGCCUGCCCUUCAUCCGGAUGGGAUCAUGGCCUGUUGAACCAUGCCCCACCAGUAACACUCCAUGAGCCAUCAUCUCAGAGCAUAUGUAUGGGCGUGACACUUCCCCAAUAUGUGUCUGCAUGAACACUGUAUUGAUGCCCACUACCAUUUGACCAUUUUUCACAAGAUUAGCAGCCAUCUGAUCUUCAUCAAGGAAUGAACCAAAAGCUUUGGCUGCAUCGGGCUUCUGGAGAAGAACUGUUUUGAUUGCAUUCAAUAUCUCAUCCACGGAUCUUCCUGUGCUAAUGUAUUCUGAAAUAACCUCCCAUCUUCAAGACAUUCCUCUGGGAUAUUUCAGCAUCCCUUUUAUCAAGAGCCCAACUUCUUCUCUAUCCCAAGGUUUCUCCUUAUAGUGUGAUCAAAAGAAUGAAGUUGGGGUCACUGAAUUCACCUUCCACUGAAGAGUAGAAAGCAUCAGAAGCCCUAUCCUCUGAAACGUCUUCACUUCAAGCACAUAUUUUAUCUCCUCCACCUGCAGGUCCAAGAGAAGAGGAGCAUCGGUUUUACUGGAGCUUGACUUUCUCUUCUCAGGGGCAUUUUCCUCAUGGGGACUCUCUAUCUGAUCUGUUGAUGCAGCUGCACUUUCUCCCUCAUUCUCAUGGCCAUCUAAUCUGCUUCCGCGGAUGCUGCAUCUGACACCACGGCCUCUUGAACGCGAGUGGAAUCCAGCUGGCAAUGGACCCAAUGGAGGCCUCUCAAUGGGUUUACUUUAAGAGCUUCUUGAGGGCCCAAAGGAUAUUGCAGGACCCGGACUUAGGACGCCAUCUUAUCCGUGUCAUGCUGAGGAAUUCGUUCUUUGUGGUAUCAGAUUGGCUACAGGAGGCCUUAUAGAAGUGAAGCUAGGGAUAUCUUCAGAAAUGGAACUUGGACCCUUCCCUUUGACAGGUUCAUCUCCAUGAGAACCAAAUUUUAUAAGCUCGGUAACUCCAGGUUGUUGAAUGAACUUCCCAGUCUCCUUGUCAUGCAACAAAGCACUUUUUGCUUCAGUUUCAGUCUCCACAGGUGCCGGGGCCGCUUCAAAUCCCACAACCUCCAUGAAUUCACCAUGCUCCUCCAAGAAAUAACCAACAACACUAGGUAGCAUUUCCAAUUCACUUCACGACCUUGGAAUGAGCAGUUGCUUUAUCAGUUUCAUGGCAGAGGGUGAGCACUGGAGCUUUCCUCUUGACAACACUUUACCUGGAAAGCGGAGAGUGGAUACCGGUAAUCCAUGAUAAAUAGAAACUUCCCCACUUUUCCGGACUGGAGGUGAUCUCCUCAUGUUGCUGGCCUAUAGAUCCAUCUUCUGGAGAAAACACCAGUUGAAAAUUAUCCACUGAAGCAACUGUCACUUGUCCACGGAAGUCCGAGCACCAGCAUACCCAGAUUGGUGGUUUUGGAAUAUAGGUUUGAAGAGUUUGAUGGGUGUGCAAGGUGUAGACAUGGGGCAUGAUAGCAAAGUGGUGAGAUGAGGUGAUAAUGAGUGUAAAUAGGCUUAGAGAGAAAGGUGAAUAAAUAUGGUGGGGGAGUAGACUGUUGACAAUGGGUAUGUAUGAGUCCUAUGCCUGUGGGUAUGGUGAGAGAUGAACUGCAAGUGAUGGGCAUGAUGUGGUGUGGGGUGGAUUAGUGGGAUGACAGUAUACAAAGAGAGCGUGGUGUAGAGAGAGAAUGCAAGAUGAUGAGUGCAUGUGUAGAUAUGGGUGUGGGCAUGGUGGUAUGAAGCGUGUGGUGGAUGAUGGACUGAAGGUGAUGGGCAUGACAAUGGGCAUGAACAGGGAUGGAGUCAUGUGGGCACGAGACGAGCAUGAGCGCGGAAUGAGUGUGAUGCAACCAUGCAUGGUAUGAAAAGGGUUUGGUGUAGUGAGAGAAAGUAGAUUAUUGGUGAUGGGUAUGAAUAAUGGCCGGGUUUGCAUGGUCCAUGCACUUGGAUGGGUGAGUUUGGGGAUGCUAGCAGAAGCCUUGGAAGGAAUACGGGCAGCCAUGCACGCGUGGGGUUUCAUGGAUAUCGAGUCAGGGUAUUUUGCUGGAGGAAGAGAGCAUGGGUCUGCACAAUAUGGGGAUUGGGAUCUCCUACGGACUCCCUAGCUAAUGGAGUUGUGAAAGGGAGACCAUCUGCUUUUCCGAUACCAGAUUAUGGGAAGUUCAGUGAUGGCUUCUCAAAAAUGGACCUUGAUGUUAACAAACCACCCUUGGGCAAUUUAGCAAUCCCUUCAUUCUCAGAAGACUCCGUCUCCAACAGACCAUAAUGAUACUGAACUAAUCCAUGUGAAACGGACAAGAAAGGCUCUGCUCGUGAAUGUUCCCUGGCAUAACCUCCUCUAGAAUGUCAUCAGACGAAACAAAACUAGAGAACCAGGUAUCUAGAACAAGUAAGUCUUCUCACUGGGCCAAACCCUCAACAAGCCUGUUGCAUUUCUCUGAUUUCUCCCACUGUUCUGCCAAAGUCUUUAUUUAUAAUAUAAUGGUUUAGAAAUAUCCUCCAUUAAUCACUCUGCCUUUGACCAACCCUGGUUAAGGAUCCAUACAUCAAAUCUGAUUACCACUUCUGGCCCACAACCGCUCGAGUUGAUAAUGAUUUUCCUCCAUAUCUACUCCUGUUCAUCUUCAUAAAAUUCCUUGGAAUCAUCAGUAUACUCACUGCAAUCUGUGGUAAAGACCACCACAUCCUCAUCGACAUCUUACUUUUUUCCUCUACGAAUGGCGCCUCACACUACUCACUAUUCUUUGGAUCUGAACCACUUUUUUUUUUUUUUUUUUUUUUUCAAAUAUUGGAUGUCAAGCCUCAACAGCAUAUAGUAGUCAAUUUGUACCAUCCCCAAUGUAUGGUAUGCAUGAUGCCCCGUGCUCAAAUUGCUCAAAAAGAACAGAGGAAUAUAGCUAAGAAAACAGGGCAUAGGAGAAAGGAACAAAAAAUAAAUCAAGGGCAACUGCAUUUCAGGACAUAUCAAUGUGUUCCCACUGGUGGAUGAAAGAUAUGAACAAAUUCAAAACAAAAAAUACGCCACAUAUGUUCAGGUGCCUAGCAACGAAAUAUGAUGCAAGUCCUCACCCAUUUUCUUAAACCAGGUUAAUGAAACAGCGAAAGGAUUAACAUCACAGAUGGAAACAUGACAAAUACAAACAACAUAUACACCCAGUGAAAUGAUAUUCAGAAUAAUGAAAUCAUACGGCUAAAUAUAAGCAUACCUGAAUGUGAUAGAUGUCCUACCCAGCUUUUCUUACUUUCUCUCUGUUUUCCUUGCCUUUCUAGCUCCGACAAUCGAAUCACCUUCUCUCUUACUCUUCUUUUCUCCCGCUUGAAAAACCUCCCUCUGGAAAUAUAUCUCUCCCCCAGCCAGACGACACCCACCUGCCUUGCAGUUGCAAGCCUCCAUUACCUUCAGAUUUUUCUGCCACCUUCCUCUUCUAGGCCCAUUUCCCCACUACUCUGCACCACUACCUUGCUAAUAACAGAAGACGCUCCUCAAUACAACGGCCUGCAGAUCCUCAUGCCACCUGUCAACCUUCCAUUGGCACUUCAAAAACAACAUACGAUUCUGCAUUGCCCUCUCAAAAGGAGACACGUGAUUGAGCAAGGCUCUUCCACGUGGCCAAAACGGGUAGCUGCAUGAAAGGCCCCAAAUGGGGGUCUACAAAUAUGCCCCUCUUUGGUAGAGUUCAUGAGUGUAAAGAACAUGAACACUGGAGUGAAAAGUAAGUGUGAGUAGUGAGUGAAAUGAAGUGAACUCUACCGAAGAAUCAAAGAGACCCCCAUAGGGAUAUUGGUGAAACGCGAAGUCACCCAGGCUAGUAGACGAACACAAAGGCUCUAAUCCUAAAAGAGAAAGAUGUCACAAAAUGCCUCUGCGGCCAUACUAAGGAUCCAAGCUCCCUCUAAGAUGUCUCCCGAAAGUGACUCGAAAAACCAAAUGCUAGAGGUGAGUAACGGUCGAGUCACCCUAGGGUACGGACAAGAAUGCGUCUAAAGGAGACUGCCCUAUGUGGACUACAUGAUGAAUACACGAUAAGCACAAAGUAACGAAGUGAGGAGGACGAUAAUAAGUGCAAAUCCAAUGAAGGUGAGACACGCAAUGCCACUGAAUAGGAAUGCUAGGAGCUGUGACUCUACAUGACAAGAUUGACUCUAAACACUAAACUAGGAAACAACGGCUCUGGAAGCCAACCAAAAACUAACUCUAAAAACUAAACUGAGAAUAACAGCUCUGGAAGCAAACCAAAAACUAACUCUAAAAACUAAACUAGAAAACAACAGCUCUGGAAGCCAACCAAAAACUAACUCUAAAUGCUAAACUGAGAAUAACAGCUCUGGAAGCAAACCAAAAACUAACUCUAAAAACUAAGCUAGAAAAUAACAGCUUUGUAAGCAAACCAAAAAAACUAACUCUAAAAGCUAAACUAGGAAACAACAGCUCUGGAAGCCAACAAAAACAAAAAAAAAACAAAAAAAAAAAAAAAAAAAAAAAAACUAACUCUAAAAGCUAAACUAGGAAACAACAGCUCUGGAAGCCACACAAAAAAAAAAACUAACUCUAAAAGCUAAACUAGAAAAUAACAGCUCUGGGAGCCUAAACAAGACGACAGUAAUGGCUCUGGAAGCCUAAACAAGAUGACAGUAAUGACUCUGGAAGCCUAAACGAGAUGACGGUAAUGACUCUGGAAGCCUAAACAAGAUGACAGUAAUGACUCUGGAAGCCUAAACGAGAUGACGGUAAUGACUCUGGAAGCCUAAACAAGAUGACAGUAAUGGCUCUGGAAGCCUAAACAAGAUGACAGUAAUGGCUCUGGAAGCCUAAACGAGAUGACGGUAAUGACUCUGGAAGCCUAAACAAGAUGACAGUAACGGCUCUAGAAGCCUAAGCAAGAUGAUAAUAACGACUUUGGAAGCCUAAACAAGAUGACGGUAAUGACUCUGGACGUCGAAACUAAAAAGUGAUGAUGAUGACUCUGAACGUCAAACUGAGAAGUGAUAAUGAUUCUGAACGCCGAAACCGAGGAUGUGACUCUGAAUGUUGAUCUGAAAAUCGAUGAUAGCUCUGAACGCCGAAACUGAGAAGUGAUGAUGAUGACUCUGAACGUCAAACUGAGAAGUGAUAAUGAUUCUGAACGCCGAAACCGAGAACGCGACUCUGAACGUCGAUCUGAAAACCAAUGACGGCUCUGAACGCCGAAACUGAGAGAAGUAGUGAUGAUGGCUCUGAACACCGAAGCUGAGAAGUGAUAACGACUCUGAACGCCGAAACCGAGAACGCGACUCUGAACGUCGAUCUGAAAACCGAUGACGGCUCUGAACGCCGAAACUGAGAGAAGUAGUGAUGAUGGCUCUGAACACCGAAGCUGAGAAGUGAUGAUGAUGACUCUGAACGUCAAACUGAGAAGUGAUAACGACUCUGAACGCCGAAAUCGAGGAUGUGACUCUGAAUGUCGAUCUGAAAACCAAUGAUAGCUCUGAACGCCGAAACUGAGAAGUGAUGAUGAUGACUCUGAACGUCAAACUGAGAAGUGAUAACGACUCUAAACGCCGAAACCGAGGAUGUGACUCUGAAUGUCGAUCUGAAAACUGAUGAUAGCUCUGAACGCCGAAACUGAGAAAUGAUGAUGAUGACUCUGAACGUCAAACUGAGAAGUGAUAACGACUCUGAACGCCGAAACCGAGGAUAUGACUCUGAAUGUCGAUCUGAAAAUCGAUGAUGGCUCUGAACGCCGAAAACGAGGAUGUGACUCUGAAUGUCGAUCUAAAACCCGAUGAUGGCUCUGAACGCUGAAACUAAGAAGCGGUGAUGGCUCUGAACGCCGAAACUAAAAGGUGAUGGUGUCUCUGAACGACGACAAAUGGAAAAGUGGCUCUGAACGCCGAACUGAAAAAUGUGACAUGAUGACUCUAAAUGUCGUAAACCGUGAAUGAACGGCAGCUCUGAACGCUAGACUGCAAGGAAACAAUGAGGGGGAAAUAUGCCCCAGUGUGGCAUGCCGCUGCAAACCUCAAACUACUAGAAAUGGCUAAAAGGGACUCUACGAGUCUCGAACGACGCACCACUGAGAGCUCAUGUCAACGAAGAGCUUAGGAACAAUGGUCAGUGAGGCGAAUACAAUAUAUCUCGGCUGAGUGAUGGAAACUGCGAUGGACAUGUGAGAGAACGAUCGGCUCCAUGGCUAAAUGAGGGAAAUAUGCCCCAGUAUGGCAUCAGAUGUAUCCGAUCUAUCCUGAUAACCCGAGAAUAGCACCGAUGGGACGCGUAACAGAUCUGAUAUGUACCCCACUGAAAUGAUGACGCGGGAAAUCCAGGCACCUAAGAUAACCCCAUCCAGGAAUCACGACUAUAUCAAAGAGUAUGAAUCUGGCUGAACGAAGUCAAGAGAGGCUCCUCGGAGUAUCCGGACAAAAUGAAAUCAAUCAUCAACCUGGCGUGUAUCUCAUGGCCGUGGAUGAUCAUGUAAACCAGUGGGGAUCUAUAAAUCUCGAUCAAGAUGGGGAAUAUGCCCCAGUGUGGCAUCGAAAAUGUAACAUGUCAAAAAAAAUCAGAUGAACUCAAAUCAUCUAUGCCUGCAACUGGCUAGAUGGCUCUCGAUAGACUCCACUAAGGAAUCAUCGUGAGGAUUGCGAAUAUAUCAUCAUCCCUGCAUACAUCUCGCAAAUAAGGAUAAGCACGCAACUCCCUCAUGAUCUGUAAAUCUCAUCCGAACGGAAAUAUGCCCCUGUAUGGCAUCGAAAUGCAGGAUAGGUCGGAGAUCAGAUAGCAUGGAAUCAUCUAUCCUAUAACAUGUGACCUCUGCGAAGAUCCAUAAAAAUCCUCCGAAACGGAAUAUGCCCCAGUAUGGCAUCUGACGUGCGACAAAUCAGGAAAAAACAGGUGACAUCGAAUCAUCCCUCAUCAAACACGUGAUCCUGGUAAUCCAAACACGGUCGAAACGGAUCUAAACAUCUGAGAAGUGUCUCCCAGAAGAAGAUGCAUGGCAAAUAUCUGGAUGUCGACUGAAUCUCAAACACCUGUCCACAUAGAAGCCGUAGAAGACGAUAUCUGAUCCCAUGGCCUCAGGGUGGUCUUAAGACACGGGACGUAAUGUAGGCUAGGGUGAUAGGGUGAUAGAAACGAAGGGAAACUAAGCUCAAAUACCCAAUGAUCAAAACCCAUGCCCUCGUGUGUGAAAUGCAACAUGUACAGAAAAUCCUGUGAGCCCUGGACCUGAGGGUGUCUAAUGUGAAUAUGAUGUCAAUGAGGAAACAAGUGAAGCAAAUCAAACUGAUAAUGAGAUAUGUAAUGGUGAUACGAAGGGAAUAUCAAACCCGAGAUGGGUCGUGGUAAGAAAAGAAUAAGAAGUGAAGUGAGAAUGACGAAUCAGAAGCGAAAACGAGGACGAUGAUAAUGAAGCGAAUAACAUCAAAAGGAGUGAUGAUCAACUCUGAUCAGACAUGGAAUGAUGUCACAUCAACUACGAACAUAAUGAUGGAACGGACAAUAACCCAGAGCUCCCAAAAGAAAGUCACUCAUCUCGCUCACAAAAUAUGCAACAAAAUGAAUACAAAGCCUGAGGGAUCCCGGGAAGCUCACAUACGAACUCCCGUCAACAAACAUACUCGAUCAAGUGGCCCUCGAAUAUCAAUACAUACACUCAGUGAUGGAUAACAAUACAUACCUGGUUUUUAUUUCUUUUUCCAUUUUUUUUUUUCUUUUUUUUUUUUUUUUUUUUUUUUUUUUACCCCCAAAGAUGACAUCAAAAAAGGAUAACAUACUCUCAAAUGUCAAUGUAACAUGAACUCUCUCUGAUGAUGUGACUUUCUCAAACUAAGGAUCCCUGGACCAACGUCCGUAUGAUAGAUAGUGGAAAUGACAUGACUACCCUCCAUGUAGUGAACUGAGGAAGAUCACCCCUCGGGGUGAAAGAAGAUGACGUGAAACGAACAGUAGAUAAGAUAAAGAAAAUAUGAUGAAUAACACGAACAGUGAGAUGAGAUGAAAUGCAAUGAUGUAGUGGCGAGCACAGAUAAUGAGAAGAACGUGCCCCUAGGUCCAAGGCUCAAUGAAACUCUCAAACAAUGCAUGCAUACACUAAAGGGCCCCAAUCCCGGUGUGAAAAUGUGAGCAAGGCUAUAAGAAAUGAAGGUUAUGAUGCGCGUGCGAGGCUCAAAUGGGCUAGCAAUGGACUAUAUAUAUCAGAAACGGGAUAAAGGGAUAUAGCUAACCGAAAUGAUAGCCACCCAUCCUGCGACCAUGGUCUCAAACAUAGUACCUCUUUAGCUGAUCCACAUUAGUCGGCUCUGAGAACUGGUUUCCAUCCAAAUCCAUCAACCAUGCGGCGCCCUCUGGGGACAACUCUCUGAUGAAGUAAGGCCCGCUCCAACUGGGUCUGAACUUCCCUCUAGGAUCUCUGAUCAAUCCUCUGAUGACUCUCAAAACUAAGUCACCUACAUGCAGUGGUCUGGGCUUGACCCGCUUUUUGAAAGCGCGGGCCAUCUUCCUCUGAUAUGCACGAACAUGGUCUGCUGCUCUCAAUCUCCUCUCAUCUAGGAGAUUGAGCUGAUCAAAUCGAGCCUGAGCCCAAUCCGUCUCGGGAAUCUGCUGCUCCAAGGCUACCCUCAAUGAACCCAUCUCGAUCUCAACUGGUAGCACUGCCUCCAUACCGUACACCAAUGAGUAGGGUGUGGCUCCUGUAGAGGUGCGAAAAGAAGUCCUGUAAGCCCAUAGUGCGAAAGGAAGCUUCUCGGACCAAUCCCGAGAAGUCUCAACCAUCUUCCGCAAUAUCCUCUUAAUAUUCUUAUUCGCGGCCUCUACUGCCCCAUUCGUCUGCGGCCUGUACGCAGACGAUCUAUGAUGCCGGAUGCUGUAUCUCUGUACUAAGGUGUCAACCUCUGCUCUGAAAUGCACCCCUCUGUCUGAAAUAAGCUCGUGAGGGACUCCAUAGCGACAAAUGAUGUGCGAUCUAAUGAAACUGGCAACUCCAGAUGAUGUCAAUCUCGCAUACGAGGCGGCCUCCACCCACUUGGUAAAGUAAUCAAUAGCUACCAGGAUGAACUCAUGACCACUGGAAGAUUUCGGCGAAAUCUUCCCGAUGAUAUCGAUACCCCAUACUGAAAACAGCCAUGGUGAAGUCAAUGCAUGCAACUCUGAGGGCGGCACGUGAAUGAGAUCUCCGUGUAUCUGACACUCAGGACAUCUCUGGACGAACUGACAACAAUCCGUCUCCAUAGUCAACCAGAAAUAGCCGGUCCUCAUGAUCUUACGGGCCAACAUAUGCCCUCCCAUAUGUGGUCCACAAACUCCCGCAUGAACCUCUCUCAUCACUCGAUCGGCAGAGGCACGGUCUAAACACAACAAUAGCAUCCCGUCAGCUGAUCGUCUAUACAGCGUCUCGCCGCAAAUGACGAAUCGGGCAGCCAACUGUCUCAAUGCUCUCUUAUCCUUGGCCGUGGCGACCUCAGGAUAUACGCCGAGUCUCAAAAAGUGAUAUAUGUCGUGAUACCAUGGCAAACCAUCAUUUGGCUCUACAUCAUCAAUCAAACAACAAUACGCAGGAGCAGAUCUCGACUCGAUCAACAAUGGUCGAACAGUGGCAUCGGCGGGAAUGUCGAUCAUGGAAGCUAGAGUAGCUAAAGCAUCAGCAAACUGGUUCUGCGCUCUAGGCAGAUGUGUAUAUCUCAUAUCCUCAAAUCUCGCGACCAGUAGCUCCAAAUACGCGUGGUAAGGCCUAAGCUUCACAUCUCUAGUCUUCCACUCGCCCUGUAUCUGUCUCAAUACCAGAUUGGAGUCACCAAACACCUCCAUCUGUCUAAUCCCAAGCUCGAGGGCUGUCUCUAACCCCAAGAUACAUGCCUCAUACUCAACAAUGUUGUUCGUGGCCAGAUGUUGAUUCGAGAAUGCCAAACGAACAGAUCUGGGAAUGUGAUCACCAUGAGGGGAUAUCAACAAAACGCCUAUCCCGUAUCCAGAAUGGUUGGCUGCACCAUCAAAGUACAUGCGCCAACCCGACAGACUAGUCACAGCUGCGACAUCCUCGUCUGGAAAAUCAUCGUCAAUAGCUCUGGCAUCAGAAACUGGUAAUGAGGCUAAGUGAUCUGCGACAAUGCUCCCUCUGAUGGACUUCUGAGUGACAUAAUGAAUGUCAAACUCAGUCAGAAGUACCAGCCAUCUCAUAAGGCGACCAACUAGGUAUAUCAAGACGAGGAAUCAAAGGUCCGAUCCUACAAAGCACGAAGAACGGAAUAAGGAUAUGGCUCGGGGAAUGUAUAGAAGAAAAGAUAAUCUGAACGGGAACAAGCAAAGCAUCCAAGUGAAGAUGAGCGGUCCGACCGUACUCAAAUUCGUCCUGAUCUCAGUGCACUCUCAUCUGGAGACUAAACAGAGGGAAAAUCGGAUCCAAAACUACGGCUACAGAGGCACGGAAAGCCCUCAGAUGCACCCACGUGUAGGGAGGGAAUCCUAAUCGAAGGAUCUAUGGCUCAACCUACAAGGUCAAGGUGGCUCUAAAUGGAUAAGGGUGGACUUUAAAAUAUCCCUAGCAGAAGCGAUCAUACCCUCCGGCGAUACGCAACCCUCUGCACGCCUCCGAAGAGACGGGGCGCUUCCAUGCAAGGUGGUCAUCACCUCCACACAUGCACUACCUCGCAUUCCAGGGGGUUUCCUAUGGUGAAACCUCUCAAACUCUCAACACUCAAUAGUCUACUAGCGUGCACAGUGAUGGUGUGGGUGCAUCCGAAACCCUAAGAAGCUAAAGCAGGAUAUGAAACACACUGGCCACAUAAAUAUCCAUGAAACCUAGCUCCGGGCUAUACAGGUCUUCAAUGAUCGGACUCCAAUCGACAUCAAAGUGUCGCUCUCCUCCAGAANNNNNNNNNNNNNNNNNNNNNNNNNNNNNNNNNNNNNNNNNNNNNNNNNNNNNNNNNNNNNNNNNNNNNNNNNNNNNNNNNNNNNNNNNNNNNNNNNNNNAGGCAUGUCAAGAAUGGCUCUAAUCUUGUCCGGAUCCACCUCUAUGCCUCGCUCACUGACUAUGUAUCCCAAGAGUUUCCCAGAAGUCACUCCAAAAGUGCACUUCUUGGGAUUCAGUCUCAAUCUGAACUGUCUGAUCCUCUCAAAGAACCUCUCAAGAGCUGCCAAGUGAUCUGAUCUAUCUCGGGAUUUCACUAUCAUGUCGUCUACAUAAACCUCGACAUCCCGAUGCAUCAUGUCAUGGAAGAGUGUGGUCGCUGCCCUCUGAUAGGUGGCUCCUGCGUUCUUCAAUCCGAAUGGCAUGACUCUAUAGCAAUAAGUACCCCACUCGGUAAUGAAGGACGUCUUCUCCAUGUCCUCUGGAGCCAUCAAGAUCUGACUGUACCCGAAAAAUCCGUCCAUAAAGGACAACAUCGAGUGACCUGCUGUACUGUCAACUAGCAUGUCGAUGUGUGGGAGAGGGAAAUCAUCCUUAGGACUGGCCUUGUUGAGAUCUCGGAAAUCAACACAGACUCUCACCUUGCCAUCCUUUUUAGGAACAGGGACGACAUUGGCCAGCCACUCCGGGUACUCGACCACUGAUAGAAACCCCACACUGAGUUGCUUCUGAAUCUCCUCUUUCACCUGCAAGCUCCAACGAGGGUGCAAUCGUCUCAACUUCUGCUUAACCGGUCUGGCAUGGGGCAGAAGUGGCAAACGAUGCUGGACGAUGGAUGGAUCAAGGCCCGGCAUGUCCUCAUAGGACCAUGCGAAAACGUCCAAGUAGGAUCUGAGCAACUGGAUGAGACUAUCUCUCUCAUCUGAGGAUAAAUCUGACCCGAUCCUCAACUCCCUAGGCUGAUCUGCGGUGCCGAAAUCAACAAUCUCUAUGUCUCCUAUAGCAGGUGAAACCCUCUGAUCAACGGGAUCCGAAUCGGAAACAGAAGAUGAGUCAUCAUCUGAGUCGUGCUGUGCAAUCUCAUCAUCAAUAUCAAAAAUCUGUGGUGUGGGUGAAGAUGGUGCAGAUAAAUCAAUAUCCCAAGAGACAGGCAGAUACUCAAAAAUGCUCAAAUCCAUAGAUGAAACAUCGGAAACAAUGUCAGAACAGGAGACGAACCCCGACAGAAUGUCAAAUGAAAGAGGUGGGUCCACAAAGUCGGACGCUCCCUCAACAAUGCCAACAUGGCUAUCAAUCAAAUCAUCAAAAACUAUAGCAUCCUCAACAAUCUCCAGAGUAGGGGUUGUCUGGAUCUCCUCAACGAUCUCGAUGAAAGACACCCCGAAAAGAUCGAAUGGUGAAGUGAGCCCAGGAUGAACUCUCUCCUCGAUCGGGCUCAAGCUCAGGGCGAGCAUCUCGUCGAUGUACUCGUCGUGUGGGACGGCUCCGUCCACUAUGUCUUCGACCCCAGCAAAGGUCCCAUGCUCAUCGGUCUCGUCCGGGAAGCAAAGCGUCAUAAGGCUCGUGCGAUCUGGAGACGAAGGAGCAAUCAACACAGAAGUCGAAGAGCCAGGAGCUCCGUCUCUCAAUCGUAACUGCUGGACAAGGCGCUGAAGCUCGACCUCCUGAGUGGUGCUAAGUCCUCCAAUGAUCAUGUCCGAACGGGUCAAUGGCUCUGAUGCCCUCACAAAAUAAUCAGAUAAGCUCCUGGUGUAUGGACGAAGAGGAUAGUAGAAAGGUGUGUGGGUCAGUCGAGCUCUCACUCUCUCCUUGCGCAAACGCGCCAUGUAGAGAUAAUCGGCCUCAGUGGGGAUGAACCCAAGUCCGAACGGUACGUCGUGAUCAGGGAUGGCUAUGAACUCGCUCGGUCCAUGCUGACGUCGACCCAACCCCAUGCCGGGUAGAUAGGACAUACUCCGCAUGAUAUCGAGCACCACUGUGCUCCCAUGCCGGUCAAAGGACAUGGCCACAAAAUCCCGGCAGAAAUCCUCUAUCUCCACAGUCUGCACCUCAUCGAAGGUGAAUCCAGUCAGAAAAAGAUCGUCAUCAGUGUGACUAAUCUCGAGCACAAGCUCGGCAGCAAUGAACAUGUCUCCCACAGACUGCACCACGACGACCUGACCAUCGUGAAUAAACUUCACCUUCUGAUGAAGGGAAGAAGGAAUGGCCCCGACUCUGUGGAUCCAUGGUCGGCCCAGAAGCAGGUUAAAGGAUGUAGGAAUCCUCAAAACCUGGAAUACAGCGACAAAAGUGGCCGGACCGAUCAGCAACUCGAUCUCCAAUGUACCCAUGACCUCCCUCCGAGUACUGUCAUAUGCGCGAACGGUCUGAGUAGUGGGACCAAAAUCAGAAGGAGCGUAUCCAAGGGCGAUGGCAGUGGCAAGAGGACAUACGUUCAGGGCCGAGCCAUUGUCCAAGAGGACAGAUGGGACUCGGCGGCCUGAACAGCCAACAGAUAUGUAGAGUGGGCGAGUGUGGUCUGAGCCCUCCGGUGGCAAGUCAUCAUCGGAAAAGACGAUACAAGUGGCUCUGCCAACCGUCAUCAUAUGAAUGAGUCCCUCGGGAGUGGUCGUGGUAUCAACUCUGAUCUGGCUCAGAGCUCGAGUCAGUGCAUCCCGAUGAGUACUGGAGGACGCUAAAAGGCUCCAGAUAGAAAUACGAGCCUGAGUGCUCUGCAACUGCCUCAAAAUCUCAUCAUUCUCUGCUCUGACCUCCUCCUGGGAUGACGUAUCCCCUAAGGGUCUAGCGGCAGCGGCUGGAGGUGGCUGUCUCACUACUCUCCCUCCCCGGAGGAUAUACUGAACGUCCGGAGUCUGAGGAUCAUCACUGUGUGGAGCCUGAACCUCCUCAACAUCUGGGAUCAGAAUGUACGGCGCCUGAACGCUAUAGCGCGUGAAUGUCAGAGGCUCGGAAGUGGCUGCCUGUACAGAUGCUGCCUCAGGAACUAAUCGGAAUGGAGCAGGAAUCUGUGGCUCUAGGGUCACCCCACUCGUCUCAUAAAUCCCAGCUGGCAUGAUAGGCUCCGGGUCUGAAUCAUCCCAACUCAACAUAUGGACAUGAUCAUCAGUCUCAUCGAAGUCCAAGAAAUGAAUACCACCGGCUGGUGGAGGAACUGCAUGUGUGGUGUGGGUCGGCAACGGGUUUGUGGUCACACUCGGCUGACCCAAGUGUACCAAACCCUGGUCUAUCAGAUCCUGAAUAGCAUGCCUCAGAGCGGUGCAUCGAUCGGUCUCAUGUCCAGGCCCCUGAUGAUAAGCACAGUGUAAGUCCAUCCUAAACUGAGCUGGAAUCGGCUGAGGUAGUGGUCGAGGAGUGAGAGCAGUCAAUAAACCAGCCUCCGUAAGCUUCCGAAGAGCCUGGCUCAACGGCAUGCCUAUCUGCGAGAACUGCCUCUGCGUCCUCAAAGCGAACGGAGCAGAAGUCUGCUGGGCUCCAGGUCGGGGAUAAGGCGCCGCAGGUCUCGCGGUGAACUGAGCAGCGUAGCAUGGCUGCCCUGUGGCUGUGUAGGAGACCGCGGGUCUCUCAAUGCCCUGAGUGGCAUAAGAAGGUAAAACCAAUGUCUGUGGCAUGUGCGUCUGAUCGUAAGCCGGCCGAGGUGCCCGUGGCCUGUACUGAUGAGAUGCGUAGGAAGAAUGAGGCUCGGAAAACUGUGGGAUCGGCUGAUGGCGUCUGAGAGGCCUCUGACUGGAUGAACUGAUAGCACCAACCUCUGUCGGUCUCGGUCCUACGAAUGGUUUCUUCCCCUUAACAUCACUAGGGGAAGAAUCUGCCCAUAAACCUCUCGUGAUGCCGUCCUCGACAUCAUACAAAGCCAUAACCAGAGACCCAAAAUCUGUGAACGGGACCCCGACCACAUGUCUGGCGAUCCCCGGCUGUAGGCUCCUCAAAACCAUCUGAAUCUGGUCUCUCUCUGAUGGUCUAUCCACUAUCUCAGCUAUCUUCCCGCGCCAGCGGGAAAUGAAAGAAGAAACGGACUCCUCUGUCCUCUGCCUCAGAGCCUCGAGCUCUCUCCUCGAUACGUCUACAACAGUGUUAAACGAAAACUGUCGUAGGAACUCCUGGGCCAAGUCAUCCCAUGUACGGCGUCUCGAGGACUCUAGAGACGCAAACCAGCGCUGAGCCGCCCCACUCAAAGAUAGGGGGAAAAGAGUGAUCAUCUGAGGCUCGUCCAGUCCAUGAGCCCUCAUCACGGUGCUAUAAAGUCUGAGGUGGAGGCGCGGACAACCAAUACCAGUGUACCUCUCAAUAUCUGGCAUCCUGAACUUAGCCGGCAAGCUGGCUACCGGCAUAGCCCCAAAAUCAUCCCAAACAACGGAUCCAUCUGACACUCUCAUCUGUCUCAUACACUGCUCGAUGCGGUUCAUGCGCGCAUGCGUGUCAUCAGCGACAACGGCCUGGGCGACUGCAAGUGGAGCGAUCCCAGAAUGCCCGUGUAAUACAUAUGGUGAUGUCUGAUGCACUGAAGGAACUGGUGGGGGUGGUGGAGGUGGCACCGGGUCAUAGGAUACCUCGUCCUGAGCGAUAUGUGGCCUGCUCUGCUGGUCAUUGAUCUCCUGCCUAAGGCCAGCCAGAGCCUCCUGGAUAGAAGCCAUGGCAGUCGUGAACUGAUCGACCGUGACAACCUGCUGAUCCAUAUCUGGUGUAUCUGAAACCCGAACUAAUCUGCCCUCUACUCUGAUCCACGAAACUAUACCCAGACUGAGAGUAAAAAUCCUGAUCCUGAAAGUACUCCUCCUCUGCUCUGAUCCACAAAAGGUAUAUCAAGACGAGGAAUCAAAGGUCCGAUCCUACAAAGCACGAAGAACGGAAUAAGGAUAUGGCUCGGGGAAUGUAUAGAAGAAAAGAUAAUCUGAACGGGAACAAGCAAAGCAUCCAAGUGAAGAUGAGCGGUCCGACCGUACUCAAAUUCGUCCUGAUCUCAGUGCACUCUCAUCUAGAGACUAAACAGAGGGAAAAUCGGAUCCAAAACUACGGCUACAGAGGCACGGAAAGCCCUCAGAUGCACCCACGUGUAGGGAGGGAAUCCUAAUCGAAGGAUCUAUGGCUCAACCUACAAGGUCAAGGUGGCUCUAAAUGGAUAAGGGUGGACUUUAAAAUAUCCCUAGCAGAAGCGAUCAUACCCUCCGGCGAUACGCAACCCUCUGCACGCCUCCGAAGAGACGGGGCGCUUCCAUGCAAGGUGGUCAUCACCUCCACACAUGCACUACCUCGCAUUCCAGGGGGUUUCCUAUGGUGAAACCUCUCAAACUCUCAACACUCAAUAGUCUACUAGCGUGCACAGUGAUGGUGUGGGUGCAUCCGAAACCCUAAGAAGCUAAAGCAGGAUAUGAAACACACUGGCCACAUAAAUAUCCAUGAAACCUAGCUCCGGGCUAUACAGGUCUUCAAUGAUCGGACUCCAAUCGACAUCAAAGUGUCGCUCUCCUCCAGAAUGCUCCCGUACAUCGAUAUAGCCCGUUGCUAGACCCUACUCCUAAUCUCUGGCUCGGUCAGAGAGCAAACACACAGAAGGUCUCACACUUGCAAUAGUGAGAACCGGGAUGAAAGGAAUGACCGAAACCAAGAGAGUUGGAGGUAAGGGGAUAUAUGUGCGGCCCACAUAGACAGGCAACAUGCAAUCAUGCAGAAGGAAGGCAGUCACGUGUCAUACAGUCAAGCAAAGUACAGGAUAUAUCACUCAUGUCCACACAAAAAGCUACAACUAUCAGGAUGAAUAGCUAUAUGAACAUCAUGCUCAAAAGACGAUCAAGAUAAUAUGCAAGUCAGAGAAAACAACACAGCAAGUCAAAUGAUAUACACCAGUGAAUCCAUGCAUGUGAGGUGAGCAGAAUAAUCAGGAAGAAACAGAAUCGCUAUACCAAGCAAAACAAGGUGAGCAACCUAUGAUAAUCGGCAUGUCAAUGUACCAAACUAAUAUAGCAAUGAAGUACAGAAAAAACGACAUCCGAAGCCCCAAAUCAAGAUGAUCAAUCAUAUCAAUGUCACAACACAAUAUCCAAGCAUACAUCAAAAACUCCCAAUGUGCAAUCAAGAGACAAGUACUCGCUGAUCGACUCAUCAAAUGCCAUGUUUGCUUCAUCUUAAGUUCAAGUUUGACCCUCUAUAGUUCCCCAGCGGAGUCGCCAUUUUGUGGACCCCGCAUUUCGAUGGCUCGAAUGCGUUCCCCACUCGAUGGCGAGCUCGAUUUUUAUUUUGAAAAAUUGAUUUUUAUUGAUUAUUUGAAAAUGACUUGGAGUCGCCACUUAUUUUUGUUUUAUUUUUAAAGGGUAAACAAAAUAAGAAAGAAAAACCCUAAGUGUGACUCCUUAUUUUGGAAAAGGUGAUCUACGAAAAACCGGAUCGGGUUCGGGGGUCAGGUUACUUAUCGGGAAGGUACGGUAAAGACCGUAGCACCCCUCUAAGUCCCUAAAGUCGGGUCUCUACUACUAAAAUGAAGCUGACAUGGCAAUCAAUGAGAAAAUCAAUGAAUACUCAAAUCAAUCAUGCACAUAUAAGUAUCAAAACAUGCGUAUAGCAAGACCAGAAUAAGGACAGAUGCGUACCUGGGCAACGAUCUUCAAUGCGCUAUCAAGAAGUGAGAUUAGUGCACAAUUAAAGGAUGGUCACAUGCAUAUCAUAGAGCAGAAUAAAUCAUGUAUGGCACCCAAAUCAACCAAACAAUCCAUCAAUCAUAAAAUCUCAUAUGUUGGGCCCCCACCAAAGCCCGAUUGAUUUUUGCAUGAAUUAAUUCCAUAAAUUCCCUUGCUUGGAAUUACGGAAUUUUAUUCUAGCUUAUUUUAAAACAUUUUGAAAAUCUGAGGAGUUGUGAAAAUUGCUUGUCAGGGAGAAAAGUGACAGCAAAUUUUUAUUAUNNNNNNNNNNNNNNNNNNNNNNNNNNNNNNNNNNNNNNNNNNNNNNNNNNNNNNNNNNNNNNNNNNNNNNNNNNNNNNNNNNNNNNNNNNNNNNNNNNNNNNNNNNNNNNNNNNNNNNNNNNNNNNNNNNNNNNNNNNNNNNNNNNNNNNNNNNNNNNNNNNNNNNNNNNNNNNNNNNNNNNNNNNNNNNNNNNNNNNNNNNNNNNNNNNNNNNNNNNNNNNNNNNNNNNNNNNNNNNNNNNNNNNNNNNNNNNNNNNNNNNNNNNNNNNNNNNNNNNNNNNNNNNNNNNNNNNNNNNNNNNNNNNNNNNNNNNNNNNNNNNNNNNNNNNNNNNNNNNNNNNNNNNNNNNNNNNNNNNNNNNNNNNNNNNNNNNNNNNNNNNNNNNNNNNNNNNNNNNNNNNNNNNNNNNNNNNNNNNNNNNNNNNNNNNNNNNNNNNNNNNNNNNNNNNNNNNNNNNNNNNNNNNNNNNNNNNNNNNNNNNNNNNNNNNNNNNNNNNNNNNNNNNNNNNNNNNNNNNNNNNNNNNNNNNNNNNNNNNNNNNNNNNNNNNNNNNNNNNNNNNNNNNNNNNNNNNNNNNNNNNNNNNNNNNNNNNNNNNNNNNNNNNNNNNNNNNNNNNNNNNNNNNNNNNNNNNNNNNNNNNNNNNNNNNNNNNNNNNNNNNNNNNNNNNNNNNNNNNNNNNNNNNNNNNNNNNNNNNNNNNNNNNNNNNNNNNNNNNNNNNNNNNNNNNNNNNNNNNNNNNNNNNNNNNNNNNNNNNNNNNNNNNNNNNNNNNNNNNNNNNNNNNNNNNNNNNNNNNNNNNNNNNNNNNNNNNNNNNNNNNNNNNNNNNNNNNNNNNNNNNNNNNNNNNNNNNNNNNNNNNNNNNNNNNNNNNNNNNNNNNNNNNNNNNNNNNNNNNNNNNNNNNNNNNNNNNNNNNNNNNNNNNNNNNNNNNNNNNNNNNNNNNNNNNNNNNNNNNNNNNNNNNNNNNNNNNNNNNNNNNNNNNNNNNNNNNNNNNNNNNNNNNNNNNNNNNNNNNNNNNNNNNNNNNNNNNNNNNNNNNNNNNNNNNNNNNNNNNNNNNNNNNNNNNNNNNNNNNNNNNNNNNNNNNNNNNNNNNNNNNNNNNNNNNNNNNNNNNNNNNNNNNNNNNNNNNNNNNNNNNNNNNNNNNNNNNNNNNNNNNNNNNNNNNAGAAAGGUGAAUAAAUAUGGUGGGGGAGUAGACUGUUGACAAUGGGUAUGUAUGAGUCAUAUGCCUGGGGGUAUGGUGAGAGAUGAACUGCAAGUGAUGGGCAUGAUGUGGUGUGGGGUGGAUUAGUGGGAUGACAGUAUACAAAGAGAGCGUGGUGUAGAGAGAGAAUGCAAGAUGAUGAGUGCAUGUGUAGAUAUGGGUGUGGGCAUGGUGGUAUGAAGCGUGUGGUGGAUGAUGGACUGAAGGUGAUGGGCAUGACAAUGGGCAUGAACAGGGAUGGAGUCAUGUGGGCACGAGACGAGCAUGAGCGCGGAAUGAGUGUGAUGCAACCAUGCAUGGUAUGAAAAGGGUUUGGUGUAGUGAGAGAAAGUAGAUUAUUGGUGAUGGGUAUGAAUAAUGGCCGGGUUUGCAUGGUCCAUGCACUUGGAUGGGUGAGUUUGGGGAUGCUAGCAGAAGCCUUGGAAGGAAUACGGGCAGCCAUGCACGCGUGGGGUUUCAUGGAUAUCGAGUCAGGGUAUUUUGUUGGAGGAAGAGAGCAUGGGUCUGCACAAUAUGGGGAUUGGGAUCUCCUACGGACUCCCUAGCUAAUGGAGUUGUGAAAGGGAGACCAUCUGCUUUUCCGAUACCAGAUUAUGGGAAGUUCAGUGAUGGCUUCUCAAAAAAUAUUGGUCCACCUUGAUGUUAACAAACCACCCUUGGGCAAUUUAGCAAUCCCUUCAUUCUCAGAAGACUCCGUCUCCAACAGACCAUAAUGAUACUGAACUAAUCCAUGUGAAACGGACAAGAAAGGCUCUGCUCGUGAAUGUUCCCUGGCAUAACCUCCUCUAGAAUGUCAUCAGACGAAACAAAACUAGAGAACCAGGUAUCUGGAACAAGUAAGUCUUCUCUCUGGGCCAAACCCUCAACAAGCCUGUUGCAUUUCUCUGAUUUCUCCCACUGUUCUGCCAAAGUCUUUAUUUAUAAUAUAAUGGUUUAGAAAUAUCCUCCAUUAAUCACUCUACCUUUGACCAACCCUGGUUAAGGAUCCAUACAUCAAAUCUGAUUACCACUUCUGGCCCACAACCGCUCGAGUUGAUAAUGAUUUUCCUCCAUAUCUACUCCUGUUCAUCUUCAUAAAAUUCCUUGGAAUCAUCAGUAUACUCACUGCAAUCUGUGGUAAAGACCACCACAUCCUCAUCGACAUCUUACUUUUUUCCUCUACGAAUGGCGCCUCACACUACUCACUAUUCUUUGGAUCUGAACCACUUUUUUUUUUUUUUUGUUUUUUCAAAUAUUGGAUGUCAAGCCUCAACAGCAUAUAGUAGUCAAUUUGUACCAUCCCCAAUGUAUGGUAUGCAUGAUGCCCCGUGCUCAAAUUGCUCAAAAAGAACAGAGGAAUAUAGCCAAGAAAACAGGGCAUAGGAGAAAGGAACAAAAAAUAAAUCAAGGGCAACUGCAUUUCAGGACAUAUCAAUGUGUUCCCACUGGUGGAUGAAAGAUAUGAACAAAUUCAAAACAAAAAAUACGCCACAUAUGUUCAGGUGCCUAGCAACAAAAUAUGAUGCAAGUCCUCACCCAUUUUCUUAAACCAGGUUAAUGAAACAGCGAAAGGAUUAACAUCACAGAUGGAAACAUGACAAAUACAAACAACAUAUACACCCAGUGAAAUGAUAUUCAGAAUAAUGAAAUCAUACGGCUAAAUAUAAGCAUACCUGAAUGUGAUAGAUGUCCUACCCAGCUUUUCUUACUUUCUCUCUGUUUUCCUUGCCUUUCUAGCUCCGACAAUCGAAUCACCUUCUCUCUUACUCUUCUUUUCUCCCGCUUGAAAAACCUCCCUCUGGAAAUAUAUCUCUCCCCCAGCCAGACGACACCCACCUGCCUUGCAGUUGCAAGCCUCCAUUACCUUCAGAUUUUUCUGCCACCUUCCUCUUCUAGGCCCAUUUCCCCACUACUCUGCACCACUACCUUGCUAAUAACAGAAGACGCUCCUCAAUACAACGGCCUGCAGAUCCUCAUGCCACCUGUCAACCUUCCAUUGGCACUUCAAAAACAACAUACGAUUCUGCAUUGCCCUCUCAAAAGGAGACACGUGAUUGAGCAAGGCUCUUCCACGUGGCCAAAACGGGUAGCUGCAUGAAAGGCCCCAAAUGGGGGUCUACAGCAGGAUAUACUUUUUCGUCAAUGUGUGCCUGAAUGACCUAAAACUAGUCCCAAUUAAUGAUAUGACAUUGUAUUUGCUAUUCUCAUCAACCAAGAAUACACCCGAAAAUAUAAGAUCUUGAUUAUUUAAUAAGCAUGUAAGGUAUACACAAAAUAUAGGAAAAUAAUUUAAGUACAUUACUAUAUACCUUAUAAGAAGAUCUUGAUUAUUUAAUAAUCAUGUAAGGUCUACACAAAAUAUAGGAAAAUAAUUUCAAUAGAUUACUAUAUACCUUAAUGCAAUCCCAUAAUUUCUCCUUCAAUUCCACAGGCAUUACUCUCCAAUCAAUAUGAUAUACUGGCACCAUGGUUUGUGUUAGCACCCCCAAGUAUGAUACAAGUUGUACAUAUCCCUCACCCACUCCCUCACCAUCAUCAUUAUAUUGAAUGUCAAUUUUCACUCAUUCACUUCUCUUUUUAGCAAUUUCAGGUUUUACAGUUGGGCCUCUAAACAUUUUUGGUGAAGUAAUCUUCUGUUUUCCUUCCUUUCCAUCCAUCUACAUGACAAUCAAAAGAAUAUGAUCAAUCUCAUAAUACAUAUAUAUAUAUAUCUUACAUUCAAAAGUAAAGCAUGAUAUUUUAAUAGUUACCUACUCUUUAUCUCUUCUUGGUUGAGACAUCUGUAAAGAUGUUGCACUUUUUGGCCAAGUUCCAAAUAAUUAAGAAUUAUGCACUACUAAACAACACUUGAAAAUGUAUCUCAACUAAAUCUAAAGAAAUUAGUUACAAAAUGAUUUCAUAAGUAGGAAUAAAUCAUUGUUGUACAAAACUUGCAAUACAUGAAAAUUAAUCUUAAAUCUCAAUAUAUAUAAAUAUGAUACUAACUGAAUUUAUUUAAAAUAGCUUAGCAAGUAUAUAAUAGUAAAAAUAUAUUUGAGAAUAAUAAAAUAAAAACAUAACAUUGUUGAGCAUCACAUUGUAGAUUAACAAUAACUCAAAAAUCACAUAAUACACUUAGUAGUCACAAAGCAUAACCCCAAAAAACAAAAACAAAAAACAAGAAAAUUGUAGACCCUCAAUUUUGUCCCUUUAGCACAUGUCUUUAAGUUCACUUCCAAUGCUCCAUAGUAAUUCCUUGGUGGCCCAUUGCUACUCAUACUACUUACCUUUUUUUUAGCCACCUUGGAGACCUUGGUUGAGGGGUUUAUCCAACUCCACAUUAUGACCUUGGCAGCCCUAAUUUAGACUUAGCCACUUUCCUGAACGCCUUAGGCCCACUUAGGUACACUUGGCCCACUAGGCGUCACCUUAAGCCCACUUAAGCACUUUUAAACCCAUUUUUUAUAUGACUUGCAUGAUUGCAUGGCCUACAUGACUUGUGUGGCUUAUAUGGAUUUCUUUAUUAUUUAAUUUCAUUUUAUUUUAUUUUAUUAUAAGUUUUCUUGGCUUUUUGGGCAUGAGGAAAGGGUCUGUCAUCUAUUUUGAAGGAGAAUCAACAGAAUUUUGAAAAAGAGGAGAUUUUGUUUUUAUAGGGAUAGCACAUAUAUUAUUUUCAUGGGGAAAUCGGUUACAAAAGGGAAAAAACUAAGAAAGGAAAGUGGAUUUCCUUUUUGGAUCACAAAAGUUUUUUUGGAGGGAGAUUUUUUUAUUGUCUUUGUAGAGAGACACAAAAAGGAAAAAAGGAGGGGAUUUUCCUCUAACAUAUUUGGGGGGGUUCUUUGGGAAGGCUGAUCUACGCAAAAAAUGAGAGGAAAAAAAAGCCACAGAUUAAGGGGGAAGGGACUCACGGAUUUGGAGGAGGAUUUUCUCCAUGGAUGAAGGGGGAAGGGACUCCCGGAGGAUUUUCUCCAUGGAUGAAGAGGGAAGGGACUCACAGAUUUGAUGAGGAGGAUUUUCUCCAUGGAUGGAGGGGAUGGGUAGCAGAAGAUGAGAGGCUGCUUCGAUAGUGUGAAUUUUUCUGGAAAGGGCCAAGGACCAUAGGAGAGGAUCAGGGACAGAGGCACUAUUACUUUGAGAAGCCCAUGAGUUCUUGAAGUCUCCAACAUAUCCCUUGAGGUAAGCUCUUUAGUGUGAAAUCCAAUUUAUUUUAUUUUCUCUGUUUCUUUUCCUCUUUCUUCUAUUGUCAUUAAGAUUUGCUACUGUUGAUUUUAAGUGUUUCAUAAAUUUGCCUGACUUCUGAUCCCAUUGUUGCUUCUUUGUUUGUGUUCAAGAAUCGUUCAAUUCUUCUUUGUGAUAUUUCAAAACCCUUUUAUUCCACCUGCAUUUAAGCCCACCGAUUCAGACAUGAAGUGUGGCUUUUUGAUAGUUCUUAUUUUCUUCAUUUAUGUUCUUUCUUUCUUUAUUAUUUUUUUGGCUAUUUUCUCCUUGCUCUUGGUGUUUGCACAUUCUUGGGCAUGGGACUACACACUUGGACGUCAAACCAUGGGAUGAUGAAACUGACAUGAAAGAGCUUGAGGCAACAUUAAUCAAAUCAAGAUUCGUGGCAAGACUAUGGCUGCUAUAUUGAGUUAGAUGUUUUCCAUAUGGGUUUGGUUCUCUUUCAUGAAUUUGCGGUUGGUUUAAAGUCUCCAAUUUUCUAUAUGGGAGAAGCAAUAUUAAGUAUUUUGGAUAUCUAAGUUUGUCUCUACUUCUGCAUUGAUUAUAUGUUGUGAGCAUGGUGGGUUUGUGAGGAAGGAAAUGUGUAUCAUUGGGGAAUUUUAAUCUUCAUAGAAUUACCACCACAGAGGACUACAGUGGACUAGGACAUGGUUAUAAAGAAUCCAGGCUAGUUCCCCAGUCUGUAAUUGCAUUGAUCAAUGAUAUUUUUGUCCAGUGGUUCAGUCAUCAGUAGUCACAAUUGCUUGUCCAAUGGUUCAGUCAUCAGUAGUCACGGCCGCUAAAAGGGGGAGGUUAACAACCAAAAAAAAAGAAGUGGCAAUUCCUGAACUAGAGCCUCCGAGAUGGUUUGUUAUAGACCUGCACUAUGUGAACUGGGGAACUGUUGUCUUUCUUCUGUUUAGUGUGGAAGUUGUACUACUUAAGCAAAUGAGAAAAAAGGGGUUUGAUAAUGGGUGUAUGGAAUGCUCCUACAUCGGUAAGAAUAUUUCAGGGUCUUCUCUCGCUGCUGAUGUUCUGGACUAAGGCAAGGAAGAGUGUUUUCUCAUCUAUGAUACUAUUCCCAAUGGAAGCUUGCUGCAAUAUCUGGAUGUGAUUGAUAACAAUGGGAAGGUCCUUGAAUAGUCUACUAGAGUUUCUAUCAUCAACGACAUUGCCAAAGGUGCCAGGUAUUUACAUGAGAAGAAAGUGAUUUAUCAAACACAACAUGGGCCCUACAAAUACUAGAAUGAAGAUGCAUCCAGAAUGAAGACCUCCUAGAAUCCAUACAAUGUUCCAUUGAAACAGUCGAAGUCCACUCCUUCAUUGAUGUUGGUAACACAACACGCAAAGCCUGUACUCAAGCUUCUCUAGUCUCUCCUCAAAUCCUAAUGCCCAACCUCAGUGGCUUAAUACAUCUGAAACUGAUGCCAAACGGAUCCCUGAUGAAGGAAAUUAUGGAUACAUACAAAAGAUUUAAGAAUCAGCUUCAUCAGUACAAGCCCCAGAAGCAGUUUGCUGGAAAUGUACUUAAGCUCCAUGAGCAGACCCGUAAGUUGCAGUCGUGUCUUUGAUCGAGUUAGUAAGCUGCUCUCCCUCAAGGUUCGAACCAGAUAAAGGCAACUGGAGUUACUGCUGGUUACACUUUAACUUCUUCAUGGCCUAUACAGUUGGAAUUGCAGAUGAUAUGCAAGUGCUCAUAUUGAUGGUAUCGCUACAAAAUACUCCGAAAUUGUCGAAACAAAAGUUAUUCAAGCAAAGAUGGCAAACUGCAAUGAGAGUCUAUUGAAGAUCUCAGAGAUGAGAGGUUUGCUGAGUUCAAUAAAGAUGGCAAGUAACUUGAUGCCGAUGUUCACCUCAAGCACGUUCCGCGAUGGUCAUGCUGCUGCAUAUGUAGUGAUUUUGAUGGAAGACAGUAAGCCCAUUGGUGAGAAAUCGUUUUAUAACUUCCCAGAAUGCUUGGGAAGCAUCCCUGCUGUUUAAAUGAACUUCCCGAGAAGUGCUUGUGUAACUUGCUAAGCUGGCUACCUGAGUUGAACCACUGUGAUAUCAGUGGGGGAAAGAAACAACAAAGGCUCAACGAAGAGAUUGUACCCCGGGAGUUCAGAACUGGUGGUUAUGCGUGACGUUAUUCGGGAUUUAUAAUCGAAAAGGCUUCCUACAUGGCCAGAAUACAGAGGAUGAUUGGUUUGGGAUUGAAAAGAAGAUGAUCAUUAUUCAUCAGCUUCAUCCAAUUUUGGAGACUUUCAUGACAAGAUUGUGGGUUGAAGCUGGUCAUGUCUUUUCUUCAAAACAAAUCUUGUUGCCUGCCAAAAGAGGGCUCAUUUCUCAUGUCAUAAAAAAUGCUCAUGUCCUUGGAGAAAUUUGUGAGAUAAAAUGCGAUUAUAGUUUGCUAGCUAAAACUCAUUUCCAAGGUGCCAAUUAAAUCAACUGCCAAAAAGUUCACAGAGCACUACUCUUUGGGAUUUCAAUUCCUAGUGAUAUUGGAUAUAGGGAGUUUGUUUGUGAUAUUUUGUUCGAGAUAGAGUCUAAAAACGCAGGUUCUUCUGACAUGAAAGCCAUUGAAAACUGACGUGAGCCACCGAACAUUUCUGCUCAUGACAAGAAGAGUUGUAGGAAAAGUUGGCCAGGUUGUCUGAUGACCAUUGAUGUCCAAUCAGUUCAACAUUUUCGGCUACAGUAGCACCAGUUGUGAGUGGCUUUCUCAAGACAUCGUUCCUGAUUCCUGAAAGCAUUUCAGAUCAGUAUGAGACUUCAAGAUGGAAAUUAAAGAAUUUCCCAUGACUGCCAGAUUCGGUAGUUUGAUUUGAACAGAAUGGCGUCUCGUGAUUUUUGGAAUCAUGCAAACGAAUACACCCAACAUUGCAAAUGGAUCAAUUUCCUAUGACCUGGAAUCUCAACUAACUCUCUGGGUUAGAGAAUUCCAGUCGUAGCCAUGUCAUGAUACUACAAGACACCAGAAUUUAAAUUCAAGCAGCCAUACAAGGUUUCUUCCAAGCUGAUAGCACCACCUAGCACAGGUUUUGAUACCUUAACCUGUGGACAGAGUUUGCUUUUGGGAACAUUCCAUAUACUCGAAAUGGCAUCAAUGUCUUCUAAGUCACUACUUUUGGAUCAGUAUUUAGAGCUAGAUCUUAAUAUCGUCAUGCUAAAUUGUUGCUUUUGGUUUCAGAGACAUGAAUUGCUUGGAUAAUGCAUCCGGCUUGGCAAUUAUAAUUGUAAUGUCAGUCAUCACCUGCCUAAUGUCUCUAGUUACUGGAUUGUGUUGGCACCAGAACAUCUCCUCUAUAAUUGGCUUCAUAUUCUUCUCUGGCGUAAUUGAAGCUUUCUACUUCUUGGCUUUUCUCAUCAAGUUCCUGGAAGGAGCAUGGAUUUCUAAGCCACUCCUGAACAUGCAUAUAGGAAUGGAUGACGAGUCCAAUAAUCGUGACAUGGUGAAUUCUAGUUUAGAAAUCCCUAAUGCAGGUGAUGGUCAUGCUAAUGCCUUUCAUGCUAGCGUUGAUAUUGAUAUGAAUGGUGCCAGCGCUGAAGAUCAAACUGAGUAAAUUGGGUCUACUGCUGAAUAUGGUACGGAUGAACGACAAUCAAGGCAAAACACUAGUUUUCUUGCUACUGAGAUCCACUACUCAUCAAAAAAACCUAUCCCAAAUCAGUCCAACAAAAGGUGGGAUCUCUUUUUCCUUAAUUUUGCCUUUUUUUAAUAGGCAAAAUGAGCAUAAACAAUACUUUAUAAGGUGUCAAUGAAAAUAAACGUUCUUUGCCAUCUCAAAACCUUUUUAUAAGAUGAAAAUUAAUGUAUCCAUCUAACCUCUUAAGUUGUUCCUUCAUUGCAGGAUCUAAAUCAUCAUCAAUAUCUCCAUCUUCCAAACUAUGAUUAUGGUGGUUUUGAAAAGUGUGAACCUGAACAAUGUUCGAUUCCCCAAUUGCAUGAGCUAUGACUUUCCAAGGACAUUCAUUAACUGUGCAAACAACUGUCAUGUGUUUCCUACUAUUCCUCUUGAAGCAAUAACGGAAUCUACCAGUAAUUAACAUCAAAUAAACGGCAUCACGGAACUCGACAGCAUUGGGGAAGGUAUGUCCACUACCCAUAAUGGAAUUUUCAAACCGCCUUGAGUCACGUUCGAGUAUAUUUGAUUCCGCACAUCUUUGGGAAAACCCAUAUGACUCAAUUGUAAGAGAGUUAUUACAGAUAUCAAUUGGCGGAUCACCACCGGAGGAAAGUAGGUGUGCCAAAUUCGAACCAACAAUAGGAGUAGGGGCACUACAAAUUUAAAAAAAAAAAAAAUAUAUAUAUAUAUAUAUAUAUAUAUUCAUCUGUCUACAUAUAUUUCAAAAGUUGAUAGACAAAGUGAAUGUGAUGUUGGUAAGGCUAUAAGUACCUAUUCGAUACUAUACAGGCUUCAACAACUUCACUUGAUGAUGAGACAUAGGCUCGACAAAACAUUUCGUUGAAUUGAAUAGUGCAGGCAUGUGAUAUUCUAUAUAGGAUUGGUGAAUAGUCUCAUAGUCUAAGAUCAUGUUUGGUAGAGAGACAAAUGGAACACAGAUUUAUGAGAGGACAAGAUUGAAAGUUUGCAUAAAGCAAUUCUCUAAAUUAAGGACAUUUUGAAUAGUUCACUAGGAGAUUACAAGAGGAAAGAGAGAAGUAUGGCUUACAAGCCCACCAUGCUUAUCUCGAUGUAUUUGGAAGUGAAGCAAUAAAAGAAUCUUUGAUGAUGUUGAUCAAUCAGAAUUGUAGCUGAACAAUGUUUUCCUAAAUUUUUUGUUGAAUGGUCUGCUAGAUCAAUAGGAAAUAGAAGCCUUUCUUUUGUAGAUUUCAUUUGAUAUUUCAGCUAGUACUUUAAGGAUCAAGGAGUUUUAUUUUCCCCCUUUUUUUUCUUUUAAAAUCCUUAUGAACAUCACAAGUACAAAGGAAGUGCCCUCUUCUUAGCAAUUGUUUCACAACAUUUUACGUAUCAAAACAUUUUUUUUCAUUCUCCAAAAUGCCAAAAAAAUAAUGUCCAAAACAUUGAUUUUUAUUUUUUUAUUAAUCAAUUAAAUAUAAUUUAAAAUAAAAUAAUUAGAAUUAUAUUUUUUUAAUGAUGAACCUUAACUAAUUUAAAUUAAAUAUAUAUUAUCAAAGAGUACCAUAGUCCAAUGGUAGCAGGGAUUGAACCCAAGCCACAAUUUUGAUUUAAUAAAAAUUAAGAUGGCUAAUUAAUAAUUAAUAAUUAUUUAUAUGGAGCAAAUUGUUCUCAUGAUUUGUUUCCCCUUUUGUUUUUUUUAUCAUACUAAAUCUAAAGCUCAAAAGGGUCAUCCACUUCUCUCACUCGGGCAUCAAGGAGCCCUUUUCUGAAGUUGCCCUCCAAACGAGAGAAUCCCUAAAAAGGCCCUAUUUUCCUCUGCAACUCUCAAUCCUUGUAGGUACUAAUCUAAUCACAUUAUUAAUUUUUUUUUAAACCCUCAUUUGAUUCCCAAGAAAAUCCAUCCCCCAUUUGAUUUCCGGGAAAAUUCAUCCUUGUUUGAUUUUCGAGAAAAUCCAUGCAAAACCCCAAGGAAAACAAAAAAAAAAUGCUUUUUUUUCCUCCCUAUGUUUUCUAGAUCUGUUCUAGGGGUCUCUUUGCUUUUGUGCCAUUGGGUUUAAAUUUCACAAACCCUAAAUCCACGAUUUUUGAGCUAGGUUGAAAAAUAUAACCUUUGCCUGCAAAUCGUGAUCAGAUUACCAAAUAGCAUCUUAUGUUUUUUUUUAUAUAUAAAAAAAAAAUUUGGAUAGAUUUUGCAUCAUGCAUGGGCUAUGCUGGUAGGAAAUAUCGGGAAAUUUCCCGAAAAUACGAUAAAAAAUACCGAUAAAUACCAAAAUAUUUCUCGAUAUUUCAAACACUAGUGGUUCUCAAAUUUUUUUUCCUCAAUGAUUCCCCACAAACAACCGUCUUGUAAACAUAAAUAUUUAAGAUAUAACAAAAAAAAAUCCCCAAAUAUUCUAAAUCACGGGGUCGUGAACAAUGCAAAACAACCUUCAGCCCAAAUAUUUUCUCAACAGCCAAACAAAUCCUUAAAUGGAAAACUCACAUGCGAUUAAUCCAAAAGAAAGAGGAAACUCCACUUCGGUUUCCAGAAACCUGAAAAAUAUUCACCUUUGAUGAAGAAAUAUGAAGAUAUGACUCAACUUUGGCUUCGUUGAAGGUUUUUGGAAGAUGGCUAUUGGGUUUGGGUGGUCAGCUCGUGAAGAGAGACACUAGGGUUAGGCCAAAAUGAGACGAAAUGAGAGGAAGUGAAGAGUCAUGAAAAUGCAGAGCAAACGAGCCAUGAAAAUGUAGAUUGGGUUAGGGCAAAAUGAGAGGAAGUGACAGAGAGUUUCCCCAAAUUUCAAAGUUUAUCGAGUCGGGUGUUCUAUGGGUUUUGCAAAUUUGAUAACUUUUAAGUUUUUGAUUUUCGUGUUUAUUAAAGGCACAACUCUCGGGUGACAUGGACACGAGUGAUGGUUGCUGAUAGGGAUGCAUGGAGGGGUAAUUUCGAAAAUCCAAUUAUAAAUUGUAUAUAAUGCAUGAAAAGGAAAAAAUUUCUUGAAAUAGUGGACAUAUCUUGGGUUAUGCAAACUUGGGUUUUGAAAACAAUAUUAUUAGGAAAUGGGGCUCUCGAAACACAACUUUCCCUAUUUUUUAUAUUCCAAAUAUAAUAGUUCAUGUUAAUUAAACUAAUUAAAUAAUUUAAUUAAGUUAAUUUUUUGAAUCUAAAUCUAACGAGAUUGAAAUUAACUAGUUGAAUCUAAUUCUUACUAGUUUGAAUGUGAAAAUAAAAUUAAAUAAUCAUCUAAAAUAUAACAUAUCCAUCUAUAAUUAAAUAAUCAAAUUAACCUAAGCUUAUUCAAUAAAAAUAUACAAAUUAAUUACAAUUGAAUGUAAAAAUAAUAUUAAAUCAUCCAUAUUGAAAAUAUACUAAUUAAUUGAAAAUACAUUAAUUAAUUACAAUUGAAAACAAAAUUAAUUACAAUUUAAAACAAACAUACCUUAAAAUAAUUGAAUAAUUGAGCAACCUUAGAAAAUUUUUGAGCAAUAAGAGAUCAAAUAAAGAAUGAAAUUAAAUGUGGAUGAAAUGGAUGCAAAAUGAGUUAUUUAUAGGAAAAUUUUGGGCCAAAAUAGCUAUUGAUAGAUGAUUUCACUAUUGAAAAACAGUUUUGGCCGUUGGAUCAAAAUCAGGGCGACAUAUGACCAUUGGAUCAUGAAAUAACCAUUGGAAUAUCAUCCCAACGUUGGACCAAACCCAAAUUCAAUCUGGGGAGUUAGAUCAAUGCAGGCAUGAUGUAGGCCGUUAGAUCACGCUGAAAAGAGGAGGCAAAUUUUCUUUAAAAAAUCGACGAUUUAUCACCGAUAUAUAGACGUUUUUCCAACAUCAGUGAUGAUUGAUUGAUAAAACCGUCAAUUUAUCGCUGAUCAGCGAUAUAUCGACUAGAUUUUGGCAAUUUUUUGUUUUUUUGCCUCUUCGAUAAAUCCCCACAAAAUAUCGUGUUGAAACUCUCCGAUACACGAUAUAUCGAUGACAUACCGCCGAUAUAUCUUUGUGUUCCUAGUGAGGUUGAUGAUUUACUAAUAUGUUUCAAGUGCACAAUGAGGGAUUAAUUCUUAUUGCACACUAGGGCAUAGCCAUUUUAAAUAUCUUUAUCAAAGUUAGUGGUUUGAUUUUUAGAGAACACUUCUUAUUUGUUGAUAUUGCUAUCACCUACAAAGUAUGGUUUUAUACAUCCCUAAUUCGAAACAACAACUAUCCAUUGCAUUUGAGCAAGGUGGAGAUGUUGUUGGUUAUUAUUGCAUGCUAGGGCAUAGCCAUCAUCAUGGUUUUCUAAUCAAGUUAAUGAUGCAUUGACAUUAUGACGGAUUGAUCUAGUUUGGUUGUCUUCAUAGUUUAUUUUUGUCAAUGAAUGGCAUUGUCAUGGAUGAUUUAAAUACAUUAAUUCGAACACAUUCAUUUUGAAAACAAUCCAUGAACACAUUCCAAAAAAAGAAAAAGGGUAUCUAGGGAAUGGAUCAAUGCAUGUAUACUGAUUAUGUUCUAUAUCAUUGCACUGAGAAUAAUGAAUAGGUCUCUUAUGACUGCAUUAUGAUUCGAUAAGACAUUGUCAUAGUCUCCUAAUAGAUGUUUUACUUUAGGGCUUUAAGAGAAGGAAAUGAUCAAGCUUCUUUAUCAUGCAUGCAUGCUCUCAUCAACACAAAGUUGAGGCAUGUCAUUCAUCAAUAUAGAUCAGAAUGAGCCUAAAUAAAUCAAAGUUCUAAGUGGAAAAUGUUCAAUAUAGGGUUAUACAUCUAAGUGUAACAUGAUCGAAUUUUAUUCAAAUGUAUAAACUAUAAAUGAUUACAUACCUUUUUUUUUUUCCGAAUUCGCUCAUACCAUUAAGAUUUUUCAUCCACAAGAUACAACCUAUAUUGCAAAAAAUUAAAAAUUAAAAUAAAAGUGAAAAAAAAUUGUAUUAGAAUAUUAAGAAAACUCUACUUAUAAAUAUAAAAGAAUCCAAUUGUUUAAUAUUAAAAAAUCUCAAAUUUAAAAUCUAAAUAUUGAGGGUAAUUUUCUAUUUUUCCAUCUCAUAAUGAAUGAAACUCUAAUAUCUCCCUGCUAACUUACUAAAAGGGUCAUUAUCAACAUUUUUCACCUUAGAGCGAAUGUAAAAUUAUAAAAUUAUUAUCUGAGAACACCCACUUUACAAAUUAGAGAAAAAAACCUAAAAUAAAAAGGAAAAGUAUACCAUAAGGAAUAUUUAUUUCAAGCUCUUUAAAGUACUGAGAGCACCCAUUUUACAAAAUUGUACUCAAGUCAUGUAACAUUUGAAUCCAACUCAUUGAAACUCAUCAUUUUGUCUCAAAAAAGGUUUUUCAUUUUUUUAUUAUUAAAAAAAACCAUAAGCAGCUGAUUGUAUUCAAGUAAUUCAAUGGAUAGCCCUCAAAGGUAGGCAUCAAUUUAUCAGACAUUCAAACUAAACCACGGCAUCAAAAGAUUAUAACGAUAAGAAUAUAUAUACCUCCAGGCGAAGGAGCCAUUGAUGCUAUUAAAAGUUUGUUCUUCAAAAGAGCUUUAAGAAGUGAUCGAUUGUUCUUCAAGAGAGCUUCCAAAGAGCUUAGGGGGCUUUUUCUGUAUCCAAUUUGUUGAUCUCACUCUCAACCAACAGUAAAAGAAUAAACCUAAUCAGGAAAGAUUAAAGCUAACCAUAAAAGAACCAAACUCACCUCAGUAUAUAUGAGUUGGAUUUUUUUCAAGAGACAAUGAAAUAGAGAUGCUUCUGAGAGGAGAGGGUGAGGACAUGCAAAUGAGGAUUUGUGUGAAGAAAGAAUCGUUUACUUUCCAAAGGGACAUGCGGGCUUCUUCACUAGGAGGAUUUAAGUCAACUGGGAAUGGAUUUAAACAGCUCCAUGGUAACAAAAAUAAAUAAAAAAAUAAAGAAAAAUGUGUCCUCCAACAGUUUAUUGAUACAGUAAAGUGGACAUAUUACACUACCAUUAUGAGAAAUGACACAUUUGAAGGAGAGAGUCUUUUGAUAUAAUUGAGGCAUUAAAGUUUAAGCACUCUAUCUAACUUAUAAUCUUUAUAAAAAAGAAUUUCACGGAGACCAACUCAAAUGUAUAAAUAGCUUAUACAUUCCAACAUAAAGCAACAGCUGAUGGGAAACUGUGACUUCAAGGAGUUUUGGGCUGAAAGAAGGGGAAAGUCCCAUUAUGGUUUUUAGUCGAAUAAACAUGUUGACAGAUUCACACAAAAUCGGGCGGUUCGUCUGAUUCGACGGUCUAACUCUCUGGUUAGAUGAUUCAAUGGCGAUUCAAACUCAGAACAGUCCAUUCCGGCGAAUCAGACCGAAGGUCGGACCGAUUUUAAAACUAUGCAUUCACCAACGAAUCUGAGAAAAUCAAAAUUAAUUUUUACAAGCCGAAUUCAUAAGAAGACGAGAAAGGGAGUCAUCUCUGAACAGUAGACACAGAAGAACUUUAUUGAAAUUGGUGUUGCUUUUUGAAAGAGACGAAGUCGGCCAGCUACUUGGAAAGUUUGACUGGACAAGACUUUGAGUUGAUUUGAUGGGAGGUGGAGCAGUUUAUUGGGACUUCAAAAAUAUUUUUCUCUUCCAACCGUCCUUAGAUUUAAAAUAUUUUUUAUCAAAAUAUUUAUUUAGAAUUUUUUUCUUAAUGGAAUCACUUAUUAAAUACUUAAAAAAAAUUAAUAAAAUUUCCUUAAAAGUUUAAACAUCAUAAGAUAUUUAAAUUUUUGAAUGACCAUGUUUCGUAUUUAUGCCCAUAAUAAUUUCAUAUUAAAUUAAAAUAAAAUAUUUUUAUUUUAGUUAUUAAAUAAUAAAUGAUAUUUAAAUUGAAUUUAUAAUUAAAUGAUUAGUAUCAAAUUUAUUUCUUUUUAAGAUAAACAAAACAAACUCUACUAAUACUAAUAGUAUUUUGAUCAAACCUGAAGCAAUGGUCAUUGUAAGUAUAUUUCCCACCAAAAUAAUAUAAAAGUAAACAAUAAUACCCUUAUUAACUAAGGACAAAAUAAAUUGGAGUUCAACUAUUUUUUUAUUUUAUCCAAAUUUACCAAAAGACAUAAUAACUCCAUUUUUUUUUCGAAUUUAAAGAUUCAAAUAUGACAAAUAUAUAAGAAUUUAUAUAAUUUAAAAUAAGAUAUAAAAAACAAUUUUUAAAAUUUUCUAUUAAUUUUUUUUACCUCAAAUAAGCACUUAAUUUUUUUUUAGAGCAUUUACUAUAAAAGAAUUUAAUUCUCACCUAAAUAGAAGUAAAAAAUAAUUAUUAUUAUUAUAAAUUAUUUAUCUAAAAUUAUAGUAUGAAAAUCUUAAUAAUUUUUUAUAUUGAUAUUAUUAUUUUAAAUUUUUAUUAUUAUUAUUAUUAUUAUUAUUAUUAUUAUUAUUAUUAUUAAUUUUAAUUCAAUUAAUUAAUUUAUAAAUUCCUAACUUAUGUGAAACUUUUAUUUUCUAAAUUUAUUUUUACGAAUCUUCUAUUUUCUUUAUUUAAUUAAACUAAAUUUCUUGGAAACCUAUUUCUUUUAUUAGUAGAACUAAACUUAUUACUAUUAUAAAUUUUAUUACAAUCAUUCAACAUGCUUAAUCCUAUUAGUAUUUUUAUUAUUCUUUAUUAUUACUAUUUCUAACACAUUCUUACUCACGCACAUUAUCAUGUAUCAAUCACUUUCCAUCCACUGUAAUUACGUAUCUCUUUCACUUUUCCUAUAGCUAUUUUUUUUUCUUUUUACUUUUUUUUUCUUAUUUUCAUAUUAAAUCCACCGCCAUUUUUUUGUCUAAACACCUACAAGCACGCGCAGAGUGGCCACCCAACCCAACUCAUUCCUUGCAUCAUCAUAUCAUAUGCACAUAAUGCAACGUCUCCUCAGAGGAUGAUGUUAAUUGUCAGUUGUCACUCAUCAUUUCAUACUUAAAUGCCAUUACAAAUAGAAUUAGUCCAAGAUCUUAUUGAAAAUCUAGUCUCUUCUAAAAGGGAGAAUUGUGUUUUGGGUCCAGCUGAGCCCAAAAAUUAAGAUAAGGUCUAUGUAAUUGACCUAAUUAAUGAUAAGGAUAUUAGAUGUUAACAGACGAAAAGACCCUUUACUUUUUCAACUCAAAUGGUUGUAAAUUAAUGGGUUUCACAACUGGUAAACUUGAAAUGUCAUGUCACCAGAGUGAAAAUUUUGAAUCUUCCUACCCCUUUCUCUCCCUUCGUAAACAACAUAUGCACAAACGAUGUCGACUAUGACUGUCCCCCAAUCGCUUUCUUCAACAGCCGAGGAUUGUGAGCAUUUCAGAAAAGCUUUUGUAAGUAUUUUAUCAUGAUCAUUCCCAAAUCCAAAUGACGGGGGUCUGAAUUAUUUGCUGAUAUUUUGAUUUGAUUAGGUUGAGGCGUUUAUAGGUAUUUUAUCAUCAUCGUCCAGAGUGAAUAAAUGGGUUUCGUCCAAACGGUGAGCUUUGGGGAAGAAUAUUGUUCGGUGAUGAUGCAAUUAAUCUGGAAUAGCUAUCCUUCGGAUCAAAAAUAUUUUGAAAGCAAAGAAGUUGGUCAACCUAACGAAACAGAGAAAAUGAAGAACUCCAAUGAAGAUAUAAACCGGCCACAACUGUGGUCGUGAUGAUGGCAGUGGCCCAACAACCUCGUGUGAAUAUGGAAAUAUGUUAAAUAGGGUAUAUGCCUUAUUGUUGGGUAAGUUUCCAUUUUAUAAAUUGAUGGCUUCCACCAACUGCUAUGUCCACCAAUUGACUACUCAUUGUUAGCAUAUCAAACAUCUAUGUAGUCCAUCAGCUUCAGUUUUAGUGGGUUGUGGGCCAUAUGGUGCACCAGUUGGACAAUGCAAAACCUCCGUUCUCUUUGAUGAGUCCAGACCUCUAAAAAGCCUCGAAUGUAACUAUUGUUCUGUGGCUGACAAACACUGGGCAAGGUGUAUAUGCAUAAGGUGUUGUGUUCCUUUGGAACAUUCUAGGUUAUUCCAUUUUUUACAUUUUUCCUUUUCGUUUUGUAUACCUUGACCUGGUUACAUGAUGCAUGCACAGUUAAUGCUACUUUUGGUCUUAUUGUCUUUCUAUGUGGCUGGAGACUUUUGUAAUCAGGCUUUAUAAGCUCUAGAGGCUUGGGGCUCAUAGAAACUAAUAUCAUGAGAUUAAUUUAGGAUCCACUCUCUCAGAAUCUCUCUUGCUCUUUGUGUUAGCUGUAAGUUCAUGACUAUUUCACAUUCUAUUAAAAAUUCUAUUAGCUAUCUUGAUUUUAUCAAAAUCAUUCUGCUUGAAUUCCUAAAUUUUCUUUUUGAAGAUUUUUCUUGUCUUAGCCCACUCCACCCAACUUUUCCUUUCUUGUUCUUUUGAUUAGUAUCUGAAACAAUUUUUAUUUCGUUGAUCAAUGUAUAUUCUUGCAACAAAUGAAUUAAAAAUUUAAUUUGUGCCCAAUUAGUUUGGUGUAAAUUUCAUCCACAUUUAUCUCAUGUAAUUUUAAUUGGAAAUAUUUGGUGUUUAUGGGAAUAAACAGGAAGCUUGAAAUUGCUAAUCAUUGGCAUUAAAUUGAAGCAGGUUUAGAAAUGAAAGUUCUGGAUCAGGAAAGAAUGGAUGAGAAGGAGAAUUGCGGACAGAAGAAAAUAAUGUCUCCCUGUUUGGCUCUGAAGAAUUGCUUGGAGGAGAAAAGGGUGACUACUCUAAAAGUCAGCCACAGUUAGAAGCAUUUUGGUCUUCUUUAGAGUUUCCUCGUAAAUUAUAGACAAUUGUUAAGCCUGGUGCCACAUGUGAUGUUUAAAAAGUUGUUCACUAGUUGAAUGGAACCCAUCUUUAGGCAUGUUUUUUAUUGAAUAAAAUAUAUGUUUGAAUAAUAAUUUGCCAUGCUUAACAUAUAAUCUUCUUCUGAAUUCUAGUUGGAAAGUUGGAAUUAGCUUCGAAUAGUUUCACAUUAAUGGACAAAUUGCUGUUUUUUUAAUUUUCUUGUAUUGUUAAAAAAGUAUAGGGAACAAAUUGAUACUUCAAUUUUUCCUUAUUUUAUUAACCAAAAGAUUGCAAACAUGAUUAACCUAUGCAUGAGCAGACAUUCAAUAGUGGUUGUAUGGAAUUUUUGUCUGUGUACAAGACAUUUACACUAAGUGUACAAGAUAUAUGUGCUUAAUGUACAAGGGUGUACAAAGGUACCUAUGUUGAAGUAUUUGCAAUCGUUUUAAAAUCAUGUCCAUUUUGAAAGGAUGAGGAACAUUCCCUCACACACAUUCCUUGAUCACGCACUCAUCCUGUUCAAUUUUAUUACUUCAUACAUGUUGAUUGGAUGACCAACCACAGUAAUGAUGAAUAGGAACCUAUAUUGGGUUUUACUUCCCCCUUUUCCCUUAGGCAUCACAUUGGAACAUGAUAGCUCACCCAUAUGCACGCUUUUAGUUUUAGGUAUGUCAAAUUUUUUCCAUUGUAUAAGACAUUUAAACUAAGUGUACAAUGCAAAUGUGCUAACUGUACAAGUGUGUACAAUGCUACCUAUGUUGAAGGAUUUCAAAUGGUUUUGAAUAAAUUGCUUGCUCAUUUAUUUUUUUUAAGGGGGACAUUCCUCAUAGUCAUUCCUCAUUUCCCUUCGUACACAUUCAUUGGAUGAGAUAACACACUUAUGAUGAAUAGGAACCUAAAUUGGGUUUCAUUUUCCCCCUUUUAAUUGAGCCAUGACAUUGGAAUGUGGUUAACCCGCCAAUAUGCACUAGUUCUAUUCUAGCUAGGUUGAAUUUUUGCAAUUGUACAAGGCAGUUACACCAAGUGUACAAGACCAAUUUACUAAAUGUACAUAGGUAUACAAGGGUGUCUAUCUUAGGGGAUUUCAAGUGAUUCUGAAGAACUUCCUAUCUUACUAUUUCCAAUCGUGGGGGACAUUUCUCGCACAUAUUGCUUGACAACACACUUAGUGCAUGCAUUUUAUUUGAUGUCUACUAUGUUAAUUCCUUCUAUUAGCUUCCCUAGUAAUGAUGAAUAUGAACCGAAAUUAGGGUAAAGUUUUUUUUCAUUUUCCUUAAUCCAUGAGAAUGGAAACAUUGGUUACCCACCCAUAUGCACUCGUUCGGUUGUGCCUAUGUGGGAUUUUGUGACUGUACAAGGCAUUUACACUAAGUGUACAGUGCAAAUGUGCUAACUGUACAACUGUGUACAAUGCUACCUAUGUUGAAGGAUUUCAAAUGCUUUUGAAAAAAUUGUUUGCUCAUUUUUUUUUCUAAGGGGGACAUUCCUCAUUUCCAUUUCUACACAUUCAUUGGAUGAGAUAGCGCGCUUGUGAUGAAUAGGAACCUAAAUUGUGUGUCAUUUUUCCCCUUUUCAAUGAGCCAUGACAUUGGAACGUGCUUAACCUGGCCAUAUGCACUAGUUCUGUUGUAUCUAGGUGGAAUUUCUGCAACUGUACAAGGCAUUUACACUAAGUGUACAAGGCCAAUGUACUAAAAGUACAAGGGUGUACAAAGGUGUCUAUCUUACUUUUUCAAAUCGUGGGGAACAUUUCUCACACAUAUUGCUUGAUAACACAUUCAUUACAUGCAUUUUAUUUGAUGUCUACCAUGUUAAUUCAUUCUAUUAGCUUCCUUAGUGAUGAUGAAUAUGAACCGAAAUUAGGGUAAACUUUUUUUGUCAUUUUCCCUAGUCCAUAGUAAUGGAAACAUUGGUUACCCACCCAUAUUCACUUGAAAAUAUGUACCUAUUAGGGAUUUGGUGACUGGACAAGGCAUUUACACUAAGUGUACAAAGCAAAUGUGCUAACUGUACAAGUGUGUACAAGGCUGCCUAUCUUGAAGGAUUUGAAAUGCUUUUGAAAAAAUUGCUUGCUCAUUUAUUUUUUCUAAGGGGGACAUUCCUCAUUUUCCUUUGUACACAUUCGUUGGAUGAGAUAGCACGCUUAUGAUGAAUAGGAACCUAAAUUUGGUGUCAUUUUUCCCCAACUCAGUGAGCCAUGACAUUGGAACGUGGUUAACUCGGCCAUAUGCACUAGUUCUGUUGUAUCGAGGUCAAAUUUCUACAACUGUACAAGGCAUUUACACUAAGUGUACAAGGUCAAUGUACUAAAAGUACAAGGGUGUACAUGGGUGUCUAUCUUACUUUUUCCAAUCGUGGGGAACAAUCCUCACACAUGUUGCUUGAUAACACACAAUUGCAUGCAUUUUAUUUAAUGUCUACCAUGUUCAUUCAUCCUAUUAGCUUCCCUAGUAAUGAUGCAUAUGAACCGAAAUUAGGGUAAAAUUUUUUUUCAUUUUCCCUAGUCCAUGGUAAUGGAAACAUUGGUUACCCACCCAUAUUCACUUGAAAAUAUGUACCUAUUAGGGAUUUGGUGAUUGGACAAGGCAUUUACACUAAGUGUACAAAGCAAAUGUGCUAACUGUACAAGUGUGUACAAGGCUGCCUAUCUUGAAGGAUUUGAAAUGCUUUUGAAAAAAUUGCUUGCUCAUUCCUCAACUGAAAUGAUAAUAACCUUUCAUUGAUUGAUAUCCACGUGGGCCCUCCUCAUGAUUGUCUUCAACCUGAUAAAGGGUAUGUGUUUUUUUUUUCCCUUAGUGAGAAAGCAAAUAAAGGCAUAAUAGAUAUAUGAGUGUGUUGGCUACUAAGUAGGUACUGGUUGGUGUUUGAUGAUGUUAAAAGCCUUUAUAAAGCAGCCUCUAGUAAGCACUGAUUUUGAGAUUUAAGUUCUUUUGAAUUUGAUCAUUUUUCCCUUUCUUUUCCAAGGUUUUUCUUUCCACCUUGGUUUUGUGAAGAAAGCUUGCAUUAUUGGAAUGAUUGUUAUUUAAUGUCGUUGCAGUUGCAAAUGACACAGCUAUUCACCAAAUCCCAACCUCUGUUUUGAAUCUGAGACAAGGUUAACAAUUCGUAUAGUUCAAGUUCUUCAUGGCCUUCUAGAGAGUGAGCAUGCAGCACAUGCAUAAGCAAACAAUAGGGCAAAAGCUCUUUCUGUUCAACUACAAUCCACACAAGGAAAACUUGAUUUACUUCAGCAACAAUUAACAUCAGUUUCUUUGAAUAAAACAGCAAUGGACGGUAAGCUCAACACUGCUUCCCAUGGAAAAUGUUUGAGAGUAGAUGACUUUGACCUGACUAUUGAAUCUGUUGAAGAUAUGGAUGGUAAUGAAAGAAUAACAAGAGAAAAUAAGAUGUCAACGAUCACAACUAGCCCUCUGAAGUUCACGCAGUCAGAAGAUGGUGUUUAAAUAUUUAAGGCCAACGAGGACAACAACAGCCAACAUACGAACCUAGAGGACUAUACAAAAUUCAUUGUGCUGAAACUUAUGAAAGAACUCACAAAACAUCAUUAUGGGGCUGAGCUGCUUCAGUUCAGGAAUCCCAACAAGAGAAACAUCUUGCUUUGUAUGAGAAACACGUGCUUUAAAAAUUGUAACCUGUCUAUAAUCUAACAAGAAUUGACUUGAUAGAUUAGCUUUUUAACCAAGUACUUAGUGCUGAAGAAGGUGUUUUGUGCUUGAACGGUGUCAUUCCCAUUAGUCCAAAAUUUUGGGAUGAUGAUCGCCAUUUUUCGAUGUGCUGAAUGAUUACUUUUAAGGUGUGGAGCUACUGCAUUCUGAGAAUGGUUAAUAAUAAUUUUUAAAAUCAUACAUAAUAAAUUUGAAAAUAAAGACUAAUAAUUUUCAAGUGAUUAUGGAUUAUUCUUGAGUUCCCCUUUUCUCUUGUCUGAACUUGCUAGUUCCCAAUACUAAAGUAGGAGUCCAGGGAUAAUUUCAACACAAAUAUUAACUAUAAGUCUCUGACAAACCUUAUUCUUAUUACCACCCAACUAACCUAAGGGCAAAGUGGGUUCUUAUUACCAAGCCAUGAGCAAUUUUGCCCACCAAAAAACCUAGGACAAAAAAGGGAAAAAGCCACACCAACAUGUAUGAUAACAAAUAAGAGCAACCAUACACUCUAUUAGGCAUAGACAUCUAGGUUAGUGUGGAGGUACUCUUCCACAACCUUGUACAUCCCCAUGGCCUUGUCUUUGCCGGUCUUGAUGUCCUCGUCCUUGAGCUCAAUAUUUGAGUGAUAAUGGCUAGUCAUCUUGCACAUAGAGCCUGAGCCCGAUGCCUUGAACUUUACCUCGUUUGAAAUGGCCUUGUUUUUACACUCUUAAUUGCCUAAAUUUCCUUUCUAAGAGGCUUCAUUUUCCAAUUCUAUUUCCUUUCACACCUUCAAUGGGAAUUUAGGAGACAACUUUUAGUAUUGUGUCUUAGUUUGAUUGAAGGUAAAAUUGAAACCCAUAACAACCCUGACUUGUUUGAACCCCAUGUCAGAAAAAGUAAAAAGAAAAACAACAAAGUGUAUAGAUUCUUCAAAUAGAUGUAUCUGUAAUUGAAACAAAACAGGUGGAACACACCCGUGAACUCACCAUUAACAUUACAAGCAACUAGAAUUAUUGCUGCCUUGAACUAGAUAUCAUAGAGAACACCAAAAGAAAAUAUCUAUAUAUAAAACAUAAAAUCUUUGAGUAAUCACAAUGCUACUUUCUAUUCCUAAUUUUCCGCUUCCCAUCUGUGGGAACUGGGUGCCUUCCAUUCCUGUGCUGUAGGGUCCCAACCCCAUUUGAUAGUUUCCAUGAUGGUGAAGGGCCCACGGUAGAAUUCAAAUUCCUGCAGGAAAAUUUUGAGAACAUUUUGUCAGUAUACAUGGGAACUUACUAGGUAACAAUAGUUGAAAUGAGAAAUAAAUCAGUUUGCAUUACCUUAGUUCUGGACUAUUUGCUGGCUUUGUAUUAGGUUUCUUGAUUUUUGACUCAAUCCCAUUAAUCAUGCAAAUUAUAUUUGCAUUAUUGAAUUGCCAAAGCAAAACGGCAUCAGAAGAAGCACUGAUGGCAGCAUCCUCAUGCAAAUCAUCAUUAUUAGCAAUGUCAUAACGAUUGUUUUCCAUGAAUAUGUUAUAUGAUUGAUCCGGGAAUAGCUUUGAAGAAUUUGAAAUAAGUUUUUGGUAGAAAGCAUCAGGCAAGUUCCUAUUCUCUGUUUCCCAACAUCCUAAAGGGUUUGGAACUCUAGGUACAACAUCUUGCUUAUUCACCAUAACCAUAUAUACCCACUAACUAGAGCCAAUGUCUUUGUCGUCCUCCAAAUAAUUUUGCACAUUACUAUUGACUGGAGGCCAAGGAGGUGAUUUCCCUAGUAACUCCUUAAGAUCAAAGCUUUGGUUCUUUUGCCUCAUCAUGGAAUUGCUGCGUGCCUACAUAAUCAGAACAUCAAACUUGAAUUCUGGUUUCACAAAGACUUGGAUGCAUAAUAAUCAGUCAACUAAAAUAAAGCCAUUGUUUGACAUCUACCUAGACCACAUCUAUGUGGAACCUAAUCAUACAUGAACUAGAAAUUACUUUUUAUGAAAAUUUCCAAUGAAUGUGAUAUAAUACAUAGUUUAUGAUCAUCUUCAAACUUAGGCAUGGCGUGUCAUGAUUAUCAAGAAAUAAAGGUUCCCUCACCAUCAUCAAUUUGCUAUCAUUCAAGUUUAAAUACACUUAUGUUAUUAUUCAAAGCUAAAUAUCAAUGAUUGGGGUAAAGAAAGAGGAAUAUCUCAUCAUGAUUAAAAAAAUAUUUACCUCGAUGUUGCUUGCAUCCCACAUUGGUUGCCUGCAACUAUUUUGAUCAUCUAACAUAUCUCCAGCCCGCUUGUUACAAUGAAAAGGUGAUAAAUCACUGGUUUUUGUUAUGUAUCUUUCAGAACUGUUUGUUUUGGUUCUCCUUUUUCCUUGCCAGAGCUGCCUUUAGAGUAGCAAUCUGAAAUAAUAGUUCAAAGUUUUCAGAAGAAUAAAUAAGAAUUGAGAAGAAUGAUAAAUAAUGAGAGCAUUCAGAACCUGUUCUUUCAGCUCUUUCACAUCUACACUAUCCUUGUUUACACGAGUAGCACUAAGUUCUACCGUGGCAAAUUGCUCUGCAAAUUUAACUGUGCUAAUUGUUUCUCCAUCCGCAUCCAGUUCAGGGCUAAUGUGAACAAACAUUAGUGUCUUAGCUUGCCCCCUUAAAGAGAAUUACAAUCUAAAAGCCAUAUUAUAAUUUUAAAAAUAAAAUUAAAGAAAACAGAAUCAAAUAUGAAGUUCAUACUCUGAAAAUACAUUAGUUUAUUCUUACCAAGUGAGUCUUGAAGAAGUUCUGUUAGUUUACUAUUCCUAUAAGGGACAUGUGGACUCUUCUGGGCAAGGGAAGAGAUGACAUCCCCUAGAGCAGAGAGAGAUCUGUUAAUAUGAUGUUCCUCCUUUAGUCUAUCUCCAGUGACCUCAGAUUUGUCUACUCUCCCACUGUCGGCCAGAUCAACAAGAUGCAUACAGCCAUGAAGAAUAGUUCCUGACAUCAAGUCUCUUCCCUGAACAUGAACAGUUAGGCAUAUGCAAGUUGAUUGAAAAUCAAGUGAGCAAAACCAAUAGAGAUUACUAAAAGAGUAUUCCUAGAUAAAUAUAUAAAGGAAUAUGAUCAUACCUAUGAGAGCAACUAUUAUGGUUUCAUAUGUUCACAAGUGGUAGAGAACCAGGGUUUUAAUUUCUAUGCAAUUUUGAAAAUUCAUUCUAAUAAUAUUUAAUUCUCCCUGUUUACUUACAAUGCAAUGACAAUCAACUUAAGUCAAAAAGCAGUCAAACUCCUACUAAUCCCAUAAUCCCAGUGUUCAUUUCCGCAUGUGGCACCAUAAAAAAACAUUUAAAGAAGUACGUUUGUCCACCAUAAAUUACAUACAAAUGUGCUAACUUUAUACAGUCUCGUCACAAAUUACAAUCCCCAUUAAUCCAUUCAGACACGGUCUUGGUGUGCAUUUUGUGCUGAAAACAACAUACUCCCCAUAAUCUUCAACCUAUAAUGUUUCAAUUUCCCCUGCAUUCAUUCAAGUUGAUAGCAACAAAUCAGCAAAUUAAUUAAUUAGGCUUUUGUAACUAUUUUAACAUUAAUGAGAUAGUCAUAGAUAAUUCCUCCUAUGUACCACAUCGAUUGAUUUGGAGAACCUGCCCAUUGACCACAACUCCAUGAAUUUCAUUACAAAAACUCCGCAAUCGUGCCUACGUCAAUAUCAUUAUCAAAACGUUAUUAAGUAUGGAAUUAUAAAUAAGAGAGGAACUUAAAAUAAGUUGCAAUCCAUUUUAACAUCAUCCCGGACUGCAAGGUCAAUACUCACUCAUUAGGUUGGAGAGGUACAUCAGGUGUUAGGAAAUUGAAUGUCCUCAAAUCAUAAGGUGAUACCUCUUUUUUUUUUGUGCAGCCAACCAUAGGACAACCUUAGCCUGAAACAUUUAUUAACACAACAAUUGAAAUUUUUAUGGGAAGACAUACUUAACAAAUUAUUAGUUGUUACUUGUUACUUUACCAAAUUUUGUUGAAUUCCACUCAAAGUUGUCUUCUUCCUACCAGGACAAGAAUCUAGCAAUUGGAUUCUCUUGUUUGAUAGGUCAUAUAUGCACAGUGUCCAAUGGUUCUUUAUGAGAACCGGUAAGAAGACCUACACCAAUAGACUGCCAUUAAACAUACAUUUAAAUAUUGUACCUUCAUGCAAUAAAAAUACAAAUCCAAGCAUUAAACACAGGAAUCCACCUUGUUAACAUUGACAUAUGGAAUAUCCAUCUGAUACACAUGUGGUUCAAAGCGUCCUAUAACUGCCUCCCUCACUAAGUGUUUUGCCUAGGAGUGGAUUACCAUUUCCUGCAUAUCAAAUAGGGGAUAACAUCAGGUUUGUCAUUGUAGGUAAUGCCUGGUUCAAGACAUGAAAUAAAGUUAAGCAAUGAUUUAAUGGAAUAGUCAUCAUUACAGCUAUGUAGGGGGAUAGAAACAGUUUCGUCUUCGGUUUAUGUUCAUACUGCAACAAUCUACAGUAGGCAUCGACGACCUGAUUUUGUAGAUCAUAAAAGUGUAAGCAACUAAUUAUAUUAAAGCCACACUUUCACUUUCAAACUUAAAAUAAUGCAUAAAGAGGGAUAAGAAGUCAUAUGCACGUCGUUCCCUAUCCAACCAUUCCCUUCGAAACAGCCCAAAUUGCCUCUGGUUAGGAUAGUGUCAUGCAUAGACACUAGUUCCUCACUAUUGCAAACACAUACAAUUUAGUUUUUGUGUUAUCACUAUCAUACAAUGAGAUGAGUGUCUCUGAAGUAUGUUACCUAGCAUCCAAAUCCUCUCUAAAUACCAGUGCAGCUGCUUGUUUUAAGUCCAUUCUGAUGGCAGAUUGUUUAGUUUGUGGUUGGGAUAUGUAUGGGGACAACAGGUUUGGAGCCAUUCAACGCACUCGUCGUCUCUAGACGUUCCUAUUUGUGGGGACAACAUUACCUUUUGGUUCUUCUUCACCAUCUGCAAUACGAGAUUUAGAACUAGUCAGCAAAGGUAUACAUUAUGAUUGAGUACUUGAGUUGUUAACCAUAUGGGUGUUUGCAUAAAUUUUAUCACUUACCGCUUACUACAUUAAUGGGUACACUGGGCUGCAACUCAAACUCAGGGGCAACAACGCGAUCUGGUGUGUCUAUCACAUGGUCUGCAGCAUGUGAAGCCAUGUACUCAUCACCAAGAAAUGCAUGGUCAUCGACUGUGGGAGUGUUGGCUGGUGCAUCGCCAGAGUGACCACCAGCAUCUGAAUUUACCCCACUAUGUCUUCGAGCCCCUAACUUAUGCAUAAGGCCACGCAUUAUUCUCAGCUGCUACUGAAUGCCCCAUUGAUAUUGGUCGAUUGCUCGUUCCGCAUCAUGAUAUUGAUGUCAUUUUUCCUAUCACAUGAUAUUGAUGUCAAUCUUUGAGCACAAAAUAUCACAACAACAUAUUUCUUUAUAGUUAAGAAUCAAAAAUAAAUUACAAUGACAAUGAAAUGAACAUUUAUUAAUUUUUUUAAAAAUUAACAGCUUACAUCACUAUUUUCAGCAUCAACAUUUGUGUCAUGGUCCACAUUAGUCUCUACCUCCAUAGUUCUUUCUACAGUUGGAGAUCUCUAGGACGCCUAUAAUUAGCAUUGAAGAUUAGUAAUUAAAUAAUGAGUGUUAUGCUAGUAAUGACAAUAUAUUUAUGCAUGCAUCACUUACAAAAUCAACCUCAGCAUGUCCGAAUGCUCCAAACUCCUUUAUCUUAACGACUAGUCGCCGCUUAAUCAAAUCAUCAGUCCAUGUCAAUGCUAGGGGCACUAUAAUGGGGACUUGAACUGAAGGAAUUUGGAAUUUAAUGACAUAAUGCAGCUGCAUAAUAAAUACAAACAUCAGUAGGCAAAUGUUACUUAGUUGUGCAAUAAAAUUAUAUAAAAAAAUGGAAGACAAAUACUGAAUAAGUUCAUUACCUGUAGAAAUAAAACACAGCCAUGUACCCAAGAGGUGUUAGACUGUUGGUAUCGCCUAAUUCCCUUAACCAGUUGGUCAAGCACAAACUAGGCCCAAUUAACGUCAUUUCAGAAUCCAUCCUCAUGGAUGGUAUGCCACAAGUUACGGCAACCAUUGAGCCUAGACGUGGGGGCCAACAAUGUGGCACAUGCGUAGUAAAUGAAUGCUCUACGAAACUCCUCGCCUACAGGUAAGUUCAGGAGUUUCUCCUUGCAUGCCCGAAUAGUCCUAAAUGGAUGCUCUGAUGAUGUAAAGGUCACCUGCAGAAUCCGCCCUUCUGUUGGGAGGCCGAAAAUGAGGCCAACAUUGAUGGCUGUAACAGGAUAGUGUUUCUAAGCUGAGAACUCUAUCCGUCUAAAUCCAACAUUGAAAUGUUGGAUUAGAAAGAUACAGAUGUUGUGGCGCACCUCUGUGCAAUUUAAGUUUAAGAGACCUCCAAAUUGGAGGUCUCUUAUGGCUUGUAUUUUUUCCUCUGGUAAACGGUUGCAGAGUUUCUUAAAUCGUGCAGUUGAGCAUCGUGUAAACAUUGAUGGGCCCUGCAUGCAAUGUUUGACAACAUGGCCAUGUUAGGAAUAGCAACAUCAUUGCAGUUGGUAAUGCAAAAAAUAAGUGAAAAAGUAAAGAUGUCAUUUCUCAUAGUUACAAAGACUUGUUUGCUUGUAUUUAGAAAUAAUAUACAGCAGGGUAAGACAUGAGAUGGGGUUAGGUGCUAUUGACAGUGAGAUAUCCUAUAAGAGAGAGGAUUGUUAGUUUAUGAAUAAGCUUAUAUAGAAUAGACAAUAACAGUAAAACUGUACAGAAUAGACUAUAAAAGUACAAAAAUAAAUAUGGGAAUAUUACAUGAUAUAUAAAAGAAGGAAAUCAAGUCAAUUUAUGGAAAUAAAUUGACUAAUUCUAUUAGAGAAAGAAACCAUAAACAAAUCAAUGAAUAAUCCUAUUUAAUUCCCAUUUAGAUUGUAAGACAACUUGAUAGAACCAAAAUCAUUGGUAAUGAAUUUGUGAUCUUCAACAACAAUGAACAAAUGGAGUAAACAGAAAAUGCUAUGGAAAAGUAGAUUUCUUUCAUUGCCUUAACAUGGUUACAAUAAAAUGCUUGAGAAGGUGGAAAUAAAAGCUCACUAACUCAAAGGCCUUUUCUUCGUAUUCCCUCGCACACACUAGGUUUUGUGUCAGGAAUAAUCUUUGCAAUAAUUGUAUUCCCCCAAGUGUUUUCCACUAUACCUAACAACAUACUGGUUGCUAAGGGCCUUGCAUUCAUGGAUGUGAGCAAGGAAAAAAACUUAAAGAGAUCUCUUUGUUUUCCCUGUUCUUUUCAUUCUUCUGGCUAUUUAAAAGGGGUCUAACCUGCUCCUUUUGAUACUUCUGACAGACACAAAAUCUUGAGGAACUACUAGAGCAAGCACUUUGCUAUUGCCAUUGAACAUGGACAAGGUUUGGAAUCCAAGCUUCCGUUGAGAGUAUUCCCACAUGGUAAUUACUAUCAUUGAAUAAUUGUACACUAUCUUCUAAUACCAUGAAUCAUGUGUUCGGCCGAAGUUAAUUCAUACCUAAGUUGUUAGCUGAGUGAGGAUCCAUGGGAAAAUAAAUGAAAACUAGGACUCUAAAUCUAAACUUCUGAAAGUUUUGAGGCUUGAAUCUGAUUCACUGGGCAUAAUAAUCUAAAAUUUGCAAAAUAGAGGAAGUGGUCAUUUCAAAUUAGGUACUGAUACAAUAUGAACUGCUACUACAUAAUUUUUUGUAGAAUAGUAAACAAAGAGUAUCUUUGCCCUUGAAAACAAGAAUAAAUAAGGUGAAUCCAUGAGUCUUGGAGAAUUAAAUGAAUGAAGAGGAGUUUGGAAACCAUAAACUCCAACUGGUAGAUGGCCAAUACAACAAGAACAUCAACUAAGGUAAUAAACAUCAAACAUAGUUUCAAGUAGAGGUUAUGACACUGCUUGUUACACUUGAAACUUCAUCAGCAGUUCUCCUUCAUUACCACAACAGUUUAACUAGCAUUAAGUUAUGUUUUAUGCCAAUGCAUCAGUCUUAAAACCAAAACAUAGUUCACAACAUACACUUAUAAUAUCCUGCUUAAUUACAAGUUUUUUGUUUGCCUAAGAAAUCAAAAUUUUAAUAUCAGGCAGGACUCGACUAGAGUUUCAACAGCUUGGUUGCAUACCCAUUUACAGAUGCCAAAUUAUUAGAUAUUUGAGAAUAUUCUGAGGCUUUAAUUUCAAGACUUAAACUUCAAGAAUUACAAAAAUCUUUAGAGAGAGAGGACUUAAUUAUUUGGACAAUAUUUACAACAACAAUAAUAAUCAUCAUCAUCAUGAAGAUUGAUGUUUCAGUUCUAAUGUUUCAGUCAGUUCAUGCACCAAAUCUUCUAUCAAUUUCACAUGGAGCCGACCUAUUCAUCCACAUUCACAUUUGGUUGAGCGAGAUAUUGGUCCAACACAUUAAAAUACUGCCCCAAAAGGAGAAUUUCUGCCUUAUCGCCCUGGAAUCCCAACUAUUUAAUUGAAUUUUUUUUGAGGUACAAGUCAAGAAAACUUCUGCAAGGGAUUACAAUCAUAUGUGCCAGAUUUUCACAGAGAGCACCAUUUCAUAUGUUUUAAAGGCUGGAUAUACAGUUGAGAGAAUUAGAGUGCGUUUGGAAAUGUUUUUUCUCGAAGUGUAAUUAAAUAAAAAGUUUUCCUUUCUCAUAGAUUAAAAACAUAAAAUAUGAAAUUUUUGAUAAAAUGGAAACCACUAUUUGGGGUGGGUAAGAAUAGCUAAGAGAUUGUAUGCAACAAAAAUCAUGAAGUUAGCUCAAAAUGGGAAUGAAAUUUUUAUUCCAUUAUAGAGUAUUAAGUGCAACCAAAUAUUGAAAUGAAUCUUUGUUAAGAUUUUCUAGAUACCAUUCCAUUCUUAGCAAAGGAACAGUCUUAUUAAUUCUAAAGUAAGUGUUAAGUACCUAAAGGAGAACAAAAAUAAUAUAAAAGAAAAAAAUUUUAAGAAAAUAAAUUGUAAACAUUUAUUUAUCUUCUUUUCCUUGAUUUUCUUAGCAAUCAAAUAAGAAAACAAUUUUAUAAAGUUAGAAAUAGAAAAUAUGAAAUUAAUAAAAUUGAAAACAUUAUUUAGAGGUGGAAUGAGAAAAACUUAGAGAUGUUGAUGAAAUAAAAAUAAUGAAUUAAAUUAACAUAAAAUUGGAAUGAAAUGUUCAUUGCAAUUCAACUUAUUAAAGUACAACAAAUAUUAGAAUGAAUAUUCAUUACCAUUCUAUAACUAGGAAACAAACACAAGACGAACUGAAUGCCUCAAGCAACAUCAACUAUCCAUUAGUUUGAUUUCCAGAAACUAGAAAUCCAAGAUUCACCUAGGAAAGUGUAAGAAGUGAUCUGAAGUAAAUAGAAAUCUUUAGUGCCAGUUAGAAAGUGAGGCUACUAGAUUAGCAGUAAUCUCUAUAUCUGAGCAGCUCUUGACAGUGAACCGAAGUUGAGCGUAAAAAAUAACUCUUGGUCCGUAUAGAAAAUCAAAUUUCAUUUUUUCACUCAAAUAAGCUAAACAAAGGCCAAAGAGGAAAAUAAACACAAUCAAAUUUCAUUCAUUUGGAGAUUUAAAAUUUGGGGAAAGAGACUCACUUCCUAGGGUUAUUUAUCAUUAGUCUCUGACAUGCAAUUUUGAUUCGAGUAUGGCAAGGAUUUCGGUGAGCGAGUUGGUUGUUCAUCAGCAAUCUAGUUGCUGACUCAGCUCCUAAGGUUUUAUGCCUUUGGAAGAAGAGUUCAAUGGCCAUCACUAGCAACGUCUCUCAACAUUGAGGGUUGAAAAGAGUGAAUAGAAGAAAAAUGUCAAACAAUUAGUAAGAAAACAAAAUCACAAGUCAUUUGAAGAUUCUCACCAGUGGGUUCUUAAUAGUUUAAAGUAAGGAAGUGGCUCUUAGUGGGUUAUUGGCUAAAACUGGGGCUACCUAGUAAAACCUGUUGAACCGAUUCCAAACCGGUUCAACCGAUUGAGAAAAAUUCUAAAAUUUAACAAAAGAUUCCUCGAAGAAUAAGGAAUCCAACAAAACAAAAAAAACAGCGCUCAAUUUCGAGCUUGGAUGAGGGAGAACCGGUCAAAACAAUGCAAUGUGUUUAUAAAACGGGGCUGCUUAGCAAAACCUGUUUAACCGGUUCCCAAACGGUCCAACCGAUUGAGAAAAAUUCUAAAAAUUUACCAGAAGAUUCCUCGAAGAAUAAAUAAUCCAACAAAAAAACGACACUCAAUUCUGAGCUCGAAUGAGGGAGAAUCGACUAAAACAAUGCAAUGUGUUUAUAAAACGAGGCUGCCUAGCAGAACCUAUUGAACUGGCUCCCAACCGAUUCAACUGAUUGAGAAAAUUUUUGAAACUUUACUAGAAGAUUCCUCGAAGAAUAAGGAAUCCAAAAAAAAAUGAAUCUCAAUUCCGAGCCUGGAUGGGGGAGAACCGGCCGAAACAAUGCAAUGUGUUUAUAAAAUGGGGUUGCCUAGCAGAACCUGCUGAAUCGGUUCCCAACCAGUACAAUCAAUUAAGAAAAAUUAUGAAACUUUACCAAUAGAUUCCUAAAAAGAAUAAGGAAUCCAACAAAAAAAACGACGCUCAAUUCCAAGCCCGGAUGAGGGAGAAUCGGCUGAAACAAUGCAAUGUGUUUAUAAAAUGGGGUUGCCUAGCAGAACCUAUUGAACCGGUUCCUAACCGGUACAACCGAUUGAGAAAAAUUCUGAAACUUUACAAGUAGAUUCUCAACCGACAAAACAGCCUCCAUACCAUACACUAAAGAGUAAGGUGUAGCUCCUAUGGAGGUGCGAAAAGAGGUACAGUAUGCCCACAAUGCAAAAGGAAGUUUCUCUGACUAAUCUCGAGAAGUUUCAGUCAUCAUCCUGAAAAUUCUCUUAAUAUUCUUAUUCGCAGCCUCUACUGCCCUGUUGGUCUGUGGCCUAUAUGCUGAAGAUCUAUGAUGUCGGAUGUCAUACUUUUGCAACAAAGUAUCUACCUCAACUGGGAAGUGCACCCCUCUAUCUGAAAUUAAUUCAUGGGGAACCCCAUAGCGGCAAAUGAUGUGUGACCUGAUGAAACUAGCAACCCUAGCAAAUGUCAAAGAAUAAGGAAUCCAAAAAAAAAAAAAAAAAAACGGCGCUCAAUUCCGAGCUCGGAUGAGGGAGAACCGGCCAAAACAAUGCAAUGUGUUCCUUGUAGAAGGCCAAACCCGAACCACCCAACCUUAUUAAAACUAAGGCCACGGAUCUCAUUAAACAACCAACAAUGCAGCCUCCCUGAACUCAAGAAACCCAACUGGAAAUUCAGCCACACAGACAUCCACAUGCGGCCACCUAAAUCUCCUGAAACCAAACUGAAAUUUCAUUCACUUGAAGCCUUCCACCUACAGCUACUUAAAUCCCAUGGAACAAACUGAAAUUUCAGCCUCCUAUAGCCUAUGAAUCCAGUUGAAAUUCAGCCACCUAUAGCCCCCUCUCCCCAAUACAACUACUGGAAUCACCAAGAAGCAAACCGAAAUUUCAGCCACAUGGGGCCUCUACAUAUAGCCACAAGACCCAGGGUUUAAGUCCAGAUUAUUGAUGGGUAGCCCCAAAUUUAAAAAACAGAGAAGGUCAUGGAGACCCUUUCUCAAUACAAAGCAAAGGAGGUUUCAAGAAAAACCAAGUGGCAGAAAUGCCCAUACCAACAUAGCCACCUGAAUCUAGCAUUUAAGAAGUUCCUCAAUCCAAAGCUACAAGGCCAUAAGAAUCCUUCCCUUAACAAUCAAAAGGUCACAAUGACCUUCAACCAAAACCAAAACUAAUGAAGGCAGUGACCCUAUUACUCACACAUCAAAAGUAGGUCACACACCCCCCAAUUCUUUAUCAGAACCAACCCAAAAUGAGACAUCCACAACUAACAUAAAAAAUGAAACAUGCAAUAGUUACAUAUCAAGAGCAUCCAUAAAGCUUACCAGAUUGUUCUCCCCUCAAGCAGAAAUUUGCUUGGCUUCAAGGCCGUCUUUCCUUCAAGUUCUCACCAAUCAAGAGCUCCUUACUCUCUUCCCUCUUUGCUCACUUCACGUGCACCCAAAACUUUCUUAAAUGCUCAAAACCUUCUCCACACUCUGUUCUUUUCCCUCACCAAACUUGGACAAAGUUUUGUCCCUUAGAAAAAAAUGCAAAGGAAAAGGUCCUUCUCUAUUUCCAUUUUGCCUUUUUAUACCAGAACCCCUGCUCCUCCCACUUCCACCUUCGUUUUUCCCUCUUUUAGCUCUGGAAAGUGCCCCCAUCAACCUCGGAAUCCAUCUCCAUAAACACUCCUCACAGUCACGAGGUGAGCUGUUCUCUCCACAUUUACUCCAUUGCUUCACCACCAAGAAUCCAUAUGGAUUCAUGGUGGGCUAUAAGGAACCUAAACCAAGGCUCAAAAUGGACCCAAAAUAUUUCCCAAGACCGAUUUGGAGCUUAUGGGCCCUAGUCAUGUAGGAUUUGGGCCCCAAAAUCAGUGCUCUAUACAAGUUGGCCCAACGAAUUGGUUGAACCAGUUGAUAAAAAAAUUGAAAUUUUGACAGAAUAUUCCUUGAAGAACAAGGAGUCCAUAAAAAAAAUGGUGUGUGAUUCUGAGUUCGGAUGAGGAAGAUAUGAUCGAAACAAGCUCAAGUGCUCCGUAUUCGAACCUGCUCCUAUGAACUCUGGCUAAACUAAAGAUUUGGGGAGAUCUCACUUCCUUCUUUUAGCAUGAUGUGAAAAACUAAGGAAUUGGUCAUGACAACACUCCAAAAUGAACUACACACUCACACUACAUUGGANNNNNNNNNNNNNNNNNNNNNNNNNNNNNNNNNNNNNNNNNNNNNNNNNNNNNNNNNNNNNNNNNNNNNNNNNNNNNNNNNNNNNNNNNNNNNNNNNNNNUGACAACACUCCAAAAUGAACUACACACUCACACUACAUUGGACCGCAGAUGAACCUACACAAGGCUCGAAAAUCGAUCAAGCCCAAAAGGGGGUCAUGGUGGUGCCAUAAGGAAAAAAUUGGGUGCAUGUGACAUCCCUAAGAUAAAUGCAAGUGUCGAAGGACAAAAUUGAGGGUCUACAGUAUUACAUUUUUCAAAGAGAUUAUGGAUGUCAUGGAAAACUCUUUAAAGAUCUCAAAUUUAUCAAAUAAUCAAUGGCUCGAUGAUAAUACACUGUUGUUGAUUCCAAGAUUUUCAAAUCCGAGUGGGCUGAUGGUGACUCACAAAACUGUUCUUCAAUUCUGUGGUUCAAAUUAGUGGACUUCUUUAAACCACCUUUCAAAUUGGACAGUUGCAUAGAGGACAAAACUGCUUUUGAUGGAUUUAAAGCUCUUCAAAUCCAUGAACUUCAAAGGUUUUUAGAUUCGUCCUCAAAGCCUAUAUAAGGCCCCUAUUUCUCUUUAGAAGGCAUCAACAUUUUAGUAGGAAAAUUGAGAGCAAACAAGUGAGAUAUCCUCUUGAGUGAAUGACCUUGUAAUUGAGAAAACUCAAAACUCUCAAAGUGUUUGUAAGGCAAUGUUUGGGCCUCAAAUGAAAUGGUAGCAAGGGAGAAAAUCAGGAAAGAGAAAAACAACCAAUGUCUAGGGCUAAAACCAAAUGCUUUGGAGGUAGUAAAAUUAGGGUAGGAUACGUGGAAUUCCAACUUAGAUUUUUGUGAUUUUGUUUUUUCAUAAUCAGUAAAGGCCAUUUUCGAAAAUAUUAAAAAUUCAUAUUCUUCUUCUCAAUUUUGACACUUCCUUUAGGUCUUAGGCUUAAAUGACGAGAACUUAUAUGGACCAAAGAUUAAUUUUUGGGCCUAGCUGGAUCCAAAACACAAUUCUCCCUAUAUUAUGUACACCUGAAACAUUUUUCAAAUUAAUUUUAUGAACUAAUUUUGAAAUAUAUCUUCAUAGCAUCUACACAAAGCAUAUAUAUUGUGUAUGUACUAUUAAUAAAAAUUUGUUUACAUGAAAUUAAAAAUAAUCAUGUUUUAAAAUAAAUAAAAAAAUUAUAUAUGAAAACCUAAGAAUAUACUAUUAUUUCAAUAGAGAUAAAAUUGUUAAAAUACUAAUAAAUUAAAUAUCUUAAAUUGAUAAAUUAUAUGAAUAAAUAAGAAAAGAAAAAAAAAAUAUAAAAAAACAACAUGCAAACAUGUGAAACUAAAAAGUUCAAAGGCAUGAAAUUCAAUAUGGCAAAAAUUCAAAAAAAUGGAACCACAUUUGCAUUUUUAACUUCAUACAUUUACAUUUAUUUUAUUUUAUUUUAAGUUUGUCUUAUUUAUAUGUUAUACAACUCUAUUAUUUUUAAAUUAUUAAUUUAUUGAUAAAUAAAAUAGUAAUUAUUAUUAUUAUCAAUUUAUUUUUGUUUAAGUAAUACUAGAUCCUUAAGUUUACAUGUAUAAUAUUUUUAUCAUUAAAGUAUAUAUUUUUAAUUUCAAUAAUAAUUUUUAAAAGCACUGAAACUUCAAUAGUGAAGUCUUAUUUGGCAAUUACAACAUUAUAAAAAUGAAUUCACAUCUGGCAAUUGAGGUUUUAACUUAAAUUUUUUUUAUAAAAAUGAUAACAUGGGUCCUCCAUGUCAACAAAAGGGGCAUUUUAGACAAAAGUUUAGGAAAGUGGUUAAAAUAAAAUUUUCCCCAUAAUAGGGCUAUUUUGGCCCAAAACACUUCAGAAAAAAAAAAAAAACUCCUAAAGUUUUUGUUCCUUUCUCAUUCUCAUUAAUGUCUAAUAUUGGAGCGAAAACAAAUGAUUAUUAAAACCUUAUAGUCCUAGGUACAUUCAAGCACAAGAAUCAAAAUCAUCAAAUCCAUUCCUAUUAAAAAAAAAUUGGGAUGAAAACAUAAUAUUGAUUCUCUUUCCCCAUUUUUAUGUACCAAACAUGGCCUAAACAUGUGAGAUAAAGAAAAUGAUCAAGCUUCUUUAUUAUACAUGCUUUCUUAAAAGAAAAAAAAAAAGUAGGCAUUAAUUUUAUGCAUUGGUAAUGAUCAAAUUGAACCUAAAUAAAUCAAGUUUUAGGCAAACAUCUAAAUAAACUUGACUUUAUUAGCACAAACAUGAAAAUAUUUAAUAUGGGUUUAUAUAUCCAUGUGUAACAUGAUUGAAUUCUAUUCAAAUGUGUAAAAAUAAAUAAUUAAAUAAUUACAUACCUUUUUUUCCGACUUUGCUCAUGCCAUUAAGAUUUUUCACCCACGAAAAACAACCUAUAUUACAAAAAAUGAAACAAGAUGAGCAACAUUUUUAAUGCUAAAGCAAAUGUUAAAAUUAUAAAAUUAUUAUCAUUGGACACAUACUUUUUUAAACAUAUGAGCAAGCUAAUUGAAAAUAAUAAAUAUAAAAAACAAAGAUUUUUUAUAAUGCUUAUAAAUAAGUUAAAACAACAAAUAAAAAAAAUAUUAAUAUACUAAAAAAUCCAAGUUUAUGAAAGGUAUUAAGAAUCCAGUGUAUAAGUUGAACAAUUAAAUAGGAAUUUAAAAUUAAAAUAUUAUACCUUAAAUUGGAAAUAGCUAGAUACUUGGUGUUUAUCAGAAUCUUAUCUCUACCCUAUACAGAUCAUAAACAAAUUAAAGAAAAAAAAUAAAAUUAGAAGGAAAAAUAUACUAUAAGGCAUAUUUAUUUCGAGCCCAUCGAAAUACUGAGAGCAACCACUUUACAAAAUUGUAUUCAUGUCAUGUAACUCACUGUUUUUUCUCAAAAAAAGUUUUUUUUUUUUAUGAAAAAAAAAAAAAACAUACCUAAACUGUUGAUUGUCUUGAAGUAAUUCAAAGAAUAGCCCUCGAUGUAUCAUAAAUUCACAUUAAACCACAAAAUCAAAAGAUUGUAAAGCUAAGAAUAUAUAUACCUCCAGGGGAAGGAGCCAUUGAUGUUGAAAGCUUGUUCUUCAAAAGAGCUUUAAGAUGUGAUUGUAAAGCUAAGAAUAUAAAUUCACACUAAACGACCUUUCUCUGCAUCCAAUGUUUUGAUCCCCUCUCAAACAUUAACGCUAACCACUACCUCGGUAUAUGCUUCGGAUUUUUUCCAAGAAAGAAUGAAAGAGAGAUGCUUCUGAGAGGAGAGAGAGAGGACACAUUUGUAAAGUGGACGUAAUACAACCUCUACCAUUAUGGGAAAUGACACAUUUGUAGUAUCGGGGUUUGUGGUAUUGGAACUUUCAGAUAAGGAAUUUGAAAAUUUUUAAAUAUAUAAUUAAAAAAAAAAUAGUCGAAUAAGAAAGUCCUUUCAAUAUGAUCUUUAUGAAUAAUAAAGAAAUGUUUGCAUGAAGAUCAACUCAAUAUGAUCCGUAUGUUCUAAUUAAUUUUCUUUUUCUUUUUUUUUUUUCAUAUUAAUUUUAUUAUUAAUUCUACCACCAAUCCUGAGAAGAUCAAAAUUAAUUCCUACAAGCCUAAAUCAUUGAAAGACCUUUUCUCGAGAAAAGAGAGUUCAGAGAUAUUUAUGAACCGAGAGUGGAUACAGAAGACCCUUAUUGAAUGUAGGGUUUCUUUGAAAAGAGACGAAGUCGGUCAACAUCUCUGAAAAGUCUGAAUGGAGAGGACUCUGAGUUGAGUUGAUGGGGCAGCGGACCAGUUUAUUGGGACUUUAACAGAGAUAUUUUCUCUCUAUGACGCUGCCCUUUGAGCUGUCUCCACUUGCAACUUUUCUUUUGUACCAGACCAUCCUAACAAACAAAAAUUUAAAUUUAUAAAAUAUAACUAUUUAAAAUUAAUUAAUAAUUUACAUUUUUUAAUUAAAAUUACUACUUUUAAUGUUUAAUAACAGUUUUUUAAUGAUAUAAGUAUUAUUUUUUAUUAUAAUAAAUACUAUUUUUAAUUGAGGAGUAUAUAAAAUUUGAAUUAUUUAAAAAAAUUUUCUAUUUUAUAAAUAUUUUUAUAUAAAUACAUCAAAACUUUUUUUUAUUUUUUCAAAUGAAUAUAUAUACAUAUAUAUAUAUAUUUUUUAUUUUUUCAAAUGAAUAUAUAUACAUAUAUAUAUAUAUAUAUAUAUAUAUAUAUAUAUAUAUAUAUAUAUAUAUAUAUAUAUAAUUGAUUCUUUAAAAUAUUUUAGACAUUUUAAAAUUUUAUCCAAUUCCUUUUUAUAAAAAACCAUUUUUUAACAUUGAGGUCAUUUCCAAAACUACCCUCAAAUGUUAUUUCAUAUGUAAAACCAAUUCAAUCUUAUUUUAUGUAUUAAUUUUAUUUUAUGAGUUCAAAUAAUAAUAGCAUAAUAAUAUAUAUUAAGCUACAAUACUAAAAUAUUUUAAUUAACAUUAAUAUUUUAACAUUUUGGAUUGGAAAUGCUCUAAUGAAAGAUAUUUUGCUGCCCAUUGCAUUAAAACAAGCAUUUGACAAAACAUUUUAUCUUACAUAUUGGCACAACAAAAUUUCAUUAUAAAUCUACAAAAUAAUCCAUCACAAUGAAUAUGCAAACAUUUUCACCAUGAUUUCCAACCAUGUUUCCCUAUGAUCACUACUAUUUACGAGGAAAGAUUUAAAACUUGUUUGUCAAAAUUGAUUUAUUAAUUAUAGUUUUAAUUAAUAAUUAAUCAAUUAUUAAUUUAUUUUUUUUGUUAUAAAAAUUAUACUUCAAGGAUUUUAUUACAUGUUCAUGGUUUUACACUAUUCUAAAUAAAUCAAAAUUUAGGUAAAAUAAAUUCAUUUUUCUUAAGAUUUAAAUUAAAUACAAAUGCAGCUUAAAAUUCCACCCAUUACCUCCCUUAAAAUACUAUAACUAUUCAAGUUAUACACUACAAUCAAACAUAUUACAAAAAAAAAAAAAAAUCAUUAGUCAGAUUAAUUCAAGAGGUAGUGUAAAGCAUAGUAUGUUAAUUUUGACCAAGUGUUGCAUCCAAUUCUUAUACAAAAGUCUAUAUAUUACAAGAAAUUAAAGUGAGAAAAGGAUUAAAAGUUUAAAAACAUGGGAAUGAUAAACCCCAAGUAAAUAUCUAUUUGAAACCUUGUCAAAAUUUGCCUCAAGUUGACUUUUGAAUUAACUUUACUAUUAUAAUCACUACUACAAAAAUAAUAUAUGAUGUUACUAUUUAUGGUGUCGCAUUUAAAAUAAUGACACCAUUGAACUUAAAAUUUAUAAAGGUGACACAUCAUAUAAAAAAUCUUCAAUUAGGAUAGUUAGAUGAUGCUAAUUUCAGAUUUACGGUGUCAUUUUUUGGAAGUGACACCAUAUGAAAUAAAAAGUUUUAAAUUUUAUAACUCAAUGGGCCCUUUUUAAAAAUAGUGAGUAGGAACAAUUUAUGAAAAGUCCAUUGUUUCCAUAUAUACAUUAACUAAUAUAAAAGAUCUUGUUGCUUAACCCUAACCAUCGUUUUCUUCUCUUUCUUCUCACACCCAUGGUCGGCACACCCAUAAUUGAUAUUCUUUGCUUCGUAAAAUCUCGUGUAAGUCAAAUCUCUUAUCUAUCAUCUUCAUUUUUUUUUAUUAAUGCAAAAACUUUGUAGUAUAANNNNNNNNNNNNNNNNNNNNNNNNNNNNNNNNNNNNNNNNNNNNNNNNNNNNNNNNNNNNNNNNNNNNNNNNNNNNNNNNNNNNNNNNNNNNNNNNNNNNNNNNNNNNNNNNNNNNNNNNNNNNNNNNNNNNNNNNNNNNNNNNNNNNNNNNNNNNNNNNNNNNNNNNNNNNNNNNNNNNNNNNNNNNNNNNNNNNNNNNNNNNNNNNNNNNNNNNNNNNNNNNNNNNNNNNNNNNNNNNNNNNNNNNNNNNNNNNNNNNNNNNNNNNNNNNNNNNNNNNNNNNNNNNNNNNNNNNNNNNNNNNNNNNNNNNNNNNNNNNNNNNNNNNNNNNNNNNNNNNNNNNNNNNNNNNNNNNNNNNNNNNNNNNNNNNNNNNNNNNNNNNNNNNNNNNNNNNNNNNNNNNNNNNNNNNNNNNNNNNNNNNNNNNNNNNNNNNNNNNNNNNNNNNNNNNNNNNNNNNNNNNNNNNNNNNNNNNNNNNNNNNNNNNNNNNNNNNNNNNNNNNNNNNNNNNNNNNNNNNNNNNNNNNNNNNNNNNNNNNNNNNNNNNNNNNNNNNNNNNNNNNNNNNNNNNNNNNNNNNNNNNNNNNNNNNNNNNNNNNNNNNNNNNNNNNNNNNNNNNNNNNNNNNNNNNNNNNNNNNNNNNNNNNNNNNNNNNNNNNNNNNNNNNNNNNNNNNNNNNNNNNNNNNNNNNNNNNNNNNNNNNNNNNNNNNNNNNNNNNNNNNNNNNNNNNNNNNNNNNNNNNNNNNNNNNNNNNNNNNNNNNNNNNNNNNNNNNNNNNNNNNNNNNNNNNNNNNNNNNNNNNNNNNNNNNNNNNNNNNNNNNNNNNNNNNNNNNNNNNNNNNNNNNNNNNNNNNNNNNNNNNNNNNNNNNNNNNNNNNNNNNNNNNNNNNNNNNNNNNNNNNNNNNNNNNNNNNNNNNNNNNNNNNNNNNNNNNNNNNNNNNNNNNNNNNNNNNNNNNNNNNNNNNNNNNNNNNNNNNNNNNNNNNNNNNNNNNNNNNNNNNNNNNNNNNNNNNNNNNNNNNNNNNNNNNNNNNNNNNNNNNNNNNNNNNNNNNNNNNNNNNNNNNNNNNNNNNNNNNNNNNNNNNNNNNNNNNNNNNNNNNNNNNNNNNNNNNNNNNNNNNNNNNNNNNNNNNNNNNNNNNNNNNNNNNNNNNNNNNNNNNNNNNNNNNNNNNNNNNNNNNNNNNNNNNNNNNNNNNNNNNNNNNNNNNNNNNNNNNNNNNNNNNNNNNNNNNNNNNNNNNNNNNNNNNNNNNNNNNNNNNNNNNNNNNNNNNNNNNNNNNNNNNNNNNNNNNNNNNNNNNNNNNNNNNNNNNNNNNNNNNNNNNNNNNNNNNNNNNNNNNNNNNNNNNNNNNNNNNNNNNNNNNNNNNNNNNNNNNNNNNNNNNNNNNNNNNNNNNNNNNNNNNNNNNNNNNNNNNNNNNNNNNNNNNNNNNNNNNNNNNNNNNNNNNNNNNNNNNNNNNNNNNNNNNNNNNNNNNNNNNNNNNNNNNNNNNNNNNNNNNNNNNNNNNNNNNNNNNNNNNNNNNNNNNNNNNNNNNNNNNNNNNNNNNNNNNNNNNNNNNNNNNNNNNNNNNNNNNNNNNNNNNNNNNNNNNNNNNNNNNNNNNNNNNNNNNNNNNNNNNNNNNNNNNNNNNNNNNNNNNNNNNNNNNNNNNNNNNNNNNNNNNNNNNNNNNNNNNNNNNNNNNNNNNNNNNNNNNNNNNNNNNNNNNNNNNNNNNNNNNNNNNNNNNNNNNNNNNNNNNNNNNNNNNNNNNNNNNNNNNNNNNNNNNNNNNNNNNNNNNNNNNNNNNNNNNNNNNNNNNNNNNNNNNNNNNNNNNNNNNNNNNNNNNNNNNNNNNNNNNNNNNNNNNNNNNNNNNNNNNNNNNNNNNNNNNNNNNNNNNNNNNNNNNNNNNNNNNNNNNNNNNNNNNNNNNNNNNNNNNNNNNNNNNNNNNNNNNNNNNNNNNNNNNNNNNNNNNNNNNNNNNNNNNNNNNNNNNNNNNNNNNNNNNNNNNNNNNNNNNNNNNNNNNNNNNNNNNNNNNNNNNNNNNNNNNNNNNNNNNNNNNNNNNNNNNNNNNNNNNNNNNNNNNNNNNNNNNNNNNNNNNNNNNNNNNNNNNNNNNNNNNNNNNNNNNNNNNNNNNNNNNNNNNNNNNNNNNNNNNNNNNNNNNNNNNNNNNNNNNNNNNNNNNNNNNNNNNNNNNNNNNNNNNNNNNNNNNNNNNNNNNNNNNNNNNNNNNNNNNNNNNNNNNNNNNNNNNNNNNNNNNNNNNNNNNNNNNNNNNNNNNNNNNNNNNNNNNNNNNNNNNNNNNNNNNNNNNNNNNNNNNNNNNNNNNNNNNNNNNNNNNNNNNNNNNNNNNNNNNNNNNNNNNNNNNNNNNNNNNNNNNNNNNNNNNNNNNNNNNNNNNNNNNNNNNNNNNNNNNNNNNNNNNNNNNNNNNNNNNNNNNNNNNNNNNNNNNNNNNNNNNNNNNNNNNNNNNNNNNNNNNNNNNNNNNNNNNNNNNNNNNNNNNNNNNNNNNNNNNNNNNNNNNNNNNNNNNNNNNNNNNNNNNNNNNNNNNNNNNNNNNNNNNNNNNNNNNNNNNNNNNNNNNNNNNNNNNNNNNNNNNNNNNNNNNNNNNNNNNNNNNNNNNNNNNNNNNNNNNNNNNNNNNNNNNNNNNNNNNNNNNNNNNNNNNNNNNNNNNNNNNNNNNNNNNNNNNNNNNNNNNNNNNNNNNNNNNNNNNNNNNNNNNNNNNNNNNNNNNNNNNNNNNNNNNNNNNNNNNNNNNNNNNNNNNNNNNNNNNNNNNNNNNNNNNNNNNNNNNNNNNNNNNNNNNNNNNNNNNNNNNNNNNNNNNNNNNNNNNNNNNNNNNNNNNNNNNNNNNNNNNNNNNNNNNNNNNNNNNNNNNNNNNNNNNNNNNNNNNNNNNNNNNNNNNNNNNNNNNNNNNNNNNNNNNNNNNNNNNNNNNNNNNNNNNNNNNNNNNNNNNNNNNNNNNNNNNNNNNNNNNNNNNNNNNNNNNNNNNNNNNNNNNNNNNNNNNNNNNNNNNNNNNNNNNNNNNNNNNNNNNNNNNNNNNNNNNNNNNNNNNNNNNNNNNNNNNNNNNNNNNNNNNNNNNNNNNNNNNNNNNNNNNNNNNNNNNNNNNNNNNNNNNNNNNNNNNNNNNNNNNNNNNNNNNNNNNNNNNNNNNNNNNNNNNNNNNNNNNNNNNNNNNNNNNNNNNNNNNNNNNNNNNNNNNNNNNNNNNNNNNNNNNNNNNNNNNNNNNNNNNNNNNNNNNNNNNNNNNNNNNNNNNNNNNNNNNNNNNNNNNNNNNNNNNNNNNNNNNNNNNNNNNNNNNNNNNNNNNNNNNNNNNNNNNNNNNNNNNNNNNNNNNNNNNNNNNNNNNNNNNNNNNNNNNNNNNNNNNNNNNNNNNNNNNNNNNNNNNNNNNNNNNNNNNNNNNNNNNNNNNNNNNNNNNNNNNNNNNNNNNNNNNNNNNNNNNNNNNNNNNNNNNNNNNNNNNNNNNNNNNNNNNNNNNNNNNNNNNNNNNNNNNNNNNNNNNNNNNNNNNNNNNNNNNNNNNNNNNNNNNNNNNNNNNNNNNNNNNNNNNNNNNNNNNNNNNNNNNNNNNNNNNNNNNNNNNNNNNNNNNNNNNNNNNNNNNNNNNNNNNNNNNNNNNNNNNNNNNNNNNNNNNNNNNNNNNNNNNNNNNNNNNNNNNNNNNNNNNNNNNNNNNNNNNNNNNNNNNNNNNNNNNNNNNNNNNNNNNNNNNNNNNNNNNNNNNNNNNNNNNNNNNNNNNNNNNNNNNNNNNNNNNNNNNNNNNNNNNNNNNNNNNNNNNNNNNNNNNNNNNNNNNNNNNNNNNNNNNNNNNNNNNNNNNNNNNNNNNNNNNNNNNNNNNNNNNNNNNNNNNNNNNNNNNNNNNNNNNNNNNNNNNNNNNNNNNNNNNNNNNNNNNNNNNNNNNNNNNNNNNNNNNNNNNNNNNNNNNNNNNNNNNNNNNNNNNNNNNNNNNNNNNNNNNNNNNNNNNNNNNNNNNNNNNNNNNNNNNNNNUUGAUAUACAAAUAUUAUUGGAUGAUGUAAUAUGUUACAAAUUAAUUCAUAAGCAUUAUGAAAAUAUAAGUUAAAUGUAAUAUGAUUAUUAUAUUUAUGGACAAUUUACACAGGUUAGUCUUAUUUAUUAAUAAGCAUUACAAAAAUCUACAAACUAAUCAACAAAAAACAACCAUAUCUUCCAUAAUCAUUUACAAUGAUGUGACACCAUAAAUUAAAGGUGAUACAUUUAACGUGACACCAUAACUCAAAGAUGAUGCAUUUAAUAUGACACCUUAUAUAUUUCAUACAACUCUAUAUCAAAUUAAGCAUCACUAAAAAUAUAUGGUGUCUCUUCUAAAUGUGUCACCAUUUAUUUGCUUUGGUGUUGCUUCCAAAUACAUCACCAAUUGAUACCCUCUAUGGUGUCAGUGGAUAAGGUGACGCUAUGUUGUAGUGACACCCUAUGUUUAUAGUGACUUAUUAUAAAUGUCACCAUAUAUCUUUUUCCUUGUAGUGAAUGGAAGUAUAAAUUUUAAAAGGAUUCUCUGUGAUUAUAGGAUUUAAUUCUAAUACUCUUAUACGUAGCCAAGGGUCAUUGGACUCAUGGCAGCACACAAACAUAUCCCCUUGUAUCUAUGGAAAUUGACAUGCAAAAUACAAAUAUUUCCUCUUACAUCCCUAUUGUGUUAUAGCAUGAGUAUGAAUGUGUAUUGUCAUCUUAAGCAAACUAAUGUUGUUGCCAAUUUUUCUUGGACGCUUUUUUUAAAAAUAAAAAUAAAAUAAUGUAAGGCUAUAUAGCAGAUUCAAUUGAUAUUUUUUUCAUCUUGUCCUACAUAUGAAAAUUACAAGUAGUUCAAGAAUCCUUGUUGAAUGAAAUUGACUGAAAACAAAUCUUAUUUAUGUAAAUUCUCAAAUACUUACAACAAGAAGCCCAAACCCCCACCCCAUCUUCAUGAACUUCAUAACAAAAUACUAUAAUCCUCCCUAUGAAAUAGAACUAAUUAAUUUAAUAUCAAUAAAUCCAAAUUGCUUUCAACAUCAGGCACAAGGAGGGAUUUGAAAGUUUGUGGUUUUAUACAAUAGAACCAUCUAGAGGGAGGUUGAAUAGAUAAUCUUUUAUUAUUAGCUCAAAAACUUCAAUUUUUAUUUUAUUGUAUUGAGUUAUAUAAUUGUUAAUGUUUAAACAUCUUAUAUCGUAAAACUACUUGGAGGUGAUUUAGUGUCUUUAUGUAUUGGCAAUUCUAGGUUGAAAUUUUCAUUGUAUUCGCCUAACUCAGUUACUUCAAAUCCUUCUUCAAACUCUUGUCAUUCCUAAAUUGCUCAUAAUUGAAGAUUGUUAAAGGAGAUAGUUGGUGUUCUUGAGGCAAUUGAUGAUAUUAAACAUUGAUCAACCGAGUUUUAAACUUUUAUUCUUUUGCUGAAAAUUGGAGUUGAAGUUUAAGGAUAUCAAAUUUUGUAUUUAAAUUAUUUGGAUCAAUUACUAAUUGAUCAUGCUAAAAGGUAACAAUUUAUGUUGUAACAUGAAUUUUACAAUCUCAUCUUAUCUAUUAGAAUUUGAUCAAAUCUAUAAAAUCUUUAUUUUUUCCAAACAAAUCUGAGUUAUUAGAUGGAGAUUAAAACCUUAGUAUUUAAGCCCCUUUUUUUUAGAAAAGGCUUUAACAAUUGUAAGAGCUAGGUGGCUUUCUUGAGCUUCAAAUUCUUUAUCUAUUUUGGGAUGUUUGGUUUGAUUUUUUUUUUUAUUUUUUUUUUAUGGGUUUUAAGUUAAAAAUCUUUCAAAAUGAGUUGAUUCAAUAUAGGUUUCAUUCACACUCUUGCAUUUGUCAUCUUUAGGAUAAAAUCUAAAUUUCUUCUUAUGUAGGUUCAAGAAAAGGUCGAAAGUUUGGUGUGAACUUUAAGUAUGCUUUAAAAGAAGAAAGUGGGUAACUUAAGUUUGAAGGUACUAGGCAAACAAUUCCAAAGAGGAUUGAAGGUUUGAGUUAAGUAAAUCCUUGUAUUCAGUUUUUUUUUUCAUAGUGUUUGUUUUUUUUUAUCAUCUAUAGGCCUGUGAUAGUUUACCUAUUCAAAGGUUUUGUAUAUUAAAUCUUGUUGUUAUUAUCUCUUUAUUUCUAUCUUAUAUUUUCAUUAGUCUAUGUUGUGUCUAUGAAAGUUCCAUUGAUUUGUUAUAUAUGUUGGUUGAUUGAGAAAAUGAACUAAAAAAUGAUCAUUUAACCUUUGGCAUAGUAUGAAAUAAUUUAUGAUUUAGUAUUAAUGAGAAUUAAAACUUUGUAAAUUAUCAAAACUAUGUAGAUUUGAGCUCAGAUGUUGAAGCAUCUCUUAAAGGCAGUUGAGGUGCUCUCAACACUUGACUAUCACUUGAGCAUCUUUUUAAGACUCUAGGGUAUGCUUGAAGCUCAACUUCAAAAUUUUAUUUUUUGAUUAAAAUAAACACCUACUUUUUCAAUUUUCAUAUUGUCUACUUCAUGUAUUCUUAAAUCAUCAUUAUCCUUUUUGUAACUCCCAAUAUUUAUUAGCAUCUUUCUGAGUUGAUUCUACAACAAUCUUGCAUCUUCAAAAGAAGUGGAAGUCAAUGGAACCAAAUUGUCAACCUAAUCUAAAUAGAUUAAUGUACCAUCACUUUAAUUAGGAUAUAAUUAAUCAAUUAAAAAAAUAGCAUUUAAUCAUAUAAAGAAAUAUAUGAUUUAUGUGAAAAAACCACCAAUAAAGCAUCCUAGAGACCUUACAUAUAUAAAAGUCAUAGGGUUCAUAGAUUGUCAAGUUAAAUUCACUAAAUAUGAAGAAUAAGUACAUAGAUUUAGCUAGUAAUUAUUACUCUCCCUCAAACUUAUAUUGGUAGUCACCAAUUCUCAAUUCCAUAACAUAGUUACUUCCAUGCUGCUUAGUGGAUUGCUCAUGACCUUAAGGGAAUGUGAUAGACAAUGUGAACUAAAAACAAGGCAAGCUCAUUAAGAUGUUCCUUUUUAAUGCAUAAGGUGUGCAAUAAAAUGAGAUCGAGAAUCCUAUGCUUUGAGAGAAGGAUACUACAGUAAAAAAUGGUACCCAAAUACUAUUGAAUGACAACAUAGCUCUUGUUGCUCCUUUAUUUUUAUUUAUUUUAUUUUUUUAUUUUUGUAAUUAUCUCUUUUUUUGUUUUGAUAUCAACAUUAGAAAUAUAGAAGUCCAGAAAUUUUUUUUAGUGCUUGCAUAUUGAAGGUUCAUGCUAUAAGAGUUGGAAAAACUUGAAUAGAAACUCCCUUGAAUGAUGUAUCAAAGCUCAAUGUAUCAAUGUUAACAUAAACAUUUGAGUAGAGUAGGAUAACAUUUCUAUGUCAUAUGAAGAAAUAUACUAAAAGGGAACCAUGAAUACGAUUGGAGAAAUAUAUAUUAUAAUUUAGAGGAUUAUUAUGGUCUAUUGGUCAUAUUCAAAUGGAAGUAAUAUGGUAAUCAAUAUUUCCAUGUCAUUUGAAGAAACAUAAUAAGAGGGAACCAUGCAUGGAUAUGAUUUGAGAAAUAUAUAUUAUAAUUUAGAGGAUUACUACCUUAUAUUGGUUAUAUUCAAAUGAAAGUAAUAUGGUAAUCAAUAUGUAAUCGGUAAGAAAAUAGGUUAUGAACAAGUCAUAUUAUAACUACCUCAAAAAUCAAUAAUACAAGGAUGAAAGAGGUAUACUGAGGAAGGGUCACACCUAAAGGAUCACUUUAUUAGCACAAGUAGGAAAAUGUUAACAUAGGGUUAUGCAUUUAAGUGUAACAUGAUUGAAUUUUAUUACAAUGUCUAAAAUUUAAAUAAUUGCAUACCUCUUUUCUGAUUUUGCUCAUGCCAUUAAGAUUUUUUAUCCACAAGAAACAACCUAUAUUACAAAAAAUGGAAAAAUUAUUUUAGAAUAGUAAGAAAUUUAGGGUUCUUAUAAAUAAAAAAGAAUAUAAUUUUUUAAUACUUAAAAAAAAAAUUCCAAAGGUAAGAAUCUAAAAGCCUAUUUGAUUGUGUGAUUUAAAAACAAUUUUCUGUUUUUAAAAAUAGAAAAUUGUUUUUAAAAAUUUCUAAUUAACAUUGUUGGGUUGUCAUUCUCUAAAAACAAUUUUUAAAAACAAAGUGAAAUAGAUAAUAAUUUUUAGAGAAUAAAUAUGAAUUGUUUUCACUAGUUUUUACAAAUAAAAGAAAAAUGUGGAUUCAUUUGGGUUAUGUUUUUUUAAACUUGUUUUUUAUUCUUCAACUUAAAAAUAAUUUUUAAAAACAAAUUUAAGAAAAUAUGGCCAAAAAAACCCUAAAUGUUUACAGUAAUUUUCUAAUUUUUCAUCUCAUAAGCAAUCAAACUCUAACAUCUCACUAUUAACGUAUUAGAAAUGCAUUAUCAACUUUUUAAGUGAUACAACAUUUUGCAUAUUAAAGGGAAUGUAUAAUUAUAAAAUUAUUUUCAUAGGACAAAUACCUUUUUAAACAUAUGAGCAACCUAAUUCUGAAAAAGAGAAAAAAAGAAUGAUAAAGAGCACAAUAUUUUUUUUUUGUAUAGUGCUUAAAAAUUAGUUAAAACAACAAAUAAAAAAUAUUAAUUUACUGAAAGAUCUAAGUUUUUGAAACAUAUUAAGAAUCCAUUGUGUAAGUUGAACAAUUAAACAAGAAUUCAAAAUUAUCCUAUUGUAUUUUAAACUGGAAGUAGCUAGAUACUCACGAGGUUUAUCAAAAUCUUGUCUCUAUUCUCCAUAGAUCAUAAAUAAGUUAAAGAAAAAAUAAAACCAAGAAGAAAAAAAUACUAUAAGAUAUAUUUAUUCCAAGCUCGUCGAAAUACUGAGAGCACCCAUUUACAAAAUUGUAUUCCCGUCAUGUAACAAUUGAAUCCAACUCAUGUGACUCAUUGUUUUUUUUUUCUCAAAAACAAGUUUUUUUAAUUGCAAAAGAAAAAAGACUUAUCUGUUGAUGGUCUUGAAGUAAUUCAAAGGAUAGCCCUCAGAGGUAGGUACCAAAAACCACAAUAUCAAAAGAUGGUAAAACUAAUAAUAUAUGAAGAGUCGGUACAUUAAGUGAGAUUUUUUUAUAAGAGUACUGUAGUUUUAGAAAAUAAUUCUCAAACUACCGUAGUAGGAAAAAUAAUUCCAAAUCCACCGUAAUUUUUGUCAGGUAUGAAAGAUGAAUUUUUUUUUUAAAUCGUCUCUUCAAAAUACUAUUUAUAACAUUUUAAAAAAAAAUUUUAAAUCAUCUUUCUAAAAUAUGAGAAAUUGUCUCUUGAAAAUACAACUUUGGAAAAAAAAAAGAAGAUGAUUUUCAGAAGAAAGAAAAACUAAGAAGUAAUAAAUCAUCUCUUGAAAAGACGAUUUUUCACCAACAAUUUUCACAAAAAAAAAUUCAUAAAAAAAAGAAAAAGAGAAAACUUCAAAAAUCCAUUUUUCCAUUCCCUACUAUACUUAUACAAUAAUACAAUUAUUAUAAAUAUAUAUUAUAAAAUUAAUUAAUUUUAUUUACUAAAUUUAAUAUUUUUUCUAUUAUUUUUUUCUAAAAAAAAAAUUAUUAUUAAUUUAUUAAAAAAAUAAAAAAUUGAGAAAUUGUCUCUUGAAGAGACGAUUUUCACCAAAAAAUAAAAAAAAAGAAUAAAAAUAAAAAUUCAAAAAUCAAUUUUUCCAUUCUCUGUCAUACUUAUACAAUAAUAAAAUUAUUAUAAAUAUAUAUUAUAAAAUUAAUUAAUUUAUUUACUAAAUUUAAUAUAAGAUAAAUAAUAUUUAUCUAUUAUUCUUUUUUCUUUCAUUUUGGAAAAAAAAUAUUAUCAAUUUAUGUGAAAAAUGAGUUUAAAAAAUAAAUUUAUUAUUAAUUUAUUAAAUAAUUAUUUACAAAAUAAUUAAUUUUGUUUUUUUAUUUUAAAAUUAAUUUUAUUAUAUAAAUUUUAAAUUUUAAAAUAUUAAUCUUUAAGUUAAAAUUUUACUAUAAAAAAUGAAUAAUUUCACAUAUUUUUAGGCGAAUUUUACUUAUCAUAAGGCCUCCACUACACACAUCAUUUCCCCUAAUCCAAUAAUGCACUACACCCAUAGACCAUAGGAGAAUCUUACCUAGUACACUCUAUCACUUCAUACACUAUUACACUACAAUUCCAUUACAACACUCAACCAAUUUGACAAGAGUUUGAAGUAUUGUCAUUUCUUUUUAAAUGUUUAAAUACUCCACCAAUUUGAUCGUUUCAAGUAUUGUCAUUUCUUUUAAAACAUUCAAACGUGUGUAUAUAUAUAUAUAUACACACACCCCAUAUCCUACACACUAUACCCAUUCUACCUCUUCCCAACUUCACUUACAAUAUAAAUCAAUUUCAAACUUCUUCAUCCUCAUUUUCUCUUUCUUCCCCAUUUGAAACCAAGUUUUUCACUUUCCAUCGCUUUUAUCCAAAUCUCCCAUUUCUCUUUGUGGAACUUCUGGGUAUAUCUCCUAUUUUUUCUUCAAACACUCACACUGUUUAUCUUGAAAGGUAAUAUUUUUGCUUUAUUUUUAUUUCAAAUUAUUUUGUAAUAUAUGGUUUUUAUUAUUAUAUAAGUUUUAAAAUUUAUUUGGAUUAUGCAAUAUUUGUUUGAAUAAUAUUUAUUGGAAAUUAUUAUUUUAAAUAGAUUAAAUCAUUAAAAAAUAAAUAAAAGUUAUAUUAUUUUAUUUUUAGAUAAUAUUUUUGCCCUUGUUUCAUAUUUAUUUUGUAAUGCAUGAUGGAUAUUUAUUGUUAUACAUAUAUUAAUUUAUUGGAUUUAUGUUAAUUUUUUUAGAAUAUUAUUUGUUGUAAAUUAUCAUUAUAUAAUUCAAAAAAUAAAAGUGGUAUUAGUUUAUUUAAUUAAUAUGGAAUAAUAGGAUUAUUGAUUAUGUUUAUCAAUCAAAUAAUAUGUUUUAUAAAAUAAUAAAAUUAAAAAUUAAAAAGAAAAUAAAAUAUUAGUAAAAUGAGAAUGGAAAAUAAUAAUAAUAAAAUAAUUAUAUAUCUAUGUAUUUGCAUAAAAUAUUAUUUUAAAAAUAUUAAAGUCUAAAAAAUAGAAAUACAACAUUAUCUGACAUUAUGAAUUUAUUCUAUAUAUUUUUUUAAAAUUAAUGUUAGCCUUAAAUCAUUGAAAAAAUUGUUGUAAAAAUAAAAAUAUAAAUAAAAGUAGAAGUAAAACUAAAAUGUUAUUUGAUAUAUUUAAAUGAAUAUUUAAAUGUAUAGAAUAUAAAAUAAAAAAGUAAUGGUGUAUAAUAUAAAAUAGUAACCGUGCGUAUUAAAUGUAUAUAAUAUGUAAAUUUAUAUUUAAAAUGUUAAAUAAUAGCCAUAUUGUGGAUCCCGCAUUUCGGCUCAUGCGAUUUCCACUCGAUGACAAGUUCGAUUUUUAUUCGAAAAUGAUUUUAUUUAUUAAAAAAAAAUAUGACUUGAAGUCGCUACUUAUUUUUGUUUUAUUUUUAAAAGGGUAAACAAAAUAAGAAAGAAAACCCUAAGCGUGACUCCUUAUUUUGGAAAAUGUGGUCUGUGAAAAACCGGAUCAGGCUCGGGGGUCAGGUUACUUAUUGGGAAGGUACGGUAAAGACCGUAGCACCCCUCUAAGUCCCUAAAGUCGGGUCUCUACUAAUAAAAUGAAGCUGACGUGGCAAUCAAUAGGAAAAUCAAUGGAUACUCAAAUUAAUCAUGCACAUAUGGGAAUCAAAAGCAUGCAUAGAGAAUGAACAGAACGGGAGUGGAUGCGUACUUGGAACAUGAACGAGCGAUACGUUAUCAUAAAAAUAGAGUCGGUGUACAAUAAAGAAUACAAAACAUGUCACAUGCAUUACCAAACAAUGAUUAAGCUGUUCGAGGGAGGAUUGAAAUUUAUUCGAGGAUUGGAGUCUUAGAGAUUAUUUAAAAAUCGAAUUUUUAGGAAUUAAAUAUAAGAAUGAGAAUUUUAGAAAUUAAAUUAGAAAUAAAUUGGGACUUCGAGAUUUAUUCGAGAAUUGGAGAUUUGCAAAAUAAAUUUAAGGACUGGAAUUUCUAAAAUUAAAUUUGAAAGAAAUUGGAACUUUGGAAAUUAUUUGGGAGUUUGGGAUUUUUAAGAAUUAUUUGAGAAUGAAUGAAAAUUCGAUUUGAAAGAAAUUAGAGUUUCAAAAUUUACUUGAAAGUGAAAUUUUAGAAAUUAAAUUCGGAAUUAUGGAAUUUUUGGAAAAUUAAGUCUUAAAAAUUUGAAUCUUGGAAAGUUAAAUUUAAAAUUAGAAUUUGAAAAUUAUUCCGAGAAUUGAAUUUUGAAGAAUUAAAUCUAAAAAUUGGAGCUUUGGAAAAUUAAAUUAAGAAUUUGAGUUUUGAAAAUCAACUUUAGAAAUUGAGGAUUCGAAAAAACAUUCAAAAGUGGAGACCUUGAAAAUUAGAUUUAAGAAAAGAAUUUUGAGAAAUUAAACUUUGGGAAUAAAGAUUUUGAAAGUUAAAUUCGAAAAUUAAAAAAAAAAAAUGGAAAGUUAAACCUUGAUAUCAAAGAGGAAGAAUUUGAAUAAAUGAAUAAAUAAACAAAUAUAUAUAUAUAUAUAUAUAUAUAUAUAUAAAAGAAUAAAAUGGAGGUGGUCGUUGGGGGUGCGGGCCAAGGGUGGCCCCGUGAAGUGACAUGAUCACCUCAUGAUUACCAUCUCCCUAAACUUUAAGCUCCGCCAUACCAAAUAACCGCAAUCAGUCCAACGGUCUCUGAUGAUCGAGAGUUGUUUCAUCAAGAGAGGGUAUUUCUCCAUUGAUUUUAGGAACAUGAGGAAUAGAGACCAUCUGAUUUAAUAUUUUGCCUACUUCACCAUCGAGUGCAUUCUCAUCUGUCAGAUCUAGAGAAUAUGACCAACCCUCCCCAUUGUGUGACUUUUCGUCAGGACUAGAACAUGAACUAGAAAGUCCCAUACCAUCUAUAUCUUUCUGGCCGCUCUCAUGCCUAAAUCCAUAAUUUUCCAUAGAUUGAUCGGGCCAUUCUUUUGGAAGAAUAGAUACUUGCAAAUCCUCUACCACUUCAUGUGAAAAUCUAGCUGUUUCGUCAAUAGCAAGUUGUGAUAGUUCUUCUUAAAGAGCAUGUUCGAUAAUCUCACCAUUCUCCGCAUUGCCACAUUCAUUAUCAUAACGAUCUUCCUUUAAAUGUUAUCCAUCAUAAUAACUUACAUCAUUUUGCACAAUGGUGCCACCAUACCCGCACUUAGAAAACGGAUCAUCAUCAGAAGCCGGAGACCCCACCGAACAACAAUAGGAUCUUGCCCACAUGCGAUCAUUUGCAAUGAUAUCAAUGUCGGCUGCAUUGAUCUUGACAGCAGCUAAUUCUUUCUCCUUCAUUCUCAUGGCAUUCUCGUUAGCAUCGGUCGACAUAAUGACAAUAAGCAGUUUUUGAGGUUCUUCUUGAAUUUUAUCAAGGAGAUAUCGUCCAUCCAUGCAGCUGCCCCAUUAUUUUACUUUGACCGGGACCUGAAAAACUUGCCUCACUAUUCAUUCCCGCAUNNNNNNNNNNNNNNNNNNNNNNNNNNNNNNNNNNNNNNNNNNNNNNNNNNNNNNNNNNNNNNNNNNNNNNNNNNNNNNNNNNNNNNNNNNNNNNNNNNNNCAAGCAUGACAAUAUUAAGAUCCAACUCUAGGUAUUGAUUCAAAAGUAGUGGCUUAGGAGGCAUCGAUAUUAUUUUGAGUGUAUGGAACGUUCUCAAAAGUGAACUAUGCCCACAGAUCGGAGUAACAAAACCUGUAUUAGGCAAUGCUGUCAGCUUGCAGGGAGUCUUUCAUGACUGCUUAAACUCGAAUUCGGGCAUCUUAAAGUACCACAACAUGGCCAUAGUUGAAACUCCCAAACCCGAAGAGAGUUAGUUGAGGUUCCAGAUAAAGAAAAUUGGUGCGCUUGAGCUCAUCAGGUGCAGAAGGUAUGACCUUAACCGAUUCGGUGGGUUUGGGGUUGUAAGGUUUAGUGGUUGGAAUGUUUUGGUAAGAAGAAUAGGAUGAGAGACUAGUUGAGCUAAGGGAUCAAAGUUGAGUUGUAUCUGAUGGGUGAUCCAGAUGACGGUUUUCUUCUUGUUAAGUGCAACAGAUGAAAAGUUGGAUGGGGUAUGAGGAGUAUUUGGCUUUUGGUUUAUGCUCGGUAUAGAACAAAUGUCAUGGGAAUGCGUUGAAAGGAUGCUAGGGAAUCGUACGUACGUGUACACAGCAUCUGCGUGGGAGGCUAGAGAAAUAAUGGGUGGGAAAAGAAAACGGGUCAAACGUAAGGGGUGAUUUGAAGAUAGUGAGAGAAUGAAAUAAGUGUGUAUGCUUGUGGUGGUUAUCGAAAAUGUGAGGGGUGGGGAGUGUGAUAGCUUCAAUGGGUAUGAGAAUAGGGAUAAGCCGACAGGGAGCACGAUAGAGGGUGGAUUUUGCAAAAGGUCUUGUGGGCCAUGCAAAGGUGGAAGAGAUGGGGUACAUGGUAGGUAUUGAAAAAUGGUGUGUGGUGUAGAGAGAUGAAACGGGAGGUGAGCAGUGAGUGGGAUGUAGGGGUAAAAGGGUGGCCAUGCACACAUGUGGAGUAAACCCAUCAAUAUUGCACUUCCCAAUUCAUCCCGUGGCCGAUGAAUACAACAUCCCGGUGCUACUUCUCAUACCCAUUUUGCAUUUUCUGAAUGUCAACACCUGAAUAUAGCUUUGAAUGCUGAAAAGGUGGCGACAAACACCCGAUCAUGAUAGGAUGAUGGCUCUGAAUGUCAAGCUGGGAAGGAAUGGUGGCUUUGAAGGCCCAAACCGAGAAGAUAUGGUGGCUUUGAAUGUCAAACUGCGGAGAAUGAUGGCUCUGAACGCCCGAAUGUGAGAACGACGGCUCCUUGAACGCCUGAAACUGUGAAGAGGUAGUGGCUCUGAACGUUGAACUAAAAAGAGAUGAUGGCUCUGAAUGUCGAAACUGAAGAUGCAAUGAUGAUGGCUCUGAACGCCGAAACUGAAAAUGUGACUCUUAACAUCAAAUUGAAAAUGCGAUGAUGGCUCUGAACGCCGAAACUGAGAAGCGACGAUGAUGGCUCUGAACGCCAAAACCAAAAAUGCGAUGAUGAUGGCUUAGAGUGCCGAAACUAAAAAUGCGACUCUGAACGUCAAGUUGAAAAUGUGAUGAUGAUGACUCUGAACACCAAAACUAAGAGGCGAUAAUGAUGGAUCUGAAUGCCGAAACCAAAAAUGCGAUGAUGAUGGCUCUGAACGCCGAAACUGAAAAUGCGACUCUGAACGUCAAGCUGAAAAUGUGAUGAUGAUGGCUCUGAACGCCGAAACUGAGAAGCGAUAAUGAUGGCUCCGAACGCUGAAAGAAAAAAUGAGAUGAUGAUGGCUCUGAACGCUGAAACUGAGAAGCGGUGAUGAUGGCUCUGAAUGCCAAAACGGAAAAUGAUAUAAUGACCCUGAAUGCCGAACUAUGAACAUGGCUUUGAAUGCCAAACUGCGAAUAAAUGGUGGCUUUGAACGCCAAACUAAAAAUAAUAGCCAUGAAUGCUAAGCAAAAACAACGGCUGUGAACGCCAAUGAUAACUAUGAAUGUCAAGCUGAGAAANNNNNNNNNNNNNNNNNNNNNNNNNNNNNNNNNNNNNNNNNNNNNNNNNNNNNNNNNNNNNNNNNNNNNNNNNNNNNNNNNNNNNNNNNNNNNNNNNNNNCAAAAACAACUGGCUGUGAACGCCAAUGAUAACUAUGAAUGUCAAGCUGAGAAAGACAACUUUAAACGUCGUAAUUGAGAGGACAUGGUGGCUUUGAACACCAGGCUGAAAAUGGAUGACUUUGAACAUCAUAACCGAUAAUGGAUGGUGGCUCUAAAUGCCAAACUGUAAGGAAAUGAUUAGGGGGGGGGGGGGGGGGGNNNNNNNNNNNNNNNNNNNNNNNNNNNNNNNNNNNNNNNNNNNNNNNNNNNNNNNNNNNNNNNNNNNNNNNNNNNNNNNNNNNNNNNNNNNNNNNNNNNNAGUCUCAUGACCCGCUCGAUGAAAUCACGAGGUUUGUCGGAGUGUCGCAAUAAGCCGAACUCCUCUAACUCAUAAUGCUCUGCCGAAAGAAUCUAUCGUCACCCCGAACGGAUAAUCCGAUAGUCUUAGGGAGUAGUCUGGUAAGAGACAUACCACGAUCUUGACAUAACAAUCUACUGAAUAGUCUUGGCUAGUGAGGCUAUCAAAACCCGAAUAUCGUGCUCCACUGAAAGCUCAUCUCGACGAAAAGCACAGGAAUAGUGACCAGUGAAGCAAAUGCAAUAUCUCUUGACUGAGUAAUGAAAACUAUAAUAGAUCUGUGAGAGAAUGAUCAUCUCCAUAGCUAAAGGAGGGAAAUAUGCCCCAGUAUGGCAUCAGAUAUAUCCAAUCUGUCCUAAUAACUCAAGAAUAACUCUAUGGGGACAUACAAAGGAUCUAACAUGUACUCCACUGAAAUAGUGACGCAGGCAUCCACGCGCCUGAGAUAACUCCUUCUAAGAAUCACGACUAUAUCAGAAAACGUGAAUCUGGCUGAAAGACUCAAGAGAGGCUCCAUGGAGUAUCAGGACACAAUGAAAUCGAAUCAUCAACCCGAUGUGUAUCUCAAAAUCGAGGGUGAUCAUGCGAAUCAGUGGGGGAUGUACAAAUCUCGACUGAAAUGGGGAAUACACCCCAGUGUGGCAUCAUAAAUGUGACAAGUCGGAAAGUCAGAUGAGCUCAAAUCAUCCAUCAUCGAAUUCGUGAUCCAAGUCAUCCAUGUCUAUAACUGAAUCAGACCCACAGAUCAAAGGGGCGUCUCCCAGAAGGAAAGCAUGAUGACAUCUAAGUGUCGAGAAGUGCAGGCCUAACUGGGCAAUUCCCAAGAGGCUCCAUUGAGGAAUCAUCAUAAAGAUACCGAAUAGAUCAUCGUCUCGAUGUACGUCUUGCAAAUGGGGAUAAGCGCGUAACUCCACCAAGAUCUAUAAAUCUCAUCCUGAAUGGUAAUAUGCCCCAGUAUGGCAUCAAACAUAUGAUAGGUCGGAGACCGGGCAACAUGAAAUCAUCUAUCAUCGAACAUGCGACAUCUGUGAAGAUCCAUAAAUCUCAUCUAAAAUGGAAAAUAUGCCCUCGUAUGGCAUCAGGUGCAUAAUAGGUCAAAAGAACAAGUGACAUGAAACCAUCUCUCAUCAAACAUGUGACCUCUGUGAAGAUCCGUAAAUCUCAUCUGAAACGGAAAUAUGCCCCAGUAUGGCAUCGGAUGUGUGACAGGUCAGAAGAACAAGUGACAUGAAACCAUCUCUCAUCAAACAUGUAAUCCUGGUCAUCCGAAUCCAUAACUGAAUCAUGCCCACAGAUCUAAGAUGUACCUCCCGGAUGGAGAAGCAUGAUGGCAUCUAAGUGCCGAGAAGUGCGGGCCUAGCUAGAUGGCUCUCGGCAGGCUCCACUGAGGAAUCAUGAUAAGGUAACGAUCAUGUCCACGUCUUAGUGAGCAUCUAGUAAGUGAUGAUGAUCGUGCAAGUCCAUGAGGAUCCAUAAACCUCUAAAUGAAAUGGGAUAUGCCCUAGUGUGGCAUCAGAGGUACGAUAGGUCAAAAAUCGGGUGACACCAAAUCAUCCAUCGUCAAACACAUAAUCCCGGUAAUUCGAACACAACUGAAUCGGACCUACACAUCAAAGAGGCGACUCCUAGAAGAAGGAAGCACGACGAUAUCUAAAUAUCAACCAGAUCUCAAACACUCGUCCAAGUAGAGGCUGUCAAAGAUGACAUCUGAUCCCAUGACCUCAGGGUGGUCUUAAGACAUGGGACGUAACGUAGGCCAAGGUGAUAAGGUGAUAGAAAUGAAGGAAAACUAGACUCAAAUACCCAAUGAUCAAAAACCCACGCCCUCAUAUAUGAAAUGCAACAUGUAUAAUGAAUCUCGUGAGCCAUGGACCUAAGGAUGCCUAACAUGAAUAUGAUGUCGAUAAGGAGACAAAUAAAGCAAAAUGAACUGAUAGUGAUAUGUGUAAUGAUGAUGUGAAGAGAGUAUCAAACCCGAGAUGGGUUGCUGUAAGAAAAGAAUAAGACGUGAAGUGAAAAUGAUGAAUCCAAAGCGAAAACGAGGAUGAUGAUGAAACAAAUAACACAAAGAGGAGUAGUGAUCAACUCAAAUCAGACAUGGAGUGAAGUCACAUCAACAAUGAACGUAAUGAUGGAAGGGACAAUGACCCAGAGCUCCUAAGAGAAGGUCACUCAUCUCGCUCUCAAAAUAUACAAUAAAAAUGAAUACAAAGCAUAGAGGGUCUCAGAAAGCUCACAUACGAACUCCCAUCAACAAACAUACUCAAUCAAGUCACCCUCGAACAUCAACAUACACACUCAAUGAUAGAAAAUAAUACACAUGCGUUUUGUUUUUUUUUUUUUUACAUAUAUACAAAUGUACACACCUUGAACAUGAACAAAAUAAGCCUAAAUAUGAUAUCAAUAAUGGAUAGACGCUAUCUCGAAAGCUAAGGUAACAAAAACCCUCUUUGACAAGAUAACCUUUUCAAACUAAGAAUCUCUGAACCAGUGUCCGUUGGAUAGAUAGUGGUAAUGAUAUGACUACCCUCCAUGUAAUGAACUGAGGAAGAUCACCACUCGGGGUGGAAAGAAUAUGAAGCAAAACAAGUAGUAGAUAGAAUAAAGAAGAAUAGAUGAAGAACACAACCAAUGAGAUACAAUGGAAUGCAGUGAUGCAAUGAUGAGAAGAGAUAAUGAGAAGAAUGUGCCCCUCGGUCCAAGGCUCAUGAAACUUCCAAACAAUGAAUGCAUACACCAAAAGGGCCCCUAUCCCGGUGUGAAAAUGUGAGCAAGGCGAUAAGAAAGAAAUGCUAUAAUGCUCAUGCGAGGCUCAAUGGGCUAGCAACAGACUAUAUAUCAAAAGGGAAUAACAAGGUAUAUGGCUAACUGAAAUGACGGCCACCAUCCUACGACCAUGGUGUCAAACAUAGUACCUCUUUAGCUGAUCCAUAUUGGUCGGCUUUGAGAAUCGGUUUCCAUCUAAAUCCAUCAACCAUGCAACAUCCUCUGGGGUCAACUCCCUGAUGAAGUAAGGUUCGCUCCAGUUGGGUCUGAACUUCUUUCUAGGAUCUCUGAUCAAUCCCCUGAUGAUCUUCAGAACCAAGUCACCUAUCCGUAGUGGUCAGAGCUUGACCUGCUUUUUGAAAGUGCGGGCCAUCUUCCUCUGAUAUGCACGAAUGUGGUCGGCUGCUCUCAAUCUCCUCUCAUCUUGGAGAUUGAGCUGAUCAAAUCGAGACUGAGCCCAAUCUGCCUCGAGCAUCUGUUGCUCUAAUGCUACCCUCAAUGAACCCAACUCUAUCUCGACUGGUAGCACUACCUCCAUAUUGUAUACCAAAGAGUAGGGUGUGGCUCCUGUAGAGGUGUGAAAAGAAGUCCGGUAAGCCCACAAUGCGAAAGGAAGCUUCUCAAACCAAUCCCGAGAAGUCUUGAUCAUCCUCCGCAAGAUCCUCUUAAUAUUCUUAUUCACGGUCUCUACUGCCCCGUUCGUCUGCGGCCUGUACGCAGACGACCUAUGGUGUCGGAUGCCAUAUUACCGCACUAAAGUGUCAACCUCUGCCCUGAAAUGUACCCUUCUAUCCGAAAUCAGCUCAUGAGGGACUCCACAGCAACAGAUAAUGUGUGACCUGAUGAAACUAGCCACUCCAGAUGAUGUCAAUCUCGCAUACGAAGCGGCCUCCACCCACUUGGUGAAGUAAUCGAUGGCGACCAGGAUGAACUCAUGACCACUGGAAGAUUUCGGCGAAAUCUUUCCGAUGAUGUCAAUACCCCAUACAGAAAAUGGUCAUGGUGAAGUCAGUGCAUGCAACUCCGAGGACGGCACGUGAAUGAGAUCUCCAUGUAUCUGACACUCGGGACAUCUCUGAACAAACUGGAAACAAUCUAUCUCCAUGGUCAACCAGAAAUAGCCAAUCCUCAUGAUCUUACGGGCCAACAUAUGUCCUCCCAUAUGUGGUCUGCAGACUCUUGCAUGAACCUCUCUUAUCACUCUAUUGGCAGAGGCUCGGUCCAAGUACAAUAAUAGCAUCUCGUCAGCCGAUCGUCUAUACAAUGUCUUGCCACAAAUCACCAAUCCGGUGGCUAACUGUCUCAAUGAUCUCCUAUCCUUGGCCAUGGCAGUCUCAAGAUACACGCCAAGUCUCAGAAAGUGAUAUAUGUCAUGGUACCAGGGCAAACCAUCAUCUAUCUCCGUAUCAUCAAUUAGACAACAGUACGCAAGAGCAGAUCUCGACUCGAUCAACAAUGGGCGAACGGUGACAUCAGUAGGAAUGUCAAUCAUGGAAGCUAGAGUAGCUAAGGCAUCAGCAAACUGGUUCUGCGCUCUAGGCAGAUGGGUAUAUAUCAAAUCAUCGAAUCUCCCAACCAGUAGCUUUAAAUAUGCGUGGUAAGGCCUAAGCUUCACAUUUCUAGUCUUCCAUUUGCCUUGAAUCUGUCUCAAUACUAAAUUGGAGUCACCAAACACCUCUAUCUGUCUAAUCCCGAGCUCUAGGGCCGUUUCUAAUCCCAAGAUACAAGCCUUAUAUUCAACAAUGUUGUUCGUGGCAGGAUGUCGAUCCCAGAAUGCCAAACGAACAGAUCUGGGAAUGUGAUCACCAUGAGGGGAUAUCAACAAGACGCCUAUCCCGUAUCCAGAAUGGUUGGCUGCACCAUCAAAGUACAUGCGCCAACCUGAUAAACUGGUCACAACAGCCACAUCCUCGUCCGGGAAGUCAUCAUCAAUGGCUCUGCCGUCGGAAACUGGUAAAGAAACUAGGUGAUCCACGACAAUGCUCCCUUUGAUGGACUUCUGAGUGACAUAAUGGAUGUCAAACUCGAUUGGAAGUACCAACCAUCUUAUGAGGCGACCAACUAAGGCGGGUUUGUCAAACAAAUAUCUCAGAGGAUCUAAAUGGGAUAUCAAGUGCACUAAAUACUCUAUCAUAUAAUGUCUCAGUUGGCGUGUGGCCCAAACCAAUGCCAAACAGUAACACUCAAUCAUGACAUAUCUUGUCUCAUAGUCUAGCAUCCUCUUACUCAUAUAAUAAAUAGCUCGGUCCUUGCCUGAAUCAUCAAGCUGAGCUAACAUACACCCCAAUGCUACGUCUGAAACUGAUAGGUAUAGGAGUAAGGGACGACCUGGUGUAGGAGGCGCCAAGACUGGAGGUGACAACAAGUACUCUCUGAUCCUCUCAAAUGCACGCUGACACUGAUCAUCCCAAAUAGUAGGUUGACUCUUCCUCAAGAGUCGAAAAAUGGGCUCACAGAUGUCUGUCAAUCUGGCAAGGAAUCUGCUGAUGUACUGAAGUCUACCUAGGAAGCCUCUGACCUCUCUCUCUAUCCUCGGUGCAGGCAUGUCAAGAAUAGCUUUGAUCUUAUCCGGAUCUACCUUUAUGCCUCUUUCAUUGACCAUAUAUCCAAGGAGUUUCCCAGAAGUCACUCCGAAAGUGCACUUCUUGGGAUUGAGUCUCAAUCUGAAUUGUCUAAUCCUCUCAAAGAACCUCUCCAGAGCUGUCAGGUGAUCUGGUCUAUCUUGGGAUUUCACUAUCAUGUUGCCUACAUAAACCUCGACAUCCCGAUGCAUCAUGUCAUGGAAGAGGGUGGUCACCGCUCUUUGAUAAGUGGCUCCUGCGUUCUUCAAUCCGAAUGACAUGACUCUAUAGCAAUAAGUACCCCACUCGGUAAUGAAAGACAUUUUCUCCAUGUCCUCUAAAGUCAUUAAGAUCUGAUUGCAUCCGGAAAAUCCGUCCAUAAAGGACAACAUCGAAUGACCUGCCGUACUGUCAAUUAGCAUGUCGAUGUGUGGAAGAGGAAAAUCAUCCUUAGGAUUGACCUUGCUGAGGUCUCGAAAAUCAACACAGACUUUCACCUUGCCGUCCUUUUUGGGAAUAAGGACGACAUUGGCCAACCACUCCGGGUACUCGACCAUUGAAAAAAAUCCUACACUAAGUUGCUUCUGAAUCUCCUUAUUUACCUGCAAGCUCCAACGAGGAUGCAAUCGUGUCAACUUCUGCUUAACCGGUCUGAUAUGGGGCAGAAGUGGCAAACGAUGCUGGAUGAUAGAUGGAUCAAGGCUUGGCAUAUCCUCAUAGGACCAUGCGAAAAUGUCCAAGUAUGCUAUGAGCAACUGGAUGAGGCUAUCCCUUUCAUCAACAGAUAAAUCUGAUCCGAUCCUUAACUCCCUAGGCUGAUCUGCUGUGCCGAAAUAAAAAAUCUCUAUGUCCCCUACAACAUGUGAAACUCUCUGAUCAAUGGGAUCCGAAUCGGAAAUAGAAGAUGAGUCAUCGUCUGAAUCAUGCUGUGCAAUCUCAUCAUCAAUGUCAAAAAUCUAUGAUGUGGGUGAGGAUGGUGCGGGUAAAGCAAUAACAUGAGAGACAGACAAAUACUAAAAAAUGCUCAAAUCCAUAGAUGAAGAGUCAGAAACAUCGUCAUGACGGGAGACAAAUCCCGAUAAGACAUUAAAGGAAAGAGGUGGGUCCACAAAGUUGGACGCUCUCUUAACUAAGCCAACAAGGCCAUCAAACAAGCCAUCAACAACUAUAACAUCCUCAGCAAUCUCCAGAACGGGGGCGACCUGGAUCUCCUCGACAAUCUCGAGGAUGGACACCCCGAAGAGAUCGAAUGGUGAAGCGAGCUCAAAUGGGGCUAUCUCCUUGAUUUGGCUCAAGCUCAUCGCGAUCAUCUCAUCAACAUACUCGUCAUGUGGCACGACUUUGUCUAAUAUGUUGCUGCUCUCGAAAAAUGUCCAGUAAUCAUCGAUCUCAUCCGAGAAGCAAAGCGUCAUAAGGCUCGUGCGAUCUGGGGAGGAAGGAGUGAUCAACGCAGAAGUUGAAGGGCCAGGGGCUCCGUCACUCAAUCGUAACUGUCGGACGAGGCGCUGAAGCUCGGCCUCCUGGGUGGUGCUAAGUCCUCCGAUGAUCCCAUCAGAUAGUGCAUGUGGCUCCGACGCCCUCACAAAGUAAUCUGUUAGGCUCAUGGUAUAUGGGUGAACAGGAUAAUAAAAUGGAAUAUGGGUCAGUCGAGCCCUCACCCUCUCCUUCGGCAAUCGCUCCAUAUUACGAUAAUCAGCCUCAGUGGGGAUGAACCUGAGUCCGAAUGCUACGUCGUGAUCAAGGAAGGUCAUGAACUCACUAGGCCCGUACUGACGCUGCCCUAACCCCAUGCCGGGAAGAUAAGACAUACCCCUCAUCAUGUCAAGCACUAGAUACUGUGCUGGUCGAAAGAUAUGGCUACAAAGUCUCGACAGAAAUCCUCUAUCUCCAAAGUCUGCACCUCGUCGAAGGUGAAUCCGAUCAAAAAAAGAUAGUCAUCAGUGUGACUAAUCUGAAGUACAGGCUUGGCAGAAAUGAACACAUCUCCUAUAGACUGCACCACAACGGCCUGGCCAUCAUGAAUAAACUUCACCUUCUAAUGAAGGGAAUAAGGAAUGGCCCCAACUCUAUGGAUCCAUGGUCGGCUCAGAAGUAGGUUAAAGGAUGUAGGAAUCCUCAAAACCUGAAACACGACAACAAAAGUGGUCGGACCAAUCAAUAGCUCAAUCUCCAAUGUACCCAUGACCUUCCUCUGAGUACUAUCAUAUGCGCGAAUGGUCUGAGUGGAGGGACCGAAGUCAGAUGGUGCGUAGCCGAGGGCAAUGGCAGUGGAAAGAGGACAGACGUUCAGGACCAAGCCAUUGUCCAGAAAGAUAGAUGGGACUCGGCGGCCUGAACAAUCGACAGAUAUAUAAAGUGGACUUGUGUGGUCCGAGCCCUCCGUGGCAAGUCAUCAUCGAAGAAUACAAUGCAUGUGGCUCUGCUGGCCGUCAUCAUAUGAAUCAAUCUCUUAGGAGAAGUGGUAGUAUCGACUCUGAUCUGGUUCAAGGCUCGAAUCAGAGCAUCACGGUGAGUGCUCAAGGAUGCCAACAGGCUCUAGAUGGAAAUACGAGCUUGGGUGCUCUGUAGCUGUCUCAAAAUCUCGUCAUCCUUUACUCUGACCUCCUCGAGAGCAGAUAUACCCUCAACUAACCUAGCUGCUACGGGAGGUGGCUGUCGCAACACUCUACCUCAUUGGAGAAUAUAAUGAACAUCUAGAGUCUGAGAAUCAUCAACACGCGGAGCCUGAACCUCCUCAACAUCCGGGAUCAAGAUGAAUGAAGUCUGGACGCUGUAAUGUGGAAAAAUCAAUGGCUCAACAAUGGUAGUCUGUACCGAUGCCGCCCUGGGAACUAAUUCGAAUGAAACGGGCAUCCAAGGCCCCAAAGUCGCUUUGUCCAUCUCAUAAAUACCAUUUGACACAAUAGGCUCUGGGUUUGAAUCAUCCGAACUAAGCAUAUGAACGUGAUCAUCAAGCUCAACGAAGUCCAAGAAAUGUAUGCCAUCGGCCGGUGGAGGAACGACAUGUGUAGUGUGGGCAGGUAAUGGGUUUGUGGUCACAUUCAGCUGACCCUGACCCAAGUGCACCAAACCUUGGUUGAUCAAAUCCUGAACGACAUGCCUCAAAGCAGUUCAUCGAUCGGUCUCACGUCCAGGCCCUUGAUGGUAUGCACAGUGCAAAUCCAUCCUGAACUGAGGUGGAAUAGGCUGAGGAGGUGGCCUAGGGGUGAGAGCAGUCAAUAACCCGGCCUCUGUAAGCUUCCGAAGAGCCUGGCUCAAUGGCAUGCCUAAUUGUGAGAACUACCUCUGCGUCCUCAAAGCAAAUGGAGCAGAAGCCUGCUGAGCUCUGGGUCGGGGAUAAGAAGUUAUGGGUCUCGUAGUGAACUGAGCAGCAUAGCACGAUUGUCCUAUGGCCUUGUAUGAGACAGGUGACCUCUCGAUGCCUUGGGUGGCAUAGUAAGGCAAAGCCAAAGUCUGUGGCAUAUAGGACUAAUCAUGAGUCGGACGAGGCGCCCGUGGCCUAUACUGCUGAAGUGGAUAUGAAGGAUGAGUCUCUAGAAGCUGUGGGACCGACUGAUGGCGCCUGAGAGGUCUUUGACUAGAAGAACCGAUAGCGCUCACAUCAACUGACCUCUGUCCUCCAAAGGGUUUCUUCCCCUUAACAUCACUAGGGGAAGAAUCAGUUCACAAUUAUCUCAAGAUGCCGUCCUCGACAUCGUACAAAGCCAAAACCAACGAACCAAAAUCUAUGAAGAGUACCCCAAUCACGUGUCUGGCAAUCCUGGGCUGUAGGCUCCUCAAAACCAUCUGUAUCUGAUCUCUCUCUAGAGGCCUGUCAAUGGUCUCGGCAAUCUUCCUACGCCAACGGGAGAUGAAGGAUGAAACUGACUCAUCUAUCCUCUACCUCAGAGCCUCGAGCUCUCUCCUUGAUACAUCCAUCAUAGUGUUAAACGAAAACUAUCAUAAGAACUCCUAGGCCAAGUCGUCCCAUGUCCGGCAUCGUGAAGACUCUAGGAAUGCGAACCAGCGCUGGGCUGCCCCACUUAGAGAUAGCGGGAACAAAGUGAUCAUCUAUGACUCAUCCAAUCCGUGUGCUCUCAUCACUGUGCUAUAGAGUCUGAGGUGGAUGCGAGGACAACCAAUGCCCGUAUACCUCUCAAUGUCCAGCAUCCUGAACUGAGCCGACAAACUGGCCACCAGCAUACCCUCAAGAUCAUCCCAAAUAGCUGAUCCAUCUGACACUCUCAUCUACCUCAUAUGCUGCUCGAUACGGUCCAUAUGUGCAUGAGCGUCAUUAGUGACUGUGGUCUGAACGAUUGCAGGUGGGGCAACCUCAGAAUGCCCAUGCAAUACAUAAGGUGAGGCCUGAGGCACCAUUGGAACAGGUGGUGGCAGUGGCUGUGGCAACGAAUCAUGAAGAGUCUCAUCAUGAACUACGAGUGGUCUGCUCUACUGGCUGCCAAUCUCCUGCCUGAGGCUAGCCAAAGCCUCUUGGAUAGAAGCCAUGACGGUCGUAAACUGAUCCACUGUAACAACCUAUUGAUCCAUACUCAAUCUCUCGGAAUACCGGACUAAUCUCCCCUCUACUCUAACCCAAGAAGACGUAUCCAGACUACGAACAAAGAUUUGAUCCUAAAAGCGCGAAGAAAUGAAUAAGGAUAUGGGACGAAGAAAGCACAGAAGAAAUGAUAAUCUGAAUGGAAACAAGCAAGACAUCUAAGUGAAGGUAGACUUUCUGACCAUACUCAAACUCAUACUAAUCUCUGUACACUUUCAAUUGAAGACUAAAAAAGGAGUAUCGGAAUCCAAACUGUGGCUACAGAGGCUUUGAAAGUUCUCAGAUGCACCCACAUGUAGGGAGUGAACCCUAAUCGAAUGAUCUACGGCUCAACCUACGAGGUCAAGGUGGCUCUAAAUGGAUAUGAGUGGGCUUUAAAAGAUCCCUUAAGCAGAGGCGAUCAUACUGAUUACUACUCAAAAAGUGCUAUUUGAUAGCUUAUAAUUAAUCCUUUUAAACACUUUUGAGUAGUAGUUUAGGCCUUUUAACUCAAUUGGCAUGUUAAGGACCCUUGAAAGGAAUUUUAAUCACUUUGUGUAAGUUUUGGUGUUUUUGUUAGUAAUUUGAUCAUCAAAGCAAGUCAAGACUGAGGAGAGCUAUGAGGAAUCUUGGGCAAAGCUUAGAAGUCAUUUGCCAAGAGUAAAUCCGGAUUGCAAGGAGAAAAAGUAAAGAGAAUCUGCCAAGAAGCAUAUUCUUGAUGACAGUCGUAUCAGCCACUUUUGGAGCCUCUUAUGAGGUCCAAUUGAUGCAUGCUAUAUACCAUUUCAAAGCUCAGGAAGUCAACAAUCCAAUGCUACAAACGGUGUAUAAUUCAGAGUUGAAACGAAGAAGUUGCAGCCAUUGCAAGCCAAUCACUCCGAGCUGAAGGAAGCAUUUUGCAAAGUGCUGCGAAAUCACCCUUUUGUUGCGAAGUGAUUCCGCAGCCUUUUUGUACAGUAGGGUGUAUUUCCUUCUGAAGUUGCCCGACAUAUACCGCGAGAGGGAAGUUGGGAACCUCAAGGUGGAAGCCAACUUCGCAGCCCUGCGAAGAUAGCAUGUUGUUGCGAAAUGAUUUCGCAGCCCUCUUGAGUGUCUGAGAAAUCUCGCAGACACCAUUUUCUCUUGCGAAAUGGUUCCUGGAGCCUCCCGAUAUUUGCUACCGACAUUGGGAGAUAUUUUACAUCAGAUUUUUGUUGUCUAAAUCCCAAAAUACUCCUUGUAAGCCACCAAUUACAAGAUUCCUUAGCUUUUAAGUUAGUAAAAAGAGAAAAUAUCUAUGUAAUAAUUAGUUUUAUAUUAUGUUCAUAUAUAUACCUCUCGGGAGCCUGUUCUCAGGGAGGAGAUCCUUUUGUAAAGUUUUGGGUAAGCAAGUAAAGUUUAUUUUUUUCUACUGCCUUACCUUCUCACUUUGUAUUUUUUAGUUAAUACUAAGUUAUGAACUCUCUGAGGAGUUUUCCCCAGAGAAUGAGUAACUAAACCUCUAAUUCCUUGGAGCUAAGGUUGCCGGGGAAGGUUCCAAGUGCAAGAAUGCAAAGCUUUGUGGUUUUAGCUAGUAAUGAAGAGGAAGUGAAAUCCUUUAGUGAUUUCUAUGUUUUUAGUUAACUUAAAACACCUUAGAGUCACCUGGGCCAACACUUGGUAAGGCAAGUGAUUUCCAACCAUGGAAAUGCACUAGUUUACCCCUUGCAAGCCUCUGGUAGGUGACUUCAGGGUAGGAUUUUCUAGAAUAGCCAACACUUGAUAAGCUUUUGGACUCCAAGGAGACAUCCAUUAGUUAUCUCUUGCGAGCUUUUGACGGGUAAUCCAAGGUUAAGGAUCACCUUGAAUGGUUAAGGCUUAGUGAGAGGCUUAAACCAUUGCAAGUUGCAUCAGUGAGAGAAUUAAAGUGAAAUCUAAUUGAAGGAUGAAUCUGUACAACACCAGCUAGAGAAUUGACUAUAUGUUGAAUCUCUAACGCGAGGAAAGGAACCAUCUGACCGGAGCUAGGUCUUUUGCAUAAGGAACCACCCCAGUGAACCUAACUCUCCAAGGAAUGCUUUUCUUCCUAAGUUAUUCCGAGUACUUGUUAUGUUAGUUAGUUUAAAUCUUUACCAAUCAAAGUUUGUGUUUUAUGUCUUAAGCUAACCUUGAAAUGAAACAAGACCAAUUCACUUGGAAUUGGUAUCAUUGAUAGCUUGCUAAUCCUUCCCAGUGAACGAUCCUAGAGCCGCUAUACUAUAGUAGCUUUUUCUUUGCUACCCUAGUAUAUGGUGUUAUAGGUUAUAAAUUUUGUUGAUUACUCCCUCAAUCAAGGAGCACCAGCUGGACACGAAUCAGCUGAGACACCAAUUGGGCACGAAUCACAUACCCUCCGACAGUAUGCAACCCUCUGUACGUCUCCGAAGAGACGGGGCGCUUCCAUGCAAGGUGGUCAUCACCUCCACACAUGCACUAUCUCGACAUCCCAAGGGGGUUUCCUAUGGUGAAAACCUCUCAAACUCGCAACGCUCAAUGGUCAACUAGAGUGCACAGUGAAUGGUGCGGGUGCAUCCAAAAACCCUAGGAAGCUAAAACAGAAAGAUGAAACACACUGGCCGCACAAAUAUCCAUGAGACCUAGCUCCGAGCUAUACGAGUCUUCAAUGAUCGGACUCCAAUCGACAUCAAAGUGUCGCUCUCCUCCAGAAUGCUCCCAUACAUUGAUAUAGCCUGUCGCUAAACCCUACUCCUAAUCUCUGGCUCGGUCAGAGAAUAAGCACACAGAGGGCCUCACACUUGCAAUAGUGAGGACCAGAAUGAAGGGAAUGACCGAGACCAAGAGAUUUGGAGGUAGGGGGAUAGAUGUGCGGCCCACAUAGACAGGCGACAUGCAAUCAAGCAGAGGAAGGGUAGUCAUGCGACAUGCAGUUAAGCAGUAGACAGAAUACAUCACUUAUGCACACACACAAACUAUGACGAUCAGGAUGAAUAGCGACACGAACAUCAUGCUCAAAGACAAUCAAGAUAGUAUACAAGCCAAAGAAAACAACAUGGCAAGUCAAGCGAUGUGCAAUAGUGAGUCUAUAUAUGUGAAGUAAGUAGAACAAUCAGGAAGAAUCAGAAUCGCUAUACCAAGCAAAACAAGAUGAGCAGUCUAUGAUAAUCAGCAUGUUAAUGUACUAAACUAAUAUAGCAAUGAAGCACAGAAAAAGUGACAUCCGAAACCCCAAUCAAGAUAAUUGAUAUAUCAAUGUCCCAAUACAAUAUCCAAGCAUGCAUAAAAAAACUCUCAAUGUGCAAUCAAGAGACAAGUACUCAUUGAUUGACUCAUCAAAUACCACAUUUGCUUCAUCCUAAGUUCAAGCUUGACCCUCUAAAUGAUCCCCAACGGAGUCGCCAUUUUGUGGACCCUGUAUUUCGGCUCAUGCGAUUUCCACUCAAUGGCGAGCUCGAUUUUUAUUUGAAAAUGAUUUUAUUUAUUAAAAAAAAAAUAUGACUUGGAGUCACCACUUAUUUUUGUUUUAUUUUUAAAAGGGUAAACAAAAUAAGAAAGAAAACCCUAAGUGUGACUCCUUAUUUUGGAAAAUAUGAUAUGUGAAAAACCGGAUCGGGCUCGGGGGUCAGGCUACUUAUCGAGAAGGUACAGUAAAAACCAUAGCACCCCUCUAAGUCCCUAAAGUUGGGUCUCUACUAACAAAAUGAAGUUGAUGUGGUGAUCAAUAGGAAAAUCAAUGGAUACUCAAAUCGACCAUGCACAUAUGGGAUCAAAACAUGCAUAAAGAAUGACCAGAAUGGGAGUUGAUGCGUACCUGGGCCACGAACGAGCAAUGCGCUAUCAUAAAAAUGGGGUCGGUGUACAAUAAAGAGCACAAAACAUAUCACACGCGUCACCAAAUAGAACUUAAAAUUGUUCAAGGGAAAACUAGAUUUUUUAAAUUUUAUUUGAAAAUUGGAGUCUUAGAGAUUAUUUGAAAAUUGGAGUUUUAGAGAUUAUUUGAAAAUUGGAUUUUUAGAAAUUAAAUAUAAGAAUGAGAAUUUUAGAAAUUAAAUUUGAAAAAAAUUGGAAUUUUGAAAAUUAUUUGAGAGGUUGGGGGUUUUUUUUUUUAAAAAAAAAUUAAAUUACGGAAAUUGGGACUUUAGAAAUAAAAUUUUGAAAGAAAUUAGAAUCGAAAAUUGUUUGAGAAGCAGAAACUAUGAAAAUUGAAUAAAAAAAUUGGAAAUCUUGAAAAUCAUUUUAAAGCAUAAUUUUUAGAAAUAAAUGAAUAAAAUGAUAAUAAUAAAUAAGUAACGGAAUAAAUGCGAGAAUUGGAACAUUGGAAACUGAAAAAAAUUAAGUUCGGAAAUUGAAAAAUUGGAAUUUCAAAUAACUAAAUUUGGAAAUCGAAAUUUUAAAGAAUUAUUUAAAGACGGAAUUUCAAAUAAAUGAAUAAGUGAUUAAAUAAAUUAAUGAAAUAAUAAUAAUGACGAAAUAAUAAAGAUUAGGUAAAUAAUUGCGAAAAAUAGAAUUUUAGAGAUUGAAGAUUGAAUUUAGAGAUUGAAAAUUUGAGAAAUUAUUUAGAGAUGAGAUUUUAAAUAUAUGAAUAAGUGAAUAAAUAAAUGAACAUGAUAAUAAUAAUAACGAAAAUAAUCAUUUAACAACUGAAUGUGAAUAGUGAAAUUUUUUAGAUUGGAAAUUAAAUUUGAAAAACGGAAUAUUGAAAAAUUGAACUUUAAUUAUUAGAAUUUCUAAAAUAAAUGAAUGGAAUAAUAAUAAUAAUAAUGAAAAUAAUAUUUAAAUGAAUGAAAGUGAAUAGUGGAAUUUUUUAGAUUGAAAAUUAAAUUUGAACGUCAGAUUUUUCAAGAAUUGGACUUUAGUGAUUGAAAUUUUUAAAAGAAAUAAAUAAAUAAAUAUGGAAUAACAAUAAUAAUUAACAAAAAUAAUAUUUAAACGGAUGAAAGUGAAUAGUGAAAUUUUUUAGAUUGAAAAUUAAAUUUGAAAGUUAGAUUUUUGAAGAAUUGAACUUUAAUGAUUGAAAUUUUUUAAAGAAAGAAAGAAAUAAAUAUGGAAUAAUAAUAAUAAUAAUGAAAAUAAUAUUUAAACGAAUGAACGUGAAUAGUGGAAUUUUUUAGAUUGAAAAUUAAAUUCGGAAGUCAGAUUUUUGAAGAAUUGAACUUUAAUGAUUUGAAUUUUUAAAAGAAAUAAAUAAAUAAAUAUGGAAUAAUAAUAAUAAUAACAAAAGUGAUGUUUAAACGAAUGAACGUGAAUAGUGGAAUUUUUUUAGAUUGAAAAUUAAAUUCGGAAGUCAGAUUUUUGAAAAAUUGAACUUUAAUGAUUGGAAUUUUUUUAAAGAAAUAAAUAAAUAAAUAUAGAAUAAUAAUAAUAAUUAACAAAAAUAAUAUUUAAAUGAAUGAAAGUGAAUAGUGGAAUUUUUUAGAUUGAAAAUUAAAUUUGAAAGUCAGAUUCUUGAAGAAUUGAACUUUAAUGAUUAGAAUUUUUUUAAAGAAAUAAGUAAAUAAAUAUGGAAUAAUAAUAAUGAUUAACAAAAACAAUGUUUAAAUGAAUGAACGUGAAUAGUGAAAUUUUUUUAGAUUGAAAAUUAAAUUCGAAAGUCAAAUUUUUGAAGAAUUGAACUUUAAUGAUUGGAAUUUUUUAAAGAAAUAAAUAAAUAAAUAUGGAAUAAUAAUAAUAAUUAACAAAAAUAAUAUUUAAAUGAAUGAAAGUGAAUAGUGGAAUUUUUGAGAUUGAAAAUUAAAUUUGAAAGUUAGAUUUUUAAAGAAUUGAACUUUAAUGAUUGGAAUUUUUUAAAUAAAUAAAUAAAUAAAUAAAUAAAUAUGGAAUAAUAAUAAUAAUUAACAAAAAUAAUAUUUAAAUGAAUGAAAGUGAAUAGUGAAAUUUUUGAGAUUGAAAAUUAAACUUGGACCUUGGAGAACUAGACCUAAAAUUAGAACCUUAGAAAAUUAUUUCAUGAAUGGAAACUUGGAAAACCGAUUUUUUUUUUUGUUUUUUUAAAAAGAAAACAAAGUUUAGGUAAAUUGAAUUUUCGAGAAUCAAAAUUUUAUAAAUCGAAUUUAAAAUUAAAUUUUAGAAAAUUAUUUCGAAAAUGAUAUUUUGUAUAAUUAAAUUUAAAAUCUUCAUAAAAAUCAUAUUUGUAUCAUUAGAAAAAGGACUUAAGAGGGCCAAAUACUUGGCCCAUUAGGGCCUACACUAAUCUGGCCUAAACUUAGAGGAUGGGGCUUAAGGCCCACCUGAACCAAUCUAGGCCCACAACUUAAAGCUUUGGGAGCCCACCAACAAAAUGGCUACCAUGAAGAUCAAAGGGUGCCACCUCCUCAUUUUUUAAAAGCUAGAGGGAUGGCUAAUGGGUAGCAGGUUAGCGGUGAAGAAUAGGGCCUGCAUGUCGAUGAUGGCUGUGAUGAAAUAGAGGAAUGGAGUGGGAGUUGCUGCCCAUGAACUACCGCGCGGGCAAGCGGACAAGAGCAUGGGUGCGGUGGAGGGCUUCGUCGUCUUCACCGCCAAGCGCCACUACCUUACCGCCACAAGUGCCGGAGGAGGUGAAACAGAAAGCGGAGAAGGGGACAACUGCUCCCCCGCCGACGCUAUCGUCCAUUUUAAUGACGACUCUUGGAGGCGAACCCAGCGGCACCUCUCUCGGCCAUUUUCACGAACCCUUCACGCUCUGCUCGGAGCUUCUUGAUGCUGCCUUUGAUGCGACUUUGGAGCUACGUCGGCGUGGCUGCGGGAGUGAGGAAGACUGCCACCUUAGGAUCUUUUGGAUCGAGCGGCCCAACCUUGGCUGUUAGGCGGUAGUUGUGUGGCUGUCCAUGAAGGAUGGGAACGUGGCAAUGGAGGAAAAUGGGUACAUAAAAAAAAAGGUGGGUAUGAAAGGUAGUGAAGGCAUGAAGGGUGUUUAACUUUGGAUUUGGGUCCAUGCGCGUGGAUAAAGUUGAUGGUGAGCAUAUGUUGGAGGGGGUUCUCGGUAGACAAGAGUCUAAGAUUUUCAUGGAAGUUUCAAAUGGAUCCUCAGGAACAGAGCAGGUUCCAAAGUCAUGCUAAAUUCAUUUUCUUGCUAUACCCGGUGGGUGAGGCGAACAACGAGCAUCCAUGCUAUUAAAUGAAUAUCAAAAUAAAUAAAAAAAUUUGAUACCUUACUCAUUUAUAAGAGAAAACGAAGAAGCGAAAAAGAAGAACAAAACAGAGCAAGUGAAGCGAGCUUAGGCUCAACAAGGUCCAAUCCUCAACAAGUGACGUUCAAGACCAGCAAUGGCAAAUGAGGAAGAAUAAAAAAUAAAAAUGAAAUGAAAUAAAAGAAAUCUGAAAGCAAAGGCAUCCAAUAUGGCCAUACCUGAGUUUCCCUAGUGAAGCUUUGUCUCGCUUCCUUUGACUGGUUUUUUUCUCCAGCUGCUUUCCCCCCUUCUGAAAAGUCCUUCGUUCGAGCUCACCCUUUUUUCUCUCUCCUCUCGUCUGGCUUCUCCUCCAAGCUAUUACCCACUCCCUUGUUCACCGAUCAGCAAGCAUGUCAUCUUCAACCACCACCAUGGCUAGCAAUGCUCCUUACCACCCAUCUAUGCAAUUGGUUCUCGGCAUAAGGAAGGGUUCCCCCACUCGUCUAAGGUGCUGCCCGCUCCUCCAGGUGGUGAGAAAGCAUCCUCCUAAUGCUAUAAAAUCCCUCAAAAAAACUAAUAGCCUUUAGUUUUUAAAAAGGGGUCUACACAUUUAUAAUUACUAAAUAAAUUAUUUUAAUAUACAAAUUAUUACUCUUUCUUUUUAAAUUGAUUAAUACUAAAAAAAAAUAUAUCUCUUAAUGUUGAAAUUUUUAUUGAAAUUUAAUUUUUUUUUUUAUUUUAUUCCUUUUACAAUGAAAUUUUAAAUUAAAUAUUAAUAUUUUUAAUUUUAAAAUUUAUAUAAUAAAAUUAAUUUAAAAAUUAAAAUAAAAUAUUUAGUAGUAUUUGGGCUUUGUAGUAUUGAAACUUUGGUAUAAGAAAUUUGAAAAUACUUCUAUAAUUAUUAAAAAAAAUUAGUAGAAUAAGAUAGUCCUUUCAACAUAAUUGAGACAUUAAAUUUUAAGCACUCUAAAAUUAUAAUCUUUACAAAUAAUAAAGAAGUUUUUGCAUCGAGACCAACUGAAUAUGAUUUGUAUGUUCUUAAUUUUCAUUUUCUUAUCUUUUAUCUUCCUAUACCUACAAGCCUAUUUAGAGAAAGACCUUUUAUUGAAAAAUGAGAGUUCAGAGUUAUUUCCCUUUGAAAAUAGAGUGGAUCGGAAGGUCUUUAUUAAAUAUAGGGUUUCUUCUAAAACGAGAUGAAGUAAAUUAGCAACUCUGAACAAUCUGAAGGAAAAGGAAUUUGAGUUAAGUUGAUGGGGCGUGCGACACUUUAUUAGGACUUUAAGAGAUAUUUUCUCUUUCACGCUAUCCUUUGAAAUUGAGUUGUGUCCGUUUUCAACUUAAUUUUUUGCUCUCUGUUUUUCUAAUGAAAAUAUAUCUUUUGUUGGGAGAAAAUAUUUUGUUGAAUAUAUAUAUUCAAAUGGAAGGUAAGCAAAAAAAAAUGAUAAAAAAUGGGUGUGAUGAAAUUUCAAAUUAUUGAUCAUCAUAUGUAUUUAACCUAAAUCUUAAAAAAGUGAAUGAAAUUAACUCGUUAAAUUUGUUCAAUACCACUUUUUAUAAAUAAUUUUUUAAUCAUGUAGCAUUCAAAACAAAAAACAUAUAAUUAACGAUAACAUGAAAUUAUUAAAAUAUUUAAAAUUAAAUAAUAUAAAGAAACAAUAAAAUGGUUCAUUUAUAUUGUUAGAACCAUUGUUUUAAAAACUGGUCACUCCGAUCGGUCGGAUGGUCCAUCAAUGCCCUUUCCAGUCUGAUCUAGGGAAAUGGACAGAGACAACUGACAAUCAGACCAUCGACCAUUCUUCAUGGACCAGUCAAGGUCAAAACCUAAAUGGCCUUGCCCAAAUCCAUUAAUUCCUAACCCGUUUGCUUGUUCCCAAGGUUAACUGACAUACCAUCGACCAUUCUUCAUGGACCGGUCAAGGUCAAAACCUAAAUGGGCUUUGCCCAAAUCCAUUCAUUCCCAACCUAUGUGCUUGUUCCCAAGGUUUGUAAGUAUAAAUACCCAUCUAUUGGCCCAAAUUCAUUAUUUCAAGCCCAUUUGCUUGUUCUCAAGUUCUACAGGUAUAAAUACCCUAUAAGUGGUUUAUAGAUUUCCAAUGUGGGAUGAGUUUUGAUAAUAAUGAAAGGAGCUUUGCAUGGUGGGGAAUUGAACCUAGGACUUAUUUUUAACAAAAUGUUAGCACACCACUAUGUUACAAAGCUAUUUGAUUAAUAAUUUGAUAAAUAUCUAUAUAUCUGUUUUUUAAUUUCUAUCAUAUAAAACAUUUAAACAAAUAUAAAUAUUUAUAUCUACUAUUAUUUUUAUAAUAAUUAUACAUAUCCUAUUUAAUAAAAUUUAAUAUAUUAAUACAUUUAUAUUUAUAUUUAUCAUUUAAUUUGACAAAUUGAACAUAAAAAAUAAAAUAUUAUUAAAAUUUUUAAUAAAAUAUAUUUUAAUUUAUUUUAAUUUUAUUAAAAUAUAAAUUAUAUAUUUAUAAUGUCAUCGAUUUGAUCGCGGUUUGACCACUGGUUCAACUAGUGAACCAUGAACUGGUAACUUUUUCGGUUCAAUAUUCGAUCCAAUUUUGAAAACAUUAGUUAAAACUUUUUUAUUUAUAGAAAAUGGUAAUAUGCUUUAAAGUUGUAGGAUGUUAAAAGCCCAAAUACAUGCCUACAUAUUUUCUUAUUUAUCUCCUAGUAUUUUUACCAAGUGAUAGAUAUAUUGGUGGCCAAGCAUUAUCAUCAUCAUUAUUUAUCUCCUAACAUCUUUAUGAAGUGAUAGGUGUAGGAAGAGUGUAAAUAAUUUUUAUUUUUAUUUUAUUUUAUUCUAUUAGUUUUAUAUUUUUUGGGAAGAGUCCUAUUGGGAAUUAUUUUUAUUUUAUUUUAUUCUAUUAGUCUUAUAUUUUUGGGAAGAGUCCUAUUGGGAUUGUGCUAGUGGAGUCCCAUUCCUUUUAUAAGUAGAAUCCUCUUCCACUUUGAGUUAUCUUUUGAUUACAAGCAGAUUCCCAUUAGGAUUGUGUUAAUGACCUAUAAAAGCAGGUCACCUUUUGCUCUCUAUAUGCCAAUACCAAUUUUUCAAAGAAUUUUUCAGAGCGUUUUUCAACCAUCUAUUUGGAUGAAUUUUUUCAAAAACCCGAACUGUAUACAUCUCACUUACAGAAUGCACCCAAGGCGACAUCUAGGUGUUGAAUCCCGGAGAUAGACCAUUGGUACCCUAGUGUACCGAAUUUGUCUUCGAGUAGGAUGAAUCUAUUUCAAGGACAGUGUUUGUCAUGCCUCAUUCGAUAAGUUUUUCUUCUUAUUAAUUAUGUUCUUUGUUUGUGUCUUUUGGGCUAGUCAUUUGUUUCCAUACCCUUAAUCCAACAAUCUUGAAAUAUAUCCAAAUGUAAGCUUCUCUAGUUCACACCCAUCCUAACACCUCUAAAAUUGAUCCCUUCAAUGGGACAUUCUUUAAGAGAUGGCAGGAAAAGGUUUUCUCUACAAUUGAUGUAGUGAACUUAGGACACAUUUUGACUGACCGAAUACCAAAAGAUAGUUCUCAUUUGUUACCAACCUGGGAAAUUGGAAAUAAACAAGUUAGGCAUGCUAUUCUAAGUACCCUUUCUAAUGAACUUUUUGAUAUUUAUUGUCAAUUUAAAGUUGUAAAAGAAAUUUGGGAUGCAAUGAAUAAAAAAUAUAGUUUGGAAGAUACAGGAACUCAAAAAUAUGCCAUAGAGAAUUUUAAAAAUUUCCAAAUGACUGAGGAUAGAGAUGUAUCAUCUCAAAUCCAUGACUACCACUUGUUGAUUAAUGACUUAGCUAUUGAAGACAUUAAAUUACCCGAACCUUUUGUAGCUGGUUAUUUAGUAGAGACUUUUCCAGAGUCUUGGAAAGACUACAAAAAUAACAUGAAACAUAAAAGGAAACAAAUGUCCCUAGAGGAUGUCAUAAUCUAUAUUAAGAUUGAGGAACAAAACCGAAAUAGGGAUAAUGCUGAGAAAGUUAAGGACUUGUCUUCUAAGGCUAAUGUAGUAGAAGAAAAACCUAAACCCAAAAACAAUAGGUCCAGGAAACAAAACUCUAGGAACAAACCCAAUGCAUCAAACAAGAUCCAAAACCCAAUUAUUAAAAAGAAAAAGAAAAAGUAAGGAUCUUGUUUGACUCUAAUAAAAUAGUUUUAACCAAGAAUGAUGCAUUUGUGGGGAAGGGCUAUUGUAAUAAGGGUUUAUUUAUGUUGAAUGUUUAUGAUAUUAUCAAUAAUAAUGCAUCUUCUUCUUUUUCUGCUUACAUAGUUGAUUCUUGUGAUAUUUGGCAUGGUAGACUAGGACAUGUGAACUUUUCAUAUAUGAAGAAAAUGGUUGAAUUGAGUUUAAUCCCUAAAUUGUCCUUAGAAAACCAUGGAAAAUGUGAAUCUUGUGUAGAAUCUAAAACCACAAAGAAAUCUUGCAAAUCAGUUGAAAGAGAAUCAAAUGUACUAAGUUUAAUACACAGUGACUUAGGAGACCUAAAAAAUACAAUGACUAGAGGUGGUAAACGAUUCUACAUAACUUUCAUAGAUGACUACUCAAGGUAUACAAGGGUAUAUCUUUUGAGAAACAAAGAUGAAGCAAGAUAUGCUUUCAUCAAGUACAAAAAUGAAGUGGAAAAUCAACUAAGUAAGAAAAUUAAAAGACUUAGAACUGAUAGGGGAAGAUAGUAUGAGUCCAACCUCUUUAAUUCUUUUUGUGAAGAUCAUGAGAUCAUUCACAAAAAUACUCCUCCUUAUUCUCUUGAGUCUAAUGGAGUAGCAGAAAGGAAAAAUAAGACCUUAAAAGAAAUUAUGAAUGCAAUGUUGGUAAGUUCAGGAGCACCCUUGAACUUAGGGGGGAAGCUAUCCUAUCUGCAUGUCAUAUUCAAAAUAGAAUACCUUAUAAGAAAACUGGAAAAACUCCUUAUGAGUUGUGGAAGGGUUAUGCACCUAAUAUAGCAUACCUGAAAGUGUGGGGGUGUUUAGCUAAAGUUCUUUUCCCUGAACCUAAAAAAUGAAAACUAGGUCUUAAAACCUUUGAUGCAAUGUUCAUUAGCUAUGCUGAGAAUAGUGCGACAUAUAAGUUUCUUGUUACUAAGUCAGAAAACAGUCUUGUAGAUGUCAAUACUAUUAUGGAAACAAAGAAUGCAGAUUUCUUUGAAAACAUCUUUCCUAUGAAACUAAAUGGUGAACAACAAGUUUAGAAAACAAGUAGAGACAAGUCUAUUGAACCUUCUGAAUUUGAACCUAGAAGGAGUAAAAGUGAUAGGAAAGAAACAAACCUUGGAGAUGGUUUCUACACCUUCCUAAUAGAUGAGGACCUUAAUCCUACAAAGAAGCUAUAACUUUUCCUAAUGCGCCAUUUUGGAAAGAGGCCAUUAACAGUGAAAUCGAAUCAAUCAUGUAUAACCAUACGGGGAGUUAGUAGAUUUACCUCCUGGUACAAAGACUAUUGGUUGUAAGUGGAUCUUUAAAAGAAAGUUAAAAUAAGAUGGGUCCAUAGAGAAGUAUAAAGCUCAUUUAGUUGCCAAAGGCUUUAAACAAAGGAAAGAUGUAGAUUACUUUGACAACUUUGCCCUUGUGAAUACAAUAGCAUCAAGUAGAGUAUUGAUCACUCUAGCUUCCAUUCAUAAUUUGGUUAUACACCAAAUGGAUGUUAAGAUUGCAUUCUUGAAUGGGGAUUUGGAAGUGGAAAUUUAUAUGGAACAACUUGAGGGUCGUGUAGUUCCAGCGAAGGAGAAAAAGGUGUGUAAGUUGGUUAAAUCACUAUAUGGGUUAAAACAAGCUCCCAAACAGUGGCACAACAAGUUUGAUCAUGUGUUAGUAACUAAUGGAUAUUCCAUUAAUGAUGCUUAUAAGUGUAUCUACAGUAAGUAUGAGGAUAACACAUGUGUAGUCAUCUGCCUUUAUGUUGAUGACAUGCUGAUCUUUGGAACUAGCCUAGAGGUUGUGUGUGAGACCAAGAAAUUCCUAGGUCCUAAGUUUGAUAUGAAAGACCUAGGAGAGGCAGAGGUGAUUUUAGGAAUUAAAAUAACUAGAACACCUAAUGAGCUUAAACUUUCUCAAGAGCACUAUGUAGAAAAGAUCCUAAGGAAGUUUGAACGCUUUGAUUGUAAACUAGUGUCAACUCCUUAUGAUCCCAGCUCACUACUGAAGAAAAAUAAAGAACAUAGUGUUGCCCAAAUAGAGCAUGCUCAGAUCAUAGGGGACCUAAUGUACUUGAUGAACUGUACUAGACCUAACAUUGCUUAUGCAAUAGGUAGAUUGAGUCGAUACACCCAAAGUCCUAAUCAGGACCAUUGGACUAUUGUUCGUAGAGUCCUUAAGUAUUUGAGAGGCACCAUUAGUGAUUUAGUGGAUUUCCAAGUGUCCUUGAAGGAUUUAGUGAUGCAAAUUAGAUCUCGGAUUCAGAUGUGAUGAAAUCCACUAGUGGAUAUGUUUUCAUAUUUGGUGGAAGUAUAGUUUCUUGGAAGUUUACCAAGCAAACUUGCAUUACUCGGUAUACUAUGGAGGUUAAGUUAAUUGCCUUAGAAAAGACAAGUUUUGAGGCUGAGUGGCUUGAAAACCUCUUAGCAGAUAUCCCUUUAUGGACGAGACAAACCUCGCCUGUGUCUAUGCGUUGUGAUAGCCAAGCUACAAUUGCUAAGGCUAAGAGUAAAAUAUUUAAUGGGAAGAAUAGGCAUAUAUGGCUAAGGCACAAUAUUGUGCGGUAGCUUCUUGAAACGAAUUUGUGAGGUCAGAGUUGAAUUUGGUCGAUCCUUUGACCAAACCACUAAAUAAGAAACUAGUGGAAGAAACAUUGAGGGGGAUGGGGCUUAUGCCUAUUACAGAAGUUAAGAGUGGUGGUAACCCAACCUAUUAGAAUGGAAAUUCCAUGAAGUAGGUUCAUAUGGGUAAUAACAAAUCACUUGUUGACUUGAGGUGCUAUAUCAACUCUAAUUGUAUGAGGGUCUAUCCCUAUGGUGUAGAUAGAGCGUAUUUUGCAUUGAUUAAGGUUGAGUGUUUACUCUUAAUGAAUACCAUAUUCCUUAUGGAUGGUAUGUUUAAAUGCAUAACAUACUUGAUGGAUUCACCUAUAUGAGAGUGGAGCCGGGGCCGCUUCCUAUGAGAACUUAGGUAGUUUCUCUAGAACUCUCAUGAAUAUCCAGGUAGGGCGCAUGGCCUAUUUGUGCCAACCCAUUUUGUACAACUCGUAGUGUAAUUGAGAAAACCAAUGUGGAUAAAAGUUCAUUGAGUUACAUCAAGAAACACUGGUUCAUAGAAAUUUAUUUUCACCCUGUUUUGUGAUUCAAUACCUAUUUGUCUUAAGACUAGUUCAUAGCCUUUGGGUACCAGUACUAAUGCAUUGGAUUUUUUUUCCUCAAAAAAUAAAUAAAUAAAUAAAUAAUCACGUUUACACUUUGUGGGGGAUUGUAGGAAAAGUGUAAAUAAUUUUUAUUUUUAUUUUAUUUUAUUCUAUUAGUCUUAUAUUUUUGGGAAGAGUCCUAUUGGGAUUGUACUAGUGGAGUCCCAUUCCUUUUAUAAGUAGAAUCCCCUUCCACUCUGAGUCAUGCUCUGAUUACAAGUAGAUUCCCAUUGGGACUAUGUUAGUGGCCUAUAAAAGCAGGUCACCCCUCGCUCUCUAUAUACCAAUACCAAUUUUUUAGAGAAUUUUUUUAGAGAGUUUUUCAAAUAUUCUUUUCAUACAUCUAUCUAGACGAAUUUUUUCAAAAACCCGAGCUGUACACAUCUCGCUUACAAAGUGCACCCAAGGCAAGAGCUGGGUGUUGAAUCCUGGAGGUAGACCACUGGUACCUUAGUGCACCGAAUUUGUCUUCGAGGAGGGUGGAUCUAUUUCAAAGACAAUGUUUGCCACACCUCAACCGACAAGGCGGCACAACGUGCACAACCAUUUUUUGAUUUUUCUUUGGGAAUUUUGCUUUGUUUAGGAACUUUGCUAAAAUGGGCACUUGACCUUGAUGAACAUUUUUCCUAGAUGGACACUCGGCCUUGGUGGGCAUUUUACCUAGAUGGGUGCUUGGCCUUGAUGGACAUUUUGCCUGGAUAGGCACUUGUUCUUGAUAGGUAUUUGCUUAGAUGGGCAUGUCACCUUGUUGGGCACUUGGCCUUGAUAGACAUAUCAUCUAGAUGGGCAUUUUGCCUUGAUGGGCACUUGGCUUUUAUGAGCAUUUUGCCUAGAUGGGUAUUUUACCUUCUUUGAUCUUUCAUAGGUUGGAACUCUAUAGGUGGUGGGGUUGUGUUUUGGGUUGUAUUUUCCAGGCACACAUGUGUAGGGGUAGGGAAAUGCUGCAUUUCCUCCUGGUUUUAGCUCUAGAUGUGCUUAUUGCCAUGCACACAUGUAAGUAUUGUUCUGCUUCUUCUUCUUGUGUUUAAGGGUAAGUUGAGUUUUUUUUCGUACUCUUACAUUUUCUCUCCAUCUUUCUUUGUCUUUAUUUUGUUGUGCAGAUGAAGUGUGGCAUCAAGGAUUUUAGUAGGCGGAAAGGUGAGCUUCACUACCACGUUGCUGAAACUGACCAACUGAGGUAAGUCAGGUACUUUUUUUGCAGCUAAAGCUUUUGGUUGGGUGCUUUCUUGGCACUUGACGAUUUGACCGAGUGCUUCUUGGAACCUAAGGCUAUGGUCGGGUGCUGUUCGGCACCUAAGACUUUUUGGUUGAGUGCUUUUUUGGCACUUAAGGCUUUGUUGGGCUCUAUGCUUGGCUGGGUACUACUUAGGCACCCUAGGCUUUGUUGGGCACUAGGCCCAACUGGAUGCCACUUAGGCACCUUAGGCUUUAUUGGGCUUUAAGCCUGGUUAGGUGCUACUUGGGCACCGUAGGCUUUGUUGAGUGCUAGGCCUAGCUAAGUGCUACUUGGGCACCCUAGGCUUUAUUGGGCUUUAAGGUUGGUCAGGUGCUACUUGGGAACCUUAGGCUUUGUUGUGCUCUAGGCCCAACUAGGUGCCACUUUGACACCUUAGGCUUUAUUGGGCUCUAAGCCUGGUUAAGUGCGACUUGGGCACCUUAGGCUUUAUUGGGCACCCUAGGCUUUAUUGGGCUCUAAGCUUGGUCGGGUGAUAUUGGGCACCUUAGGCUUUAUUGGGCUUUGGACUUAGCCAGGUGCUACUUAGGCACCUUAGGCUUUGUUGGGCUCUAGGUCUGGUCGGGUGCUACUUGGGCACCCUAGGCUUUAUUGGGCUUUAGCCUUGGCUGGGUGCUACUUGUGCACCUUUGACUUUGUUAUGCUCUGGCCCUGAUCAGGUGCUACUUGGGCACUUUAGGCUUUGUUAAGCUCUAGGCUUGGCCGGGUGCUACUUAGACACCUUAGGCUUUUAAAGUCUAAUGCUUCUUUAUACCUAAGGUUUUUUUUUUUUUUUUUUUUUUUUUUUUUUUUUUUUUUUUGCGGUCAUGCGAUGCGUAACAUAUUUGAUUUGAAAAAUACAACAGUUGACGAUAUUGCUUCCCCAUUUGGGGAUCUUUGCUUUUAGAUGGAUUAGGCCAUUUGGUAAGAGUAGGAAGUUCUUCUUUGGUAGAUCCACCAGCGCCUCUUUGUCCACUGAUAGUGUCUAGGCAGUUGCAUUGAGUCAGGCCACCAAGAUCUAGUUCUCCCUUUUGAUUCGGUUAACAAGUCUUCUCAGUUUGUCCAACUACCUUCGAUACUUGUUAGCUACGGUUCAGUUGUUUGUUGUGGCCACUCAUAAGUUGUUGGGAUGACACUCUCACCAUCAACAUAGUUAGCUGCCAAUGUAGUCACCAUGGUUGGCUUUUGUUUCAUUCCCAUAGAUGAUGCCAAUUGUUGGUGCACAAUCUUUCUAGAUGUGAUGAUUUGGUGACUAUCCGGGUCGCUAUCCAAUCUUCUAUUGUCACCUCCUCUAUUGGUGGGUGUCUUGGUUCUCUAGGAAAAUGAUAUUUUUUUUCCUUGUUCUUCUUUCUCCUUUAUAGGUUAGAGUUAGACGUUGGAGGUUGUGUGGAGUACACGAUUAGCUUGGCAGGUUUGUGUUAGGCAGUGUGUGGUCGACUAUCCCUAACGCUUCAUGUUGAUGUGACAAGAUGAUGUUUUCCUUAGAGAUUUGUUCCUCAUACAUGUCUUGUUGUUGCCUUUGGUAUUCAUGCCACAUGAUCCAUGUUGGCAGCCUAAAAACUUCUUCCCAGUGACCAAUUUUUUAGUUCUUCUAGGAUCAGUUGGAGUGGGCUCUCGGAUCACUAUAGGUUUAAAUAGAGUCGGGAUGACUUCUCGAUCGGGAGACAAUAUUCAGCCGAUACAACAUCCGGGUACCCCUUCUUGGCAAAAUUCGGCACCCUCAGGAGGCAGCUUUUAUAGCGAAAUCUGCCACCCCCGACCCGAGUAAGCAGGUAGACCCACAGGUUGGCUGGCUUCUAUGGUUUGUACCUCCAAUUAUAAUGGAAGUAUAAAUUUUAAAAAGAUUCAGUGAUUGUAGGAUUCAAUUCUAAUGCUCUUAUAGUAGCCAAGGGUCCUCGGACUCAUGGUAGCACACAGACAUGUCCUCUUCUAUCUAUGCAAAUAGUCAUGCAAAAUACAAAUAUUCCCUCAUACAUUCUUAUAGUUUUACAUGUAUAUGAAUUUAAUUAUUUUAUGUUCUGACUAGUGAGUAGAAAGUGAGUUAAGGUCUCCGACAACAAGGUCUCCAAGCAACCAUAUUUCCCCAUUUUAACCUCGCUACUGCCAUUGAUGCGGUAGUAGAGUAUAACUGGCACAUAUAGAUAUGCCAGAAGAGCAAUCGAGAGCAGAUAGCUUCAAAUUCUGAAUGUGAGGUUCAGUUGGAGACUGGUUUUAUUAGCCUUUUAGAUAUGAUUUGAACCUCUAUUUUAGACAAGAACUUGGAGCUUCUGAAUAUAUGUAGUACAACUCCUUUGGUCAUGUAUAUAUGUGCAUAUUGCGUUGAGAUAGACAACAUACAAUCACUUGGCAACACAAUAUUAAAACUUUCAGAAUAUCACAAAAUUUGAUUGAUGUCAAAGACUCAUUCUGGACAUUUAGGAUAGGAGGUUACAAUAAAGCCAUUAACUGUACACAUAAGUUCAUUUGCAAGAAUUGGGAACCAAUUUAGAAGGUCAAGUAUAUUCGCUGUCAACAAGAAUGACGCCCUCCGAUUUAAGAUCUCUACUGAGGAGGAACCCAGUUUGAUCAAGAUUCUAGGAUCAAACAACAGAGUCAAAGUCAAAUCAAGAGCAACGUUCCAACUUGUCAUGAAGACCAAGAAUAGUAAUUGCUUUUGAGCAAGCAGUGAAAUUAUUUGCAAUCAGACAAUCAUCUUCUUCUUCAAGAAAUGCUGUAAUGAAAUUCUUACCAGUUGUGUCUGAUUCUUCGAAACAUGAAGUUAGCAAACAGAUUGUUCAUAUAUAAUGUCAGUUGGCAUAAAUGUAGUGUUCAAUCACCAAGCCACAAAGAUGAUACAACAGAACAGUUGCAGCAGGAAAACUUGGUUGUUUAUUCAAAAUCAAGUAAAUCUCUAGGUCCCUCAUACCACGAUUGCUCCCAAUAUUUAGGUCUUGGCGUAGACAAUUCCUUUCGUGUCUAUGUGGACAGAACAAUGCUUGGUGUUCUAGUUGUUGUCUUUCACCAUGGUCUAUAGAAAAAAUGUCCAGAAAAACAACUAAUGAUCAGUAGAAGUGUAAAAGGGAAGAAAGAAAACUACUGAUAGAUUGGAUCAUGACAGAUAUUUAUUUUUCCUAAAAGAAUGUAAAUGUAUGGUUGCUCUUUGAGUACAGCUCUCUACAGCACAAAAAUAAGGCAAUCAAAUGAAACAAACCAAGAAAACAACAAUAUUAAAAGAGUUAUGAAAUAUCACCAGAUGAGAUCCAACAGUAAAUUAAGAAACUUUAUAUAAUCUUGUUUACCUUAGGGCCAUGUCUGGAGGAGUUCCAAUUGUAGGCCUAGGGCCAAUGUUGAUAGGCACAUGCCCAGAUCUUAGACACCCUCAAGAUGAACAGUAGCAGCUACUCUAGGCGCUCCUACUGCACAGGCAAAAAACAAGUUAGUCAAUGUUUCUUGGCUAUUGGCUUUGGCUUGGACCUUGGUGGUUAUGUCAAUUUUAGAUAAAUAUGUUAAUAAUCCAAUGACUAUACUCCAAGAUUGAUGAUAUAUAUGCAAUAUAUCAAUUUGGAAAUGUCGAUAUAAACAUUUAAGGAAUUUAAAUUAGUCAAUUUUCAACAAUCUAGCAUUCAAAAGUGUACAAAAUGGUUAUAACUUGAAAGUUUGAAUAUAAACUGAGGUACAAUAUUCCUAUAGGCUCAAGUCUCCCUAGAACAAGGCAUCACAUCACAUAUUUAUGUGGCCUUAUGUUUGAGGUAAGCACCUUAUCUAUUGGCGAGUUCAUCAAUAAUAAGCUUUUUGCAAGAAAUUGGAGACCUAAAAUUACUCUAAUACUUCUUUUAUUGAACAUUAAAUUUUCUUAAAAGUGUUAUCGAUUAUCAAACAUUUAUAUCAAUGGUGGAAACUAGUUUGCUACCAAAGUGAAGGUCAAAGUCCUAAUUAUCAUUUCACUAAACAAUGUAAUAUAGUAUUAUACAAUUAUUGCUUUUAAAAGAAAAUUUACAAGCUAACUAGCGAAAUUUAUGAUUAUACCUUUUUCCGACUUCACUCACGCCAUUGAGCUUUAUAAUUUGAUGAAACAAGCCUAAAUCAAAAUUAUACAAAAAAAAAUAAAGAAUUGGAGAAAACAAACUUGUAAGCACUAAAUUUUGUACUUUAAAAGAGGAAAUAGGAUGCCAAUUGUAGGUUUAAUUUAAAGAAACCUUAAAAAAAUAUUUUUAAAAUUAUAGGAAAACCCCCAUACCUUAGAAAAGAUUGGGGCGAACAGUCUACCUUUUGGCGAUGUUCACAUCUUGAGAGGAAUGACUUCUUUCUUAGUAGAUCUGAUGAUGGUGUUGAUCUUUGGGAAGAGAUGAUUAGAAGGCUACGUUGAAUUUUAGUGAGUGAGAGAGAAAGCAACACCCAAAACCCUAAAGCAAAAAAGGAAUUAAUAACUUAAAUAGAUUCCAUUUUUUCCUUAUGACAUGUCUACCUUAGUAAGGUUUUUAUGGCAGUGAUACCAUUUGGAUAAUUAAGUCAUUGAUUUUGAUGGAUCUUUUCCAUUUGAAUUUUUAAUAUAUAAACUUAAUCUUUUUACUUGGGGUAAUAUAUUUGGUAUUUUAGGAUUUCCUUUUUAAUAAUAUGCUUUUAGUAGAUGGUUUAACUAUGUCCUAGUGUAAUAAGUAGUCUUGCAUUACAUUAUCUACUAUGGAGUAGGAGUGUGUUGCUUGUUCAAGGGAUGUAUGGGAAGUUGUUUAUUUGAUGAUAUACUUUCAACACUUAGAGUCACGACUUGAGCUAAUAAGUUUAUCAAGAUCUAAGCAUUGAUGGUGUUGCUACUCUAUUGUAUAGCAAGGAUCCAAUUAGUCACAUUGUAGGACAAAACACUUAUAGACAAUUGAUUCUACUACAUUCAAGAUAUUGUUGCUUAAGGGGAGGUAGAGUCAAAACAAGUAGACAAUUGAUACAACUACACACACAACAUAGAGACAAAACACAUGAAUAAUACUAUGGUUGAAUAAAUUAAUUGGAUGACAUCAAGCUAACAUUGAUCUAGUAUAAUUAUUUGGAGCCUAAAUGAGGGUAUGAUGAGAUGAUAAUUAUUUUGUCAUCAACAUAGUGAACAACAUAAAUUAAAAUCUUGAAAUGUCACCUUAGCCAACCUAGUAGAAAUGAUUCAUCAAAAUAUUUGAAUGUGAGAUCUUAAAUUGGUGUUUGACAAAUAAAUAUGGUAAUAAACAUAUAUUAAGUAUAUAUGAAGUGACCAAGCUGAGAUUUGUAUCAUGUUAUUAUAGGGAAUCCCGAAUCUCUUUGUUCCUUAUCCUAUGAUUAGGCUAGGUACAUGCGAAUCUUUCUAAGUUUUUCUAAAUCGUAUGAACAAUGGAAAAAUUGUGUUUUAAAAUAAUAACAAGAUUUAGAAUUUGCAUUAGAAAACAUUACCUUAGAUUUGGAUGUUCCCAAAUCUAAUUCACGUAGUAAAGGAGAAGAUUGAAGUUUUCAGAGGUCUUGAACACCCAAGAUCUUCCACCAGAUGACUUUUCCUUGAUUUUAGAUCUUAAUUGGUGAAGAGGAAGGAAGACUAAAAAGGCUAUGGUUCUCUCUCUCUUUGAAUAGUGAAAAAUGGCUCACUUCAAAAAAGUAAUGAAAACCUUAUUAUUUAAGGGGUAUUUAUUGGGUUCCCUAAUUGGGUGUAAGUGACUUAAGCGUACUAAAGGUUUGAAUCAUUUAAUUUAGCUCAAAAUGAGUCUUAAUUGAUUAAUUAACCUAACAUAGUUAUCUAAUUAAUUAAUUAGCUAAAUUUGGAGACUUUGUUCACUUACCCCUAUGCAACCUUGCAUAAUUACCAAAACACCCUUAUACGUAAAAGUGAACCAAGAGUUGUGUCAUCAAGGUAUAUGAGCUUAGGUGGAGACCAUUGAGACUUAUAGGACAGUACUAGCUACCCCAAAAUCUAAUUUUGAAGUUGAUUUAACAUUUCACUAUAGAGAAUCAAUUGCACUAUAAUACCUUAUGUAAAUAACAAUGAGAUGCUAAGUGGUCGAGCCCAUGACUUAUUAUCCAUUGCAUUCAGUCUCCCUAUGAACUGGUGUUUGUAGUCUAAUAAGGUGAAAACUAUCAACCUUUCAAGACUACCUCUACUAUCUUUGAAUUACAAAUCCUCUUAUUAUGUAUUUAAUUGAUAUAUCUUAAGUCUCCAAGAGUCUAUGUCAAGUUCCAUUUAAGAAACUACUAUGACCAUAGUUUACAUGAACAUACCUCCUUAGGAUCACUUAAGGGGACACUCUGUCUCAAUCCUCUUAGAUUUCAUGGUACUUCUGUUACAAAUACUCAUUGUCAUAGACUUGGAUCAAUAGUGAACCAAUCCAUAAGGAACAUAUCUUACGAUUUCAUUAGUAGGUCAAAGUCACUACUAACUUUAACACAAAUUCUAUAUUCUCUCAAGGUUAAGAGAUAAAACAAUGAAGCAACUUGGUGAAAUCAUGACUAUUUAAUAGCUUUAUGUCAUGAUUCACCAUAAGUCUUGUCUAAUGUGUAACCAUAUGCACUAGUAUACUCACCAUGGAAAACCCAUCCUGAUAACCAAGACCAACCAUUCCUCUAAAUAUGAAGUAGCAUACUAUAACCUCUAAUGGGUUACCUAGGCCUAUGAAUCGGUUGUGAACAAGUCAUUUACUUACAAUGAAUCCAUUUCUUAAAUUUUUUUUGCAACUCUUAAUGCACUCAAGUCCUGUACAAUACAAGAUAUAUAUAUUAAAAUGCUUACAAGGUAUAAUGUAUAGGAUUAGGAUAAAUAAAAGUGAACUAAAAGUUUAUUAAUAAAUAAUAAAAUUUUAAAUUUAUUACAUCGUGUCAUGCUUUUAUGAAACCUUUAAAAUACUAAGAGCAACCUUUCAUAAUCAUGAAUUAAACUUUAGUUUCAACUUCUAUCAAAGGCUAAAUGAGAAAAGCUAUCAUAGAGGAGGCCUCAGCCAAUGGGUAAGAUGCACUGUUAUACCAAACAAUAAGUGGAAAAUACAAUUUUAUUAAUACUUGAGAAAAAAAAAAAGAAAGAAAUAAAAGGAAGAUUUUACACUCAAACCAAGCAUUUAUUUAUAAUGAAGUGCAGUCUCCGUACGCACAUGUGGACUUAUUGGAAAAUCAUACAAAUUAUUGAAGGACGACCUUAGCUAGGCUAACAGUCUCCUAAAUAGGCUAUCUUUUAUAUAUCUUUGCAUUCAUCCAUCUCCUCAUUGUCUUUGAUUUUAGAUGGUGAGGAUGUGAAAGUAACAGGAAGCAGUGGACAAUUGUUCACAGUGAGGCUUAGCACAUCAGCUCUCGAAUAAUGUCCUACCACAUCGAACUGGAACUUUGCUUUAGGAAUCUCUCCACGAACAUCUACAUAUCAAGUGAUCACAAAAAUAUUUCAUCGGUCCAUGAUAAAUAUCAUAGAAUAUCAAGUCUUCGAUAAAACUAAGUUUGCAGUCCUCUUAAACCUAAAGAAUCAACUCAUUUGCCUUAUCUGCAUACUGAAAUAUUUGGAUAUAUAAUUGGAGAAGUUAGGGCCAUACCAAGAUCAGCUGUGAAGAGGCCUUCUCCUUCAUAAUUCGGUCCUGCUAGAAUUUCGCCAUGGGGCGAAAUGAUGACACUACCUCCAGCCCAAACAAUAGAAUCUGGAGUGACAUCUUCUUCUGUAGGACUGUAAAGAUACUCAGGUGGAGGUGGGUAAUCUUUCCUCCGACAGAACUGGAUGGGUGAAAGAACAUAGCAUCCACCCUCAAUAGCGACGUGUCUCAUUGUAGCUACCCAUGUAUCCCCGGAAUCGGCAGUAGGAGCACAAUAUAUCUCAAUACCUAUAGAGAUGUACAUUCGUAUUUUGUGAUCAAUCAAUCCCAUAUCAAAGCCAUAAUGUAUUUCAAGCCUAUUUAUAGGCUAAAACCCUAACAACUUAAAAAAGAGUACUGAAGUAUUUCAAGCCAAACCAUAUUAGUUAGUGAAGAAAAAGACAUACCUUUGCCAUACAUUGAUGUCCUGAAAAGCGGCAUUCUAUUUUCCCAACAAAUGACCGAACCAAGUUUUCCAUAUGGAGUAUCAUAAACUGGAGUAGUCGAGCAAUCUCCGAAACCCCAGAACAGCCGCUCCCAAUAUGUUGGCAUGAGUUUCCUAUGUUUUCCAAGGUAAUUACCUUCAGGAUCAAAGAAGAGAACAGUGCAAUACAAUGUGUAUCCAUCUCUCUCAACAACACCUGUCACUAAGUAGACUUUGUAUUUCGCAGCCAUUGAUGCCAAUCUAUCCACUUCAGGUCCUGAAAAUACAUUAAUAUGAGAUCAAAGAUGAAAUAUGUAAGCUGAUGGCUCAUCACAAAGCAUAAGUAGAUUUUUUUUUUCUUGGUUCAUUCAUCAAACGUGUCUUGUUUCAAUAACUAAUUAAGUGGUUCAGUUCUUUGGCUAUUUAAGGGAGAAAGAGAGAGGUAACUGACCCGGCACAUUAAUGGCAGAAGCAUGGUACUUGCGGAAACUUUCUUUCCCUCUUGGCGACUGGUCGGCGAAAUUGUAUCCCCGGGGAUACCCACCGAUAAAUGCUUCAGGAAACACAACCAGUUGGGAUCCUAGUGCAGCUGCUUCUUUCAAAAACCUCUCAGCCUUAUCUGCUCUCAAAAUCACAUUGCAAGAAUUAAUAAUCCACGACUUAGUAAAUUAAUUGGUUGAAUGGACAGAAUGAAAAUUAACUUCAAGAGAUCCCGAAUGACUUUUUGGUUGCUGAGAAAACUCAAGGAAAAAGAGACCUAGAUGAAACUUGAAACUCUCAUAUUUUCAGCUGUUUUGUAACUAAGAAAAGAGAAACCACCUCAACCCAACUCAUUAAAAUAAUUGUAAAAGCAGUAAUUCCUUGAUUGGCAGCUGAAAAUAUGAUCAGGGUUCAAUCAUCCUUUUCUUUUUUUCAGUCUCUGAGCAACCAAUUAGAUCACAUAUUCCAUUACACAAGUUGAACAAUUGAAAGAAAUGGUACGUUACCUAGAGUGGCAGGAGUAUCAUAAAAGAUACUAGAAGCUUGAACAACGGUGGCUCUAACAGUUGAAGACAUUGCAGAAAUCGUAUGCUUUUUCGUUUCCCUUUUGUUUGAGGAUUCCUUACACAACGUUCAGUAUAUAUAUUGCCCAUGAACAUGAGGUUCUUCUGCCAUUACUUGAACGAGACGAAGAGGCUGUGAAAAGUCUACCUUGGUUUUCUAUAUUCAUUGUGAGCUUUUCUCCUCAUCACAAAUUUUGAAGUUAUCCGCAGACAUUGUGGACCAGCCACAUGACUUGUACAAAUUGAAAAUGACUGUAAGAAAAUGACUCAGCCAAUUCAAGAUAUUUGUCAUUAAAAGAAUAGUCAUUAAAAGCACAAGAUAUUUGUCAUUUUUUUUUUUACAAAAACGACUGAGUCGUACAUAGUGUUAUGGUUAUAGACGCCCAAAAGAAGUCUUUUUGUGCCUUGUAAGAAAACCUUAGCCAAUUCAAGAUGACCACAGAAUCAAAAUAAGUUUUAUCGCUUUCUUUUUUUUCUACAGGUACGAUGAUUAUCUUUGAACGAAAAGAGGGAGCCGCCCACAUGCACAUAAAAAGGGAGUAAUGAGUGAUUCAAUGGCAGCUAUGGUAGAAAAAUAAAAAGGGAACUAUGCUUACCCUCACGUUGAUUCAAGCAAAUAUAUUUUUUAGGAAUUCUAAUUUUCAUAUUUCACCCCAAACACAUAAUCAAUAAAUUUAUUCUUCAAAUAUGUAUUUUAAUAACAACCAAAAUGAGAAUUCUAUAGUUAUCCCUUUUAAAAUCUUUAAUAUGACAAGUCAUCAUUUGAUCUGUUUGAUAUCCUCUCCAUAUCAUGUCUUUGAUAUCCUAACUUUGACAUUUUUUUAUUUAUAUACGCUGAAGUGAAUACACUUUCAUAUUUCUUUUUAUUCUUUUAAUAUUUUCAUAUUUAUUAACUUAGUCAUUUUUUUGAAACAUUAACAUAAAAUUAUAAUAUAUGAUCAAUAACUAAUAAGAACAAAUUAAACAUAAAUAUAAGUACGGAAUGGACAGAAAAUAAAAAAUUUAUCCUACAAAUAAUACACUAUAUAGUUUAAAAUAUUAAUUAUAAUAAUAUAUUUGAUACUUUAGGGUUUAGAUUAAAAAAUUAUGUUUUAUUUUUUAGAGGCUAGGAUAUAGGAUUUCCAUUAACCAAAGAUUUUUUGUAUGAAUCCUAAAUAAAAUGUGUAUUUAUUUUGCAAAUUCUUAUCAUAUAUAAAUAAAAUAAAAUAAAUAUAUUUUUAUCAUAUUAUUUUUAAUUUUUAUUAUUUUGUGUCAAAAUCACAGUCAAUGAUGGUGGUUUUUGUUAUGAUAUAGCUCUUAAAAGGAUGUUAUGAUGCAAUAAAUAUGAAGUUUAUUAUUUAUUUAAUGGUAUUUUGAUUUUACUUUUAUUAAUCUUUAUUUCAUGCAUUUUACCUUAUGAGUAUUCUAGCUUGACAUUUCUUGCACUAUACAUAACUUGGGUGCAUUAAAAAUUGCAUGAAAGAUCCAAGUUAUAGGUUCCUUGCAAGUAAAUGAUUUGUUCACAACCGCUUUGUGAACUUAAGCAAUCCAUUUGAUGUCGUAGUUCACUACCUCUUCAUUAGAGGAAUGAUUUAUCUUGACUACCAAGAUAGAGUUCUCAUGGUGAGUACACUAGUAUGAUGAGUUAUAAUUUAUAAUGUAAGGUUGUUGGGUAGUCAUAACUCACUAAGUUGUUAUAUUGUAUUAUCUUCUCAACCUUGAGAGGAUACUGAACUUGUGCCAAAGUCUAUAAUUGUUUGACCUAUGGGUGAGAUUCUAAAGUGAUUAUAUAUUCCUUACAGAUUGGUCACAGUAGAUAGAAGUCAGUAGUAAUAAGUAUUCUCAAUACAAACAUCACGAUAUCUCAUGGAAUUUGAGAUAGUGUUGGGUCAUAAUAAGGACAUGUGAUCAUGAAAUCUAUGGUCGCAUUAAUUCUUUAAAUGAAAUUUGAUAUAUGCUUUUGUGAGUUAGAGUAUGCUAGUUGAUCAUAUAAUAAGAGAAUAUGUGACUCAAGAAUGGUAUAGGUAAUCUUGAAAGGCAAAUAUCUUUCACCUUAUUAGAUUAUAAACACUAAUUCCUGGGGAGACUAUAUGCAAUAGAUAGCAGGUCACGAACUUAAGCACUUUGUGUCUUGUUGUAAUACACAUAGGGUAUUGAAGUGUAGUUGACUUUCUAUAGUAAGAUGUUGAGUCAAUUUUAAAAUUUGAUUAUAAGGGAGCUAGUACUAUCCUAUGGGUCUUAGCAGUCCUUGCUCAAGUUCAUAUAUCUCAAUGGCAUGGUUUAUGAGGGUUGGAUUAACUCAUGAUUCACUUAUGUGCAUAAGGCUGUUUUGGCAAGUAUGCAUGAUUACAUAGGAGUUUGUUGGGACAAAACCUUAUAAAGUAUGACAUGAUGUAAUAGAUUUAGUUUCAUUAAUAAAUUUAUUUAUUUACUAUUCUAGUUCCCUUGUAUUAUCCCAUUGGCAUUAAUUGGUUAUCAAAGUAUUUACACCCAUAUCACUUGCAUUGUACAUGACUUAGGUGUAUUUAGAGUUGACCAAAAAAUCCAAGUCAUGGGUUCUUUGCAAGGUAAUAAAUAGUUUAUAGUAGGUUCAUGGAUUUGAGCAAUUUAAUAGAGACUAUAGUGUACUACUUCCCAAUUGGAGAGAUGACUAGUCUUAGUCACCGAGAUGACUUUCCCAUGAUGAGUGCAAUAAUGUGUAUAGUUACACAUUGGACAUGACCUAUGGUGAAUCAUGACAUUAAUUGUUGGGUAGUCAUGAUUCACCAUGAUACUAGAUUGUAUAAACUCUCAACCUUGAGAAAAUAUUGAGUUUAUGCUAAAAUCAACAAGAAGCUUUUAUCUAUGGGUGAGAUCCUAAUGUGGUCAUAUAUUCCUUACAAAUUAGGUUACAGUUGAUGAAGGUUGGUGGCAACAGGUAUUCUUAAUAGAGACAACAUAAUAUCUUAUGAGAUUAAGACAACGUGUCUCUUGGGUGAUCCUAAAGACAUGUGAUCAAGAUGACUAUGACCAUAGUAAUUCCUUUAGUAGAAUUUGACAUAUGCUCUUUGUAAGCUAAAGUAUGUAAAUUGAUCAUUAAUAAGAGGAUUUGUAACUCAAGGAUUGGAGAGAUAAUUUUGAAAGGUUGCCAUCACUACCUUGUUAGAUUACAGACACCAGUUCACGGGGAGUUUACAUGCAGUAGAUAGUAGGUCAUAGACCUAAACUUUUCCUUAUUGUAAUUAUAUAGGAUAUUGGAGUGUAGUUGACUUUCUUUAGUAAGGUGUUAAGUUAACCUUAGAAUUGGAUUCAAAGCGAGCUAGCAUUUUCCUAUAGGUUCCAAUGGUCCCUGCUCAAUCUCUCAUUUAAUGGUGUCACAUUUGUUUAAGGUAUUUUAGGUUUGUAGUUAACAAGUGUGCAUUAGGGGGAAUUUAAUAAAAAUACAAGGUUGGACUAGAUAUUGUGAAUAGACUUUCUAGAUUGGCCUAAUUUAUUAAUGGAUUCCAAUAUGGCUAAUUAAUUAAUUAGGAUCUAAGUGAGUUAAAUUAGGUAACCUAAGCCCACUUUAGGCUUAAGUCACUAAAGUUCACAAGGAAGCUUAUAAAUAACUAUUUAAAGCUUAUUGGGUUUUAUGAGUAACUUAAGCUUGCCUUGGGUUUGGGUAAGUUAUCAUAACCUAAAAAAGUUCUUAAUUGAGCGCUUAGAUUAAUCAAUUAGCUUAGUCCAGAAAUACCUUUCACCAACUCUAUUGGAAACUUUGAAUUACUCCAUUUCAUGAUCUAGGAUCAAAUAGGGUGCAUGCAACUAUCUUUAGGUUUUUCUAGAUCUAAUGCACUAGAAAAAUAUGGAUAUAAAAUCCAUAAAAUGUACUAGAUUUAUAGAUUAAAACUCAUACCUAUGAUUUCAAUGUUUCUAAAUUAAAUCCAAUCCCUAAAAGAUAUCAAAGAUGUUUUAAAAGUCAUCUAUCAAACAAUUUUCCACCCAAUCUCUCCCUCCACAAAUAGACCCUAGCACAAAAAAAGGUGAAUGCUGGAAUUUUCGUCAAUUAUUGGAUCAAAACAAAAUUUAUAACCUAAUUCACUAUUCUAUAGCAGCUUGUACCCGAUCAAAAAGUGGUUUUAGUACAAACUAUUGUAGUAUAGUGGUUUUUAGGUGUCGUCCACUAGGAUGGAUUGUUCUCGGUAAUUAAGGCUUGAAUGAGAUGAUAAGAAAUUAUUGCAAUCAAGUGAAAAUGAUUUGACAAUUCAUGAUAAAAGUUCAACAUAACAAUGAUUUCAAAUUUAGAGGAAAAUGAAGGGUAAAAGAGAAGAAAAUUAAUAGAAGAUGAAAUUCUUGGAGGUAGGAUUUUCUAGAAAAAAAUUUCCACGGUGAAUAGAUGUUGAGAUCUAAUUUUCAUCAAGUUAGAUUGAAAACCUAAAUUUUCAUCUAAACCAAUUUUUGAUUUAGCUUUAGGUCUAGAUCUAAUUUCUCUUCAAAUUAGGUCAUUUAAUCCAAGAGAUCAAUUCAAAUUAUAUAUUCAAUUCAUCUUAAACUAUCUUCCAAUGAUUCACAUAAUGCAACUAUUCAAUCUCAUCAAAUCUAGCUUUAAGAAUUUGAUGAAUCUACCUAGCUUGCAUUGUAGUAAUCAUCCAAGACAAUUUGAAGAGAAAAAUCCUCAAAUUUCAAUUAAUCAAUCAAUUGGAUCAAAUUACCUUUUCAAUUCAAGCUCAUUUCUCUAAUUCACCAUAGAUUUUGCCUCUAGAUCCUCCCUCCUUUGAGAAAAAUGAGAUUUAGCCACUCAUGCUUGGAGAUUUUGCCUCACAAAACAUUUUUGGCUAGCGAGAAAAUGAAGGAAAGUGGAAAAUUCUAGAGAAAGAGAAAAUAUGGAAAAUUCUACAAUUAGAAAAUGUCUAAUUUUUUUUGAAAAUGAGUAAAUCAAGUUUCUAUUUAUAGGCCAAGGUCAAGAGGACACUUGGCAUCAUCUAAGAGGUCUUUUAAAGGCUUCUUCAUCAAGAAAUUUGGAGUUUAGUAAUAAAAUGUCCAUUUCGCAAGAGAUCCAGCACUUUCACACGAGCUCCAUCAAUUUCGCAUGAGUGUGCGAAGUGGAAAAUGCAUCAGCACCAAUUUCGCCUUCUUAGAGCAUUUCGCAUGACUGUGCGAAAUUUUCGCAUGGUCGUGCAAAAUCAGCUUCAAGAUUUCCCUUUGAGCUGUAGCCAAAAUUGCCUUCUGGUCCAUUUCAAUUUUAUACUCUGUGUUUUUGGGAUGAAUGACAUGUGAAAGUUGGAAUUUGCUAAAAAAAUAUACAUAUAUUUUUUUGAGUUAAUGUUUGUAAGCAUAAUUCUCCCAAAAACCGGUCAUGCUUCAUCAUAUUGUAUGUUUGUUUUUUUUUAUAAUGUGUGGUUAUUCAUCUUUAUAUUUGUGUAAUGGAUUGAUAUCUAUAAAUUAAGAGUAUCAAUUGAUAGGUAGAUGAAUCAAUUGAUUGGGCAUCUAAGAGUCUUAUGUGUAGAAGACUAAAAUUAUAAAUGGGGAGUUAGAAAACUUUUCAUUUAUAUGAAUAGGGUGUUACAAUUUUUGUAAUCCUAUCAUUAUGAGAUUUAAUUUGUAUAUAAAGUUUAUGAGUAAUGGAGGAAGAUGGAAAAGUAUAACCUAUGCAAUUAUAUAAAUGCAUUCAAGUUGGUAACCCACAAUUAUCCAUUAAUUUGUACAUAAUGUUUGUAAAUAAUGAAUAUAACUCCCGUGUAGUCUUUGAUGCAUGAGAAGACUAAGAGAUAUAAAUCUCUUUUAUAAGAUCAAGAUCCUAAGUCAUACUCUCAUUCUUAUGUCUUUUUGUUAUUUUACUUAUAACAACAUAUAACACACAAGUGACCCGUCUACUAUAUGAGAGUAGUGAGUUGAAGAUCUUGAGCAAAACAAUUCACAAGAUGACUCAAGCUCACUUCAAAAGUAUUAUCAAUAUCAUGGAUGAAGGUAAAAAUAUGAUCAUUAUAUUAUCAUUGCUUUAGCAUUUAUAUCUAUUAUGUUUUAUGCAUCCAAAAUUGAUUUUCCAAAAUAAUUGUUUUCACAUAAAGUUUAGUUAACAUGUACUUCUAUUUUAAAAUUUUAAAAUUUUAAAAUAAAUUUGCAGAAAUCACUUUUAAAUGUUUUUUUAUAAAAAAAAAUUUAAAAUAUGAAAGAAUCACAUAUUUUUUCAACUUUGAAAAAUAGACCUAAUAAACAUAUUUAACAUUUAUAGCAAUUAAAAAUUAAUUAAUAUUUUUUAAAAAAAAAUUAAAUAAAAGCAAUGGUGUAUCCAAAUAAUACCUUAUUCACCCAAUUUAGUUAUCAUAUGCCUUUAGUACCGAAGUGGCUGACUAAAUUUUUUCUCAAGGUAUAAUAAUGCUAAAAGAUCUUUAACCAAAACAUGGACUUCACUCUUAUUUCUUCCUACCACUUUAAUUUCACCCAACUUCACCUAUAGAAGCUCAUUCAUGUCUUAUCUUGUUUGUCUAGUUUGAACCUCAUGUUGCUCAAGUCCCAAAAGGAAUAAAAUUUCAUUCAGAAUAUAAUUAUGCACAAAAUCCUCAUUAGGGUUAGAGUUUGCUCCUUCAUUAAUUAAUUAUAAUGGUUUAGGGUCAGAAUAACAUACUUUAUUAUGUUAAAGUAUCCUAAACUUUGUUAGCAAACACAUAUGGCUGAAAGCGAAGAAUGAUCAAGAGUCCAAGUACUAACAAAGGGCACUUAUGAACCAUAGGUUGAGGAAAGUGGCUUGAGCCCAAGCUUGGGGCUUAGGUUAUUUUUUGUUUAUGCAAUACUUAAAUCCAAACUUAAAGGUGACAUUAGAAACAUAUUUCAAUCUCAUAUUUUAUCCUCUUAACUAUUGGACCUAAUUGCACUCGACAUGGAACUUGUUUAUGCAUUUUGGGAAUCACAUGCAUUUUAGUCCCAAAAUAGCUAUGCAACUUUUUUUUCCACCUAAUUAAGUUCAAAAUUAAGGGGGUGUUUGGUAAAACUUAAUACCUUUUACUAAUGACUUAAAUUGACUUUAAGUUAAAUUAUAUUUAACUUGCUAACUUAAAACUUAUUAUUUAAUUCUUACUUCAAGUAUUAAGGUUGUUUAAUAAAAUUAAUUUAAAACAUAUUUUAAAUCAUCAAAUUGAUAUAUUAUCCUCAUAAAUUAUAACUAGAGUAUAAGAGGUUGAGUGACAAUGAAGGUCGUGGAGUAGUAAAGAAAAUUGUGGAGGUAACUAGGAUAAAUGAGAAUAAAAAAGUAGAAUGAAAAUAUAAAUUUUAAAAUAAGUUAAUUGGUUUUACUUUUUCUUAAAAUUAUUUUUGAUUUUAAGUCAUACCAUUAAAUUAUUUUAAUAAACAUAAUUUACUUAAUAACUUAAAUUAAAUUAUUAAGUUGUUAAUUUACCAAACACCUACUAAUUUUCAAAUUCUAAGUUUAGCUUUGCUUUGCAGUGAAUGCAUUUAGGAUUAUCAAAGAGGUCAUCAAGGGUUUCAAACAUAUUUUAUUGCUCAACUUCUCGAAGAGGGACUUCAGAAGAGAAGAUUCCAUAAUUCUAGUUUUGUAUGCGAUUGUAUGUAUCCUACCACAUGGAGACGAUUCCUCAGCAUGCUGAUUUAUUAUUAAGUUCAUGUGAAUUACGUAUGGAAUUCCAAUUGAUGUGAACAUAAAAUUAAUUGAAUUAUGUGACAUUUUUUUUACGCAGAAUAAAACAUAUACAGUUGGAAGAUAUCUCGAGAUUCUGAUUUUAUAUCUGGCCCUCAAAAUUCUAUUUCACUGUCAGGUUGUGGACGUUCCACCCAGCUGGAGCAGAUCCCUUGGCAUGCUGAUAUGCCAACUAUUGAAAAGUCUGCACCCAUUUUCUAUAUUCAUGAGCUUUUCUCCUGUUCGAAUUAGUUUUGAAGUUAUCUACAGACAUGACUUGUACAAAUUGAAAAGUUUUAAUUAGGGCAGCAAAAGUAAUCCCUUCAAUUUUAUUAUUAUUGUUAUUAUUAUUACCUUAUAAAAAGAAUUUACCCAAUCAAAAGUGAUCGCAUAGUCAAAAUAGAUUUUAUUUUUUCUUAUCUUACAAUAAUAUAAAAAAAUAUAUAUAUACUUUCAAUCAAUGUCUCAUAUUUCUAACACGUACGCGCUCUAGAAUUUCUCGAAUUGUAGUCUAGAGUGUCAACUUUUAGUGUUUGAUCAAAAAGGCCAUAAACAAAUAUAUGAAAAAAGUAAUCAACAAGCAGAGGAUUCUUUUUGAAUAAAAAAGACCCACUUACAAGCAUGGAUUAUAAAUUGUCUUCAGUUGCGGCUGAAACUUUCUAUAUGACUUUAAAGAAAAAAGAGGUCAUAAAUAGAUAGCUGAGAACAAGUUGAGGGAUUCAAAGGCAGCUAUGGUAUAAAUAUUGUUUUAUAAAUUAAACCUUUUGUACCGCCUCUACAAAGGAACACAAAAUUGAGAGAUUCAAAGGCAGCUAUGGUAUAAAUAUUGUUUCAUAAAUUACUUUUCAAAUUUAAUUUGAUAGCAAAAAUUUAAAAUAUAAAAGUAUAAAAAAUUUGUUUCAUUCCCAAAAUUUUUGCAAAUAAAAUUUAAAGUAAUAAAUUAACACCAUGACUCUUUUCACAUCUUAUUCUCAUUUCUAUCAAAGCAAUGAUAGUAAUUGUCUUAUCUAUAAAUUUUAAAUGAUGUAAGAUCAUUGAAUUUUUAUUUUCUUUUAAACUUCUUGUUAUGUAAUUAUCAAACAUAUUUUUUUAAGACAAGAAAAAAAUUACACCGAACAAAUAGAUUUGAUACUUAGAAUAAUUGAAAACAUAAUUCGUAUUUUCCAUUUUUAAAAAUAAUAAAAGCAAAGGUGUUUCAAAACAAUACCUCAUUUGCUCAAUUAAUUAUCACAUUUCCUAAGUACAAAAGUAGGCAAGUAAAUUUUUGCUCAAGUUACAAUAGUGCUCCAAAUCCUUAUCCAAGAUUUUGAUCCUAUUUCACAAUUGUUUUUUAAAACAGUUUUUUUCUUCUCUACAACAAAAAAAAAAAAAAAACAAGAAAAUGUGUUUGAGAAUUGGAAAAUAAAGUGUUUUCAAAAAAACAUAUGUUAGUUGUUUUUAGUUUUUCUUCAUUAGCUUUUUUGAAGGUUGUUUUUAAAAAUAAUUAUACAAAUAUGAAGAAUUAUUAAAAAUAUAAUUUUAUAGACAAAAGUUAUUUUAAAAUUAUAUGCACGAGUUUUGGAAAGUCUUGCAAAAUAAGCAAAACUAUAGGAAAAAUAUGCAAAUAAAAUUUGUAUUAAAAUCAUUGGGGGCCCCCGCAUUUCGGCUCAUGCGCUUCCACUCGAUGGUGAGCUCGAUUUUUAUUUUGAAAAAUGAUUUAUUAUUUGAAAAAUGACUUGAAGUCGCCACUUAUUUUUGUUUUAUUUUUAAAGGGUAAACAAAAUAAGAAAGAAAACUCUAAAUGUGACUCCUUAUUUGGAAAAGGUGGUCUGUGAAAAACCGGAUCGGGCUCGGGGGUUAGGUUACUUAUUGGGAAGGUACGGUAAAAACCGUAGCACCCCUCUAAGUCCCCAAAAACGGGUCUUUACUAAUGAAAUGAAGCAAUCAUGACAAUUGAUAAGUAAAUCAAUGGAUACCGAAUGAAAAUCGAAACAAAAUACCCAAAUGAAUUUGAGAGACAAAGAACGUACCUGAGUGACGAGCUGAUUUAUUUCAUUGGAAACAAAGGUUAGUGAACAAACACAAAUGAUCGUGUGCAUAUCAUAGAAUAGAACAAAUCAAUCACAUAUAGCAAUCAAAUCAAUCAAUCAUAAAAUCGCAUAUGUUGGGCCCCCACUAAAACCCAUUUAUUUUUGCAUGAAUUAAUUCUGUAAAUUCCAUCACUCGGAAUUAUAGAAUUUAAUUCAUGCUUAUUUUAAAACAUUUAAAAAACAGAGGAGAUGUGAGUAUUGCUCAUCAGAAAAGAAGAUGGCAACAAAGUUUUAUUAAAAAUGGGAUUUUUGGUACCUAAAACUCUAAGGAUGAAAAUUUUGGAGUUGAGAUUAUUUAAAAAGUUAGAAUCUGAAAAAUUAUUUUUAAAAAAAGAUUUAGAAAGUUAUUUUCAAAACCAAAAGGGAGAAAUAGGAGGUGGCAUGUGGCCCAAAGGUGGCCAUGCGGAGGUGGCCAUGCAAAAACAUUUUCUUCUGGGCCAAGGGAGAGACUGCGCUAUAGGGAUCAAUGGUAUUGUUGGGCUUGUCAUAACUCUAACCAGGAUAGGAUCCCAGCCACAUAUAGCUGUAACUAGGUUGCUACAUUGAAAGAGUACCAAGAGAGGCACCCUAGCUUAACGGAGGUCAGGCCUGGUAGCCUUGCGGAGGAUAUCUCUAACCAUUGCCAGAUUUCUGAUAUGAUUCUCACUGAUGACUUCGUUGACCAACUGUUCAGCAAACUCAAUCUGUUCACUGGUACUGCCUAUGUGUGCAAUUCUCUCCAUUGAUAUGUCACCAGAAAGGAAAUGCAAAAGUAUAAACUAGAUACGAGCUCCUGUCUUGGCUUGCAUAUUUCUAAUGAUCUCACCGCCCUUACCAACUAUCAGACCAACCUUGUUGUUUGGUACUUUCAUCACGAGCUGUCCAAACCCAGUCCAACCAAUUAACCUUCAAGAAAUUAUGCCAAACCUCUUUGCUUAUAUCUGUUGUGUCAUUCCAUAAGAAUUGAACGCACCCAUAUGUAAGCACCCGUGAUGUGUCGUCACACUCCAACUGCAAAUUAAAUCGAACAAGACCUUUCAUGGAAGCAUCUCUGACAUCUAAAUGAGACCCUGUCAAACCUUGAAUUAUCUGGAGUUCAUCAAGUGCAUCAUCAAAUGCUCUUCAUUCAGAGUGUCCAACUUAGCAAUAGCUUCAUCAAAAACCUAUUUAUCCAGAUUACAAGCAUGAUCCAGGGGAUUCAGAAUCUUAUAGUAAAAGACGGAGAAGUUAAGUGCAAGCCUCAAGCAGAUAAGACGGGUUGAAGCCAAUUCCACAGCUGCAAUAUCCUACGCUGAUUUUAUAAGCUACGAGAGUGCUCUCCGUCGCCUCUCUCAUCUCGGCUCCGGUCUUGAAUGCUGAUAGAUAACAACGAUAAUCGCUCUUCAUCUUUAAACAAAGCGACUUUGGGUCACUAGCCAUAGCCGAAUGAAUAAGCUACGAAUCCAGCAGACGAAGAGUAUCGUCACAGAUGGAGGAUUGUUGAAACAUAACACGCAUAUAAUGGAAACAGACUCGUGUUGGCUCCUGCCCGCUCCCAAUGGGUAUGGCCCUCAUGCUCAUUGACAUGUUCGAAGACGUCAACAAGCGCACCAUAGACCUUCUGUAGGCAGAGGAUUGGGUUUAAUGGGUUUAGAAAGAAUUUGUGGCAUGUAUGGGUAUGGAAAUAGGUGUGAAUGAUAGCCUUGCAUGCAUGAGGAGUGGUGAAUAGGUUGAAGAGAGUGGGUUUAGAGGAUAGAAAUAUGGGUAUAGUUGUGGGUUUAGAAAAUGGGUACAGUAUUAGUGGGACGGGUAGUGGAAAAAUGGAUUGGAAGGCAUUGGAAAAUGAGGUCUCUAUGGUGGCCAUGCAUGCGUCAAAAAAUAGAAAGGAGUGCAUGGAGGUUAAAUGGAAGGAUGAAUGAUGGAAGUAGCAGCUUGGGUAGGUGUAAGCUUUGGAUUUGGGUAGGUAAAAAAAAUGAGAGAUAGGUAUGAGAUAGCCAAUGAGAGAUCUGCACCAUUUGGCAUUGUGAUCGCUCGGUUUUUGUCGUUUAUUGGAUCAAAACAAAAUUUAUAACCUAAUUCACUAUUCUAUAGCAAUUUGUACUCGAUCAAAAAAUGGUUUUAGUACAAACUACUAUAGUAUAGUGGUAUUUAGGUAUCGUCCACAAGGAUGGAUUAUUCUCGGUAAUUAAGGCUUGAAUGAGAUGAUAAGAAAUGAUUGUGAUCAAGUGAAAUUGACUUGAAAUUGCAUGAUAAAAUUCCAAAAUAACAAUGUAUUCAAAUUGAGAGAAAAAUGAAGUGUAAAAGAGAAGAAAAUUAAUAAGAGGUGAGAUUCUCGGAGUUAGGAUUUUCUAGAAAGCAAUUUCCAUGGCGAAUAAGUGUUGAGAUCUAAUUUUCAUCAAGUUAAAUUGAAAACCUAAAUUUUCAUCUAAACCGAUUUUUGAUUUAGCUUUAGGUCUAGAUAUAAUUUCUCUUCAAAUUAGGUAAUCUAAUCCAAGAGAUCAAUUUGAAUCAUAUAUUCAAUUCAUCUUAAAUUAUCUCCUUAUGAUUCACACGAUGCAACUAUUCAAUCUCAUUAAAUUUAGCAUUAAGAAUUUAAUGAAUCUACCUAGCUUGCAUUGUAGUAAUCAUCCAAGACAAUUUAAAGAGAAGAAUCCCCAAAUUUCAAUUAAUCAAUCAAUUGGAUCAAAUUACCUUUGCAAUUCAAGCUCAAUUCUCUCAUUCACCAUAGAUCUUGUCUCUAGAUUCUCCCUCCUCUGAGAAAAACAAGAUUUAGCCACUCAUGCUUGGAGAUUUGAUCUCAUAAGACAUGUUUGGCUACCAAGAAAAUGAGAGAAAAUGAAGGAAAGUAGAGAAUUAUAUAGAGAAAAGAAAUCUGAAAAGUUCUACAAUUAGAAAAUGUAUCAAAAGUCUUUAAAUGAGUCAAUCACAUUUUUAUUUAUAGGCCAAGGUCAAGAUGACACUUGGCAACAUCUAAGAGGUCUUUCGGAUGCUUCUUCAUCAAGGAAUUUGGAGAAAAUACAUUUUCGCACGAGCCUUAGCAAUUUCGCAUGAUGGUGCGAAGUGGAAAACCAUCAGCUUCAUUUUUGUCUUUCUGGAGCGUUUCGCAUGACUGUACAAAAUUUUCGCAUGGUUGUGCGAAAUUGCUUUUCACUUUUCCCUUAGUAUGCUACAGCCAAACCUAUUCUGUUUCAUUUCACAUGGUCAUGCGAAAUUGAAAAACAUGUUUUUUCGACUCCUCUUUGCAAUUCUUUCCAUUUCUUCAUUUUUAAUCCACCUCUACCACUUUCAAUUCAACUCCAAAUCCCAAUCCAAACCGAUUGCAUUGCUUAUUUCAUUAUGCAUUUGGAUCAUCAUCAACUUUAUUUGUUUUCUUCAAUUUGGUUCAUCUCUUUUGUCACCAAUUUAUCAAAAUCAUACCUUAAAAUGACUUUAAAACUUCAUAAAACUUGUUAGUAACUAUUGCAAGGGCAAAAACAUGUUAAUUGAGUGUUUUAGGCAUAAUUACUACUCAAAAGAUGUGAAAAUCAUGAGAAUUAUUAUCUAAAAUAUGCUCUUUUUGAGUAGUAAUCAUUCCCCCCAACCAACACAUUGCUAGUCCCUUAGCAAUUGUAUGACAAAAAGAAAGAAAAAUAAGGCCAAAGAAAAGAAAUCAUAACUCACAUAAGCAAAUCAUUUGAAAAAAAAAAUGUUUGAAAUUUCCAUAGCAUAAAUGGUUGAUAAACAAGCACACCCUACUAUCCAUAGGUAUCAACAAAAUCCCAACUUAUUUACUAUCUCUAAUAGAAAUAAUAUCAUGCUAAUCAAGGUAUCAAAAACAUAUCCAUCUUCAUUUCCCAAACAAUCUUUGUAAACAAGUCUUGAGUGUAAUUAAGCUAGCUCCCGAAUAUAGUACUCAAAACUAAUCCUCCCCCCAACCUAGCUCAAUUUAUCUCAAACAACAAAAAUCACUCUCUCAUAGGUUAAGAACACACCUAUCUUUAUUUUAUUAUUAUUUUUUUUACAAAUGACUUAUUGUAGGAGUGCAAUGCUAAAGGUAUCUCCAAGUAUAUGGUCCAUGUAGCGGGGAUUCAUCGAUGACUCCCAAUCAUAAGGCAUAGGGCACCAAGUUUAUAGGACUAUUUAACUAGCCACUAACUCCUCAGACUUCACCCCGGACUCCUCAAAUUAGGAUCCAAUACAUUAACACCUACAAUUGAGUUCAUACCCCACCUAUCCACCCAUGUAACAAGCAUUGAGGUCGGUGGCUCCCAACCAAAAUGGCUUAGGGCACCAGGCUUUAAAGACCUUUGGGCCAUAUACCCCUCGGACCUUGCUCAGGUUUCAAGGCAAGCAUAACUCAACAUUUUUAUUCAUCAACUCUUUUUUUUUUUUUUUUUUCAAUUGGGCACAUUGGCCUCUUUUUAAGGUGUCUCAACUCAGUUCAAGAGUAAUCAAUGUUACAAGAUAAUUAAGUCUAAGUCUUAAGGUUAGAAUAGUUUUUCAUCUUAUAUCUGGGGUCUAGAGUGCAUAGUAUGUGUCAAGACUCAAAUAGAAAUGACAAUUUGGAAAAUGAAGACUUUAAAGUCAAAUCAACUUUAAUUCACAUAACCAAUCUUCUAAGAUCAAGCAAAUAAGCUAGUAUUCUAAAUCAACUUUUUUUAAGUUAGGUUUGCUCAUUCAUCAAUCACAAAUGCUAUAGUCAUCUCAAAAAAAUCUCACCAAAUAAGUCACAAAUGUGAUUUAUGAAAAAAAAAAAUUAUAGAAAAACUAAUAACAUAUUUCCUUCUCUUCAUUUUUAACCCUCCCCCAACCUAACUUGUACAUUGUCCUCAAUGUGUAAUGAAAAUAUACAAAGAAAGGAAGGAAAGAUACCUCAAUCUCUCAUGAAUUUCAGUUUCAAUAGCUAAAACAAAAAUAAGAUCACACAUGAGAAUUGUUGGAUAUGAAUGACAUAAGAGAAGAAAAUAUGAAAACAAAUCUAUUAAAAACCAAAAAAAAAAAACUAUGUUAGAGACACAAUGUAUGGAGUAAAAUCAAGGUAUAGAUGAUGACAAUGUCCAAAGAAAACAUGAUUUCAAUGAUAAGUCAAUGAUUCUCAUGGAGUUUUUGAAAAUUUCAGACAAGUGUGCAAACUAGACAAGAAGGUGGUGUGUGUUGCAACCACUUUUUCUUUUGAAAUAAUUUGGCACAAUCAUGCGGAAAUUCGCAUGUACAUGCGAAUUGGUCAAGAGAGCUUUAUCUUAUUAUAGUCUUCAGCAUAAUUUUCGCAUAGUCAUGUGAAAAUUCGCAUGUUGAUGCGAAAUGGAUCUGAGGCUUAAAACUGUUGUAGUCAUCCACAUUAGUUUCGCACAGUCAUGCGAAAACUUCACAUGAGUGUGUGAAGUGGUCCAGAUGGCUCAUUUUACUACAGUCUUUAAGAUGGAUUUCGCAUAGUCAUGCGAAAUGCUCUAGAGGGUUCAUUUUUACAACUAUCAUUUUCAGUUUUGCACAGUCAUGCGAAAAUUUUGCAUGACCAUGCGAAUUGUGACAAAGACUCAUUUUGUACAUUUCCGAAGAUAUGAAAACUCCCCUAUUUUGGCAUGACUGUGUUAUUUUGGCAUGACCUCCCUGUUUUGGCAUGACUAUGCAAAAUGGUGAUGGGCCAUUAAAACUCUUUUUUCCUUUGCUUCAUGCAUUCCAUCCAUCCAGAAAGUCCUUCAAAACACAAGUCAAAGAAUUGAGAUGGAUUUAUUUAAUGGAAACUAAAAAAAAAAUCAAAAUCCAAAGGAAAUGAUAAACCAUUGGGCUAGCUAGCCAUUGACAUGACUAAGCCCAUUAACCUUUGCAUCAAUACUCAAUUUGGAUAUGGCUUGCAAACAAUGAAUGGACCAACUCCUUGGUACUUAAGCUUUCCCAGAAAAAUAUGUGGCUUGAAAUAACCUUCUUUGAACUUGUUCUUUUGAAUAAGUUGGUCAUGCCAUUCCUUGAGUUUCUUUUUCAUGGUCUUUGGAUUAUUUUUCAUACCAUGCUUCAUUUUUUUCACUUUCUUGAAGCUGAAAGACCAUUUCAUUAACUUCAAAGGUUGAAUUUCUUUAUUGAUCCUCCAAACUUCAAUCCGUUCAUUGGAAAUUGCUUCACUAAGUUUUGAAAAAUUAUCUUCAACCUUUUCUUUCACUAGCACUUUCAUAGGCAAUUCAAUCAAAUAAGCCUCCUUAAGUUCCUCCUCCUCCUUGGUACCAUGCUUCUUAUAUGAAUGAAAAAUGUUUAGCUCAAUUGUCAUGUUACCAAAGGUAAGUUGCAUCACCCCACUUCGACAAUUAAUUAAUGCAUUUGCUGUGGCAAGGAAAGGUCGGCCAAGUAUAAUAGGAACAUGGUUGAGUCCACUAGUUCCUUGUUUCAUAUCAAGCACCACAAAAUCAACCGGAUAAUAGAAGAUAUCGAUUUGGAUCAACAUAUCCUCAAUAAUUCCUCUUGGAAACUUAACCGAUCUAUCCGCCAAUGAAAGUGUGAUGGAAGUAGACUUUAGUUCUCCAAACCCCAAUUGCUUAUAUACCGAGUAGGGAAGAAGAUUCACACUUGCCCCCAAGUCUAAAAGUGCUCUUUUCACAAAAGUGUUGUCAAUCUUCACCGAGAUAGUUGGACAUCCCGGAUCCUUAUACUUGAUUGGGGUUUUACAUUGGAUGAUUGCACUAACUUGUUCAGUCAAGAAAGUUUUCUUUUUCAAAUGCAUCCCUCUCUUUAUGGUACACAAAUCCUUAAGAAACUUGGCAUAGGUUGGAAGUCUUAUCAUGUCAAGGAGUGGUAUAUUGACUUUGACUUGCUUGAGAACUUCAAAAAUUUCUAGAGCAUUAUUUACCACUUUCUUGGAUUGAAGAGCCAUAGGAAAAGGUGGAGCUAAGAGCAUAUCUUUCUUCUUAACCUCUUCUUUAACAAUCUCAUCUUCCUUUGAUCUAUCAUCCUCAUUCACCUCUUUCCAUUUUUCUUGUUCUUUCACAUUUUCCUUUUGUUCCCCUCUUUUAUUCUCUUUUGGUUUUGGCAUAGGUUGAUCAACUUGCUUACCACCUCUUAAGGUAAUGACUGCUUUGACUUCAUCCUUCUCAAUAGAACUUUCACUUGUCUCUCCAAUUUCAUGGACUCCACUUGGAUUUUGUUGGGGUUAUGAAGAGAAUUUUCCUUUUUCUUACACUGUAUGCAUGCUUGUGAGUUUAGAAAUAGCAAGCUGCAUAUUAUCAAUCUUUUGUGUGAGAUUGGUUUGCAAGCUAUCAAAUUUCUGAUUGAAAGAUGUCUCCACAUGAUCUAUUCUUUGGUUUACUUGAAUAUUGAUAUUCUUUUGAUCACCAAUAAAAUCACCCAAAAUUUUACUCAAGCUUACAAUAGCUUGCUCAACCAAAGAAAUUUGUUGUGGAGAGUCUUCCAUGACUUGUUGGCUUUGUGAGUAUUGACUUGAAGAAAAUUGUUCUUGUCCACAAUUCCAUGACAUGUUUAGAUGAUUCUCAACAAGUCUUUCCCCCAUAGCUAGUAUUGUAGGACAAUCACUCACUUCAUGUUCUAUAGAUUGACAAUUAGAACAUUGCUCCUUGUAAAUUGGAUUAUCAUAUAUUGCAUUCACCACAUGAAAUCCCUUAGCUUCAAGUUCCUCUAGCCUUUUUGUCAAAGCUACCAUUUUAGCUUGUAGAUCAACAUCUUCAUUCAACAUAUACAUUCCUCCAUUUGAAUUGCUUUGAGACUUGGACUUGUGUAAAUCCCUUUCAUGUGGCUCAUUCCAUGACCUUAAUAUUUUAGCCACAUAAUUCAAGAAUUCAAAAGCUUCAUCGGGACUUUUGCUCAUAAAGCCACCUCCACACAUGGUUUCUAGCAAUUGCUUCAUAGUUGGCGACAUGCCCUCAAGAAGUAACUCACCAACAUCCAUGUGUCAAAACCAUGAUGAGGACAAACAUUGAUUACUUCCAUAUAUCUUUCCCAACAAGCAUAAAAUUUUUCAUUGUCCAAUGCCACAAAGUUGGUAAUUUGCCUCUUCAAGCCACUUGUGCGAUGUAUGGGGAAAAUUUUCUUUAAGAAGGUUGUUUGUAGUUCCAACCAUGACCUUAUGGUUUGGGGCCCCAAUGAGUUGAACCACAACUUAGCCUUAUCCUUCAAUGUGAAUGGAAAAAGCUUCAAUCUCAUAAGCUCAAUGGAUGUGUUUCCCUCAUGAAAUGUAUGAAAAACCUCUUCAAAAUCCUUGAUGUGAGUAUAAAGAUUCUCAUUCUCCAUUCCAUGAAAUUGAGGUAGAAGGGGUACCAAGUGAGUUUUUAUCACAAUAGCCUCAUUAGGAAGAACUAUACAUGAUCCCAUGCCUAUCCUUUGAGGAUGCAUAUAUUCUCUCAUUGAUCUAGACAUGUGAGAAUUGCCAUUGUUUGGUCCUUGUUGAGUUUGUUGAUUUUCCCCUUGAUUUUCCAUUUCCUCAACAAUUGGAUCACAAAACAAAGAUGAUUAGCAAUAUAAGUUUUUUUUCAAUCUCUCCCUUGAAUUUUAUUCUCAAUGUAGUAUGCAAUGGAGAGCCUACAAAACAAGCUUAGAAAAACCAAAACAAACCAAGAAGAACAAAAAGAGAAAUAAAAGAUAAAAAUGGAAAAAAAAAUAAUAAUAAGAAAAAUGGAGAAUCGAUAAAGAGAACUUCACCAAUCUUGUGAUGUGGAUCACAAGGGCUAAUCCUCACCAAAAAAAAAAAUGCCUCAAUCACCUAGGCACCAUCCCCGGCAACAGUGCCAUUUUUGAUUGCUCGGUUUUUGUCGUUUAUUAGAUCAAAACAAAAUUUAUAACCUAAUUCACUAUUCUAUAGAAAUUUGUACCCAAUCAAAAAAUGGUUUUAGUACAAACUACUGUAGUAUAGUGGUAUUUAGGUAUCAUCCACAAGGAUGAAUAUUCUUGGUAAUUAAGGAUUGAAUGAGAUGAUAAGAAAUGAUUGUGAUCAAGUGAAAUUGACUUGAAAUUGCAUGAUAAAAUUCCAAAAUAACAAUGUAUUCAAAUUGAGAGAAAAAUAAAGUGUAAAAGAGAAGAAAAUUAAUAAGAGGUGAGAUUCUCGAAGUUAGGAUUUUCUAGAAAGCAAUUUCCAUGGUGAAUAGGUGUUGAGAUAUAAUUUUCAUCAAGUUAGAUUGAAAACCUAAAUUUUCAUCUAAACCGAUUUUUUAUUUAGCUUUAGGUCUAGAUCUAAUUUCUCUUCAAAUUAGGUAAUCUAAUCUAAGAGAUCAAUUUGAAUCAUAUAUUCAAUUCAUCUUAAAUUAUCUUCCUAUUAUUCACAUGACGCAACUAUUCAAUCUCAUUAAAUCUAGCAUUAAGAAUUUAAUGAAUCUACCUAGCUUGCAUUGUAGUAAUCAUCCAAGACAAUUUGAAGAGAAAAAUCCCCAAAUUUCAAUUAAUCAAUCAAUUGGAUCAAAUUACAUUUGCAAUUCAAGCUCAAUUCUCUCAUUCACCAUAGAUCUUGUCUCUAGAUUCUCCCUUCUCCGAGAAAAACGAGAUUUAGCCACUCAUUCUUGGAGAUUUGAUCUCACAAGACAUGUUUGGCUACCGAGAAAAUGAGGGAAAAUGAAGGAAAUUAGAGAAUUAUAUGAGAAAAGAAAUCUGAAAAGUUCUACAAUUAGAAAAUGUAUCAAAAGUCUUUAAAUGAGUCAAUCACGUUUCUAUUUAUAGGCCAAGGUCAAGAUGACACUUGGCAACAUCUAAGAGGUCUUCCGAAUGCUUCUUCAUUAAGGAAUCUGGAGAAAAUACAUUUUCGCACGAGCCUUAGCAAUUUCGCAUGAUGGUGCGAAGUGGAAAAUCCAUCAGCUUAUUUUUUGUCUUUCUGGAGCGUUUUGCAUGACUGUGCGAAAUUUUUGCAUGGUCAUACAAAAUUGCUUUUUACUUUUCCCUUAGUAUGCUGCAGCCAAGCCUAUUCUAUUUCAUUUCGCAUGACUAUGCGAAAUUGAAAAACAUGUUUUUUCGACUCCUCUUUGCAAUUCUUCCCAUUUCUUCAUUUUUAAUCCACCUCUACCACCUUCAAUUUAGCUCCAAAUCCCAAUCCAAACUAAUUGCAUUGCUUCUUUCAUUAUGCAUUUGGAUCAUCAUUAACUUUAUUUGUUUUCUUCAAUUUGAUUCAUCUCUUUUGUCACCAAUUUAUCAAAAUCAUACCUUAAAAUGACUCCAAAACUUCAUAAAACUUGUUAGUAACUAUUGCAAGGGCAAAAACAUGUUAAUUGAGUGUUUUAGGCAUAAUUACUACUCAAAAGAUGUGAAACUCAUGAGAAUUAUUAUCUAAAAUAUGCUCUUUUUGAGUAGUAAUCACAUUGCAACACCCUUAUUUUGUUAUACCCAUUUGUAUGCUUAUCCUUUACAUAAGGAGCUUGUCUGACACCUUUAUAGAAGCGGACAAAAAGCAUGGCUUGCUUGUAGAUCCAGUGCAACUUUCAGUAACACCCAACCCCUAUCAUUUUGACCCAAAAGGAUCUAUACCUAUGAUCAUUGAACUCAUUCCAUUUUGAGAACAAUCUUCAUGAACUCAUAAACGAAAUAACUUAUUGAAACUGAAGGUAGCACCUGUGGUAAGCCGAUUUCAAUAUAUCAUGCACACCAUAGAAAAUUGCACCUGAAGGUGCCAUACUUAUAGUGGAAGGCACCAAACCCUUGUAAAUGGAGAAGAAUCCUUCAGUUCGGAUCAUAUGGAGGAAAUGCCAAUAACACUACCCAAGGCUUUACCACCCGGUGCCACCAUCUUGGUCUGGAUUUAACAUGGUACCCAAUAGUAAGCGGAGUAUGGUAGUAGUAAUUCUAGCUGCAUCACCAGCAAUUGUCUUAAUUAGCUCAAAUAUAUGCUUCUGUUCACCAUGAACUAUAUAUUCCAGCUUUAGUCUCCUUUGAUUGCAUAUCAUUUCCUCCACAAAACUUUCGUUUACUAUCAUCAAACUGCCAUCCUAUACCACAAUGGUCCCAUCAACCCUACUGACCAUCCAAAUGUCAUUAAAUGAGCUAGAAGCUGGGGACUCUCAACAGCAAGAGCACCUUGAGGUUGAAUGAAUUUAGAAUAACCCACUGAAAACUCUUAUAUAGCUUCUUUAGGUGGAGAUGAGGAAGGAGAAUAGCCAAAAUAGAGCACAACAGAGUGAGCAAAGCAUUAAGUGGGAUCCCCCUUUCAUAUUGAAAUCAAGGGGUUCCAGCCAGUGGUGCAACAGGAGAGUUUAAAACAAAGAUCCAAAUGAGAGCAUCAAUAAACUCCCACCAUGGGAGUGAGCCAUAUUCAAAAAAACAAAUAUAAGAGAAAAGUAAUGCAUCAUCACAUACCCAGACAAUCGUCCAAUGCUUAGAAAAAAAAAAAAACCAAAACAACCAGAGAAGAUGGAAGAUAAAGAAAACAGAGUGAUGAGUGAAAAUAAUCCAAAAAGCUAUAUCAAAUGUACCUAGAAAUGCUCUUUCCAAUUUUCUUUUCUUCCCAACUACCUUCAGCAAACUAGAUUUGCUUUCUCUCCUCUGCUCCUAAUCAAACUACACCCUCAAGCAAUCUGAAAAAUGCAAUCCUCUCUCUCACAACCUCAGCGCACCAACCAUCUCUACUUCUCUCAUUGUUGCUCCAACUCCUUACAAAAAUAUCCCCUCUUUGUCUCUCCUCCCAAGCUCUUUCUCUCUCUCUCUCUCUCACUUCUCCUCAGCUAUGCUCUCUCAAUCCCUCUAAAAAAAAACAUCCUUCUCUCGCUCCUCUGUAACCUCAAACUUUUCUCUCAAGCUAAAGGAAACUUCUCCCCCCGAUAUCUCCUCUCCUCCCUAGCAACCAAAAAUACCCCUCCUCUGCCAGAAUGCCUCACCUUCUCUCUCCUACGCUCCUCCAUAACGGCCUGAAGAUUCUUAUGCCAUGCAUCAGCCGCUGAUUGCCUUCAGAAAAGAUCACUGCCUAUCCAUCCUCUCAUGCACAUGUUGCCAAAAAUAAAAAAAGGUGGUAAAGAAUGCUCCCUAAAAUGCCCUUACCUAUAAACCAAAACGAGGGUUUUACAGGCGCACAAUAUUUGUGGAAAAAUAUUCUUUGCUGAAGAAUAUUUUUUAAAGAUCAAUUGAAAGCCUAAAGCAGCUUGUUCCCAAAUGAAUUUAUUGAAUGGUGAAAAACACGUGUGUUGCGAUUUUUUGGAUUUGUAGGGGGUAUUUUAUAAAGCUUUUUUCUCUUUGUGAAACUCCUUUUCAUAUGUGAAAUUGUUUUAUUUUUAUUUUAUCAUUUUCAUUGAAGGAAGUUGCAAAUAUUUAUAGAUAAAAUUUUAAAAAAUAAAUUUAGAAUUUCUAAGAUUUGAUUACUUAAUUAAAAAAAAAAAUUGGUUUCUUGAUUUUAGCAACUUGUCUUCUUCAUUAAGGAAGUUUGCUAACAAGAGAAUAUUUACUUCUCAUUUUAUUUUGACUUCAAUUGGAAGACUUGUUUCAUUUGUUUACAAAAUUUUCCAACAAGAAAAUAUUUAUUUCUAAUUCUCUUUUGAUUUCAAUUGUUUGAUUUGAUUUGAUUUUGCAAGACUUUAUUUUAUAGCCUUCCAAAUUUCACUACGUGUCAUUUUUUGAAUUGAAUGCCACAUGCUCAAUAUAUAUGACUCAUCACUUAUUAAGCCUGAGUUUUGUUGAGCUAAAGAGUUACAAUUUUGAAGACUAAUUUGGUAGUAUUUUAAUCCACUAAAAUUUUUUGUCUACAAAUGCCCCCUCUUCAAAAUAGAUCACACACAUGCAUUGUAAUGUAUAAGAGGUGAGUCUUGAAGUUAGCCUUUUGAAUCUUCAAUAUCCUUCUUUGAUUUUUUUUUUCGAAGAAAUAUUUUAAUAGGAAUUUCCUAUUCAAAAUACUUUUCUUCAACUUUUUUCGAACAUUGCUUUAUUUAUUUAUUUUUUUUCUACCUCGUAUCAAAGAAAAACCUUGUGUUAAUGGGAAAGCUUCUUAUUUGAACAUCUAUUGUCUUUUCUCAUGGUAUUUCACUUCCAAUUUGUCAACCUAGAAGAAGUCCUUCACCCUAGCUUGUUCAAUUGCAUCUUAGACUUGGUCACAUGCCUUUAACUUGCAAUUCUUCCUCCACUUUGUCUUUUUCUUUUUUAUUUGUUUAAAAAAUAGUACAAAAUAUUUGAGCAAGACCAUAAGCAAGAGAAGAGAGGUGGUGAAUGGAGCACCAACUAACCUUAGGUCAAGAUCUUGAGCAAGAGAAGUAAGGUGGAGCGUAGAGCACAAACUUCUCUAGAGCAUGGUAGGCAUACCAUCAUGGAGUUGUCUUCUGCAUGGAGCAUGGUAGGGCAUUAUAUAUAUGAUAGGGUGGGCCAUUAUGUAACAAUGAAGAACAAAAAUCCAUGGUGUACAAUUGGGAACAACAAUUCAUGCUAUCAAGCUUCAACCUUUUUUUUUUUGUUUUUUUUUUAAUCCCUAUCUCCACCCCCCGACCCAAUAUUUUUUCAAGUUUCCAGAUUCCUUUUGAUUCUUUCUCAUUUUAUUUUUUUCAACUCUUUUUUUUCCUCCCUUUUUAACCAUUGUUUUUAAGGAAGAAAUAGAUUCACCAUCCCUUACCACAAGGUCAAUCUCCAUUGCUUGCAAAGACAAAUUUGCUUUUUGGUGUUUUUUUUCUUCAAAAAUUAUCUUAACAUUUUAAGAUAUAUAUAUAUAGAUAUAGAUAUUUAAAAAACUUAAAUAUCCAUAAUAAAAAUAAAUAUUUAAGGCUCUUGACUUGUUUAAAUUGGCUUGACUUGGAUACUUAGCGGGACCAUACUUAACACCCAUGUAGAUGAGCUAUAAUCUUGAUGGUAGGUUGUGUUGUAUUUUUUGACAUUUAAUGUGGCUUAAGAGUUAAAGUCUUCACUCAUGCAAAUUAGCUUGGUUUGGAUGCACAAUGGUCUCUAACUUCUUAAUGCUUAAUUAAACUUGGAACCAUAUUUAACACCCAUGUAGACAAGUCAUAAUCAUGACAUGGAGCACUAUUUUAUUUUAACUCUUAAUGCAACUUAAAUAUUAAAGUCUUCACUCAUACAAAUUAACUUGGGUUAGAUGCACAAUGGUGUUCAACUUGGUAAAAUUAAUUAAAAUUGAAACAUUUAACACCCAUGUAAACAAGUCAUAACUUUCACAUGGAACAGUGUUGUAUUUUUAGCUUAAUGUCGCUUAAGUGUUAAAGUCUUCACUGAUGUAAAUUAGCUUGGCUUAGAUGCAUAGUAGCAUUCAACUUUUUAACACUUAAUUUAAAUUCAUACCAUAUUGAAAACCCAUGUGGACAAGACAUAAUGAGAAAAUAAAUGGCUAAUCUAAAUAGAUAAAAAUACCUAACAAGGAAGGAGGGGGGUGAAUUGGAGUUUAAAAAAAAAAUAUAUUUUUAAACACAAUAAAAUUAAGUACAAGAAGCACAAAUAUAAAGAGAUAAGUUAUAGAAAUCAAACUCAGAUUUAUAGUGGUUCGACACUUCCUUGCCUACAUCCACUCUCCUCAAACUCCUAACCGAGUGAGGGUUCCACAUAUACUUGAAGCUUCAACCAAGCUUCUAAUCACUUUUUACACUUGGAUUUUAGCUCCAAUGGGCUCUUACACAUUCUCUUCAAGUCUCUACUCACUUGAAGAUUUUAACACACAAUUAACAGUUUGAAACUCUCAACCUAGCUCAACAAUGGCUCAAAUACAACUCAAGGCUAGGAUGAAUCACAAAGGUGCAUUAAAUAAUAUGCAAAUGAAGAUUUAAUGCACUGAGAAAAGAAUGAGAGCUUUUAUGGCAAGAACAAGUAGGUAAACAAAUCAAUGGAGGUGUUCUCUUACUCAUAAAUGAAGUGGAACUCUCAAUUUAUAGGUUUCUAAUCUCGGAAGCUAAAAAACCAAAAAGUAACCUCGAUUGGUCGAGUUAGGGGUCGACAGGUUCACUAGUCGUUAGAGCAUUAAAUGCGUGGCAGGUGAUCGUUACCCUCGACCGGACCUUGACUGGGAAGGCAAAUCUCUCAACUGGGAAAGAAAGGCUAUUGGAAGAGAGAAGGCUUUUUGCAUCUUUUGACUAGACCUCAACCGAGAAGGAGCAACUGAUCGACCAGUACCCUAGCCGGUUGAGCCGGUUGGCCAGUGCCUCAACCAAUUCACCAUUUUUUGGCCCUAAAACCUAUCUUUUUGUGGUCUUUUUUGCUUCUAACACUUAAACAAGGUCUUUAGGUAAAAUAAUAUGUCAAUUUUGAAACGCUUUGCCUAAGGUUCAUUUGAUAGAACUCGGAUUUUGAUGGAAAUGUGACUUUAAUGCGUAAACCGAGUUUUAAAAGAUGUAUGAAAUGAUAUGAAAAUUCUAAGUACACUCAUGCAUUCAUUUUACAUAGUUUUCUAUAAUUAAAAAGUCUUUCAAAAGUCUUGAUCUUGCAUCCAUUAGAUCAUUUGAUUAAUUUCCAAAUUAAUAUUUGAAAUUCUUUAUAAUUCAAACCAAUUAGUAACUUAACCAUGGUUUGUUAUCAUCAAAACAUGAUUAGGAGAACCCUUGGGCUAACACAUAACAUUGUAGCAAUGUUAUAUUUUUUACACUUAAUGCAGUUUAAGUUCUAAAAUCUUCAUUUCUAUGAAUUGGUUCACCUUGGAUGCAUAGUGGUGUCUAAAUUAUAAUACUUAAUUAAAAUUGAAACCAUAUUUAACACCCAUGUAGACAAGUCAUAACUUUGACAUGGAGUGGCAUUGCAUUUUUGACACUUAAUGCAACUUAGGUGCUAAACUUUUCACUCAUGAGAAUUGGUAUGGGUUGGAUGCAUGUGGUGUCGAACUUUUUAACACUUAAUUAAAAUUGGAACCAUAUUUAACACUAUCUAGAUAAGUCAUAACCUUGAUGUGAAGCGACAUUGUAUUUUCAACACUUAAAGCAACUUAGGUGCUAAAGUCUUCACCCAUGCAAAUUAGUUCAUCUUGGAUGUACAAUGGUGUCCCAUUUUUUAACAUAUAAUUAAAAUUGGAACCAUAUUUGACACUCAUGUAGACAAGUCUAGCCAUGAUGUAAAGUAGUGUUGUAUUUUUAAAACUUAAUGCAGCUUCAAUGGUAAAGUUUUUACUCAUGUGAAUUGGCUUGAUUUGGAUGCACAAUGAUGCCUAACUUUUUAACAUUUUAUUAAAUUUGGUAUCAUAUUUAACACCUAUGUAGACAAGUCAUAACCUUAAUGUAGAGGUGCUGUAAUAUUUUUGGUACUUAAUGCCGCUCAAGUGCUAAAGUCUUCACUCAUGUGAAUUUUUUUGGUUGAGAUGGACGUCUCUAACAUUUUAACAUUUAAUUAAAAUCAGAAUCAUAUUUAACACUCAUGUAAAAAAGUCAUAACCUUGACACAUAGUAAUAUGCAAUGUUUUAACAUUUAAUAUGACUUAAGUGCUAAAGUUUUCACUCAUGUGAAUUGGCUUGGCUUGGAUGCAUAAUGGUGUCUAACAUUUUAACACUGAAAUUAAAAUUAGAGUUAUAUUUAAUAAUCAUGUAGACAAGUCAUAACCUUGACGAGAAGCAAUAUUGUCAUUUUGACACUUAAUAUUGCUUAAAUGCUAAAGGCUUCACUCAUGCAUAUUGACUUAGCUUGGAUGAACAAUGGUAGCUAACUUUUUAACACUUCAUUAAAUUUGGAUUAUGGUUAACAUCCAUGUAGAAGAGUGAUAAACUUGAUGCAAAGUGAUGUUAUAUUUUUGGUACUUAAUAUAGCUUAAAUACGAAAAUCUUCACUUCUAAUAAUUAACUUGGCUUGGAUGCAUAGUGGUGUCCUACUUUUUAACUCUUAAUUGAAAGUGAAAUCAUAUUUAACAUCCAUUUUAUGCUAGUCAUAAACUUGAUAUAGAGCAAUGUGCAACUUUUUAACAUUUAAUGCAACUUAGGUGCUAAAGUCUUUACUCAUAUGAAUUAACUAAACUUAGAUGCAUAUUCGUUUCCAACUUUUUUAAUACCUAAUUAAAAUUAAAACCAUAUUUAAAAACCAUGUAGACAAAGGCAUAAUCUUAACAUGGAGCAGUGUAUAACUUUUAGCACUUAAUUAAAAUUGGGAUUAUACUUCACAACCACAUAUUCCUCCUCCUAUUUUUCAAUUUUUUCUUGUGGUGAUGAUUGAACUCAACUAGUUUGUCCAAGUUACCUGCAUACCUUAACAGAGAGGGGAUCAAGUCAAACUUAGUUCAAAGUAUUUUUUUAAUAUCUAACUUUUGCCAAGGCUAAUGAUUUUAAUCUUGAAAGCUUGUCUUAACUUUUGACUAUAUAUGUAGUGUUUUCAAGUUUCAAUUUAGCGACCUAUGAAUUGUACAAAUUGAAAAUGACUUCACUCAUGUGUAAAAAUAAAAGAUAUUCAUUCAUAGUUUUAGGGCAACGAAAAGUAAUCGACCCUUUUUUGCAUUAUUAUUAUUAUUGUUGUUGUUAUUAUUAUAAUUAUUAUAUUACCUUAAAAAAAAGACCUUCUCCAAAAAAUUUAAUCUACAAGUACUUGGAUUCUAUUUGAAUAUAAAAAGAGCCACUCAUAUGCAUGAAUUAAAUAUAUGUCCCAUGGAUAAGUUGUACUUAGCCACGGCUGAAGCUUUCCAUUAUGACUUGAAGGGAAAAAAAAAGAGAGGAGAAUAAUGUCAUUAAAAAACUGAUUGCCAUGUGCCUAUGCCUGCCAGUAGAUGGCUGAAAACUAGUUCUAUUCUUUUGUUUUUGCCUCUACUAAUGAACCAUAAUUGAGAGAUUCAUUGGCAACUAUCGUAUAAACAAUGGUUCAUAAAUUACUUUUAAAUUUUGAUAGCAAAGACUCAAAAUGUAAAACCAUAAAAAAUUUGUUCUAUUCCCAAAUUUUUUUAAAUAAUAAAUUAAUGCACAUGACUGUUUUCACAUCUUAUUCUCAUUUCUAUCAAUGCAAUAAUUGUAAUCAUCUUAUCUAUUAACAUGGCCUAGAGCCAUAGAGCUUCCUUUUCUUUAGUCCUAGAGCCAUUUCAGCUAAGAGUAGUCUUUCCUUAGCAUUUCCGGUCCAAAGCUUCCAUUUCUUUAGGCCUAGAGGCAUUUUCAGUCCAGAGCUGCUGUUUCUUUCGGCCUACAACCAUUUUCAGCCUGAAGCUGCCUUUCUUUAGCAUUUUCAGCCCAGAGCUACCUUUCCUUGGCAUAUCAGCCCAAAGCUUCUAUUUCUUUAGGCCUGGAGCCAUUUCAACAUACAACAUUGGUUUCUUUGGCCGGGCCUUGAGCCCUUUUCAACCCAGAACUGUCAUUUCUUCUAAAUAACUUCUCUUUUAAAAAACUUCAAUUUGUCUUUCCAAUAAAAAAAUUUAAGGCUUUGUUCUAGGUUUCAAGAAGCUGGCAUAGAAAAAAAAAAGGAAAAAAAAAAUUCUUGAUGGCAUAAAGUAGGACAUGGCCGGGAUAGUUUGAAAUACAUAAUUUUCCCCAUUCAAAUGCAAAACAUAUUAAAAGAACAUUUGGCAUGAUUUUAUGAAGUGAUUCUAUCUUUUCUAAUACUUCAAAGUUAUGAAGUGAUUCUAUCUUUUCUAAUACUUCAAAGAUAAAUUUUUUUGAAGUAUUAGAAAAAUUAGAAACAUUUCUUAAAAUCACUACCCUUAACUAUAUUUAGAUACUUUAACCAUUUCAAAUGCUACAUGUUGUUUCCUUCUACAUUUCCUCUUUAUUUUGUUUUUCUCUUACAUUUUUCCUCAAAUUUUCUAAAAACCAAACAUAACCUAAAAGAAAAGAUAAUUUGACUUAUUUUGAAAGUUCUUUAUAUAUAUAGUUUAUAUGGAAAAUUGUUUCAUGUUAAUUUAAUAAAGCAUUUAUAAUAUUGAGAUCGCUCUUUCAUAAUCAUAAAUUAACCUUUAGUUUCAACUUCUACAAGAGGCUAAAUGAAAAAAGCUAUCACAGAGGAGGCCUCAGCCAAUGAGUAAGAUGCACUGUUGUACCAAACAAUAGGUGGAAAAUACAAUUUUAUUAAGACUCUGAGACAAAAAAAAAAAAAAAAAGGAUGAUUUUACACUCAAAACAAGGAUUUAUUUAUAAUGAAGUGCAGUCUCCAUAUGCACAUGUGACUGCAUUUACAGCAUAAAGAAAGACAAGGAAAUUAACAAAUGUUGGACUCAUUGGAAAAUCAUACAAAUUAUUGAAGGAGGACCUUAGCUAAGCUAACUGUCUCCUAAAUUGCCCAUCUUUUAUAUAUAUUUGCAUUCAUCCGUCUCAUCAUCGUCUUUGAUUUUAGAUGGUGAGGAUGUGAAAGUAACAGGAAGCAGUGGACGAUUGUUCACUGUGAGGCUUAGCACAUCAGCUCUCGAAUAAUGUCCUACCACAUCGAACUGGAACUUUGCUUUAGGAAUCUCUCCACGAACAUCUGCAUAUCAAGUGAUCAUCAAAAUAUUUGAUCAGCCCUUUUAAAUAUCAGAGAGUAUCAAGUCUUCCAUAAAACCGUGUUUGCAGUCCUUUUAAACCUAAAGAAUUCACUCAUUUGCCUUAUCUGCAUACUGAAAUAUUUGGAUAUACAAUUGGAGAAGUUAGGGCCAUACCAAGAUCAGCUGUGAAGAGGCCUUCUCCUUCAUAAUUCGGUCCUGCUAGAAUUUCGCCAUGGGGCGAAAUGAUGACACUACCUCCUGCCCAAACAAUGGAAUCUGGAGUGACAUCUUCUUCUGUAGGACUGUAAAGAUACUCAGGUGGAGGUGGGUAAUCUUUCCUCCGACAGAACUGGAUGGGUGAAAGAACAUAGCAUCCACCCUCAAUAGCAACGUGUCUCAUUGUAGCUACCCAUGUAUCCCCGGAAUCGGCAGUAGGAGCACAAUAUAUCUCAAUACCUAUAGAGAUGUACAUUCGUAUUUUGUGAUCAAUCAAUCCCAUAUCAAAGCCAUAAUGUAUUUCAAGCCUAUUUAUAGGCUAAAACCCUAACAACUUAAAAAAGAGUACUGAAGUAUUUCAAGCCAAACCAUAUUAGUUAGUGAAGAAAAAGACAUACCUUUGCCAUACAUUGCUGUCCUUAGAAGCGGCAUUCUAUUUUCCCAACAAAUGACCGAACCAAGUUUUCCAUAUGGAGUGUCAUAAACUGGAGUUGUCGAGCAAUCUCCGAAACCCCAGACGAGCCGCUCCCAAUAUGUUGGCAUGAGUUUCCUAUGUUUUCCAAGGUAAUUACCUUUAGGAUCAAAGAAGAGAACAGUGCAAUACAAUGUGUAUCCCUCUCUCUCAAUAACACCUGUCACUAAGUAGACUCUGUAUUUCGCAGCCAUUGAUGCCAAUCUAUCAACUUCAGGUCCUGAAAAUACAUUAAUUUGAGAUUAAAGAUGAAACAUGUCAGCUGAAGGUUCAUCACAAAGCAGCAUAAGUAGAUUUUGUUUCAACAACUUAUUAAGUGGCUCAGUUCUUUAGCUAUUUAAGGGAGAAAAAGAGAGGUAAUUGACCCGGAACAUUAAUGGCAGAAGCAUGGUACUUGCGGAAACUUUCUUUCCCUCUUGGCGACCGGUCAGCGAAGUUAUAUCCUCGGGGAUACCCACCGAUAAAUGCUUCAGGAAACACAACCAGUUGGGAUCCCAGUGCAGCUGCUUCUUUCAAAAACCUCUCAGCCUUAUCUGCUCUCAAAAUCACAUUGCAAGAAGUAAAUUAAUUGGUUGAAUGGAGAGAAUGAAAAUUAACUUUUAAGAGAUCCCGAAUGACUUUUUGGUUGCUGAGAAAACUCAAGGAAAAACAGACCUAGAUGAAACUUGAAACUCUCAUAUUUUCAGCUGUUUUGUAACUAAGAAAAGAGAAACCACCUCAACUCAACUCAUCAAAAUAAUUGUAAAAGCAGUAAUUCCUUGAUUGGCAGCUGAAAAUAUGAUCAGGGUUCAAUCAUCCUUUUCUUUUUUUCAGUCUCUGAGAAACCAAUUAGAUCACAUAUUCCAUUACACAAGUUGCACAAUUGAAAGAAAUGGUACGUUACCUAGAGUGGCAGGAGUAUCAUAAAAGAUACUAGAAGCUUGAACAACGGUGGCUCUAACAGUUGAAGACAUUGCAGAAAAUUGUAUGUUUUUUCGUUUCCCCUUUGUUUGAGGAUUCCUCACACUGCGUUCAGUAUAUAUAUUGCCCAUGACAUUGUGGACCAGCCACUUGACUUAUACAAAUUGAAAAUGACUGAGUCAUCUGUGAAAAGCAAUUUAAGAUAACAUUCAAAAUUAAUAAGCUUUAAUUUUUAUUUAUAUAUAUAUAUACAUAAUCUACAAGUUGUUAUCAUUAUAUUUGAAUAAAAAGAGGGACCCGCCCACAUGCAUGGAUUCCAUCCAUCUAGCACACAGAUAAAUUGUCUUUAGUGGCGGCUGAGGCUUUCUAUGACUUAUACCAUAUAUCUAUACACCCCAGUAUAUAGCUAAAAACUGGGUAAUGUAUUGGCCCCUACCUAAAAUUAUUGAUUGAUUCAAUGACAGCUAUCUGAGAAAAAUAAAAAAGGGAGAACUAUUCUUACGCUUGCCUUGAUUUAAGCAAAUAUACUUUUAAUUAGGAAUUCUAAUUUUCAUAUUUUACCCCAAACAGAUAAUCAAUAAAAUUAUUCUCCAAAUAUGUAUUUUAAUAGCAACAAAAAUGAGAAUUCCAUAAUUAUCCCUUUUAAAAUCUUUAAUAUGACAAGUCGUAAUUUAAUGUGUUUGGUAGCUCUCCUUUUUCUUUUUUUCUCCUCUACAUCACUUUCUCCAUAUAAUGUCUUUGAUAUCCUCUCCAUAUCAUGUUGUUGAUAUCCUACCUUUGACAUUUUUUUUUAUCUAUGUGUUGAAGUGACUACACUUUUAGAUUUCUUUUCACUCUUUUAAUAUUUUCAUAUAUAUUUAUUAACUUUAAUAAAUUUUUGAAAACAUUAAACAUAAAAUUAUAAUAUAUGAUAAAUAAUUAAUGAUAACAAAUUAAAUAUAAAUAUAAGUAUGAAAUGGACAAAAAAUAAAAAAUUUAUCCUACAAAUAAUAGACUAUAUAGUUUAAAAUAUUAGUUAUAAUAAUAUAUUUGAUACUUUAGAGUUUAGAUUAAAAAAUUAUGUUUUAUUUUUUAGAGGUUAGCAUAUAAUAUUUCCAUUAAACAAAGAUUUUUUUAUAUGAAUCCUAAAUAAAAUGUUUAUUUAUUUUGCAAAUUCUUAUCAUAUGCGAUAUAUAUAUAUAUAUAUAUCAUGUUAUUUAUAAUUUUUAUUAUUUUGUGUCAAAAUCACAGUCAAUGAUGAUAAUUUUAGUUAGUAUAGAGCUCUUAAAAGGAUGAUAUGAUGUAACAAAUAUGAAGUUAUUAAUUAUUUACUGAUAUUCUGGUUUUACUUUUAUUAAUCCUUAUUCCAUACAUUAUAUUUUAUGAGCAUCCUAGUUUGACAUUUCUUAUACUAUACAUGGCUUAGGUGCAUUAGAAGUUGCACGGAAGAUCCAAGUUAUAGAUUCCUUUUUUAAUUCAAUAUUUUAAAAAAAAAAUUAUACUUUCAGUCAAUGUCUCAUAUUUCAAACACGUACACACUCUAGAAUUUCUCGAAUUGUAGUCUAGAAUGUCAACUUAGUGUUUGAUGAAAAAAGGUAUAAACAAAUAUAUGAAAAAAGUAAUCAACAAGCAUAGGAUUCUAUUUGAAUAAAAAAGAGCCACUUACAUGCAUUGAUAAAGGAAACUCCAACUCAGCUAGCAUACAAUCCAUGCCAAAGCAGAAUCUUUACGUAAGAAGUUGAUAAUGCAAUUUGCCAGGAAGGAAAACUACUCUCCAUAUUUGUAAUGUGGAAAAUCAAGGUUGGAAGGAAAUUUUCACUUACUUAUUCUGUAUAAUAUUCCCUUUUUUUUUUUUUUUUGUAAAGAAAGUAUGUAUUGUUUAUUUAUUUUUUAGAAAACAAUUAGUAAAGUGUGGUGCGAAUUCAACCUUUCAAAAAUAGUUUCUAUUCUUCAUGGUAUCGGAGCUAGUUAAUCUAAAACAAUCCAAAGCUUCCAUGGAAACCCCAGAAAAUGUUCUUAGCAUUCAGGCUUUUCAUCAAUGCUCGAGCCUCAUCUCCAUCAAACUGAAUAUGUCCAAUCUCCUUUUGUGGCACUCACAAGUUCUUCCUCUUGUGCGAAGCCUUGGAUUAGUCCAUCAUCUCUCUGAAAAUAGACACGCAUAAGAGGGGAUAAUGGAUAGUGAAACAAAGGAGACCUAUGAUUAGUCAAUAGAGACAUGGUCUCACAAUGAUGAUCUACUUACCUCCUGGCUUCUUGGACCCAUGACAGAAGAAGUGAUUCUUUUAUUGGAUGGAACAGAGAUUGCCUAUGAUGUUUGGAACUCUCUGGAAGAAAAACUCCUUCCAAUGACCAAAGAGAAGGAUAUGCAAUUGACCAAUAGACUCCGAGGGCUGAAGAAAGGCACAAGGUCCCUUGAUGAAUAUCUAAGGGAGUUCAAAGAAAUUUUUGAUGCAUUAGCUACAGUUAGAAAACCAGUAAGUGACCUAGACAAAGUUUUUCAACUAGCUCAAGGUCUCAUAACUAAAUACAUGGAUUUUCGGGUGGCCAUGUUAUCAAAGCCACCAUAUCCCUCUUACAAUCAAUUUGUUCUGGCUCUACAAGGGCAUGAACAAAUGAUUAUGAUAGAAAAUGAAGAGAACAAAGAGUCAAUAAACCAUGAACAAGCCUAUUUUACCCAAUGAGGAAGACGAAGAAAUCAAGGAGGAAGAUUUCUUUCUAGAGGUCAUGACUUCAUUCUAGCAAGACGAUUCAAUCACAAUGCUACCAAUGACCAAAGGCAGAAUGUUCAUCCCAACACCAGAAAUCCAAGAAAUAGCUUCAACAACCAGCUUCCACCAGAACAAAAACUCCAAAAAUCUAAAGGUACUCUUAUUUACCAAAUUUUUAAUAAAGCUAACCAUUCAGCUUUGGAUUGCUAGAACAGAUUCAACUAUUUGUAUCAAUCAGAAGAGAUUCCUCAAGCUUUGGCUGCUAUGGCUCUAAAUGAAGAAGAUAAGGAUCCUAAUUUUUAUGUGGACUCGAGAGCAAAAACCCAUAUAACAAAUGACCUAGGUAAGAUUACCCAAGUAAUUCCAUAUAAAGGGCAUGAUGCAAUUUUUGUUGGAAAUAGAGAAGCUGUAAGAAUCUCACAAAUUGGUGAAGCUAGACUAAAAACUAAACAUAUAGAUCUAAAGCUUAAAAAAUUAUUGGUUAUUCCAAAAAUUAAGAAAAAAUUGUUAUCCAUUGGACAACGUACCUCUGAUAACCCAUGCUCCAUAGAAUUCUCAUCAACUAGUUUUGUCAUUAAGGAUCAACUUCAACAAGUGCUAGCUAGAGGAACUAAGAAGAGAGGUCUCUAUGCAUUGGAGGAAAAUGUGAUUCAAGCCAUGAUAGUUACUAGGUCUAGCAAGGCACCAUAAGAAGUGUGGCAUCAACGCAUGGGGAAUCUGCAAACAAAAUCUAUAAAGCUUCUACAAGAUAAGAAUUUCAUUGAAGUAUCUAGUUGGAUGAAAUCAACAAUAGUUUGUGUUAGUUUUCAAUUAGGAAAAAGUUGUAAAGUUUCUUUUGGCUUAAAAAAUAAAAUUUCCAGCAAUCUUCUUGAAAAAAUUCAUUGUGACUUAUGGGGACUUGCACCAAAUAAUUCAACUCAAGGAUACAAGUAUUAUGUUGUCUUUAUUGAUGAUCAUACUCACUAUACAUGGCUUUAUCCCUUGAGAAGAAAAUCAAAUUUCUAUGAAUGUUUUUUGAAGUUUCAAAAUCUGGUUGAGAAUCAACUUGAAAGAUAGAUAAAAAUCUUCCAAAGUGAUGGUGGAGGUGAGUUUCAAUCAAUUAAAUUUCAAAAUCACCUAAGCAAGUGUGGAAUUUUGCAACGAGUCUCAUGCCCAUGAACUCCAGAACAAAAUGGGGUUGUAGAGAGAAAGCAUAAACACAUUGUUGAAAUGGGUUUAACAAUGCUUUUCAAUGCCAAAUUACCAUUGAGUCUAUGGGUAGAUGCAUUCCAUACUGUCGUAUACCUUAUUAAUCGACUGCCUUCCAUGGUGUUGAAAAUGUAGAGUCCAUUCUUUAUGUUUUUCAAACAAUAUCCAGAAUAUAGGAGCUUGAGAAUUUUUUGUUGUCGAUGUUUUCCAUACCUUUGAGACUACGGGAAGAAUAAAUUCUCACCUAAGAUAUCUCCAUGUGUUUUUAUUGGAUAUAGCUCUCUACACAAGGGUUAUAGAUGCUUGCAUCCUUCAACUAAAAGAGUUUACAUAUCUCAUCAUGUCAUCUUCAAUGAAAAUUGCUUUCCUUAUGCUAACUCUCUUGUUAAGAAAAAUCAUUUACAGAUUCCUAUAGAAAUGGUAUCAUUCUCAACUUCAGAUGUUUUUUGUGAGACUUAAAAAAUGGAUCACCAAACUAAGUCUUGGAAGGAGAACACUGCUAACCAAUCAAGCAACUCCAAGAAGUUCAACCAUUGGUCAUGCACUACUAGGUAAAGAAACUGGUUUAGUGUUGACGGAAGAAUUUCUACUAGUUGUAUUACUAACCAAAAUACAAAAGCAUCAUGUGUUAAUCCGACUGGAACUCCCACUACUAUUACUGUUGAAAUUUCCACUAUUGUUACUAGUAAAAAUGACCAUAAUACCGUCAUUACUACUGAAACUCCCACUGAUGUUGCUCUUGGUUCUAGUGGCCACAAUUUCAACACUGCAACUACUAUUGGAACACUCUCCUAGAUUGAGUCUACUAGUAGCUACAAGCCUGCCAAUGUUAGUAAUUUUCCUUAUAUCAGUAAGCACCUAGUAGUUGAUCUCUCUUUCCCUUAAAAAUGGCAGAAAAAUGAGCAUGUUGGUUCAUCUCCGCAAAACAAAUCCACCAGUCACAGUGUUGAUGAUGAAGUUCCUGAUAUUAGCAAGCAAAUUGUUGUUGACAUCUCUUCUCCUCAGGGCUAACACAUAGAUAACAAAGAAACUCAUAUGAUCACCAGAAGUAAACUCAAGAAUGAUCCCAGUUUAAAGUCUCAAAUGGUUACUUUUGUUGCCAUAAGAAGUAAUAUUAGUGAGCCAAAAACAUAUUGUACAACAUUGAAAAUUCCCUAUUGGUUCAAACAAUGCAAGAGGAAAUUAAGGAUUUAAUCCAAAAUCGAACAUGGGAUUUGGUUCCUAGGCCUCCAACUGCAAAUAUUGUGGGUUCUAAAUGGGUGUUUAAAACAAAGCUAAAGGAAGAUGGAACCAUAGAUAGAUACAAAGCACAAUUAGUUGCUAGAGAUUUUUCUCAAAUACCGGGUUUGGACUUUGGAGAGACCUUCAGCCUAGUUAUAAAGCAUACUAUAAUCAGAUUGAUCCUUUCAUUAUCAGUAACCUUGGGGUGGACAAUGAGGCAAUCAGAUGUUAAGAAUGCCUUCAUACAUGGGUUUCUAAAGGAAAAAGUACUCAUGGAACAACCUCCAGGAUUUAUAAACAAGGACUUUCUGAAUCAUGUCUACAAAUUGAAUUGUUCUCUUUAUAGCCUUAAGCAAGCUCCAAGGGCCUAGUUAAAUAAACUAUUUCAAUGUCUUCUUCAUCUGGGGUUUUACUGUGGUAAAAUAGACUCGUCUUUAUUUAUUCUUCGCAAAGGUCAGUCUAUUGUUUUGCUACUUAUCUAUGUUGAUGAUAUUAUAGUCACAGGCAAUGAUAACAACAUCAUUAGUGACCUCAUCAGCACCCUGAGUAGUGAAUUUUCUCUCAAGGACUUAGGAUUUUUGCAUUAUUUUUUGGGAUUGGAGGUUAAAUAUCUUCUUAAUGGGUUGUUUCUUUCUCAAACAAAGUACACUAGAGAUCUCCUAGAGCACACAAAAAUGAUGGAGUGUACUCAUAUCAACACAUCCAUGGCUCUUAAGUCCAUCAUCACACCUUCUGAUGAACAACCUAUUGAUCCUACAUGAUAUAGGUAACUUGUUGGAUUCCCCUAAUAUUUAACCUUCACAAGGCUUGAUUUUGUGCAUGCAGUAAACAAGGCCUACCAACAUUUCCAAGCACCCACUAAAGUUGACUUGCAAGCUGUCAAACGCAUCCUUAGAUAUUUGAAGGAAACAAUGGAGCAUGGAAUCAGGUUUUUCAAGCAAAGUUCGCUUCGUCUCACUGGUUUUUGUGAUGCUGAUUGGGCAGGAUGCACAAACACAAGAAGAAGCACAUCUAGGUAUUAUAUUUUUCUAGGAGCCAAUUGUAUCUCAUGGUCCUCAAAGCGACAACCUACAAUUUCUAGAUCAAGCACCGAGGCCAAAUAUCGAUCCCUUGCGUCCAGUGCUGCAGAAAUAACUCGGCUUACUUUCCUUCUCCAUGAUAUUGGCAUUCAACUAUGUGAACCUUCUCAAUUUCUAUGCGAUAACCUCAGUGCCCUUCACAUGACAGUACAUCUCGUCUUCCAUGCAUGGUCCAAGCAUAUUGAGUUGGACUAUCAUUUUAUUCGGAAAAAAAGUUGCAAGUGGAGUUUUGAUUACUUGUUUCCUUCCAUCGUCCUUACAAGUAGCUGAUAUAUUCACAAAGACACUCCCUAAGACUUCAUUCCAAGUCUUUCGAUUCAAGCUAGGAGUGCACAAGUUACCACUCACUAGCUUGCAGGGGGCUAAUAAAGGAAAGUCAAACUCAACUAGCAUACAAUCCAUGCCAAAGCAAUCUUUACGUGAGAAGUUAGUAAUGCAAUCUGCUAGGUAGGAAAACUACUCUCAAUAUUUGUAAUGUGGAAAAUCAAGGCUGGAAGGAAAUCUUCACUUACCUGUUCUGUAUAAUAUUCCCUUUUCUAUGCAAAUAAAGUAUGUAUUGUUUAUUUAUUUUUUAGAAAAAAUCAGUAAAGCGUGGUACAAAUUCAAUCUUUCAAAAAUAGUUUAUGUUCUUCAUGCAUGGAUAAUAAAUCCCAUGGAUAAAUUGUAUUUAGCAGCGGCUGAAGCUUUCUAUAUGACUAAAGAGAAAAAAAGUCAUUAAAAAACUAAUUGCCAUGUGACUACGUCUACCAGUAGAUAGUUGAGAACAAGGUCUAACUCUUAACCUUUUGUACUACCUUUACAAAGGAACACAAAAUUGAGAGAUUCAAAGGCAACUAUAGUAUAAAUAUUGUUUCAUAAAUUACUUUUCAAAUUUAAUUUGAUAACAAAAAUUUAGAAUACAAAAGUAUGAAAAAUUUGUUCCAUUCCCAAAAUUUUUGCAAAUAAAAUUUUAAAGUAAUAAAUUAACACCAUGACUCUUUUCACAUCUUAUUCUCCUUUCUAUCAAAGAAAUGAUAGUAAUAAUCUUAUCUAUAAAUUUUAAAUGAGGCAAGAUCAUUGAAUUUUUAUUUUCUUUUAUUUUCUUGUUAUGUAAUUAUCAAACACAUUUUUUUUUUAAGACAAAAAAAAAUUAGACUGAAGAAAUAUAUUUUUGCCCUGAUUUAGUCACUUGGAUUGCAAUUCGAAGGAUGGAAAUAAAAGUGUAUUCUUGGAGUUAAAGAUCAAUUGAAAGCUUAAAGCGGCUUGUUCUCGAAUGAAUUUAAUGAAUGACGAAGAAUACAUGUGUUGUAAUUUUUUGGAUUUGUAGGGGAAUUUUAUGAAGCUCUUUUCUCUUUGUCAGGCUUCUUUUUUUGUAUGAUUUUUUUUCUUCAUCAUUUUCAUUCAAGGAAGUCGCAUAUAUUUAGAGAUGAAAUUAAAAAAUUAAAUUUAGAAUUCCUAAGAUUUGAUUACUUAAUUAAAAAAAAUUGGUUUCUUGAUUUUAGCAACUUGUCUCCUCUAUUAAGGAAGUUUGCUAAUAAGAGAAUAUUUAAUUAUCAUUUUCUUUUGACUUCAAUUAGAAGAUUUGAUUCGUUUGUUCAUAAAAUUUGAAAACAAAAAAAAAAAUUAUUUCUAUUUUUUUAUUUCAAUUGUUUAAUUUAAUUUGAUUUUGGAAGACUUUAUUUUAUAGUUUUCCAAAUUUUGUUACAUGUCAUUUUUUGAAUUGCAUGUUACAUAUUCAAUAUACAUGACCCAUCACUUAUUAAGCAUAAAUUUCGUUGAGCUAAGGAGUUACAAUUUUGAAGACUAAUUUGAUAGUAUUUUAAUCCACUAAAAUUUUUUAUGUCUACAAAUGCCCCGUCUUCAAGACAAACACACACAUGCAUUGUCAUGUAUAAAAGAUGAGUCUUGAAGUUAGCAUUUUGAAUCUUUAAUAUCCUUCUUUGAUAUUUUUUUUUUCAAAGAAAUAUUUUAAUAGGAAAUUUCCUAUUUCAAAAUACCUUUCUUCAACUUUUUCCAAAAACGACUUUAUUUUCUUCCUUUUUUUCUACCUGGUAUCAAGGAAAGACUUUGUGUUAAUGGGAAAGUUUCUUAUUUGAACAUAUAUUUGCUUUUCUCAUGGUAUUUUCACUUCCAAUUUAUCAUCCUACAAGAAGUCCUUCACCCUUGGUCGAUUGUAUCUUAGACUUGAUCACAUGCCUUUAACUUGUAAUUCUUGCUCCACUUUAUUUAUUUUAUUUUAUUUUAUUUUAUUUUUAAAAAAGAAUACAAUGUAUAUGAGCAAGACCUUGAGCAAGAGGAGCAAGGUGGAGGGUGGAGCAUGAGCUAGCCUUAGGGUAAGACCUUGAGCAAGAGAAGUAAUGUGGAGUGUAGAUCACAAACUUCUCUGGAGCAUGGUAGGCAUACCGUCACAGAAUUGUCUUCCACAUGGAGCAUGGUAGGGUUUAUACAUAUGAUAGGGUGUGCCAUCAUGUAACAAUGAAGAACAACAAUCCAUGGUGUACAAUUGGGAACAACAAUUCAUGCUAUCAAGCUUCAACAUUUUUUUUUACCCCCAUCUCCAUUUUUUCAACUUCUUUUUUUUUUUUUUGUCCUUUUUUUUUCCCUUUUUUUAAGCAUUGUUUUUAAGGAAGAAAUAGGUUUGCCAUCCCUUACUAUGAGGUCAAUAUCCAUCACUUGCAAAGACAAAUUUGCUUUUUGAUAUUUUUUCUUCUUCAAUAAUUAACUUAACAUUUUAAUAUAUAUAUAUAUAUUUUAACAAACUUGAAUAUUCAUAAUAAAAUAAAUAUUUAAUGUCUUUACUCAUCCAAAUUAGCUUGACUUGAAUACUUAGUAGAUCCAUACUUAACACCCAUGUAGACGAGCUGUAACCUUGAUGGCAGGUUGUGUUGUAUUUUCGACACUUAAUGUGCCUUAAGAGUUAAAGUCUUCUCUCAUACAAAUUAGCUUGGUUUGGAUGCACAAUGGUGUGUAACUUUUUAACACUUUAUUAAACUUGGAACCAUAUUUAACACCCACGUAGACAAGUCAUAAUCAUGACAUGGAUCACUGUUUUAUUUUUAGCUCUUAAUGUGGCUUAAAUAUUAAAUUCUUCACUCAUACAAAUUAAAUUGGGUUAGAUGCACAAUGGUGUUCAACUUGUUAACAGUUAAUUAAAAUUAGAACCAUAUUUAACACCCAUACAAACAAGUCAUAACUUUGACGUGGAGCAGUGUUGUAUCUUUGGCUUAAUGCCGCUUAAGUGUUAAAGUCUUCACUCAUAUGAAUUAGCUUCACUUAGAUGCAUAGUUGUAUUAUACUUUUUAACACUUAAUUUAAAUUUGGACCAUAUUGAAAACCCAUGUGAACAAGACAUAACCUUGUAGUGGUGUUAUAUUUUUGACACUUAAUGUAGCUUAAAUGCUAAAGUCUUCACUUCUAUGAAUUGGUUCACCUUGGAUGAAUAGUGAUGUCUAAAUUGUAAUAAUUAAAAUUGAAACCAUAUUUAACACUCAUGUAGAUAAUCAUAACUUUGACGUAAUGGCAUUGUAUUUUUGACACUUAAUGCAGCUUAGGUGCUAAAGUUUUCACUCAUGAGAAUUGGUAUGAGUUAGAUGCAUUGUGGUGUCCAACUUUUUAACACUCAAUUAAAAUUGGAACCAUAUUUAACACCAAUGUAGAUAAGUCAUAACCUUGACGUGAAGCGAUAUUGUAUUUUUGACACUAAAUGCAACUUAGGUGCUAAAGUCUUCACCCACGCAAAUUGGUUCAUCUUGGAUGCACAAUGGUGUCGAAUUUUUUUAACAUAUAAUUAAAAUUUGAACCAUAUUUGACACUCAUGUAGACAAGUCAUAACCAUGAUGUAGAGUAGUGUUGUAUUUUUAACACUUAAUAUGACUUUACUGGUAAAUUCUUUACUCAUGUGAAUUGCCUUGAUUUGGAUGCACAACUAACUUUUUAACAUUUUAUUAAAUUGGGUAUCAUAUGUGUUGUUUUUUUAACACUUAAUACGACUUUAGUGGUAAAUUCUUUACUCAUGUGAAUUGUCUUGAUUUGGAUGCACAAUGAUGCCUAACUUUUUAACAUUUUAUUAAAUUGGUAUCAUAUUUAACACCAAUGUAGACAAGUCAUAACUUUAAUGUAGAUGCGGUGUAGUAUUUUUGGCACUUAAUAUUGUUUAAGUGCUAAAGUCUUCACUCAUGUGAAUUUUCUUGGUUGAGAUGCACAAUGGUGUGUAACAUUUUAACAUUUAAUUAAAAUUGGAACCAUAUUUAACACUCGUGUAGAGAAGUCAUAACCUUGACAUGGAGUAAUAUGCAAUUUUUUUAUAUUUAAUAUGACUUAAGUGCUAAAGUUUUCACUCAUGCGAAUUGACUUGACUUGGAUGCAUAGUGAUGUCUAACAUUUUAACACUUAAUUAAAAUUAGAGCUAUAUUUAAUAAUCAUGUGGACAAGAAAUAACUUUGACGUGAAACAAUAUUGUAAUUUUGACACUUAAUGUUGCUUAAAUGCCAAAGUCUUCACUCAUACAUAUUGACUUAGCUUGGAUGAAAAGUGGUAUCCAACUUUUUGACACUUUCUUAAAUUUGGAAUUAUGUUUAACAUCAAUAUAGACAAGUAAUAACCUUGACGCAGAGUGAUGUUAUAUUUUUAGCACUUAAUAUAGCUUAAGUGCUAAAAUAUCCACUUCUAAGAAUUGACUUGGCUUGGAUGCAUAAUGGUGUCCUACUUUUUAACACUUAAUUGAAAGUGAAAUCAUAUUUAACACCCAUUGUAUGCUAGUCGUAAACUUGAUAUAGAGCAUUGUGCAACUUUUUAACACUUAAUGCGACUUAAAGUGCUAAAGCCUUUACUCAUAUGAAUUAAUUGAACUUAGAUGCACAUUUGUUUCCAACUUUUUAAUACAUAAUUAAAAUUAAAACCAUAUUUAAAAACCAUGUAGACAAAGACAUAAUCUUAACAUGGAGCUAUGUAUAACUCUUAACACUUAAUUAAAAUUGAGAUUACACUUAACAACCACAUAUUCCUCCUAUUUUUCAAUUUUUUCUUGUGGUGAUGAUUGAACUUAACUAGUUUGUCCAAGUUGCCUAUAUACCCUUAACAGAGAGGGAAUCAAGUCAAACUUAGUUCAAAGUAUUUCUUUUAAUCUCUAACUUUUGCCAAGGCUAAUGAUUUUAAUCUUACAAGCUUGUCUUAACUUUUGACCAUAUAUGUAGUCUUUUUAGGUUUCAAUUUAACGGCCUAUAUAUGACUUGUACAAAUUGAAAAUGACUUCAAUCAUGUGUAAAAAAUAAUAAAAGAUAUUCAUUCCUAGUUUUAGGGCAACGAAAAAUAGUUGAUCCUUUUUUAUAUUAUUAUUAUUGUUGUUGUUAUUAUAAUUAUUAUUUCACCUUACAAAAAGACCUUCUGCAAUUAAUAUUUUAUACAUAUAUAUAUAUAUAUAUUUUAUCUUUUAUAUAUUUAGUUUUCAUAGUAUUUUUUAAUUCAAUAUAUAUAUUUUUUAAAUAUCUAUACUUUCGGUCAAUGUCUCAAAUUUAAAGCACGUGCAUGCUCUAGAAAUUCUCAAGUUGUAGGCUUGUGGCCUACAAUGUCAACUUAGAGUUUGAUGAAAAAGCGCAUAAACAAAGACAAAAAAAUUAAUCUACAAGUACUUGGAUUCUAUUUGAAUAAAAAAGAGCCACCCACAUGCAUGGAAUAAAUAUAUAUCCCAUGGAUUAGUUGUAUUUAGCCACGGCUGAAGCUUUCCACUAUGACUUAAAAAAAAAAAAAAAGAGGAUAAUGCCAUUAAAAAACUGAUUGCUACGUGGGUAUGCCUGCCAGUAGAUGGCUGAAAACUAAGUUCUAUUCUUUUCAAUAGUUGAGAGAUUCAAUGGCAACUAUCGUAUAAACAAUGUUUCAUAAAUUACUUUUAAAUUUUGACAGCAAAGACUAAAAAUGUAAAACCAUAAAAAAUUUGUUCCAUUCCCAAAUUUUUAAAAAUAAAAUUGAAAAUAAUAUAUUAACGCCCAUGACUGUUUUCACAUCUUAUUCUCAUUUCUAUCAAUGCAAUCAUCGUAAGCAUCUUAUCUAGAAAUAUGGCCUAGAGCCAUAGAGCUGCCUUUUCUUUAGUCCUAGAGCCAUUUCAUGAGCUAAUAGUAGUCUUUCCUUAGCAUUUCCAGCCCAAAGCUCCCAUUUCCUUAGGCCUAGAGACGUUUUCAGCCCAGAGCCGCUGUUUCUUUCGGCCUAUAACCAUUUUCAGCCUGAAGCUGCCUUUCUCUAGCAUUUUCAGCCCAAAGCUUCCUUUCCUUGGCAUAUUAGCCCGAAGCUUCUAUUUCUUUAGGCCUGGAGCCAUUUCAACCCAGAACUGUCAUUUCUUCUAAAUAGCUUCUCUUUUAAAAGACUUCAGUUUGUCUUUCUAGUCACAAAAUUUAAGGCUUUGUUCCAGGUUUGAAGAAGCUGGUAAAAAUCUGGCUGUUGACUAAGCUCAACUAAAAAACAGUAAAGCUUGCUGACCUGGGUAAUAAAUAACAGCUAUCUUGGCAGUAUUGUUAGUUAGUUAGAGGUUUUUUUUUUACUAUUAUAAAAGGUGCAGACUUGGGAAAACUGAAAUAAGGUAUUCAAUUGUACAGAAUAGAGAGCAAGAAAAGCAGAGAGCUUUGAAAUCCAUAACCACAGGUCUGUUUCGGUUUUCCUAUAGAGAAAAGAAAGAAACAGAGGUGAGGAGGGUUCUUGGGGAAAGCCUAUAAGUUCUUUGUUUUUUAUUCUUGUGUAAAUUCUGGUUGGUACAAUUUAAUAAAGGCUUCAGGAAAUCAGUGUGAAUGUAGAUCAAGUUGAUCGAACCACGAUAAUUCUCUUGUGUUCUUGAUCUUGGUUGAUUGUCUACAAGCUGUUUGAUUUUAUUCCUAAGAGAAGUUCUUGCAAACUGGUUGUCUUUUUCUGGUUUAGUUUCUGCUCUAAUAGUCCCUAAUUCAAGACUGGCUUUUCUCAACAGCAUGGUUUGAAACACAUAAUUUUCACCAUUCAAAUGCAAAACAAUUAACUAAUUUCAAAUGCUAUGUGUUGUUUCCUUCUAAUUUCCCCUUUAUUUUUUUUUCUCUCCUAUUUUCCUUCAAAUUUUUGGAAAACCAAACAGAGCCUAAAAGAAAAGAUAAUUUUACUUAUUUUGAAAGUUGUUUCAUGUUAAUUUAAUGAAGCAUUUAUAAUAUUAAGAUCGCCCUUUCAUAAUCAUGAGGUAACCUUAGUUUCAACUUCUACAAGAGGCUAAAUGAAAAAAGCUAUCACAGAGAAGAAGGCCUCAGCCAAUGAGUGGAAAAUACAAUUUUAUUAAUACUUGAUAUCAAAAAAAAGAAAAAAAAAAAAAAGGAUGAUUUUACUUUCAAACCAAGGAUUUAUUUAUGUUGAAGUGCAGUCUCCAUAUGCACAUGUGACUGCAUUUACAGGAUAAAGAAAGACAAGGAAAUUAACAAUGUUGGACUUACUGGAAAAUCAUACAAAUUAUUGAAGGAGGACCUUAGCUAGGCUAACUGUCUCCUAAAUUGCCCAUCUUUUAUAUAUCUUUGCAAUCAUCCAUCUCAUCAUCAGCUUUGAUUUUAGAUGGUGAGGAUGUGAAAGUAACAGGAAGCAGUGGACGAUUGUUCACAGUGAGGCUUAGCACAUCAGCUCUCGAAUAAUGUCCUACCACAUCGAACUGGAACUUUGCUUUAGGAAUCUCUCCACGAACAUCUGCAUAUCAAGUGAUCAUCAAAAUAUUUGAUCAGCCCGUGAUAAAUAUCAUAGAGUAUCAAGUCUUCCAUGAAACCAUGUUUGCAGUCCUUUUAAACCUAAAGAAUUGACUCAUUUGCCUUAUCUGCAUACUGAAAUAUUUGGAUAUACAAUUGGAGAAGUUAGGGCCAUACCAAGAUCAGCUGUGAAGAGGCCUUCUCCUUCAUAAUUUGGUCCUGCUAGAAUUUCGCCAUGGGGCGAAAUGAUGACACUACCUCCAGCCCAAACAAUAGAAUCUGGAGUGACAUCUUCUUCUGUAGGACUGUAAAGAUACUCAGGUGGAGGUGGGUAAUCUUUCCUCCGACAGAACUGGAUGGGUGAAAGAACAUAGCAUCCACCCUCAAUAGCGAUGUGUCUCAUUGUGGCUACCCAUUUAUCCCCGGAAUCGGCAGUAGGAGCACAAUAUAUCUCAAUACCUAUAUAUAUGAACAUUGGUAUUCUGUGAUCAAUCAAUCCCAUAUCAAAGCCACAAUGUAUUUCAAGACUGCUUAGAUUAAAACCCUAAUAAUGUAAAAGGGUGCUGGAGGUCCUAUUUGGUAAUUGUCUUCGGAACAGUUUUGAGAAAUAGUUUUUGAAAGUUGUUCUUUAAUAGUUUAUAAAACAUAAGAAUAUUUGAAACCUAAAAUAUAUUCAACUUAUUAAAAAUAAUUUUUAUAUUUAAUACUUUAUUUUUAAAUAUUCUUCAUAUUUAUAUAAUUAUUUUUUAAAACAACCUUAAAAACAAAUGAAAACAAUGAAGAAAAAAGUUUAAAAAAUAUUAUCUGAAAACAUUUUGUUUUAUGUUUCUAAGAAAAAACAAAAAGCGGUAUUCUAAUUGUCAAUUGUGUUUUCCUAAAUUUUUUUUGGAUAACAAAAGAUUCCUCUAAAAUAUAAUUGUGAAACAAAGCCAAACUAUUUCAAGCCAAACCAUACUAGUUAAUGAAGAAAAAAAAAUGGUAAAAGAUGUACCUUUGCCAUACAUUGAUGUCCUGAAAAGAGGCAUUCUAUUUUCCCAACAAAUGACCGAACCAAGUUUUCCAUAUGGAGUGUCAUAAAUUGGAGUUGUCGAGCAAUCUCCGAAACCCCAGAAGAGCCGCUCCCAAUAUGUUGGCAUGAGUUUCCUAUGUUUUCCAAGGUAAUUGCCUUCAGGAUCAAAGAAGAGAACAGUGCAAUACAAUGUGUAUCCAUCUCUCUCAACAACACCUGUCACUAAGUAGACUUUGUAUUUCGCAGCCAUUGAUGCCAAUCUAUCAACUUCAGGUCCUGAAAAUACAUUAAUAUGAGAUCAAAGAUGAGACAUGUAAGCUGAUGGUUCAUCACAAAGCAGCAUAAGUAGAUUUUGUUUCAAUAACUUAUUUAAGUGGUUCAGUCCUCUAGCUAUUUAAGGGAGAAAGAGAGGGGUAACUGACCCGGCACAUUAAUGGCAGAAGCAUGGUACUUGCGGAAGCUUUCUUUCCCUCUAGGAGACUGGUCCGCGAAGUUGUACCCACGGGGAUACCCACCGAUAAAUGCCUCAGGAAACACAACCAGUUGGGAUCCCAAUGCAGCUGCCUCUUUCAGAAACCUCUCAGCCUUAUCUGCUCCCAAAAUCACAUUGCAAGAAUUAACAAUUCAUGACUUAGGAAGUAAAUUAAUUGGUUGAAUAGAGAAUGAAAAUUCACCUCAAGAUAUCCCAAAUGACUUUUUGGUUGCUGAGAAAACUUAAGGAAAAGGAGACCUAAAUAAAACUCGAAACUCACAUAUUUUCAGCUGUUUUGUAACUAAGAAAAAAGAAACCACCUCAACCAACUCAUCCAAAUAAUUAUUGUACAAGCAGUAAUUCCUUGAUUGGCAGCUGAAAAUAUGAUCAGGGUUCAAUCAUCCCUUUCUUUCUUUCAGUUUCCCAGCAACCAAUCAGCUCACUGAUUCUCUUACAGAAGUUGCAGAAUUGAGAGAAAUGGCACGUUACCUAGAGUGGCAGGAGUAUCAUAAAAGAUACUAGAAGCUUGAACAACGGUGGCUCUAACAGUUGAAGACAUUGCAGAAAUCGUAUGUUUUUUCGUUUCCCCUUUGUUUGAGGAUUCCUCACACUGCGUUCAGUAUAUAUAUAUCGCCCAUGAACAAGAGGUUCCUCUGCCAUUACUUGAACAAGACGGAAAGGCUUUGAAAAGUCUGACUUGGUUUUCUAUACUCAUGGUGAGGUUUUAUCCUCAUCACAAAUUUUUAAGUUAUCCGCAGACAUAGUGGACCAGCCACAUGACUUGUACAAAUUGAAAAUGACUGUCACAUGGGAUUUUUUGUAAUUUUUAAAAAUAAUUCCCAAAUGUAGUGGAAAAAAUAAUUCUAAAUCUAACAUAGUUUUUGCAAGAUAGAAAAGAAAAAAAUAAAAAUCUUUAUUUCCUUUAAAAAAAAAUUAUAAUGAAAGAAUCGUCUUUUGAAAAGACAAUUUCUCAAAUUUUUUUUUAAAAAAUAAAAUCUAUCGGUUAGAAAUUGUCUCUUGAAAAUCGUCAGAGAUGAUUUUCAAAAAUUCAUUUUUUCAUUUUCUCUUUUUUUUUUUCAAUAAUAUUUUACUAAAUAAUAUAUUUAUACAAUUAUGAUUUUUUUCCUUUUAAAAAAUUAUAAUGAAAAAUUCUCUUUGGAAAAGAUGAUUUCUUAAAUUUCUAAAAAAUAAAAAUAAAAAUCUAUAGGCUAGAAAUCAUCUCUUGAAAAGACGAUUUUCGGAAAAAAAAAAAAAUUAGGGAGAAAUUGUCUCUUUCUCCAUUGAUUAAAAAAACUGGAGAAAUCUUCUCAAGAUGAUUUCUUAAAAAUAAAAAGAAACAUAGAAAAAAAAGUCAGUCAAUUUUCAAAAAUUUUGUUUUCUAUUAGGAAAUAUAUAUUUUACCAAAUAAUAUAUUUAUACAAUAAUAUAUAUAUAUAUAUAUAUAUAAAUUGAUUAAUUUUAUUUACUAAAUUUAAUAUGUAAAAAUAAUUAUAAUUAUUGAUAUAUUUAUCAACAAUAAUAUUUAUAAAAAUAUAAAUUAUGUUUAGCAUCCGAUAUUUAAAAAUAUUAUUUUAUAUUAAGUUAGACAUUAAUUUUAAAAAUAUUUUGUUCUUUAUCUUCAGUUUUAUCUUUAAAUUAAUUCCAUUAAUUGUAACUAAUAAAUUAAUUUAGUUUUAUAUUUUUAUUAUUUAUAAUAUAAAUAAUAUUUUAUCUCAUUCUCUUUUUUACUAUCUCACCUUUCUCUCACCUAUUUAUUAAUGGAAUCAAAUUGAAUAAUUUUUCAAUCAUUUUUCUCCAACAAAUUGAACAUGAGAGAUAAAUGAUUAAAAAUUAUUAAUGUCAAAUGCAUUUUUAAAGUAAAUAAUUUUUAAAUACCUCAUCAAAUAUUAUUCUUUUAUUAAAACUUACAUAAUAUAUAAUAAAUAUUUUUUAAAUACCUUGGAAACUUACAUAAUAUAUAAUAAAUAUUAUUCUUUAUUUCAAACUUAUGUUAUUUAUCAUAUAUAUUAAACAAUUUUUAAACACCUUAUAAAAUAUUAGUAUUCUUUAUUUGUUCUAACUUGCAAAUUAGACAUAAUCAAAUAUUAUAUAUUUUUUUUCAAACUUAAGAAUAUAUAAUAAAUAUUUUUUAAAUACAUUGGCAAAUAUUUUUUUUUCUUACUUACAAAAUUAAAAAUAUGUUGUACAUUAUUUCUUAUAGGUCUUAACGACAUAGUUUGGUUAAAAAAAAAAAAAAAAACUAUCAAUAAUCGUCCUAAUGUCAAGCUCAAGUUGUUUAAAAAUCGCACAAAACCUAUUAGGAGCCUUGUACACCCUUGUAUACUUGACACAUUUCUCUUGUAUAAUUAGUGUAACAUUGUACAAUGGUGCAAAUUUCAUAUCCCUCCUAAGUUGUGUCUAUAUAGGUGUGUUAACCAUGUUUCCAAUGGUUUGGUUGAGAAAAAAAUGACUUAUGGUCAAAUUUUUUUCUCCAAACAUCAUUAUUGGGAAAAUCAUUGGAAUUUCCAUGUGGAAGUUAAAUAAAGUGCAUGACAUGGGUAUACAAUCCUUGGGUGACAAGGAAAAUAAAAAAGUGGUUUAGAAUCAAUUGAAAUCUUUCACAAAUGGUAGUCUUGUAUACCCUUGUACACUUAGUAUAUUUCCCAUCUUUAAUACCUUUGUAUAGUGGCACAAAUUUCAUAUCCCUCCUAAGUUAUGUUCACAUAAGUGUGUUAGCCAUGUUUCCAAUUAUUUGGUUGAGAAAAUGUUGGAUGAAUUAGGGUCAAUUUUUUUUUCCCUAAACAUCAUUAUUGGGGAAAAUAUUGGAAGUUCCAUGUGAGAGUUAAAUAAAGUGUAUGACAUGAAUGUAUAAUCUGUGGGUAACAAGGCAAAAAAAAAAAGAAAAAAAAAGGGGUUCAUAAUUGAUUGAAAUCUUUCACAAAUGGUAGCCUUAUACACUCUUUUGCACUUAGUACAUUUCUCUUGUACAAUUAGUGUAAUACUUUUGUACAAUGGCACAAAUUUCAUCUCCUUCAUAAAUAAUGUAUCCACAUAGGUAUGUUAACCAUUUUCUCAAUGGUUUGGUUGAUAAAAUGUUGGAUGACUUAGGGUUAAAUUUUUUUCCCUAACAUCAUUGUUAGGGAAAACAUUGGAAUUUUCAUAUGAGAGUUAAAUAAAGUGUAUGACAUGAGUGUACGAUCCGUGGGUGACAAGGAAAAUAAAAAGAAGUGGUUCAAAAUUGAUUAAAAUCUAUCACAAAGGGUAGUCUUGUACACCGUUAUACACCCUUGUACACUUAGUACAUUUCCCUUGUACAGUUAAUGUAAUACCCUUAUAUAGUGGCAUAAAUUAUAUAUCCCUCCUAACUUAUGUAUUCACAUAGAUGUGUUAACUAUGUUUCCAAUGGUUUAGUUGAGAAAAUGGUGGAUGACUUAGGGUCAAAUUUUUUUCGCCAAACAUCAUUACUGUGGAAAGUAUUAAAAUUUUCAUGUAGGAGUUACAUAAAGUGUAUGACUUAGGGUCAAACUCUUUUAAAUAUUUUUAUUAUUUUCAUAUAAAAAAAUAGUACUAAACAAGGUUUUCAAUUUUCAUUUUUAAAAAUAUUUUUCAUUUUUAAUUAAAUGUAUUUUUAAAAAGAGACAAUAUAGAAAAUAAAAAUUAUUUUAAGAAAUAAAAAAAUAGAAAUAAAAACUAGAAAAAUAUUUUUAAACCAGACUUAAACAUAAUCUAUUUAAUUUUUAACUACUUGUUUUCAUCUAAAAUGAGUAAAUAUACUUUUCAACCCUUUUAUAUAAUAAAAAUUCAAUCUUUACUAUGUAUUGAUAUAAUCCACUUCCAAAAUUAAGUCAUAUGAAAACAUUUUAAUUGGAUAUUUAAAAUAAAAACUCUCCAUCCAUCCUUUUUUUUUUUUUUUCUUAUUUUGAUAAAUUUUUAAUUAAUACAAAUCAUAAAAAAAAAAAAAAAUACUUAGUAAACAAAUUUGCAACAUUUUAUAUCACUUAUUAUUAAAAGUCAUGUUCAAAUAGUUAUUAAAAUAAGGAAGGAAGAAGAUUAAAAAAAAAAUUGAACUUUUUAUUUUAUAAUAGUAAAAAAAAAAAAAAAAACUUUAAAAUACUUUUUAGUAUAAAAAAAAGAAAAGAAAAAAGAAAAUAGUGAAUAGAUUUAUUUUAAAUAGCGUUUUAAUCAUUAAAUGAUUUACUUCUAAAAAGUAAAGGAUAAUUUUUAUUUAUUUAAAUUAACAGUUUUAGAAAGUAUUUUCCAUAAUAGUUUUUGAAUUAUUAAUAUAAUUUUUGUUUAUUUAUAAUUUAAAAAUAGAAAAUAAUGUUGAUUUUUCAAUUAUUUAUAAAAGAGUUUUAAAAAACAAUGAAAAAUCCAAAAAUGGUUAAGUAAGAAAGAAUUUGUUGGUAGUGGCAUGUUAAUAGUGGUAGAAUAAUAAUAAAAAAAAAGAGUCAAAUGAUUAUUUUUGUCCAUUACUAUCUCAUAUCCUUGUAAUCAAUUAUGGGUGACAGGAGGACCUUAGCUCAAUUAUCAAGUAGAGCUAGGUCGGAAACACAAUUCUCCCAAUAAUUUCCGGGCAUGAUAAUCAUAUUUAAAUAAAAAAGAGGGAGCUGCCUACAUGCAUGGAUUCCAUUGUCUUUAGUGGUGAGUAAGGCUUUCCAAGAUCAAUACACACACACACACACACACACACACACACACACACACACACACACACACACAUAUAUAUAUAUAUAUAUAUAUAUAUAUAUAUAUAUAGAGAGAGAGAGAGGUAAAAACUAAGUCUAACCCAGGGAGGAAAAUAUCGAGUAUCGGUGGACCUUGACAUGAUAUAUGAGGGAGAAAUAUCGGUCCCUUGAUUUUUUGACAAUUUAUCGUGAAUCUUGCUGACUUUUUGGAAUUUAUCAACAUUUUACCUAUUUAUCACGAUAUUUUGGACCGGUCAAUGCGACCUCUACAGUCAAAUAAAUUCAUUUAUUUGAAUACCAAAAAUAUAAAAAUUAUCAUGAUAAUUUUCUUCAUAGUAUUUUUAAUAUCAUUAAUAUAUUAAUUAAGUAUAAAAAAUUAUACAUAUAUUAUCAUUUAUUUUAUAUCAUUUAAUACAAUGAAAUUAAAUGAAUUAUAAUUUUAAUAUUAAAUAUAUUUUUAAGUUGGACAUAUUAUAAUCAAAUAUCACAAUGUUAUUAUCAAAUAAUAUUUGAUAUAAUUUAAUAAUAAAUGUAUACUUAUGAAAUUCAUAUUUUUUAUUAGCAUAUACAAUAUUAUUAUCAAAUAUAAUAAAUUAUAUUAUAUAUAUCAAUUACAAUUCUAUUAUACUUUUAAUUUUAUUUUUAAGAGUUUUUUCUUACAUUUUUAUAAUUUCUGAUCAAUUUUAGGUUCAUCGAUAUUUUAUGUCAAAAUAUCCGUCGAUGUAUCUGUAAAAUGAAAGUACCGAUAUAUCCGUAAUUACCGAUAUUUUCAUCCUUGGUCUAACCUUGUGUAUUGGCCCUUCCAAAAUUUGAGUGAUUCAAUGGCAGCUCUAGUAAAACAUAAAAAGGAAGAACUAUGUUUACCCUCAUGUUCAUUCAAACAAAUAUAUUGUAUAGGAAUUCUAAUUUUCAUAUUUGAUCACCCCAAACACACAACCAAUAAAAUUAUUCUUUAAAUAUGUAUUUUAAUAGAAACUAAAAUGAGAAUUCUAUAAUUACCCCUUUUUAAAAUCUUUAAUAUGAAAAGUCAUAAUUUAAUGUAUUUGAUGGCUCUCACAUCUGUUUUUUUUUUUUUUUUUUUCUCCUCUACGUCACUUUCUCCAUAUAAUGUCUUUGAUAUCCUCUCCAUAUCAUGUCUUUGAUAUCCUACCUUUGGCAUUUUUAUUUAUUUAUAUAUGUUGAAGUGACAACACUUUCUCUUCCCAACCUCUUUACUUUCAUAUUUCUUUUUACUCGUUUAAUAUUUAUUAACUUUAUUUAAUUUUUUGGAAUAAAUAAAUAAUGAGAAUAAAUUAAAUAUAAAUAUAAGUAUGCAAGCAACAUAAAAUGAAAAUUUAUCCUAAAAAUCAUACACUUGAUACUUUAAAAUAUUAAUUAUAAUAUAUUUGAUAAUUUAGGAUUUCGAUUUAAAAAUUAUGUUUUAUUUUUUAGAGGCUGGGAUAUAAGAUUUCCAUUAACCAAAGAUUUUUUAUAUGAAUCCUAAAUAAUAUGUUUAUUUUGCAAAUUCUUAUCAUAUAUAAAUAAAAUAAAUAUAUUUUUAUCAUAUUAUUUUUAAUUUUUAAUAUUUUGUAUCAAAAUCACAAUUAAUGAUAGUGAUUUUGGUUAAGAUAGAGCCCUUAAAAACAUAACAUGUUGUAAAAAAUAUAGAGUUUAUUAUUUAUUUAAUGAUAUUUCAAUUUCACUUUUAUCUAUCCUUAUUUUAUGCAUUAUACCUUAUGAGCAUUCUAACUUGACAUUUUUUGCAUUGUUCAUGACUUGGGUGAAUUAAGAUUUACAUGGAACAUCCAAGUCAUGGGUUCUUAUAAGUGGAUGAUUUGUUCAUAGUCGCUUUAUGGACUUAAGCAAUCCAUUUGAUGUUGUAGUGCAUUACCUCUUAAUUUAAGGGAUGACUAGUUUUGACCAACAAGAUGGGACCCUCAUAGUGAGUGCACUAAUGUAUAUGAUUGCAUUUUAGAUAAAACCUAUGGUGAGUCAUGAUGUAAGAAUAUCAGGUACUCAUGACUUCACCAAGUUGCUAUAUCGCAUUUUCUAUCAACCUUGAAAGAAUAUUGGGUUUGUGCCAAAGUUUGUAGUGACUUUGACAUAUGGGUGAAAUCCAAAAGUGAUAAUAUAUUCCUUAUGGAUUAGGUCACUAUAAAUAGAAUUAAGUAGCAAUAAGUAUUCUCAAUAGAGGAAUCAGAAUAUCUCAUGGAGUUUGAGACAUUAUGUCCCUUUGGAUGAUCCUAAGGACACAUGAUCAUGAAAUCUAUAGUCGUAGUAAUUCCUUGAGUGGAAUUUGAAAUAUGCUCUUAUGGGUUGGAGUAUGUCAAUUGAUCACAUAAUAGGAGGAUAUGUAACUGAAGAAUGAUAGAAGUAACCUUGAAAGGCAAAUAGUAUUCACCUUAUUAGAUUAUGAACAAUACUUCAUAAAGAGACUAUAUACAAUGGAUAGUAGGUUAGGAACCCAAGUAGUGCAAUCGACUCUCUAUGGUAGGAUGUUGAGUCAACUUUAGAAUUGGAUUAUGAGGGAGCCAAUACUAUUCUAUGGGUCAUAGUGGUACCGACUCAAGUUCAUAUAUCUUAAUGGCAUAACUUAUGAGGGUUGGAUUAGUUAAUGAUUCAAUUAUGUGCAUAAGGGCAUUUUGGUAAAUAUGCAUGGCUGAAUAGGAGUUUGUUGGGACAAAGCCCUAUAAAGCAUGAUAUGAUGUAAUAGAUUAAGUUUCAUUAAUAAAUUUAUUUAUUUAUUAUUCUAGUCCCCUUGUGUUAUCCCAUUUGCAUGAAUUGGUUAUUUGAGCAUUUACGUUCAUAUCACUUGCAUUGUACAUGACUUAGGAGUAUUAAGAGUUGAAUAAAAGAUCCAAGUUAUGGAUUCUUUACAAUAUGAUAAGUGAUUAGAAGUCUAUUCAUGGAUUUAGCAAAUCUAGUAUAAACUAUAGUGUACUACUACCUACUAAUUAGAGGGAUGCCUUGUGAUGGUCAUCGGGAUAACUUUCUCAUGGUAAAUGUGUACAAUUACAUAUUAAAUAUGACCUACGAUGAAUCAUGAUAUUAGUUGUUGGAUAGUCAUUAUUACCCAAGGUUUUAUACUACAUAAAUUCUUAAGCUUAAAAGGAUAUUAAGUCUAUACUAAAAUCAAUAUGAAGUUUUGACCUCUGGUUGAGAUCCUAAUGUGGUCACAUAUUCCACAUAGAUUGGGUUAUUGAAGGAGACCGGUAACAAUAGGCAUUUUUAAUAAAGGAACCAUAAUAUCUCAUGGGAUUAAACUUCAUGGGUGAUCUUAAGGGCAUGUGAUCAGGAUAAAUGUUACUAUAGCAAUUCCUUUAGUAAAAUUUGAUAUAUGCUCUUUGUGGGAUGGAGUAUGUCAGAUGAUCACUUAAUAGGAGGAUCUAUAACUCAAGGAUUAGAAAGGUAAUCUUGAAAGGUUGAUAUCACUACCUUGUUAGAUUAUGAAUAUCAAUUCAUGGGAAGUCUACAUUGUUAGGAUAGAGCCCUUAAGAGCAUGACCUGAUUUAAUAAACUUUUGAAUUUAAUUAUUCCUUAAAAAUUUUCAAUUCACUUUUAUCUAUUCUCAUUCCAUGUAUUCUAUCUUGUAAGCAUUUUGACUUACAUCUUUUUCAUUGUACAUGACUAGAGUACAUAAGGUUAUCAAGUUGUUAUGACUUCACCAAGCUACUUCAAUAUGUUUCCUUUAGAGAAUAUUGAGUUGGUGCUAAAGUUAGUAGUGACAUUGACCUACAAGUGAGAUCAUUAGUUGAUUAUAUAUUCCUUAUGGAUUAGGUCAUUGUUUAUCGAUGCCAAUUACAAUAGGUAUUUUCAAUAGAGGCACCAUAAUAUCUCAUGGGAUUAAGACAAGUGUCCUAUUGGGUGAUCCUAAGGAGGUGUGUUUAUGUAAACUAUGGUCAUAAUAGUUUCUUAAGUGGAACUUAACAUAAACUCUUGGAGAGUUAAGAUAUGCUAGUUGAGCACAUAGUAAGAGGAUUUAUAACUCAUAGAUAGUAGAGGUAGUCUUGAGAAGAUGAUAGCUUUCACCUUGUUAGACUUUGGACACCACACUACAAGAAAAAAGGUCAUUAUUGACAUAUAUCAUCUUGACUUAAGAUAAUAUAUGUGAAGAUUGUCUAUUUAAAUGAACAAUUAUGACAUAUACAACUUAGUUUAAACCAAUAAUGACAUGUAUAAUAGUUAUUGCAUUUUUCCAUGACUUAUGAUGAUGCAACCUUGACAAAUAAUUUAUAAGUCAAUCUAUAAUUAAUAUGUUCAUAUGUCAAGGUACCGAAAUGAAAGCAAUAAUGACAUAUAUAUAUAUAUUUGCUAAAUUUUCCUUGGUUUAAUGAUAUGCAAUCUUGACUCAAAAUUUAUUAGUCAAAGUAUAGUUAAUCUUUUCUACCUAAAUAAAAGUAAUAAUGACAUAUAUGCAUUUGCUAAGUUUUUAUAUGGUUUAUAAUGAUACAACCUUAAUAGAAAUUUAUAAGUUAAUAAAAAUUCAAUAAAUUAAUAUGUUAAGAUUAGAAUCUUUGGUUGCGCCACUUUAACAUAUAAUUUGUAAGUGAAAAUAAGCCUAUUUUAUUUUAAUUUAUUAAGGUUGAGUUAUUGAAAAAGAAAAUCCUAAUUUAAGGCAAUUUUAUCAAAUUUUGGUAGUUUUUACAAGUAUAUUUAUUAUUAUUUUGAAUAGAAACUUGUGAUUAAAAAGGAUAAGAUAAUGUUUCCAUUUAAAAAAUAAUAUCAAUGUAUUGAAAACUAUAUCUAUAAUCUUAUUUUAAUAUUUUGGAUAAGAUACUAAGUUAUGUCUCUAUAUUUCUAAUUAUUGGAAUUAAAAUAUAUUGCCACUAACUUGUGUUAGGGUCUCACAAGUAUUAGGUAAUUAAAUUAUUAUUUAUGUAUUUAAUUAGACAUUAAAUCUACUAAGAAUAACUUAAUUAGUAUUUAGGCAUUCAUUAUAACUAAUUGCAGGCCCACAAAAUCAAUCCAUAGACCCAUUUCUUUUAAAAUGUUUUAAGCCCAUUUUAUUUAGUUUGGGUCCAUUACAUUUAUACUUUUUCUUGAGCCAUAAAAAAAACUCAAUAUAUAAAUUUUUUUCCUCUCUAUUCCAUUUACAGUCGCCCCAUCUACCCCAUCUACCCCAUCUUCCCUUUUUCUCUUCUUUUCUUACUUUUUUUUUUAAUUCUUUUUUCUUCUUCUUUCUUCUUUCUUUUUUCAUCCUCUCAUCCUCAUAUUCAUGGUAGACCCUACACCGCCACCUCCAUCUCCUGUGUUGUUACGAUCCAUGAGUCCUACACCCACCAUGGCACCAUCUUUCUUAUCACCAUUGUCGUUCCCAUGUUCGCUACAACUCAGACAUGCUUCCUGAUGUUUUGCCACAAUCUCGACGUGGUUGUUGUUGUUUCGCUUUAGCUCGGACGCUAUUCUUGAUGUUCCGUCUCCAUCAUAGCCACCAUUGUUGCAGCCCAUAGCCUUGGUACCUCCUGCACUACCCAUUGACUUUUGUUGGAUCACCAUCAGCACCAUCUCCAUGGUUGCCACUUCCUUCUUCAUCUUAGAGCUUCAAGAGACGUAGGUAAGUUUCCUUGGAUAUCUACAGUACUUGUUGUGGUAGUUUUAAUUUAAUUUUUAUAUGGGCUUGGGUCUCAUUUGCUUUAUAAUUGGGCUUCAAAUUAUUUGGUACAUAGGCUUGAUGUUAUAAUAUUUUAUUACUUGGGCCUUGUGUUUCACUUGGUUGAGCCCAAUAAUAAGAGUAUCAGGCACACAUAAGCAGGUUGGUUCUUUGAGAACCAUUGAGUUUUGUUGAACCUUAGGAUUUUUAAGGCCAUGCUUCACCAUUGAUUGGGCUUCAAGUAAGAGAUAAGUAUGGAAGUUGCAGUUACUGACCUUAGUGUCUCUACUCCUGCCCAUGGUUUCAACAUGUGGGUCAAUUGAGGGGUUUGGUGAAGCUCUCCAUAUCUUCAAGACCUCUCUGGUUGAAGAAUAGUCCAACGGCCAAGUGACUAUGGAAAAAACCACAUGUUUGGAGUUAAGUUAAUGUUGGAUAAGUAUUAAUGUACACACAAAAUAAUGAAAAAUCGACGUGGUUGGGGCUGAAGAGCCACAACAUCAUAUAUAUUUGGUUCUGAUGGAGGAGUUAAUUAAUUGAUAUUACCAUGAAGGAAUUUCUAGUAGUUUUAAUCUAUUUAAUCAUACCAUCUAAUUGAAAAGAUGUUUUUGUCCUUUUCUUUUUAUUUUUAAUAUUCUAGAUGAUAUUCUUUGUUAAAAAAUUUAGAAAUAAUACAUCUUUGUAAUUGAGCUAGCUACUACAAAAUUAUAAGUGCUCAUUUCAUUCAUCAUCUCAAAAUUAUGUCUAGUGGCCUCAACUUUGAGUCAGUCAUUGAGGGGCUUAAUUUUAGGAGGAGAAUUAAAAUGUUCUCUUUUUUUUUCUUCUUCUAUUUUUUUUUCUUGAAUAUCCACUGUGUUUUACAUUGAAUCUAGAAUCACAAAGUCAAUUCAAUUACAAUUGAUGAUAUUAAAGGUCAAUAGGUGUAUUCAUUUUAUCUUUGUGAUAUCUAAAGUUAGUAUAUUUAUUGUCCUAUGAAAAAAAAAUCUUUUAAUUUUUUGGUAUUUGUUACUUACUUUUCUAUUAAUUCUAUGUUUAUUCUACUAGGUAUCUAAGAAAUACAUCAAGAAGAAGACAAUGAUGUAGAAACAAAGAUCACCUCUUAUGAAGAUGAUGUUGUACUUUUCAAUUUAAGUUUGUAUAUUAUUUUAAUUGAAUGUUUUUAGCUAGAUUUUGUUUGUAUAUAGAAAAUAGAGAGUAACUUGAACAAGAUUUAUGGAAUUGUGUUCUUAAUAUUUAAUGUAUAUGUAAUAAUUUUUUUUCCUUAAAUAGUAAUUUAUUUAAAUUAUUUUAAAGACUUGAUUGUAAUUAUCAUAAUUAAAAAUAUACCAAAUUUAAUUUCAAGAUAGGUUUCAUAUGGUAUAUAACAUGUUCAUUUUCCAUUAAAAACUAAAAAUUAUAAUAAAAUAAUAUUAAAUUUUUCAUAAGUUAUAUUGACAUAUGGCUCAUGCUCAAUAUUGACAUGUGUAGUAGCAACUAUGACAUAUGCGAUACCAAACAUUGACAUAUAUAAAGCAAUUAUGAUAUAUAUAAAAUCUAACCUUGACAUAUAUAUUUAGAAAUCUUGACAUAUGUGGGAUUAAUCAUGACAUAUAUGACGUCUGACCUUGACACUUGUUGGAGUAACCUUAACAAAAGAGUAAGUUGACCUUGACAUAAGAUCAAGUAAUCUUGUCAUAUGUUAAAUUCAACAUUGACAUAAGUAAAUGAAACAUUGAUAGAUAUCAUACUAUUAAGAUUUCAUCAUUAGUGGAAAUAAAGAAAUCUUGACAUAUGGAUAUGUCAAGGUAGCUUUAGACUUUUCUUGACACUGGCAUAGAUGACAUAUACGAAUAGUAACCUAUCUUGACAGAUAUACCUUAUCUUAACGGUGAAAAACUGUCAACAAGGGCCUUUUUUCUUGUAGUGCCAGUUCAUAAGGAGACCAAAUGCAAUGGAUAGUAGGUCAUGGACUUGAGUACUUUGUAGUGGAGUGAAGUUGAUUCUAUGUAGUAAGAUGUUAAAUCAAUUUUAGAAUUGAAUUAUGAGGGAGUCAAUACUAUCCUAUUGGUCCCAAUGGUCCCUACUUGAGCUCAUAUGUCUUAUUGGUAUGGUUUAUGAGAAUUGGAUUGACUCAUGGUUCACUUUUAUGAGUAAAGGCUUUUUGGUAACUAUGCUAGGUUGCAUAGGGGUUAGUGAACAAAGUUUCUAGAUUGGGCUAAUUGAUUAAUUAAAAGACUUUGUGGGUUAGUUAAUUAAUUAUAAUCUAUUUUAGCUAGAUUAGGUGACCCAAGCCCUUAGUAGGCUCAAGUCACUUAAACCAAUUAGGGAACCUUAUAAAUACUCUUUUAGGGGUGAAGUAGUUGUCUUCUAUAAUGUAGAGAGAAUAAAGAGCCACAACUUCCUCCCUCACAACCUUCUCACUAGUUAAAUGCCAAAAUCAAGGUAUAGUCAAUGCAAUAGAAGAUCUUAGGUUUUUAAGACCUUCAACUACUUUGUUCAGAUACUUCACUGCAUGGAUUUGAUUUGGGAACAUCCAAAUCAAGGUAAAAGUUUUCUAUCUUGAUAUCUAAAUCCUAUUAUUCAUUUAAAAUGCAUGUUUCCCUUUGUGCUUAGGAUUUAAAGAAAACUUAGGAAGAUUUGCAUGUAUCUAACAUGAUCUAGGUAUAGGAAACAAAAAUAUCUAGGAUUCUUUACAAAAAUCCAGUGGAUAGUAGGUUAUAGGCCUAAACUUUAACUUAUUAUAAUUAUAUAAGAUAUUAGAGUGUAGUUGAUUCUCUUUAAUGGAGUGUUGAGUCAACGUCAAAAUUGGAUUUUAAGAGCCAAUAUUUUCCUAUGGGUUCCAGUAGUCUCCACCCGAACUCCCAUUUCAUGGUGGCACAUUUGUUUGAGGAAUUUUGUGUUUGUAGUUCACUAAUGUGCAUAAGUGGCAUUUUGGUAAAAGUAAAAAGUUGCACUAGAUCUUGUGUGCAGUAGGACUAAUUAAAUUAAUUAGAACGGAAGUGAGAUGAAGUAAGUGACCUAAGGCCAAUUUGGACUCAAGUCACUUAAGCCCAUAGGGAAGUCUAUAAAUACCACCUUAGGGGUGAGAGCUUCAAACUUUUGUCAUUUUUCUUUUAGAAAGAGAAAGCAAACCCUAACCACCUUUAAGUGAGAGAAAAAGAGAGAAGCUUUCCCUUCUCUUACGCGAAGGUUUGUUGUGAAAGAAAAGAUCGGGUGCAAGAUUAUUAGGUAAAUGACUUCUAUGACACAUUCUAGGGAUUGGAUUGAAUAUGGGAACAUCCAAAUCAUAGGAAUGAAUUCUAAUAUCUAAAUCUAGUAUAUUUUAUGGAUUUUAUAACUAUAUUUUUCCAUUGCAUUAGAUCUAGAGAAGCCUAGAGAUAGUUAGAUGGACUUUAUAUGAUCCAAGGUUAAGGAACAGAUUAAUUCGAAGUUCCCAUCGAAGUUAGUGAACAAUAUUUCUAGAUUAUUAGGUUGAUUAAUUAAUUUAAGCCCCCAAUUAGAAACCUUUUUAGUUUAAAUUAAAUGGCUCAAGUCUAAGGUAUGCUCAAGUAACUUAAGCCUAAUGGGAAGCCUUUAAAUACCUCUUGAGGGGUUAGGGUGUAGACCCACAUUUUUCACGUGCGUUCCCACUUGAUCGGCGAGACUCGCUUUUUAUUUGGUGAAAAAUUAAUUUUGGAAAAUUCGGAAUCGCCAUUUAUUUUAUUUUAUUUUAAAAGGGAAAAUAAAACAAGAAAUAAAACCCUAAAAAAUGACUUCAUAGUUUUUGGAAAAGCGUGUCUUUAAAAAACCCGAGUCUAGGUCUGAGGAUCAGGUUACUUAUUGAGAAGGUAUCUCUAGGAGGUAACACCCCUCUAAGCCCUAUAAAAGUCUCUACUGACUAAGUUAAGGGAAAUGUGACAAUUAAUUGAUUAAUUAUAGAUACCUAGGUAGGCUAGGUGAUUUCGAAAAAUAGCAUGCUAAACAAGAAAACCGAUCACAAAUCAUAAAGAAGAUUUAGGGUGCGUACCUGGACCACUUCUUAAGUGCUAUCACAAAACAUCAAAGGUUACUUUAAAUAGUAUAUCACCCAACAUGCACUUUAUCAUAAAUGAUCGAACAAUGUAACAAAAUCAAGACACCUAAGCACUAUCAAACAUAGGCAUAAUUCAUAAUGACAAUCAUAUUUAUAGAAUUUAGAAAGUGGGUGUUAGGGAGCGUACUUAGAUAGCAUAGAUAACUCAUAAUACGCUUCCUCGAGACAUGGAGGGUUAGAUAAUAAAUAAUAAAAUAAGAAAUUCUAGCAUGCUUGUUAUUUAAUUAGCAUGACAAAAAAAAUGAUCAAAGUAUACUAAAUCAUCAAUUAUCACACACAUCUUGUAUACAAUUCUUAAAAAAAAAAGAUAGAUAUGAUUACAACAAAUAGCAAGAGUGGUAGCAAAAAUAAGUUUUGAAAAGAUUUUCUUAUAUAGGGGUUUCACCAAUUCCCCAAUCGAUAUACACGAAUUUAGCCUAGAAUUAUCCAAUUUAUUUGGGACCACAAGCUUUGAUUCGUGUUUUGUUCAAAACCAAAUUUUUUAUUGAAAACUGAGAAAGAUGCGAACCGAUUAAAAAAAUGGUUGCAUAUUAUUUUAAGAGAAUGAGAUUUUGAUUCUAAAGACUCUAAAUGUACUUUUUUUUAAAUAGAUUUUCAAAGGGGUCUUUUGAGAAAAGUGUUUUGUUUUAAAAUAAAAGAAAUUAAUUUCGAAAACAACAAAACAUAGAAAACAAAAUACCAACAAAAAAAAAGGAAACAAAAAUCACAAAAUAAAGAUUUAGACAAUCAUGCCAAUUAAAGUAGUGAGAGUAGGGCCAACCUUCAUGGGUUUCCAGUGGCCUUCAAAAAAAGGAUUUGACCAACAAUCACUAAGGCAACAAAAUUAUGACUUCCUAAUCAAACAAACUAAUAAAAAUAUUAUCCAAGACUAACAUUUAGAUUUCAAAAAACACAUGAAUUAAGAUAAAAAAAAAAAAUCCAAUCAAGGAUUAAAGUCAACAAACUUAGCAUAUGGAGAUAAUAAUGUGGGAUUGAUUAAGGUAAAUUAACAUUCUAACAAAAUAUGAUAAAUCAAAAACCAAAAUUUAGCAAUCUUGAAAAUAUGAAAACAAUAACAUGCAAUUAACUAGAUUGAUUAUCUAAAAUUCCUAAAAACUCGAACUAAAUAUUAAUAGAUCAAAACCAAAAUAUGCCAUGCUCAAAAUAUGAAAAAUAAUAACACGUGAUUAACUAAAUUAAUUAGCUAAAAUUAUAAUAGUCAACUACAAAAUUGGAUAUAAAUGGAUUAAAAUCAAAAUUAACGAAAUAAAAAACGCACAAACACAUUCAAACUAAAAAUAAUUAAUACUAGAUUAAAUUAGAAUUAAAAACAUCAACAUCAUCUAAUAAGAUUGGCUAAACUAUUAAAUUGAAAUUGCAAAUACAUUUAAACUAAAGCAAAUAAAUAAAUUAGCAAAUUAAAACUAAACUACAAUCGGAAUUAAGACAAAAAAACAUGAAAUUUGUCUAAGAGGUUUGGUCAAACAAUUGAAUUAAAAUCAUGAACGCUUUCAAAUUAUAGAAUAAAUUAAAACUAAACUAGAUUGAGAUUAAACUCUAUCUAAGAAAAUUAGUUAAUUAAACUAAUAAAAUCAAAAUCAACAAUCAAAACUAAACUAAAGAAUAAAUUAAGACAAAACUAAUUGGAUUAAAAUCACAAACACAUUUAAACUAUCAUAUAGAUUAAAAUAAAUUAGCAUGGAACUAAUGAACUACAAUCACAAAAGAAGAAAAAAAAAGUCUAUUCUAAAAAAAAUGCGCAAAUUGAGAUUUAAAAGAAUUGAGCACAAAGAAUUAAUUAAAUCAAUGAACUAACAUCUAAAUUAAAAAAAAAAAAAUCUGUCAAAAACUGACCUGUGUUGUGAAAGAAAAAAUCCUCUCUUUGUGCGUCAAAGUGGCAACCCGAUCUUUGUCUGAAGUCUUCUGCUGCUCCCCAAAAACUCUUGUGCGUGUCCUUUCUGAAAAAAAAAAAAUUCCCCCUUGAUCUGUUCUCCUCCUCUUAUUUAUAUGGCAGCCCACUCCUAUGGAAUAUUUUAUUUCCUUUUUGGAGAUAUAUUUCCAACCUUAAAGGAGAUCCAAAUUUCCAAACUUCUGAUGGCACUUUCUAUUUCAAUACCCAUUGUCUCUCAAUGUUGUAGUCCCCAAUCUCCCUUCUAAAAAUGUUGUCAAAAUCUUCCCUGCCUCAUCUCUUGUCGAACCCUUGGAUCCUAUUGGCUAUUGUUGAAUCUGAGUGCAAUGUCAUUUGCAGAUGUCAUGAACAACUCAUCUAGCAAGCCUCUGCUGCCCCCUAUUGACCCUACGCCAACAAACUCAACUUCUCACAUCAUAUGUCAUUUUGUACGUGGGACUCACUGGAUNNNNNNNNNNNNNNNNNNNNNNNNNNNNNNNNNNNNNNNNNNNNNNNNNNNNNNNNNNNNNNNNNNNNNNNNNNNNNNNNNNNNNNNNNNNNNNNNNNNNCCCCCAUGGCAUUUCUUAUUCAUUCCAUCAUCAAUUCUCUCCACUUCUUAUCCUUUCUUCCAAGUGCUUGGUAUUCAAGACCGUUCAAGUCAUCAAGUGAUUUGUUGUUUCUUGUGAUUUGAAGUGCUACUAUCACAAGAAAGUGAUCGUUGUAUCCUGGGAGACGAUUGUCAACAAACCAUAAGCACCAGUGUGGGGCAAAUUUAUCUUAAGGACAUAGAGUCAAACUUUAGCCUCGAUCAACCAUUUGUACGAUUCAAUAUUUACUUACCUUCUCAUUUAUUUAUUAUAUGUAAUUAUUUGACCAUACAUUUGUGAUAAUUCCAGAAUAACAAUCUUAAGACGAAUUUCUUUUUAAUCUUUUGCUUCUGUCUAUGUUUUUAAUUCAGUUAAUAACAUGACCUUUACAAAUAUUAUUGAUACCCCUGUUGUUACACCUACUACUACCCAUGGUGAGAAACCAGAGAAAUUCACUAGGUUGGACUUCAAGCAGUGGCAACAAAAGCUGUUGUUUUAUCUCACAACACUUAACUUGGCUAAAGUGUUGCAUGAAGAUGCACCUACCUUAAAGGAGGAAGAGACUAACAAGCAAAUUGUGGCAGCAGUUGAAGCAUAGAAACAUUCAGAUUUUCUAUGCAAAAAUUACAUCCUCAAUGGACUUGACAACACGAUGUAUAAUGUGUAUAGUCAAGUGAAGACAACUAAGGAGCUGUGGGAGACUUUGGAGAAGAAAUACAAGACUGAAAAUGCUAGCAUGAAAAAAUUCAUAGUUGGUAGAUUUCUAGAUUACAAAAUGGUUGACUCCAAGACAGUGAUAAGCCAAGUCCAAGAGCUUCAAAUAAUUUUGCAUGAAUUACAUGCUGAGAAGAUGGAAUUAAGUGAGUCCUUUCAAGUUGCAGCGAUUGUUGAAAAGUUACCACCAUCUUGGAAGGACUUCAAGAAUUAUCUGAAACACAAGCGCAAGAAAAUGGGGCUUGAGGACUUGAUUGUGAGACUGAAAAUUGAGGAAGAUAUUCGUGUUUUUUAGAAGAAAGUGGGAAAACAUCCCAUGGAGUCCAAGGCAAACUUGGUGGAACCAAAGGCUAAUAAAAAGAGAAAGCACUUUGGUGAAGGUCCAAGUCAAGGAAAGAAUAAAUACAAGAAGUUUGUUGGGAAGUGUUACAUUUGUAAUAAGCAAGGCCAUAGGGCCAAGGAUUGCCGCUUGAAAGGACAAAGUAAUGAAAAUAAAACACAAGUGACUGAGGAAGAGGAGUUGGCAAACAUGCUUUCCGCAUUGGUACUGUUUGAAGCUAACAUGGUAGAUAACCCAAACGAAUGGUGGGUUGACACAAGUGCCACCCGUCAUGUUUGUGGAGAAAGAAACAUGUUCUCCACAUAUGUACCAGUCAAUGGUAGAAAUUUGAUCAUGGGAAAUUUUGCCACAUCUAGGGUUGUGGGAAUUGGAAAAGUGGUGCUAAAGAUUACUUCUAGAAAAGAACUUGUUCUCAUAUAUGUGCUACAUGUGCCUGAUAUUUGCAAGAAUCUUAUUUCUAGUUCUAUGCUUAGCGAAAAUGGGUUCAAGUUAGUUUUCGAGUCUGACAAAUUUGUAUUCAUGAAAAAUGGGAUGUAUGUGGGUAAGGGGUAUAUGACCAAUGGCCUGUUUAAGAUGAAUGUAAUGAUUGUUAAGCGUGAUUUCAAUAAUAAUAAAGCAAGUACUGCUGUUUACUUGAUUGAGUCUUUUACUUUGUGGCAUGAUAGGUUAGGACAUGUUAACAAUAAAACUUUAAAAAGGUUGAUUAACAUGAAUUUGUUGCCUUUUUUUAGCAUUGAUUUUAAACAUAAAUGUGAAGUGUGUGUGGAAGCCAAGAUGGCUAAGCCACCGUUUCAUUCAAUUCAAAGGAACACAGAACCUCUGGAUUUAAUUCAUAGUGACAUCUGUGACUUAAAGUUUAUACAAACAAGAGGAGGGAAAAGAUAUUUUAUUACCUUUAUAGAUGAUUAUACAAGAUACUUUUAUGUGUAUUUGCUAAGAAGCAAAGAUGAGGCCUUAGAUGUGUUUAAACACUACAAGAAUGAGGUUGAAAAUCAACUUAGCAGAAAGAUUAAGGCAAUAAGAAGUGAUAGAGGUGGAGAGUAUGAAGCUCCUUUUGGAGAAUUUUGUUCAGAACAUGGAAUAAUCCACCAAACUACUACUCCUUAUUCACCUCAAUCGAACGGUGUUGUUAGCGCAAGAACCGUACAUUAAAGGAAAUGAUGGAUGCUAUGUUGAUAAGUUCGGGUCCACCCCAAAACUUAUGGGGAGAAGCAAUUCUUUCUGCAAACCACAUUCUUAACAAGAUACCACAUAAGAAUAAGGAUGUAACUUCAUAUGAGUUAUAGAAGGGUCACAAACCCUCUUACAAAUAUUUGAAAGUGUGGGGGUGUUUGGCUAAAGUAGGAGUGCCUAAACCUAAACAAGUUAAGAUUGGGCCUAAAACUAUUGAUUGUGUAUUUAUUGGAUAUGCAAACAAUAGUUGUGCAUAUCGUUUUCUUGUACAUAAGUCUGACAUUCCUAAUAUACAUAAAGAUACAAUUAUUGAGUCUAAGAAUGCGUCAUUUUUUUAGAAUAUUUUUCCUUGUAAAGAAAAGCAAGAAGUAAGUUCAAAUAAGAGAACUUAUGAUACUGUAAAUGGUAAUCAUCAAAAUGAGGAAGAAAUAAGAUGCAGUUAGAGAGCCAAGAAGACAAAGUCUUUUGGCUUGGAUUAUCUAACUUACAUGUUAGAUAACGAACCCAAGACAUUCAAAGAAGCAAUGUCAACACCAGAAGCCCCAUUUUGGAAAGAGGCUAUCAAUAGUGAAAUUGAAUCCAUCAUGCAUAACCACACAUGGAAAUUGGUGGAUUUACCACCAGGAAAUAAACCUUUGGGUUGCAAAUGGAUCUUCAAGAAAAAGAUGAAGCCUGAUGGAACAAUAGAUAAGUACAAGGCUAGAUUGGAGCCAAAGGAUUUAAAUAAAAGGAAGGCCUUGAUUUCUUUGAUACAUAUUCACCAGUUACGAGAAUAACAUCUAUUAGAGUGUUAAUUGCAAUCGCAGCAUUGCAUAAUUUGGAAAUUCAUCAAAUGGAUGUUAAGACAAUCUUUUUAAAUGGGGAGUUAGAAGAAGAAAUAUAUAUGGAACAACCUGAAGGGUUUGUUGCUCCUGGACUAGAAAAAAAGGUGUGUAAGUUGAUAAAGUCCCUAUAUGGGCUAAAACAAGCACCAAAACAAUGACAUUAGAAAUUUGACAAAGUAAUGUUGUCAAAUGAUUUUAAAAUUAAUGGAUGUGAUAAAUGUGCAUAUACAAAGAAUACACAAAGUGAGUAUGUCAUUGUGUGCUUGUACGUGGAUGAUAUGUUAAUUAUUGGUAGCAAUAAUGAUGUCAUUAAAGCUACUAAGAAAAUGCUGACCAAUUAUUUUGAUAUGAAAGACAUGGGUGUCGUAGACGUGAUCUUAGGUAUAAAAAUGGCCAAGACAUCUAGUGGACUAAUAUUAUCUCAAUGUCAUUACAUUGAGAAAAUUCUUAAACGGUUUAACUAAUAUGAUGAUAGUCCAAUUAAGACACCAGUAGAUUUAAAUCUAUAUUUAGCUAAAAAUAAUGGUCGAGUAAUUGACCAGUUGGAAUAUUCUUGUAUCAUUGGUAGUUUAAUGUAUGUCAUAAACUGCACGCGUCCAGACAUAGCCUACGCAGUUAAUAAACUAAGUAGGUUCACUAAUAAUCCGGGAAAAGACCAUUGGAAGGCGUUGAUUAGGGUUCUUAGAUAUCUAAGAUACACCCUAAACUAUGGACAUCAUUAUUUAAGGUAUCCAGCCAUACUAGAAGGAUAUAGUGAUGCAAAUUAGAUAUCUGAUACAAAGGACUCAAAGUCCACAAGUGGAUAUGUAUUCACAAUUGGUGGUGGUGCGAUAUCAUGGAAGUCAUCUAAACAAACAUGUAUUGCAAGAUCAAUGAUGGAAUCUAAAUUUAUUGCUUUAGAUAAAGUAGGGGAAGAAGCAGAAUGGCUUCAUAAUUUUCUAGAAGACAUUCCAUGUUGGCCAAAACCAAUGCCUGCAAUAUGUAUACAUUGUGAUAGUCAAUCAGCGAUUGGAAGAGCACAAAGUAGCAUGUACAAUGGUAAGUCUCGACACAUCCGUCACAUACAUAAUAUUGUAAGGCAGUUACUUGUAAAUGGAAUUAUUUCCAUUGAUUAUGUUAAGUCAAAGGACAACUUGGUGGAUCCACUAACUAAAGGAUUGUCUAGAGAUCAAGUAAACUGCUCAUCGAGGGGAAUGGGAUUAAGGCUUAUCACUAAAGAGUUUCAUAAUGGAAACCUAACCUAGCUGACUAGAGAUCCCAAGACCUAGCUAGGUUCAAUGAGGAACUAAAUUAUGAAAUACUCUGUGAAGAGCACUAGGGAAAAAUAAAUUCCUACCCAUUCCUAUGGUGAAGUAGUGCUAUACAAGAUGUGUUUAGGAUAAGCUAUGCUUUUAAUGAUUCUAAUAAUUUGAAAGAGUUCAAGUGGAGUAUGGUAGAAUAUUCGCACUUGUAACGGCUAAAAUGAACACAACCGUGAGAAUCAAUGGUGAUCUGGAAAGGAAUUGUGUGAAUACUAUUGUCUUGAUUUACAUCAAUAGCUGAAUAGUUCAAGACAUCACAUUCACUGAUUAGCUAGUAAAUCCGAUAGUAUUUCACUAAGGUUCAGAGCCAUAAACUACCUAUCCUGAUGCGAUCACUUUCCAAUUUUGUAUUCUCUUGAUUGUUUAGUUUUCCAUUUGCCUUUUUUAAGUCAAUUUCCAUUCAUGUGGGGGAUUGUUGGGAUAUUUAUAGGUGAAUGGAAAUUAAGACAUACUGUUUCAAUUAGACACAACUCUUCGUAAUGGACACAACUUGUGUCAAAGGAUAUGUCAAGUAUUUAAGACACAUCUCUUCUAAGAGUCACUAGAAAACCUAUAAAUAGGGGGGCCCCAUGGCAUUUCUAAUUCAUUCCAUCAUCAAUUCUCUCCACUUCUUCUCCUUUCUUCCAGGUGCUUGGUAUUCAAGAGAGUUCAAGUCAUCAAAUGAUUCACUGUUUCUUGUGAUUUGGAGUGCUACUAUCACAAGAUAGUGAUCGUUGUAUCCUGGGAGACGAUUGUCAACAAACCGUAUGCACCAAUGCAGGGCAAAUUCGUAUUAAGGACAUAGAGUCAAACUCUAACCUCGAUCAACCGUUUGUAAGAUUCAAUAUUUACUUACCUUCUCGCUUAUUUAUUAUACAUAAUUAUUUGACCAUACAUUUGUGAUAAUUCCAAAAUAACAGUUGAAUCCUCGGCCACAGCCUUUGCGGCAGCUAGAAACAAUUCCAGAAGGAUUCGUGGAAGGACAGUUGUUGAUGUAGAUUUGGAAGUACACACAACAAGACCUCUUAAUAACCGCAACAAGCGUGGAAGAGCUCCAGAACAAUCUUGGCAUGUUCCGCUUCUGCCACCCAAGGAGCCCACCUUCAACUGUAGGAAAAGGGUCACCAUGAAAGAUACCAUCAGAAUUUAACUUCCUGCAGCCAGCUGAGUAUGAUGCCUGGGCCAAUCAUGUAAUUAUGCAUAGGCUUAAAGAUUUUCAGCGUACAAGAAGGUGGGUUAUAAAGACUGGCUUUUGGAGGAUAGAAAGAGAAAUGAAAGAUGGCUCUUGGCAUGUUAUCAGACUCUUUUAUUUUUGCCCUCACAGACGGUGAUCCUCGUCUGCACGCUCUUGAACUCCGAUAUCCGACAUCGUAUGGUGAUGCCACCUGGGCGCUGAAAUGUAUACUCCUCCUCGGAUUCUCUCAGAAACUCACCAAACAAUGGGUGAUCGAAGUAUAUCACCGACACAAGGACUCGUGGAAGUCACCGUCUUUUUGAUCCACGUACACCGCCAGAUGGCCUUUCGGAACCGUCACCGCUAGCAUCUCCUCACCCACCAGAAGGUAACCAGAGAAACGAGCCGGAUCCGAGUUCAACAAACAUGUCUUUUUGGCCUUGGUUUUGAGACGUUGACCCCAGUUGCAGAGUCGAGAAAUUGUCUUGGUCUUGCCAGUCGGUAGCCAGAGACGGUGGUACCCAAAUGGGUUUCGGUGGAAAAAACCAUCCGUAGAACUUGACGACCUGUUUUCCUAGUUUGAAGCCCCUGAUCUUUCUCAUGGUGUAAGUGUUUGGUGCGAGAGAAAAAUUCAGAAGCUAUAAAUUACCAGAAUUUUCAAAAGAAAGAAAACGGUAAGAUUUGGCUCAGGAGAAAGGUCAUGGAGCUUUUUGUCUUAAACCCUUUCUCUUCGUCAACACUUAACGGUGGCAGUGGAGAUGUGGAGGAGGAUGGGUUUUCUAUUCUGAAAACAGAUGGAUAUGGUGCGGCGGACUACUCCAGAAGUGAUGAAGUCUAUAGGCGACCCAUUGAGUUUCAAUGGCGGUGCACUACACCAACAGUUAUGAAUUUGCCUUUUUCAAUACAGAAUUUGCUUCUUCAAGAGAACGUCCAAGAAGUCUCGCUAUCGGUGUGGUGGCUCCUUUUUAUACCAGCAUCAGAAGUCACUGGAACUCCAGCUGUCACUCAUUCUCAGGCAUGGUGUGCAUGUCCUCAUGUUCACGUGUUCUUCACACCGGAUCAUUCUCUCUAGAGACUUCCAGAGAGCCUCCAAAAAAUGCCUGACCUCUAAUGCCAUGCCACCUCACGUGACAGCUCUCACCAACUUCAUCUUUUUGUUUUCACAGGAGCCUCCCAUUCCUAAAUAUGCAAUCGUCUCCUCAUGCAAAACAGAAUAAAAUAAAAUAAAAAAAAAUAAAAAAAAAGAGAAGAAACUAAUGAAAAUCAUGAGAUUGGUAAUAAAAUAAAACAUGAUUUAAAAGAAAAAAAAGAGAGACCAGAUUAUAUAAUUCCAUCAUUCAAUAAGGGGGUCGUAUGUAUAUUUAAAGUCUAAACAAUUCAAGCAAUUUUCUAUUAAGUAAAUAAAAAAUAAAAAUAAAUAAUAAAAGUAAAAAUAAAAAUGAAUAUAAUUAUCAAAUGCAUGCAAUAAUAAUAAAAAGAUUAUACAUAAAAAAGUUAAGCCUCAAUGAAGUGUCUAAGUGGGCCUAAGUGGGUGCCUAAUGAGCCAAGUGCGUCUAAGUGAACUUAAGGUGUCUAAACGAGCCUAGGGUGAGACUAGGUGGGUCUAAUUAAGUCUAACCUAAAGUGCACCUAAGUAAAACCUAAUCAAAAUCAAGACUAUCAAGGAUCAUAAUAAGGGGUCAAAUAAUCCCUCAACCAGAGUUUCCGAGGUGGCUCUAAAAAAAUGGGCUACACGAGAAGUAAUGGGCCACCAAGGAAUUGUUGUAAAGUACGGAACAAAUACCUAAUAAGACAUGUGCUAGAAUGAUAAAAUGGAGGGUCUACAUAGGGCUUCAGACUCUUAGACUUUUACUUCUUCCAUUCUCUUUUACAUGUCUAGAGAGAGAGAACCUAGCCCCUCCACUUUUCUCAAUCUCUACCAUCUAAGUAUCUAGCUUCAAGGAGAGUCAUUGAGGAGAAAACCAAUGGUUUCAUGAGAUUUUCAAUGACUACUAUGCGUUUGAGAACCUUCUUCACCACAAGGCUGUUUUGCUUCAUUGGUGGGGGAUAAGCUUAGGAAAGCAUGUAUGCACCUAACAAGAUCUAGGGAUAUAAAAUGGAGUGAUCUAUUUUUUCCUACAAUUUUAGCUUUCUUACUUGUAGUUUUAAUUGACCAUAUGUAUAGCUUUUCUUGGUUAAAAUUUUAAUUUUUUUGAAUGAUGUACAAUGCACUUAUUUUGUUUUUGAAAAGAAUGUUUUUAUUUUUCUUAAUAACGUACUUUUUUUUUUGAAGGAUAUACUUAAUUUUUUAAGAAAUGUAUUUAAUUUUUCUAAAGAAUUCACUUAUUUUUCUAAGGAAUCUAGUUAUUUUUCUUAGAGAUAUACUUAUUUUUUAACAACGUACUUGUUUUUUUUCAUAUUGUACUUCUUUUAAAAAUGUACUUAUUUAUACUAUCACAAAUAAUUGAAAUUAAUUAGCAAAUUAUACUAAAACAUUAAUGUAUAUGAUUCAUAUACAAUGUACUUAUUUUCUUAGGAAAGCAUUUUCUAAAGAAUGUUCUUAGUUUUUUUUAGGGAUGUACUUAUAUUAUUUAAGGAUAAACUUAUUUAUAUUGAUAGAAAUAAGUGAAAGUUGGUGAGAAAUUUAUGAUAAAACAUUAGUAAAUAUAAUUAAUGAUAUUCGAUAAUAAUAUACAUAAUUUAAGAAUUUAAAAUAUAUUUAAUAUUCAACAUAUAAAAGAACUUAUGAUAUAUAUAUAUUAUUUUGAUGAUUUGUAUAAUUUGAAUAAUUUUUAAAUGGAAUAUGAAAAUGAAAUAAUUAAAAUGUACAAACGUAGUCCUGUAAGCCAUUGAUUAAUGUGCUUAUCGUGAUCAAAGAUUCAGAUAAUGUAUAUUAAUUGAAAAUUUAUUAGCAAAUAAUAGUCAAACGUUAAUGUAUAUAAUUUAUAUACAAUGAACUUUUUUUUGAGGAAUGCAUUUUCUAAAGGAUAUUCUUACUUUUUGGAGGCAUGUGCUUAUUUUUUUAAGGCUAAACUUAUUUAGAUUGGAGCAAAUAAGUGAAAGUCCAUGAGAAAUUCAUGAUAAAACAUUAAUGCACAUAAUUUAUAUAUUAUGUACUCAUUUUUUAUUUUUUUAGAAAUGUACAAAUAAUGGAAAGUUCAUUAGCAAUUUAUAGUAAAAUAUUAAUGUACAUAUUUUUUUGAAGGAUGUAUAAUAUACGUAUUUUUUAAAGGAAUGUAUAUAUUUUUUUUCAAGAUAUAGUUAUUACAUACCUAAGACUACAUUUAUGUUCAUAUUGAAAUUAAAGAGCUUUCAUAAGAGAAAGUGUAGCCACUUGAUCAUAUAAAAAAAUAAAAGAAAAGAAAAACAGAAAUAAAAGGGUAUAUAUCAAACACUUUCAAUUAUGAUUUAUCAUAUCAAAGAUUUGAAAAAGGGACAAUUCAUUUAGUAGUUAUUUAAAUGCGUAUUUUAGAAAUAAUUUUAUCCAUUGUGUGUUUGGGAUGAAAUGUGAAAGUUGGAAUCCUAAAAAAUAUACUUAUAUAUUUUUUAAUUAAUGUAUGUAACCAUAGUUCUCCCAAAAUAUGGCCAGGCUUCAUCAUACUUCUGUUUUGAAAUGUUAAAAUUUAAAAAUAAUUUUUCAUGAAUCACUUUUAAAUGUUUUUUAUAGAAAAAAAUUAAAAUAUAAAGUAUGAUGUAUUUUUUCAACUUUGAAAAAUUCUCUAAACAUAUUUUUAAGUCAUAAAUUAACACCAACUUUUGUCACUUCUUAUUCUUCUAUAUCAAAAGACUAACAAUAAUCAUGUUAUUUAUACGCAUAAAAUUAAUUAAAAUCAUUUAAGAUCAUGAUUUUUUUUAAAAUUUUUGUUAUUUAAUUAUAAAAAAAUUAAUUUUUUUAAUGAGAAGAAAAAAAACAAGGCUUAAUAACCAUAUUUAACAUUUUUAAAAUAAAUAAAUAAAAGCAAAGGUAUAUCCAAAUAAUACCUCAUUUGCUCAAUUCAAUUAUCGCAUGCCCUAAGUAUCAAAGUAGUUGACUAAGAGUGAGUUUGAUAGUAACUUUAGAAAGAUUAAAACACUUCUUCGAAUUACCACCAAAUAUAUUUUAAGGCACGCAAGGAAAAGUAAUCUCUUCUAUUAUUAUUAUUAUUAUUAUAAUUAUCAUACUGCCUUAUAGAAAGGACUUCUAUAAUUCAAAAUAAUCACAUGGUAAAAAUAGAUUUUAUUUGUUUGUAUCUUAUAAUGAUCUUAUUAUAUAUAUAUAUAUAUCUUAUCCUUUAUACAUGCAUUUUUUUUUUCAGUUUUGGUCGUAUAUUUUUAAUUUAAUAUUAAAAAAAAAAUUUACGCUUUUUGUCAAUGUCUCAAAUUUCAAAUAUGUUCAUGCUCUAGAAAUUCUCAAGUUGUAGUCUUGUAGCCUAGAAUGUGAAGUGAGAGUUUGAUGAAAAACGAAAAAAACAAAGAUAUAAAAUAUAAUUUGUGAGUAAGGAUGAAAAUAUCAGUUUUGACAGAUAUAUUAGUAACUCGAUUUUAUAGAUAUCAGGGUAUAUUAGAAAAUAUUGGUAAAUAUUUUGACACAAAAUAUCAAUGAUAAAAAAUUGAUCAAAACUCAUGGAAAUUAAAAAAAAAAAAACUCUUAAACAUGAUAAAAUAAACAAUAAUAUAUUUAUUAAAGUUUUUUUUUAUUAUUGUAAAACUUAAAACACAAAAUUAUCAACAAAUAUCAAUGAAAAAUUUGAAAAAAAAAAUCAAAAUUAAUAAAAACUCAUAAAAUAUUAGUAAAAACUAAAUAUAUAUAUAUAUAUAUAUAUAUAUAUAUAUAUAUAUAUAAGAAGCAAUAAUACACAUAAUGAAGUUAUUUAUUAAAAAAAUUGAUAUAAUUUAAUAUAAUUAAUGAUAUUUGAUAACAAUAUAUCUAAUUUAAGAAUUGAAAAUAUAUUUAAUAUUCAAAAUAUAAAAGAAGUUAAUAUAUAUAUAUAUAUAUAUAUAUAUAUAUAGAUAUUAUGAUGAUGAUUCGUAUAAUUUGAAUAUUUUUUAAAUGGAAUAUGAAAAUGAAAUAAUUAAAAUUAAUUUACUUAUUAUUAUUUUAUUUUAUCAGUCUAGGAAUGCAACUAUUUUUAAUUUAUGUGUGUUGCAUAUUUAAAAAAUGUUGAACUAGCUUAGUUGGCCAAAGCCCCAUCCAUGCGCACCCGAGACCCAGGUUAAAGCCUUAGUGUUGUUUCCAUUAAAAAAUUUCAAACGUUGACCCAAUAAUUUCAAUAUUGACAUUUUCAUCCUUGUCUACAAGUACUUGUGUUGGGAUCCAUGCAAUAAUUAAUGGCGGAAAAAUAGAAAAACGAGAAAGAAGAACACAAAGAUUUAACGUGGUUCAACUAAUUACCUACGUCCACGGGAAUAGGGAAAGAUGAUUUUCACUAUGUUAAAAUUAAGGUUACAUAAAAGGGUAUUUAUACUAACCCUUAGGAAUGAAAAUUCAAAAAACACCCCUGAACCCUACACCCCUCAACCUAUCGUUCACCUCACAACAAAAGAAAUACAAGCCUGAAUGACAAAUUCCGUCGCUAUGCUGCCAUUCCACUCCACUUCGCUCCCGCAUUUUGCCCAUUUUUCUCCAUAUGUCUUUUCGAUCAAAUAUGAGCCACAUACUACAACAAUCUCCACCUUGGCAAAUAUUCACUCCCCCCUUAGGAGACAAGAAACAUUGCUUAUAACUCCACCUGGGACAAUAGGUUGGGGUAUCUCCCAUCUAGCAACUAGAGACAUUAAUCAAGUUCAAGCAAUGCUUGAACUUUUCUGUGGUAACAGGCUUUGUCAACAUGUUUGCUGUGUUCUUAGAGGUGUGGACCUUCACAAGUAACAGUUCACUAGAAGAAACCAAUUCCCUGAUCUUAUGAAACCUCACAUCUAUGUGUUUGGUCCUUGCAUGAUACACCUGGUUCUUUUCCAAAUAAAUGGCACUCUGACUGUCACAAUAUAAUUGAACUCCACCUUGUUGAAUACCCAACUCCUUAAACAAACCUGUAAGCCAUAAUGAUUCCUUUGCAACCUCAACUAUUGCCAUAUAUUCUGACUUAGUAGUAGAUAGUGCAACUAAAGACUGUAUCAUAGACUUCCAACAAAUAGGUCCCCACCAAGGGUGAAUACAUAACUUGUGGUAGACCUCCUGUCAUCUAAGUCACCUGCAUAGUCUGCAUUAACAUAUCCUCUAACUGAAGAAUCACUUUGUUGUUUGAUGAACACGAUGCCAUAGUAUAGACCCGCAUUUUUCAUGUGCGCCCCCACUCGAUCGGCGAGACUCGCUUUUUAUUGGUGAAAAAUUAAUUUUGGAAAAAAAGUCGGAGUCACCACUUAUUUUAUUUUUAUUUUAAAGGGAAAAUAAAACAAGAAAGAAAAACCCUAAAAUGUGACUCCAUAAUUUUUGGAAAAAGCAUGUCUUUGAAACACCCGAGUCUAGGUCCGGGGAUCAGGUUACUUAUUGGGAAGGUACCUCUAGGAGGUAGCACCCCUCUAAGCCCUAAAGAGGUCUCUACUGACUAAAUUGGGGGAGAUGUGGCAAUUAAUUGAUUAAUUGGGGAUACCUAGAUAGACUAAGGUGAUUUAAAAAAAUAACAUGUGAUUACUACCAAAAAGUGCUAUUUUGUAGACCUAAUUAUAAUGGUUUUAAGCACCUUUGAGUAGUAAUCAUAUUCAUUUAACCCAAUUAAUUCAUUAAGGUCCUUAGUAAUUGGUUUUAACCUUUUUGUGGCAAGUUGACAUGUUUUUAUCAGCUUAUGAAUCGAUUCAAGCAUGCCAAUUGAUGGAGGAGCUAUUUGGGUGAGUUAAGCAAGGAUUUUGUACGUUUAUAGGCUUGAAUUUCAAGUGGAAACACGAGCACAAGCAAUGGAGAAGAGGAAAACAGAGUGAAGAAAACAGCUGCAGUCUUCCUUUGAACUUUUGAAGCACUUUCCGAAGUCUAUUUUUUGUAUGCUAUAUACCAUUUGAAAGCUUAGGAAGUCAAGAAUCCAACGCUUCAAACCGUGUAUGAUUUGGAGCUGAAAUGAGGAAGAUAUGGCCUUCGGAAGGCAACUGCAUCAUGUCAAAUGACCAAUUUCGCAAGGUGAAUUUCACAUUGCGAAAAUUUCGCAAGGAGAUUUUCUUCAUGGUGCGAAAUUUUGCCACUUCGCACCAUGAAGAAACACCUUGCGAAAAUUUCGCAAGGUGGAUUUAGGCACAUUGCAAAAUUCCUUUGAAUCCCCUGUUUUGAGACGUUGUUGAUGUUAUUCCACUACCGGUUCUCCAAGAUAUUUUGCUUGAUUUUUAGCUUUGUAAAUACCUAUUUUACCCUUGUAAUCAACCAAUGAAUAGGUUGCUUUUGUAAUAGCUCUUGUAAUUUAGCUUGUUAUUGUCUUUAAAUAGAGGUGAAGAGCCUCAGACACGCAUCAUCUAAUCUUGUAACCUGUAACUUUAUAAGUUAUAAGAGCACUUUUGUUCAGAAGCUUCUUUUCUCUUUUCUUUCUCAUUUUCUUAGUAGCCAAACACCCUUGGAGGAUGAAAUCCCCAAGGAUGAGAGGCUAAAACCUUUUAGUUUCUUGAAGUAAUGGAUGCCAUGUGAAGCUCCCGUGUCAGGAUGGAGAUUUCCAAGCCAUGAAUGUAAGUAGCUGAGCGUCAUAAAUGUUUUCAUUCAAAGUAAAGCUUUUAAUCCCUCUGACUUGCUUUGAAUGGCCAAUACUUGAUAACCUUUUGGUCUCAGUGGAUUCUUAUUGUUAAAUCCACUGACGUUCAUUAGUUAUCUCCUACGAGCCAUUGUAUUGCAAGUCGAGGAGAUGACCUAUAUCAUUAAAAGGGCAUUUAUGAGGUUCAGCUACCCUUUUUGUAAGUUUUCAAGGACUAAAACUCAGUUGUUAAACUCAUACCGGUUCGGGAAGUAAGCAUCACCUUAGUUGCUUCCCCAACUCGAGGUGAAAAGUCCCAAAAUCUCCAUUUUUACACAGUGAGUUAAGCAUGACUAUCCAAAGCUUUGAGAAACUUCUUUCUCCAUCUUUUAACCUAUUUUCAAGUUAGUUUAGUUUACAACACCUUUAUCUUUUUAUGUUUUCAUCUUAACCUAAUUUUUAUUAAGAAAAGUUCACUCCAUCCUCCGAACUUCACCAGUUAAAGUAAAAACCCUUCCCAGUGUUCGAUCCUAGAGCCACUAUGCUAUAGUAGCUUUGCUACUUUAGUGUAAGGACCUUAGGUUAUAAAUUUUGUUGAUACCUUACAUGCAAGCUACCAAGAGGCGGGUUAUCAAAUGGCGCCGUUGCCGGGGAAGGUGCUACUUCACUGUGAAUAUAUCAGCCGGAGGUAACUUGUGAGACUUCUCAUGAGUAAGGUGAAUUCUAUCUCCUUUUUCAUUUACUAACUUUUUAUUUUAGUUUUAGAACAUUUUUAACUUAGUUUAGAUAAGUUUCUUUUAGCUUUUAACUUUCAUUUUUAGUUUAUUUUUCAUACUCUGUUUUUCCUUCCGCAUGCUCUGUUUUUUUUUUUUCUUUUUCUUUGUUUUGUUUGUUUGCUUUGUUCCAGCUGAAUCCGUGCAUGCCCUAUUGGAUUAGAGACCAAGAGGGAAGGUUAGUGCGGAUAGAGACUCCACGAGCUAUUGAAUUAGAGAUUAUUUUAGAAGUCAUGGAGAAUCAGCCAGAGGAUCAACAUUCACAACACGGGCAGGGGAAUGAUCCGAACUUGUAUAGGUCCAUGAGGGACAGGAUGCACCCUCCGAGGAUGAGUGCACCAUCUUGCAUCAUUCCUCCUACAGAGCAAUUGAUUAUCAGGCCACACAUCGUGCCUCUGCUUCCUACUUUCCAUGGGAUGGAAAGUGAAAAUCCAUAUGCGCACAUAAAGGAAUUCGAAGAUGUGUGCAAUACUUUUCAAGAAGGGAGAACAGCUAUUGAGCUUAUGAGGUUGAAGCUCUUUCCAUUCACAUUAAAGGACAAAGCCAAGAUAUGGCUCAAUUCCUUGAGGAUGGGAAGCAUAAGAACAUGGACAGAACUUCAAGCUGAUUUUUUGAAGAAGUUUUUCCCUACUCACAGAACAAAUGGAUUGAAGAGACAAAUCUCCAACUUCUCAGCACGUGAGAAUGAAAAAUUUUAUGAAUGCUGGGAGAGGUAUAUGGAGGCCAUCAAUGCAUGUCCUCACCACGGCUUUGAUACAUGGCUUUUGGUGAGCUAUUUUUAUGAUGGCAUGUCAUCUUCAAUGAAGCAGAUAUUGGAGACAAUGUGUGGGGGUGAUUUCAUGAGCAAGAACCCUGAGGAGGCUAUGGACUUCCUAAGUUAUGUCUCAGAGGUUUCCCGUGGAUGGGAUGAGCCCAAUAGUAGAGAAAUGGGGAAGAGGCCAGUUCAGCAAAUGUCAAGAGGGGGGAUGUACAGUCUGAGUGAAGACAUGGAGAUGAAAGCCAAGGUAGCUGCCAAUGGCUAGAAAAAUAGAGGAAAUGGAGUUGAGAAAAGUUCAUGAAGUCCAAGCUAUUUCAGAACCUCAACAACAAGCCAAUCCUUGCUCCAUCUGUCAGUCAUUUGAACAUAUGGUGGAAGAAUGUCCCACCAUUCCGGCAGCAAGAGAAAUGUUCGGGGAACAAGCUAACCUGAUUGGCCAAUGGAAGCCAAAUUCAAAUGCUCCCUAUGGCAACACGUACAACUCUAGCUGGAGGAACCACCCAAACUUUGCAUGGAAGCCAAGGCCAAACCCAUAUCAGUCACCAGCCCAAUCAAGCCAACAGAGUCAAGGUCAAUCCUCAGUUGAGCAAGCACUCGUAAGCCUUAGCAAGGUUAUGGGUGACUUUGUGAGUGAGCAAAAAUCCAUCAACUCUCAACUAAAUCAGAAGAUUGACAACGUAGAGAGUACAUUGAACAAGAAGAUAGAUGGGAUGCAUAAUGAGUUGUCUCAGAAAAUUGACAACAUCCAAUAUUCCAUCUCAAGGCUCACAAAUUUGAACACUGUCAAUGAGAAAGGGAAGUUUCCCUCUCAGCCUCACCAAAAUCCUAAGGGGAUACAUGAAGUGGAAUCCAAAGAUGAGGAUUCUUCAAAGGUGAGGGACGUGCAAGCUAUUAUCACUUUGAGAAGUGGUAAGGAAGUGCAUCAGCCGGAGCAUGAUCAGAGGAAAGCCAAAGAAGAUAAGGCUGAUAGAAAAGAAGAAAAGAAGAAUGAACAAAAGGGAAAGGAAGUUCAGAUGAAAGAAAGCAUCAUUCCUAGCAUGGAUGAGGAACCUCAAAUUCUUUUAAAGGAAGGCAUGAUGAAGAAGUACAUGCCUCCUCCAUUUCCUCAAGCCUUACGUGGGAAGAAACCGAUCAAGAAUGCUUCUGAGAUUCUUGAUGUGUUAAGACAAGUGAAGGUGAAUAUUCCUUUACUUGAUAUGAUCAAGCAAGUACCCACAUAUGCAAAGUUUUUGAAGGACUUGUGCAUUGUGAAAAGAGGACUCAAUGUUACAAAGCAAGCCUUCCUAACCGAGCAAGUGAGUGCUAUAAUCCAAUGCAAGUCUCCAAUCAAAUACAAAGAUCCGGGGUGUCCUACAAUCUCAGUCAAUAUUGGAGGAACCCAAGUGGAGAAAGCAUUGCUUGAUUUGGGGGCAAGUGUUAACUUACUUCCAUACUCUGUAUACAAGGAGCUGGGGUUGGGAGAACUCAAGCCAACAUCAAUCACCCUAUCCUUAGCUGACCGAUCAGUGAAAAUCCCCAGGGGGGUAAUAGAGGAUGUAUUGGUUCAAGUUGACAAAUUCUACUAUCCAGUAGAUUUUGUGGUGCUUGAUACGGAUCCCAUUGUCAAAGGGAUCAACUAUGUUCCAAUCAUCCUUGGAAGACCAUUCCUUGCAACAUCCAAUGCAAUCAUCAAUUGUAGGAAUGAGGUCAUGCAACUCACUUUUGGGAAUAUGACAUUGGAACUCAACAUCUUCCAUCUAUGUCAAAAGCACAUCCAUCCUGAAGAAGAUGAGGGCCCGGAAAAAGUGUGUAUGAUAGAUACCCUGGUGGAGGAGCAUUGUAAUCAGAGUAUCCUUGAUCAGUUUGAAGAGAAUUCAGAUGAAAGCCAUGAAGAUCUUGAUGAUGGGUUAGCUGAACCCAUGGGAAUGAAUGCCGUUAUGUCAAACUGGAGACAAAAGCCAGUGAUCCUCCCUUUGUUCAAGGAUGAGGAAGAGAUGAAAGAAGCUAAGGAUGCAAUCCUUAAGCUUGAAUUAAAGACCCUUCCUGCCGAGUUGAAGUAUGCUUACUUGGAGGAAGGCAAUAAAGCCCCGGUGGUAAUUUCUUCUUCUUUAACCGUUUCACAAGAGGGCAAUCUUCUGAGAAUCCUUAGAAAGCACAAGAAGGCCAUCGGAUGGCAAAUUUCUGAUUUGAAGGGGAUAAGCCCAUUGAUUUGCACGCACCAUAUUUAUAUGGAGGAGGGAGCUAAGCCAACUCGUCAGCCACAGAGAGAUUGAAUCCUCAUAUGCAAGAGGUAGUAAGGGCUGAAGUGUUGAAGCUUCUUCAAGCGGGCAUCAUUUACCCCAUUUCNAUAGCACUUGGGUGNNNNNNNNNNNNNNNNNNNNNNNNNNNNNNNNNNNNNNNNNNNNNNNNNNNNNNNNNNNNNNNNNNNNNNNNNNNNNNNNNNNNNNNNNNNNNNNNNNNNAAGCUUGAAUUAAAGACCCUUCCUGCCGAGUUGAAGUAUGCUUACUUGGAGGAAGGCAAUAAAGCCCCGGUGGUAAUUUCUUCUUCUUUAACCGUUUCACAAGAGGGCAAUCUUCUGAGAAUCCUUAGAAAGCACAAGAAGGCCAUCGGAUGGCAAAUUUCUGAUUUGAAGGGGAUAAGCCCAUUGAUUUGCACGCACCAUAUUUAUAUGGAGGAGGGAGCUAAGCCAACUCGUCAGCCACAGAGGAGAUUGAAUCCUCAUAUGCAAGAGGUAGUAAGGGCUGAAGUGUUGAAGCUUCUUCAAGCGGGCAUCAUUUACCCCAUUUCGGAUAGCACUUGGGUGAGUCCAACCCAAGUUGUUCCAAAGAAGUCCGGGAUAACCAUAGUCAAGGGAGAAAAUGGAGAUGAAGUGUCCACACGCCUCACAACUGGUUGGAGGGUGUGCAUUGACUACAGGAAGCUGAACGCAGUAACGAGAAAGGAUCACUUCCCUUUACCUUUCAUGGAUCAAGUCCUUGAGAGAGUAUCUGGGCAUCCUUUUUAUUGCUUCUUGGAUGGGUAUUCCGGGUAUUUUCAAAUAGAGAUUGAUGUGGAGGACCAGGAGAAGACUACCUUCACUUGUCCAUUCGGCACCUAUGCUUAUAGGCGGAUGCCUUUUGGAUUAUGCAACGCUCCUGCUACCUUCCAAAGAUGCAUGCUUAGCAUCUUCAGUGACAUGGUUGAACGAAUCAUGGAAGUCUUCAUGGAUGACAUAACUGUGUAUGGGACUUCUUUUGAGGAUUGUUUGUCACAUCUUAAAGAUGUUUUGAAAAGAUGCAUAGAGAAAGACCUUGUACUCAAUUGGGAGAAGUGCCAUUUUAUGGUAAAUCAAGGUAUUGUUCUUGGGCACGUAAUCUCAAAGAAGGGUAUAGAGGUAGAUAGAGCUAAGGUAGAACUAAUUGUGAAGUUGCCACCUCCCACCAAUGUAAAAGGAAUAAGGCAAUUCCUUGGGCAUGCCGGGUUCUAUAGGAGGUUUAUAAAGGAUUUUUCCAAGAUUGCCAAACCUCUUUGUGAAUUAUUGGUGAAGGAUGCCAAGUUUGAGUGGGAUGAUAAAUGUCAAAGGAGUUUUGAGCUUCUUAAGCAAUUCUUGACAUCAGCGCCCAUUGUGAGAGCACCAAAUUGGGAGUUGCCAUUUGAAGUGAUGUGUGACUCAAGUGAUUAUGCUAUUGGGGCUGUUUUGGGACAAAGAGAAGAUGGCAAACCUUAUGUGAUCUACUAUGCAAGCAAGUCUUUGAAUGAUGCUCAAAAGAAUUACACCACCACUGAGAAUGAAUUACUUGUUGUGGUGUAUGCUUUGGAUAAGUUCAGAGCUUAUUUGAUAGGGUCUUCCAUUGUGGUAUUCACGGAUCAUUCAGCUUUGAAGUAUUUGCUAACCAAGCAAGACGCCAAGGCUAGGUUGAUUAGGUGGAUACUUUUGCUUCAAGAGUUCAACCUCCAGAUCAGAGAUAAGAAAGGUGUUGAGAAUGUGGUAGCUGACCACUUGUCAAGGCUCAACAUUGCUCAUGACACCCAUGGACUUCCCAUAAAUGAUGAUUUCCCUGAGGAAUCCUUGAUGCUUGUGGAGGAAGUGCCAUGGUUUGCACACAUUGCCAAUUACUUGGUCUCGGGAGAAAUACCAAGUGAAUGGAGCUCUCAGGACAAGAAGAAUUUCUUUGCCAAGGUCCAUGCAUAUUAUUGGGAGGAGCCUUUUCUCUUCAAAUAUUGUGCGGACCAAAUUAUAAGGAAGUGUGUGCCUGAACAAGAGAAGCAUGGGAUCCUAUCUCAUUGCCAUGGGAAUGCAUGUGGAGGCCACUUUGCCUCUCAAAAGACGGCAAUGAGAGUUCUUCAAUCGGGCUUUUGGUGGCCCUCACUUUUUAAGGAUGCCCAUGAGGUAAGUAAAGGAUGUGAUAAGUGCCAAAGACUAGGCAAGCUUUCAAGGAGAAACAUGAUGCCUUUGAACCCCAUCUUGAUAGUGGAUCUUUUUUAUGUUUGGGGCAUAGACUUCAUGGGACCUUUCCCUAUGUCUUUUGGCCACUCCUACAUCUUGGUAGGAGUUGAUUAUGUUUCAAAGUGGGUUGAAGCUAUACCCUGUAGAACCAAUGAUCACAAAGUGGUUCUCAAAUUCCUAAAAGAAAACAUCUUCUCGAGGUUUGGAGUGCCUAAAGCAAUCAUCAGUGAUGGAGGCACUCACUUUUGCAACAAGCCCUUUGAAGCUCUUUUGGCCAAGUACGGAGUUAAGCAUAAGGUAGCUACACCUUAUCAUCCUCAGACGAGUGGCCAAGUAGAGCUAGCCAACCGGGAAAUUAAGAACAUCUUGAUGAAGGUGGUGAACACCAAUAGGAAAGAUUGGUCUGUUAGGCUCCUUGAUUCCCUAUGGGCGUAUAGGACGGCUUAUAAGACUAUCCUUGGGAUGUCACCAUACCGUCUUGUUUAUGGCAAAGCUUGCCAUCUUCCUGUUGAGAUUGAGUUCAAGGCAUGGUGGGCCAUUAAAAAGCUCAACAUGGAUUUAACUAAGGCUGGGCUAAAGAGGAGUUUGGAUUUGAAUGAGCUUGAGGAAUUAAGAAAUGAUGCCUAUCUCAACUCAAAAAUAGCUAAGGAAAAGCUAAAGAGAUGGCAUGAUCAGUUGGUGACCAAGAAAGAAUUUUUCAAGGGACAAAGAGUCUUGCUAUAUGACUCUAAGCUUCACCUAUUUCCGGGAAAGCUCAAAUCAAGGUGGGUAGGGCCUUUUGUCAUCCACCAAGUACACUCACAUGGAGUAAUUGAGUUACUCAACUCAAAUAGUGCAAAGACCUUCAAGGUAAAUGGGCAAAGACUCAAGCCCUACAUCGAGCCAUUUUCCCGUGACAAGGAGGUACUCAUCCUCCAUGACCCAUCACAUCCUUGAGAAAGUGUGGUAAGUUGAUGAGCUUAGCAUGAAAAGCUAAGUGCUCAUCUCUUUUUGUUUUAGUUUUAGUAUUACAUUCUUGUUUACUUUGCAUUUUUAAUACUUUUGCACAUAUUUUGUUUAGGUUUCUUGGUUUUGAUUUUGAUUUUUUUAUGUUUUUAAUGGAGCUUUGAUGUCCAAUAGCAGGUACGAAAGCUCACAAGCUCACAAAUGUGGAGAGAAAGGUGAAAUAGGGGAGAAAUAUAUCUAAGUCCAAGCUUAAAAGCCCAUUUCGCAACUCAAAAAGUGAGUUGCGAAAAUUUUGCAAGGUGAAUUUCACCUUGCGAAAUGCACAUUUUGGCAAGAUGCAAAAUGCAACCUCUCGAGAUUGCACUUUCGCAAGGAGUAACCAGUGCGAAAAUUUUCGCAAGUCAUUUUUCACCUUGCGAAAUUGUUUUCAAAGCAAAUAUCAAAGUGCAACCUCUCGGGAUUGGUUUUUAAGGGGAGUAGCCAGUGCGAAAAUUUGGCAAGGUGAAUUUUCACCUUGCGAAAUUUUUUCUUCAUGCUUACCAAGGUUUUGAUUCUUUUUAAAUUCAUUUUCACAGCUAUCCUGGACCAGCACUCCGCCAUGCUAUCUCAGAUCCACCAUCACCUGGGCAUAUCACCUCCUCCACCUCAGGAGCCACAUCCAUGAUUGGAUAUUUCUAUCUCCAUUUUGUAUUUGUUUUUUGUAGAUGUACAUGUUUUAUAUUCUGAGAUUGUAUGUACCUCAUGCUUCUAUCUUGUACUCAACUCUCUCAGUUUAUAUAAGCAUCAUUUUUUGUAUAUUAUUUCCUCUCUCACGUUUCUUAUGGUUUUUGAAUCAUGUGGAUGCACUCACACGCCUUGAAUACCACAUCACCAUAAGGUAUAUCAUUCCUUCCUUGUAUUUUUCGAUAGAAACAUUGGGGACAAUGUUCAUCUCGGUUGGGGGGAGAGUUGAGGAAGUAAGUAUUUCCUAUUCUAGUUAGUUAUUUUGUUGAUUUAGUAGUUGUUGCCCUUUUUCAAAAUUUUUUUGUUUCAUUCUCUAUGGUUGUUAAAGAUAAUUUCUCAAAAUAAAAUAGGAUAAGUCGAGUUUUAACUUAAUUACUUAAGUCUUAGAGUUUGUUUUAUGCUUUCAAAGUUGAUAAUCUAUUGAAGCCCUCUUUGAUUUCGAACUUAUUUCUUCCAUUUCAAGCUUUACACACACCAUGCACAUUAGAUCCCGGAUUUAUGAUGUAAAACUUUCUCACCCUCUAAGCUUAGGAAAAUUUUGACUUGGUUUAUUACUUAACCUCUUUUUAAUAAUGUUGGGACACCUCAAAAAGACCAAUGAGUCUUAGAAAAAGAAAAAGAGAAAAAGAAAAAAGAAAAGAGAAAAAGAAAAAGAAAAAGAGAAUAAGCUUCUAUUCUUUCCUUGAAACCUAAGCAUGAUCCGAAGGGGUGGCGAAAGCCUUUAAAACCCGAUGCCCUAAACCUUGAUUGGUUGGGAGUCAUCGAUCCUCUGCUUGCUACAUAGGUGAAUUGGUUAAGUUUAGUGAGUAAAAAGAAUUGUGAAUAAGAAGGUGCGUUCCUAACCUAUUAAGAGUUGGUUAAUUUUGCCAAUGUCCGAGAAAAGCUUAGGUUAGGGGGAGAGGAUAGUUGUGCAUACUAUAUCCGGAAGCUAAUCUCAUUAACACUUAGCUCAUUAUGGAAGAGUUUGAUCCGGAACCUUGAGAGUAGAGAUUCUUUUGAUACUUAAUUGCAUAAUCUCCACUCUUUGUACUUUUUGUUUAAGUUUUAGCUUUGACAACUCCUAUUGCAUUUUGAAUCUUCGUAUCUUUAGUUCACCAUGUGAGAUGUGUUUUGAUUUCAGUCAUGCCACUCAAUUAUUUUUUGGAGUGAUUUGCAUGAUCCCUUUUAUGUAUAUUAUUAUAGUUUACUUAGUUUUUAUCUCCUCCAUUGCUAAGGGACUAGCAAUGAGUCGGUUGGGGGGUGUGAUUACUACCAAAAAGUGCUAUUUUGUAGACCUAAUUAUAAUGGUUUUAAGCACCUUUGAGUAGUAAUCAUAUUCAUUUAACCCAAUUAAUUCAUUAAGGUCCUUAGUAAUUGGUUUUAACCUUUUUGUGGCAAGUUGACAUGUUUUUAUCAGCUUAUGAAUCGAUUCAAGCAUGCCAAUUGAUGGAGGAGCUAUUUGGGUGAGUUAAGCAAGGAUUUUGUACGUUUAUAGGCUUGAAUUUCAAGUGGAAACACGAGCACAAGCAAUGGAGAAGAGGAAAACAGAGUGAAGAAAACAGCUGCAGUCUUCCUUUGAACUUUUGAAGCACUUUCCGAAGUCCAUUUUUUGCAUGCUAUAUACCAUUUGAAAGCUUAGGAAGUCAAGAAUCCAACGCUUCAAACCGUGUAUGAUUUGGAGCUGAAAUGAGGAAGAUAUGGCCUUAGGAAGGAAACUGCAUCAUGUCAAAUGACCAAUUUCGCAAGGUGAAUUUCACAUUGCGAAAAUUUCGCAAGGAGAUUUUCUUCAUGGUGCGAAAUUUUGCCACUUCGCACCAUGAAGAAACACCUUGCGAAAAUUUCGCAAGGUGGAUUUAGGCACAUUGCGAAAUUCCUUUGAAUCCCCUGUUUUGAGACGUUGUUGAUGUUAUUCCACUACCGGUUCUCCAAGAUAUUUUGCUUGAUUUUUAGCUUUGUAAAUACCUAUUUUACCCUUGUAAUCAACCAAUGAAUAGGUUGCUUUUGUAAUAGCUCUUGUAAUUUAGCUUGUUAUUGUCUUUAAAUAGAGGUGAAGAGCCUCAGACACGCAUCAUCUAAUCUUGUAACCUGUAACUUUAUAAGUUAUAAGAGCACUUUUGUUCAGAAGCUUCUUUUCUCUUUUCUUUCUCAUUUUCUUAGUAGCCAAACACCCUUGGAGGAUGAAAUCCCCAAGGAUGAGAGGCUAAAACCUUUUAGUUUCUUGAAGUAAUGGAUGCCAUGUGAAGCUCCCGUGUCAGGAUGGAGAUUUCCAAGCCAUGAAUGUAAGUAGCUGAGCGUCAUAAAUGUUUUCAUUCAAAGUAAAGCUUUUAAUCCCUCUGACUUGCUUUGAAUGGCCAAUACUUGAUAACCUUUUGGUCUCAGUGGAUUCUUAUUGUUAGAUCCACUGACGUUCAUUAGUUAUCUCCUACGAGCCAUUGUAUUGCAAGUCGAGGAGAUGACCUAUAUCAUUAAAAGGGCAUUUAUGAGGUUCAGCUACCCUUUUUGUAAGUUUUCAAGGACUAAAACUCAGUUGUUAAACUCAUACCGGUUCGGGAAGUAAGCAUCACCUUAGUUGCUUCCCCAACUCGAGGUGAAAAGUCCCAAAAUCUCCAUUUUUACACAGUGAGUUAAGCAUGGCUAUCCAAAGCUUUGAGAAACUUCUUUCUCCAUCUUUUAACCUAUUUUCAAGUUAGUUUAGUUUACAACACCUUUAUCUUUUUAUGUUUUCAUCUUAACCUAAUUUUUAUUAAGAAAAGUUCACUCCAUCCUCCGAACUUCACCAGUUAAAGUAAAAACCCUUCCCAGUGUUCGAUCCUAGAGCCACUAUGCUAUAGUAGCUUUGUUACUUUAGUGUAAGGACCUUAGGUAUAAAUUUUGUUGAUACCCUUACAUGCCAAGCUACCAAGAGGCGGGUUAUCAACAUGCCAAAUAGGAUCAAAUUACAAUAAAGGAGAGUUAGGGUGCAUACCUGGAUGGCUUCUCAAAUGCUAUCAUGAAACAUAAAAGUUAGUAUAGAGAUACAUCACACAACAUGUGCUUUUGUCAAAGAUAAUCAAGCAAGCAUCAAAUAUAUAUCAAGGCAAUAAAACAGGAUGGCAAGCAUGGGCAUAGUACGCAAUGACAAUCAUAUUCAUAGGGUUUAGAAAGUGGGUAUUAGGGAACGUACCUGGAUAGCAUAGAUAACUUGUAACGUGCUUCCAUAAAACAGGAGAGGUUAGAUAGCAAACAAUAAAAUAAGAAGUCCUAGCAUGCUUGUUAUCUAAUUAGCAUAGAAAAAAAAAAAAUUAUCACAGUAUACAAAACCAUCAAUUAUCACUAAUAUCUUCUAUAUAAUUUCUAAAAAAUAAAUAGACAUGAGUUCAUCAAAUAACAAAGGGGGCAACAAAGAUGAGUUUUGAAAAUUUUCCUUAUGUAGGGGUUUCACCAAUUCCCCGAUUGAUAUACACGAAUUUAGCCCAGAAUUAUCCCAUUUAUGUGGGACCACAAGCUUUGAUUCAUGUUUGAUUUCAAACCAAAAUUUUCGUUAAAAAUCGAGAAAGAUGCAAAUCGAUCAAAAAAAUGGUUGCAUAUUAUUUUAAGAAAAUGGGGUUUUUGAUUCUAAGGACUCUAAAUGAAUUUUUAAAAUAGGUUUUUAUAAGGAAAAUUUUGAGAAAAGUAUUUUAUUUUAAAAUAAGAGAAAUUAAUUUGAGAACAAUAAAACAUAUGAGAAACAUUGUACCAAGCAAAACAAAUAGAAACAAAAUCAUAAAGUAAAAUUUUUGGCAACCAAGCAAACUGAAAUGGUGUGAAUGGAGGCCAAUCUUCACAAUUUUCCAAUGGCCUCCAUGAAUCAAAUAUAAACGAACAAAUGUCAAAGAAAAUAACUAAACAGCCUUAGAUCAAAUAAAGUCAACCAGAUAUCAAUCAAGAACUAACAAAGAUUAGUCAAGCCCAUAAAUUGAGGAUAUAAUCAAUAAUUAAAUUAGAUUAGUCAAACACACAAACCUAUGAUUAAGGUAAUGUUAAAUAUAGUACCAUAAGAACUUACAAUUCUAAAACACUUGAAUUGAGUAAGGAUCAAUCAGGAACUAGAGCUUAACACACUUAAAACAUGGAUAUAAUGACAAGGGGUCAGAUAAAUUAAAUAAUUAAAAUUCUAAAGACUCAUAAAACAAAUAUGAUGAAUCAAAAAUAAUAAUAAUAAUAAAAAUAAAAAAUAACUGAAAUUAAUAAACAUAGUGAUAAUGAUAUAGAACCAAAUGAAUUAAUCACCUAAAAACCUAAAGCAUCACAUGAAUCAACUAAGAUGAAAAUAAAAAAAAAAAGAAUAAAAUAACAUGAUGAUAAUGACAUAGAAUCAAAUAAAUUAAUCCAUUAAAAUUUUAAAGCAUCACACGAAUUAAUUAGGAUGAACCCAUGAACUAAAAUUAAAUAAAACAAGAUGAUGAUGACAUAAAACCAAAUAAAUUAAUCGACUAAAACUUGAGAGACUCGAAAACUUAAUAGAGUAAAAAAUUAGCAAACAAAGCCCUAACUUUCAAUCUAAAAAAAAAACUAAUAAACUAAUGGAUAAAAAAAAAAGAAAUCAAAAACUCAAGAACAAGGAAACUCACUUACCUUUGGAAGAUGCAGCCUACUCGCUUUGGGGAUCAAUGGCGUUCAUGGUUCUCUUGAAGAUACCAUGAAGAUCUUUAUGGAAAUUGAGGCAUGGACCCCUUAAAAUGCAACCUGCUGCCACUUUUCCUUCAAAAAAUCUCACCAUCUAAAAGUGCAACUUGCUUCCAUUUUUCUUUCAAAAAAAUCUCACCCCCUCAAAAUGCAACUUGCUGCCACUUUUUUUUUUAAACAAAUCUCACCCUAAAGUGGCAAUCUGCUGCCACUUUUCUUUUAAAAAAUCUCACCCUAAAGUAGCAGUCUGCUGCCACUUUCCUUUCAAAAAAAAUUCACCCUAAAGUGGCAGCCUACUGCCACUUUCCUUUCAAAAAAAAAACUCACCUUAAAGUAGCAGCCUGCUGCCACUUUUCUUUCAAAAAAAACUUCACCCUAAAGUGGCAGCCUUGGAGAAUCCCCACUGUACGGUUGUGUUCCAAAAAAAUUGAAUGCUGCCACUUUUCUUUUCAUCAAACUCAUAGUGCGCCCCAUGGAGAUUAAUAGAAAUCCCUUUUCCUCAUUUUGGAUGGUCACGCCCUCUCUCCUAUAGUGCAUGUGCAGAUCCAAGGAUGCAGCCCGUGAAGUGAUGUAACGAUUCCUAUUGAGUCUGUUAGUGUUGCCAAACCAGAAAGUACCCAAUUAUGAAUGUCCAGAAGAUGCUGAGGACAUGCAUGUCUUCCGACAAUGAUGUCAGUUCAGGACAGCGAUAAAUUUGAAGACGUUAGUAAAGGGAGGCUGUCCAUUGAGUGUGAUAAUGUUAUCAAAUUUAGGGCAGCAAUUUGAAUCCCUGAAUAGAGAUAGCUUCCAAGGCUUCAAGUGGGGUGAGAUGUUGAAUCACUUGUGAUAGAGAGAUUAAGCUACUAGCACAUCACUGAGAGAAUAUUAAUCUAUGACAAUUCCCACUUUCGAGUUGCUUUAGAGAAGUAAGGCGUCACAACUACAUUACCAUCUAGUAUUUUGCUUUGACUUGGCAACACUUACAUCUUUUUCAAUCAUGCACGGGGCUGUUUUGAAGUCCAAAAGUGCAAGUCGUUUUUGGAUGGCGGCUGGUUCUUGUUUGCUGUUCCUUGAGAUCAGUUUUAUUGCCAAUCAGAAUGAUGAGAAUGGUCUUAUCAGCGUGACCACGUGACUCUUCCAACCAUCGGGGUAUGUGGUCAAAACUUUGGCGUUUAGUUAUGUCGUAAACCAGCAUUGCGUCAACAGCACUCCUGUAAUACGCACUUGUAACGGCUCCGUGUCGUUCUUGGCCAGUAGUGUCCCAGAUCUGAGCCUUGACACUCUUGCGUCGGAUGACGAGGGUUCGAGUCUGGGACUCAACCCCGGUUGUAGCCUUGGAAUCCAAACUGAACUCGUUCCUAGCGAACCGAGUUUACGACUUGCCCACUUCGGUGUCUCCGAUCAUAACCACUUUGAAAACGUAGUUGAUCUUUUGGCUCGAAUUGCCAUAGCUUCCACCACUCGCCAUCACCGCACCACUCCGUUCUCUCUCUCUUGAACACUCUCUGUCUGGAUUCAAGAUCAGUCACAGCCUUCCUUUUCCCAUCCUCAAUUCUGUCCGCUGGGAAACCGAAUUGCCACCAUCAAACAGUUGGUUCCUUGCAGCCGCUGAAGCUUGUCAGCAUCACCAAGAGACCAACCAAUUGGGUUGUAGGAGAAGUCAAUCUGUUUCCAUGUAAUCUGAUCCCAAACUCCAAUCCCAUACACGUGGCUUCAAUCUUUACCGCUAGCAAUAAUCCUAUAAUCUGAAUUAAAACCCAGAGCUCCGACAAUUUCCUUUCUUUAUGGCAGCCAGAUUUGGAUCCGAUCUCGACUCUCCUUUGAGAUUAAGCAAUUUAUCAAUGUAUAAUCAGGCCGCUGUGGACAAAUCCAUGCUUGGUAGUCAUGCUUAUUGAUGAUAGUCUAGAGAUGUGGAAAUCAAACAAUUCUGAUGAACCCUCUCCCAUGCGUGAUGAGGCCGAUGAUGUGUUAUUCCAGAUUCAUCUCCGGAGAUCCCUCUAAUUAGAACGUUCAGAAUCCCCCAGAAACGAGAGCUCUCCUUGCGGUCUCCUUCUCCAGCAGCGUUCAUCCCUCCCCCCCUUUUUUUUUAUAUGCUUCACGAACUUCAUCACAUGAAUUACCACAAUCAUCAUCCGUCACUUCUGCUCCAUAGCAUGAACCACAAUAUUUUCCAUUGCGUUCAAGCCUGCCACCAUGUCCUUGUAAUAGCUUCUCAAUCCGGGGCCACCAAUUCCAUCUUGCCUAACUGCUACCACAUUACCAUGGGCGUCAAUGGAGAGAGAGUUUUGACCAGCAUGGGCGCUCGUACCAUUGGAGAUGCAGCCUUGAAGAUUCCCCCAGUGUGACCUGCUGCUGGUGCGUGUCUUCUAUGGAAUCUGUGCUGCGUGCUGGUCCUCUUGAUGGUGAGGAAUACGGCUGUGUGCUUGUCGUCUCCCUCCUAGUGGCAGCCCCCCACUUUGAGAGAAUUUGUGGCCGCUCCUUCCUAGAGAAUCCCUUAGAUGUUUCGUUUCAUCAUUUUAGCCGGAUCCAUUGCAAGCAAGGAAAUUCAUUGAUGAUUUGCUCCCCUUUUUAGGAAAGAAAGCUCAGAAUUCUGAUGCAUGUGUAGAAGCUUUGCAACUUAUUCGAGAUAUUAUACCAGUUUCAGUGAGUGAAACUUCUCCAAAAAUCUUGAAUGUCGUUUCUUCUCUGCUAAUUUCUGCUGGACUGGAUAUACGUUUGGUUAUUUGUGGCCUUCUUGGUGAUCUUGCUGAAACUGACCCUUAGGUACUCUCUGUGGCAAAUCCCAUAAAUGAAUUGGAUGUGACCUCUGUUACGGAAACGAGUGGCCUGGAUUAUGACACCAUAGUUUAUGCUUAUGAAAAGAUUAGCAUGGAGUUCUUUAAUAAUAUCUCAAAGAAUCAGGCACUGGUCAUUUUGUCGCGUUGUAUAUAUGAUAUGUCAUCCAAUGAACUGAUCUUAAGGCAUAAUGCAUAUAGGUUAUUGGUCUCUUCUGCUGAACUCUCCGUCCAAAUUCCUAAACUUGAAGUGAAGAGUGACCAUGAAACGCCCGAAGCAAUAAUAACAUUCAUAGCUGAUGGUUGUUGGAUUUAAGCAUGUAUUCAGCGCAUGAUAAACAAAUUCCUUUUGAAGCAUAUGGCAGAUGUAAUGGGCAAGGAAAAUUUUGUUCAGAAGGAAUGGGUUGAUUUACUGAGAGAAAUGGUGCUGAAGCUUCUAGAGGUGCUAAAUCUUCACUCAUUCAGGAUCUUGUAUUGUCUGAAUGUGUUAAUAAAAUUGGACCAAUGGAAGAUGCUGUGAAGGCUCUAUUUGCCUAUGGGCUCCAUCUAACUAGUCGGUAUAGGUUUUCUGAAUGAGAUGACCAUGGGAAUGGCCAAAUUUGGGAUUUCCGUAAGGUAAGAUUACAGUUAUUGCAGUUUAGAGACAGGCUGAAGACAUUUCUUGGGAUAAAUAUGGGUAGGUUCUCCGUGAAGGAAUACAACAAAUUUCGCAUUAUGCUUAUCAAUGAAGCUGCUGCUGCACUUGCUGAGAGUGGAAAAAUUGGGGCCUUAAACCUCCUUUUCAAGCGUCAUCCUUAUACACUCACUCCUUCCAUGUUGGAAAUUUUAGCUGCUGUCCCUGAAAUAAUUCAAGUUCAAACAUAUGGGCAACUCCCUCCUGGGAGGUCUCCUCCUACCAGUUUUGCUCUGAGGGAAAAAGAUUGGGUUGAAUGUGAAAGGAUGGUAGGCUUUAUCAACAGAUUACCCGAGGAUAAAGAGGGCAGCAUUCGCAUCAAAACUGAACCCAUUGCGAGGCAGAUCUUGGGAUUCUCUUGGCCAUAAGCUGAUGAAUUUUCUAGUUGAUACAAGUGCUGAAAUUUUUAUUGGUCAGACCGUUGACCUCAAAGAGCAGCAAAAUGCUCUUGGAAUCAGUCAGGAACACAUUGAAAGCGCUGCAUCACUGGAGGAUUAUGCUACCAUGAAUCCAGCCAAUUAUUUCACCUUUGUCUCCCAUAGUGCUAGAAGGUACUCUACCAAGAGGUUCUGGAACGCUCAAAUAUUUUAAGUGGAGGAUUCUAAUGCUUCAAUAGCACUCACCCUAUGACGAAUACUCAGUUUAUGAUGAAAGAGUGGAGUUUCUGGCAUCCACCUAUGCACCGAAUGCAGAAUCAAUAUUUGCUCCUCUCAUAGGAACAAACGGUUUUCACAACAAAGCAAGUGAUCAAGAUGAUGCAGGCUGCAAGAAUUUCCCGAAAGAAUUGCAAAUGGCCAGACUAGACGAUGAAGCUGUUCUCCAAAAACUGAGGCAAAUGCCAUUGGAAGUGGGAAAAUUGAAACAGAAUUUAUAAUGCUCUCCUUCCCUCAUGUUCAAAGGCUGAUCUGAACAAUACUGGAGUCGCCUAUGCAGCCAUGCUAGACAUUAGAAGCUUUAUGAGGUUACAAUAAAACCAUUAACUGUACACAUAAGUUCAUUUGCAAGAAUUGGGAACCAAUUUAGAAGGUCAAGUAUAUUCGCUGUCAACAAGAAUGAUGCCCUCCGAUUUAAGAUCUCUACUGAGGAGGAACCCAGUUUGAUCAAAAUUCUAGGAUCAAACAACAGAGUCAAAGUCAAAUCAAGAGCAACGUUCCAACUUGUCAUGAAGACCAAGAAUAGUAAUUGCUUUUGAGCAAGCAGUGAAAUUAUUUGCAAUCAGACAAUCAUCUUCUUCUUCAAGAAAUGCUGUAAUGAAAUUCUUACCAGUUGUGUCUGAUUCUUCAAAACAUGAAGUUAGCAAACAGAUUGUUCAUAUAUAAUGUCAGUUGGCAUAAAUGUAGUGUUCAAUCACCAAGCCACAAAGAUGAUACAACCGAACAGUUGCAGCAGGAAAACUUGGUUGUUUAUUCAAAAUCAAGUAAAUCUCUAGGUCCCUCAUACCACGAUUGCUCCCAAUCUUUAGGUCUUGGCGUAGACAAUUCCUUCCUUGUCUAUGUGGACAGAACAAUGCUUGCUGUUCUAGUUGUUGUCUUUCACCAUGGUCUGUAGAAAAAAUGUCCAGAAAAACAACUAAUGAUCAGUAGAAGUGUAAAAGGGAAGAAAGAAAACUACUGCUAGAUUGGAUCAGUCAUCUUCUUCAUUAGAUCAUUACAAACAGUUGGCUUUGAAAAAUUUGAAGUUAAUCAACUACAAUCAUGACAGAUAUUUAUUUUUCCUAAAAGAAUGUAAAUGUAUGGUUGCUCUUUGAGUACAGCUCUCUACAGCACAAAAAUAAACAAAUACUGUGGUCAAAGCUGUCAAUCAAAAUCCCCCUAUCCAGAAUGCAUGGCAAUGGCUGAUCCAAAUGGCCAUGUACUAGUACACUUACUAAGAUUUCCUUCAAGAAUCAUGUACAAGUGACCACCACUGUUCUCGGUGUCCAGAGGCAGUUUUCCAUACUCAUCUCCUUCUCCAUGAGGCUCAUGUAGUUAUUGGAAGGAUUCAAUAAAUAAUCUCGAAACCCAUGAGCGUUUUUGGCCCAAAGAAAUUCAGCAUAUGACAUAAUUUCGUGUAUAUAUAUAUAUGGAGAGAGAGAGAGAGAGAGGAAAAGUUUAUGAAAUAACCAUGAUUACUAGACGGGAAAAGUGUGUUUUCAUCUUUUGAUAUGACUAUAUCAGUAAAUGAGUACCAACUUUUCCAUCUCAUAGUUUGUGAAUGGAUCAUAGACUGAAAAUGAAUUAUAUGUAAUCUACUUAAUUUACCAAAGGUAAUGAAAUCUAAUUUACAAUCAAAUUAAUUAAGACACUAGGAUACCAAUCACUACUAUACGUACAUAAAUCAUAUUACAUUUCUGUAACAUUACUUUUCUUCAAUACUUCCCCUGAUCAAGUUACAUAUCAAGAACUGAAAAAAUUAUAAGGCAAUCAAAUGAAACAAACCAAGAAAACAACAAUAUUAAAAGAGUUAUGAAAUAUCACCAGAUGAGAUCCAACAGUAAAUUAAGAAACUUUAUACAAUCUUGCUUACCUUAGGGCCAUGUCUGGAGGAGUUCCAAUUGUAGGCCUAGGGCCAAUGUUGAUAGGCACAUGCCCAGAUCUUAAAAACCCUCAAGAUGAACAGUAGCAGCUACUCUAGGCGCUCCUACUGCACAGGCAAAAAACAAGUUAGUCAAUGUUUCUUGGCUAUUGGCUUUGGCUUGGACCUUGGUGGUUAUGUCAAUUUUAGAUAAAUAUGUUAAUAAUCCAAUGACUAUAUUCCAAGAUUGAUGAUAUAUAUGCAAUAUAUCAAUUUGGAAAUGCUGAUAUAAACAUUUAAGGAAUUUAAAUUAGUCAAUUUUCAACAAUCUAGCAUUCAAAAGUGUACAAAAUGAUUAUAACUUGAAAGUUUGAAUAUAAACUGAGGUACAAUAUUCCUAGAGGCUCAAGUCUCCCUAGAACAAGGCAUCACAUCACAUAUUGAUGUGGCCUUAUGUUUGAGGUAAGCACCUUAUCUACUGGCGAGUUCAUCCUUAAUAAGCUUUUUGCAAGAAAAUGGAGACCUAAAAUUACUCUAAUACUUCUUUUCUUGAAUAUUAAAUUUUCUUAAAAGUGUUAUCGAUUAUCAAACAUUUAUAUCAAUGGUGGAAACUAGUUUGCUACCAAAGUGAAGGUCAAAGUCCUAAUUAUCAUUUUGCUAAACAAUGUAAUAUAGUAUUAUACAAUUAUUGCUUUUAAAAGAAAAUUUACAAGCCACCCAGCAAAAUUUAUGAUUAUACCUUUUUCCAACUUCACUCACGCCAUUGAGCUUUAUAAUUUGAUGAAACAAGCCUAAAUCAAAAAACUAUACAAAAAAAAUAAAGAAUCGGAGAAAACAAACCUGUAAGCACUAAAUUUUGUACUUUAAAAGAGGAAAUAGGAUGCCAAUUGUAGGUUUAAUUUAAAGAAACCUUAAAAAAUAUUUUUAAAAUUAUAGGAAAACCCCCGUAGCUUAGAAAAGAUUGGGGCGAACAGUCUACCUUUUGGCGAUGUUCACAUCUUGAGAGGAAUGACUUCUUUCUUAGUAGAUCUGAUGAUGGUGUUGAUCUUUAGGAAGAGAUGAUUAGAAGGCUACGUCGAAUUUUAGUGAGUGAGAGAUAAAGGAACACCCAAAACCUUAAAGCAAAAAAGGAAUUAAUAACUCAAAUAGAUUCCAUUUUUUCCUUAUGACGUGCUUACCUUAGUAAGGUUUUUAUGGCAGUGAUACCAUUUGGAUAAUUAAGUCAUUGAUUUUGAUGGAUCUUUUCCAUUUGAAUUUUUAAUAUAUAAACUUAAUCUUUUUACUUGGGGUAAUAUAUUUGGUAUUUUAGGAUUUACUUUUUAAUAAUAUGCUUUUAGUAGAUGGUUUAACUAUGUCCUAGUGUAAUAAGUAGUCUUGCAUUACAUUAUCUACUAUGGAGUAGGAGUGUGUUGCUUGUUCAAGGGAUGUAUGGGAAGUUGUUUAUUUGAUGAUAUACUUUCAACACUUAGAGUCACGACUUGAGCUAAUAAGUUUAUCAAGAUCUAAGCAUUGAUGGUGUUGCUACUCUAUUGUAUGCAAGGAUUCAAUUAGUCACAUUGUAGGACAAAACACUUAUAGACAAUUGAUUCUACUACAUUCAAGAUAUUGUUGCUUAAGGGGAGGUAGAGUCAAAACAAGUAGACAAUUGAUACAACUACACACACAACAUAGAGACAAAACACAUGAAUAAUACUAUGGUUGAAUAAAUUAAUUGGAUGAUGAGAUGAUAAUUAUUUUGUCAUCAACAUAGUGAACAACAUAAAUUAAAAUCUUGAAAUGUCACCUUAGCCAACCUAGUAGAAAUGAUUCAUCAAAAUAUUUGAAUGUGAGAUCUUAAAUUGGUGUUUGACCAAUAAAUAUGGUAAUAAACAUAUAUUAAGUAUAUAUGAAGUGACCAAGCUAAGAUUUGUAUCAUGUUAUUGUAGGGAAUCCCGAAUCUCUUUGUUCCUUAUCCUAUGAUUAGGCUAGGUACAUGCGAAUCUUUCUAAGUUUUUCUAAAUCGUAUGAACAAUGGGAAAAUUAUGUUUUAAAAUAAUAACAAGAUUUAGAAUUUGCAUUAGAAAACAUUACCUUAGAUUUGGAUGUUCCCAAAUCUAAUUCACGUAGUAAAGGAGAAGAUCGAAGUUUUCAGAGGUCUUGAACACCCAAGAUCUUCCACCAGAUGACUUUUCCUUGAUUUUAGAUCUUAAUUGGUGAGAAGGAAGGAAGACUAAAAAGGCUAUGGUUCUCUCUCUCUUUGAAUAGUGAAAGAUGGCUCACUUCAAAAAAGUAAUGAAAACCUUAUCAUUUAAGGGGUAUUUAUAGGGUUCCCUAAUUGGGUGUAAGUGACUUAAGCAUACUAAAGGCUUGAAUCAUUUAAUUUCACUCAAAAUGAGUCUUAAUUGAUUAAUUAACCUAACGUAGUUAUCUAAUUAAUUAAUUAGCUAAAUCUGGAGACUUUGUUCACUUACCCCUAUGCAACCUUGCAUAGUUACCAAAACACCUUUAUACGCAAAAGUGAACCAAGAGUUGUGUCAUCAAGGUAUAUGAGCUUAGGUGGAGACCAUUGAGACCUAUAGGACAGUACUAGCUACCCCAAAAUCUAAUUUUGAAGUUGAUUUAACGUUCCACUAUAGAGAAUCAAUUGCACUAUAAUACCUUAUGUAAAUAACAAUGAGAUGCUAAGUGGUCGAGCCCAUGACUUAUUAUCCAUUGCAUUCAAUCUCCCUAUGAACUGGUGUUUGUAGUCUAAUAAGGUCAAAACUAUCAACCUUUCAAGACUACCUCUACUAUCUUUGAAUUACAAAUCCUCUUAUUAUGUAUUUAAUUGAUAUAUCUUAACUCUCCAAGAGUCUAUGUCAAGUUCCAUUUAAGAAACUACUAUGACCAUAGUUUACAUGAACAUACCUCCUUAGGAUCACUUAAGGGGACACUCUAUCUCAAUCCUCUUAGAUUUCAUGGUACUUCUAUUACAAAUACUCAUUGUUAUAGACUUGCAUCAAUAGUGAACCAAUCCAUAAGGAACAUAUGAUUAGCUUACGAUUUCAUUAGUAGGUCAAAGUCACUACUAACUUUAACACAAAUUCUAUAUUCUCUCAAGGUUAAGAGAUAAAACAAUGAAGCAACUUGGUGAAAUCAUGACUAUUUGAUAGCUUUAUGUCAUAAUUCACCAUAAGUCUUGUCUGAUGUGUAACCAUACACAUUAGUAUACUCACCAUGGAAAACCCAUCCUGAUAACCAAGACCAACCAUUCCUCUAAUUAUGAAGUAGCGUACUAUAACCUCUAAUGGGUUACUUAGGCCUAUGAAUCGGUUGUGAACAAGUCAUCUACUUACAAUGAAUCCAUUUCUUGAAUUUUUUUUUGCAACUCUUAAUGCACUCAAGUCCUGUACAAUACAAGAUAUGUAUAUCAAAAUGCUUACAAGGUAUAAUGUAUAGGAUUAGGAUAAAUAAAAGUGAACUAAAAAUUUAUUAAUAAAUAAUAAAAUUUUAAAUUUAUUACAUCAUAUCAUGCUUUUAUGAAACCUUUAAAAUACUAAGAGCACCCUUUCAUAAUCAUGAAUUUAACUUUAGUUUCAACUUCUAUCAAAGGCUAAAUGAGAAAAGCUAUCAUAGAGGAGGCCUCAGCCAAUGGGUAAGAUGCACUGUUAUACCAAACAAUAAGUGGAAAAUGAAAUUUUAUUAAUACUUGAGACAAAGGAAGAUUUUACACUCAAACCAAGCAUUUAUUUAUAAUGAAGUGCAGUCUCCAUACGCACAUGUGGACUUAUUGGAAAAUCAUACAAAUUAUUGAAGGACGACCUUAGCUAGGCUAACAGUCUCCUAAAUAGGCCAUCUUUUAUAUGUCUUUGCAUUCAUCCAUCUCCUCAUUGUCUUUGAUUUUAGAUGGUGAGGAUGUGAAAGUAACAGGAAGCGGUGGACGAUUGUUCACAGUGAGGCUUAGCACAUCAGCUCUCGAAUAAUGUCCUACCACAUCGAACUGGAACUUUGCUUUAGGAAUCUCUCCACGAACAUCUACAUAUCAAGUGAUCAUAAAAAUAUUUCAUCAGUCUAUGAUAAAUAUCAUAGAAUAUCAAGUCUUCGAGAAAACUAAGUUUGCAGUCCUCUUAAACCUAAAGAAUCGACUCAUUUGUCUUAUUUGCAUACUGAAAUAUUUGGAUAUAUAACUGGAGAAGUUAGGGCCAUACCAAGAUCAGCUGUGAAGAGGCCUUCUCCUUCAUAAUUCGGUCCUGUUAGAAUUUCCCCAUGGGUCGAAAUGAUGACACUACCUCCAGCCCAAACAAUAGAAUCUGGAGUGACAUCUUCUUCUGUAGGACUGUAAAGAUACUCAGGUGGAGGUGGGUAAUCUUUCCUUUUCCAUUUUUAAAAAUAAUAAAAGCAAAGGUGUUUCAAAACAAUACCUCAUUUGCUCAAUUAAUUAUCACAUUUCCUAAGUACAAAAGUAGGCAAGUGAAUUUUUGCUCAAGUUACAAUAAUGCUCCAAAUCCUUAUCCAAGACUUUGAUCCUAUUUCACAAUUGUUUUUUAAAACAGUUUUUUUCUUGGGAGAAUUACCCAAAGGGGUGGGUUAGAAAAAAUAAUGACUAUGAAGGCUCACUCUUUUAGAAGACAAUUUUACCCUUUAAUAUGUUUUUUAUAUUAUUUAUAAAUAAAUUGAGAUUGUCAAUGAUGUGGGGCUCAUACAUAAUGAUAAGUACAAGUUGAUAAAUGAUGUGGGACUCAUACAUGAUGAUAAGUACAUGUUGAUAGGCAAUCAACGGUACAUUUUUCAACUUGAAAAAAUUGUUAUCACUUUUGAACAAUUAACUAUUUAAAAAUUUGUUAUUUUUUUUUAAAUUGAGAUUUUUUAAAGAACCUUAUAAAAAAAAUAAUUUUUAAUAUCUCAUAAAUAAAAACCAUAUCCUAAAGUUAUUAUAUCAUUUUAUAUAUAAAACAUACAAUUAAAAACUUUGUUAUCAUAAUAUAAUAAAUAAUUAUUUUUUACGAGCACUCAUCAAUUGAAUAAUAUAUAAAUAUUCAAUUGACUAACACACACCUAUUAAAUGGAAUAACUCACAAUUAUUCAUUGGGUAAUAUAGCACGUGAAAAAAUUAAAUAAAAAUAAAUUACAUUAUGUUAUAAUAUAUUGUAAUGAUAGUGUAUUUAUAUUGUAAGUAUAAUGCAUUUAUGUCGUACCUAUAUUUUAUUAUAAAAGUAAUAAUUUUAAAAAUGUUUAUUCAUACCCUAUUGGUAUUAACACAUCGUAUUAAUAUAUUAACAACAUUUAUUUAGUGUUUUGAAAUUAUUUAAUAAUUUUUGUAUAUAUAUAUAUAUAAACUACGUGAAUUCAAAUUAGUAUUUCAUUUGAUUUCAGAAAUUAUUUAUGAUAUAGGUAUGUUGUGAAAUAUGGUAUGAUCAUACAAAGUUACCAUUUUCAUAAAAAAAUUCAUAAAUUUCUUAAUUAGGUUUUAUUGUAAUGUAUUGUAAUGUAAGUGUAUUUAUAUUGUAAUUAUAACAUAUUUUUGUUGUACUUGUAUUGUAUAAUAAAAGUAAUAAUCUUAAGGAUCACCUUUUAUACCUUAUUAAUAUUCAACAUAUCAAAUAUAUUAACAUCAUCCACUCGAUACAUUGAGAAAAAAAAUUUAUAUAAAAAUUUAAAUAAAAAAAAACACUAUGCAAAGGAAAAAAAAUCAUAUAAAUUUUUUUAAAUUAUUUUAUUAUAAAAAUAAAAAAUGAUUAAACAUUUUCUAUCAUUUUCUUAUUAUUUUUAGAGAAUUUGAAUGAAAAAUUAAACAUUUUAUCUUCCUUAAAUUUAAUACAAAAACAUAAUUUAUCAAUUUAAACUUAUAAUAUAUAUAUAUAUAUAUAUGAAAAAAUCAUCAUUUUUAUUAUAUAAUUAUAAAACUUAUUUUUUUCUUCAUAAAAUUAAAAAUUAGAAUAAAAAUAAAAAAAGGUAAAAAAACAAUAAAUGAUAUUUUGAAAAUAUUUUUUAAAAGUAUUUUUGUUUUAAAUAGUAAAUUUAAAUAACAAAUUAUAUAUAAUUGUAAGGGUUAAACCCAAAAUUUUGAUUUAAAAUUUAAAUAUCAAUAAUUACAAUAAAUGUGGGACCCAUGUACCAUAAAUGUAUUAACAAAUAAAGUGAAGUGCUUUAAAUGUUUUGAAUUUUAAAAGUUUUAGUUAAAGGACAGUUUUGGUAUAUUAAGCUUACUAAAGUCCUCCCCAAUAAUUAUUAAAAGAUACCACCCUUUCUAGUAAUUGUUUUGCCCAGCCUACCCUUUUGGAUAAUUCUCCCUUUUUUCUUCUCUACAACAAAAAAAAAAAAUGUGUUUGAGAAUUGGAAAAUAAGGUGUUUUAAAAAAAACAUAUGUUAGUUGUUUUUAGUUUUUCUUCAUUAGCUUUUUUGACGGUUGUUUAAAAAAAAUAAUUAUAUAAAUAUGAAGAAUUAUUAAAAAUAUAAUAUUAUAGACAAAAGUUAUUUUAAAAUUAUAUGCACGAGUUUUGGAAAGUCUUGCAAAAUAAGCAAAACUAUAGGAAAAAUAUGCAAAUAAAAAAUUGUAUUAAAAUCAUCAAGGGCGCACAAUAUUUGUGGAAAAAUAUUCUUUGCCGAAGAAUAUUUUUUAAAGAUCAAUUGAAAGCCUAAAGCAGCUUUUUCCCAAUUGAAUUUAUUGAAUGGUGAAGAACACGUGUGUUGCAAUUUUUUGGAUUUGUAGAGCGUAUUUUAUAAAGCUUUUUUCUCUUUGUGAACCUUCUUUUCAUAUGUGAAAUUGUUUUAUUUUUUUUUAUCAUUUUCAUUGAAGGAAGUUGCUGAUAUUUACAGAUAAAAUUAAAAAAAUUAAUUUUAGAAUUUCUAAGAUUUGAUUACUUAAUUAAAAAAAAAAAAUUGGUUUCUUGAUUUUAGCAACUUGUCUUCUUCAUUUAAGGAAGUUUGCUAACAAGAGCAUAUUUACUUCUCAUUUUCUUUUGACUUCAAUUGGAAGACUUGUUUCAUUUGUUUACAAAAUUUGCCAACAAGAAAAUAUUUAUUUCUAAUUCUCUUUUGAUUUCAAUUGUUUGAUUUGAUUUGAUUUUGCAAGACUUUAUUUUAUAGCCUUCCAAAUUUCGCUACAUGUCAUUUUUUGAAUUGAAUGCCACGUGUUCAAUAUAUAUGACUCGUCACUUAUUAAGCCCAAAUUUUGUUGAUCUAAGGAGUUACAAUUUUGAAGACUAAUUUGGUAGUAUUUUAAUCCACUAAAAUUUUUUAUGUCUACAAAUGCCCCCUCUUCAAAACAGAUCACACACAUGCAUUAUCAUGUAUAAGAAGUGAGUCUUGAAGUUAGCCUUUUGAAUCUUCAAUAUCCUUCUUUGAUUUUUUUUUUUCGAAGAAAUAUUUAAAUAGGAAAUUUCCUAUUCAAAAUACUUUUCUUCAACUUUUUUCGAACACUGUUUUAUUUAUUUAUUUAUUUUUCUACCUUGUAUCAAAGAAAAACCUUGUGUUAAUGGGAAAGCUUCUUAUUUGAACAUCUAUUUUCUUUUCUCAUGGUAUUUUCACUUCCAAUUUGUCAUCCUACAAGAAGUCCUUCACCCUAGCUGGUUCAAUUGCAUCUUAGACUUGGUCACAUGCCUUUAACUUGUAAUUCUUCCUCCACUUUCUUUUUUUUUGUUUAAAAAAUAGUACAAUAUAUUUGAGCAAGACCAUAAGCAAGAGAAUAGAGGUGGUGAAUGGAGCACCAACUAACCUUAGGGCAAGAUCUUGAGCAAGAGAAGUAAGGUGGAGAGUAGAGCACAAACUUCUCUAAAGCAUGGUAGGCAUACCGUCAUGGAGUUGUCUUCUGCAUGGAGCAUGGUAGGGUAUUAUAUAUAUGAUAGGGUGGGCCAUCAUGUAACAAUGAAGAACAACAAUCCAUGGUGUACAAUUGGGAACAACAAUUCAUGCUAUCAAGCUUCAACCUUUUGUUAUUUUUUGUUUUUUUUUUAAUCCCUAUCUCUACCCCCGACUCCAAUUUUUUUUUCAAGUUUCUAGAUUCCUUUUUAUUCUUUCUCAUUUUAUUUUUUUCAACUCCUUUUUUUUUCCUCCCUUUUUAACCAUUGUUUUUAAGGAAGAAAUAGAUUCACCAUCCCUUACCACGAGGUCAAUCUCCAUCGCUUGCAAAGACAAAUUUGCUUUUUGGUGUUUUUUUUUCUUCAAAAAUUAUCUUAACAUUUUAAGAUAUAUAUAUAUAUUUAUAUAUUUAACAAACUUAAAUAUCCAUAAUAAAAUAAAUAUUUAAGGCUCUUGACUUAUUUAAAUUGGCUUGACUUGGAUACUUAGUGGAACCAUACUUAACACCCAUGUAGAUGAGCUAUAAUCUUGAUGGCAUGUUGUGUUAUAUUUUCGACACUUAAUGUGGCUUAAGAGUUAAAGUCUUCACUCAUGAAAAUUAGCUUGGUUUGGAUGCACAAUGGUCUCUAACUUCUUAAUGCUUAAUUAAACUUGGAACCAUAUUUAACACCCAUGUAGACAAGUCAUAAUCAUGACAUAGAGCACUAUUUUAUUUUAACUCUUAAUAUGACUUAAAUAUUAAAGUCUUCACUCAUACAAAUUAACUUGGGUUAGAUGCACAAUGGUGUUCAACUUGGUAAUAGUUAAUUAAAAUUGAAACAUUUAACACCCAUGUAAACAAGUCAUAACUUUGACAUGGAACAAUGUCGUAUUUUUAGCUUAAUGUCGCUUAAGUAUUAAAGUCUUCACUGAUGUAAAUUAGCUUGUCUCAGAUGCAUAAUAGCAUUCAACUUUUUAACACUUAAUUUAAAUUCAGACCAUAUUGAAAACCCAUGUGGACAAGACAUAAUGAGAAAAUAAAGGGCUAAUCUAAAUAGAUAAAAAUACCCAACAGGGAAGGAGGGGGGUGAAAUGGAGUUUAAAAAAAAAAAAAUUAAACACAAUAAAAUUAAGUACAAGAAGCACAAAUAUAAAGAGAUAAGUUAUAGAAAGCAAACUCAGAUUUAUGGUGGUUUGACACUUCCUUGCCUACAUCCACUCUCCUCAAGCUCCUAACCGAGUGAGGGUUCCACAUAUACUUAAAGCUUCAACCAAACUUCUAAUCACUUUUUACACUUAGAUUUUGGCUCCAAUGGGCUCUUACACAUUCGCUUCAAGUCUCUACUCACUUGAAGGUUUUAACACUCAAUUAACAAGUUUGAAACUUUCAACCUAGCUCAACAAUGGCUCAAAUACAACUCAAGGCUAGGAUGAAUCACAAAGGUGCAUUAAAGAAUAUUCAAAUGAAGAUUUAAUGCACUAAGAAAAGAAUGAGAGCUUUUAUGGCAAGAACAAGUAGGUAAACAAAUCAAUGUAGGUGUUCUCUUACUCAUAAAUGAAGUGAAAUUCUCAAUUUAUAGGUUUCUAAUCUCAGAAGCCAAAAAACCAAAAAGUAACCUCAAUCGAUUGAGUUGGGGGUUGACCGGUUCACUAGCCGUUAGAGCAUUAAAUGUGUGGCAGGUGAUCGUUACCCUCGACCGGACCUCGACUGGGAAGGCAAAUCUCUCGACUAGGAAAGAAAGGUUAUUGGAAGAGAAAGAAGGUUUUUUGCAUCUUUUGACCAGACCUCAACCGGGAAGGAGCAAUCGAUCAACCAGUACCCUAGCCAGUUGAGCUGGUUGGCUAGUGCCUCUACCGAUUCACCAUUUUUUACUCGAAAACCUAUCUUUUUCUGGUCUUUUUUUGCUUCUAACACUUAAACAAGGUCUUUAGGUAAAAUAAUAUGUCAAUUUUGAAACGUUUUGCCUAAGGUUCAUUUGAUAGAACUCGGAUUUUGAUGGAAAUGUGACUUGAAUGCAUAAACUGAGUUUUCAAAGAUGCAUGAAAUGAUAUGAAAAUCCUAAGUACACCCAUGCAUUCAUUUUACAUAGUUUUCUAUGAUUAAAAAGUAUUUCAAAAGUCUUGAUCUUGCAUCCAUUAGGUCAUUUGAUGAAUUUCCAAAUUAAUAUAUGAAAUUCUUUAUAAUUCAAACCAUUUAGUAACUUAACCAUGGUUUGUUAUCAUCAAAACAUGAUUAGGAGAACCCUUGGGCUAACACAUAACAUUGUAGCAAUGUUAUAUUUUUGACACUUAAUGCAGUUUAAGUUCUGAAAUCUUCAUUUCUAUGAAUUGGUUCGCCUUGGAUGCAUAGUGGUGUCUAAAUUAUAAUACUUAAUUAAAAUUGAAACCAUAUUUAACACUCAUGUAGACAAGUCAUAACUUUGACAUGGAGUGGCAUUGCAUUUUCGACACUUAAUGCGACUUAGGUGCUAAAGUUUUCACUCAUGAGAGUUGGUAUGGGUUGGAUGCAUUGUGGUGUCCAACUUUUUAACACUUAAUUAAAAUUGGAACCAUAUUUAACACUAUCUAGAUAAGUCAUAACCUUGACGUGAAGCGAUAUUGUAUUUUCAACACUUAAUGCAACUUAGGUGCUAAAGUCUUCACCCAUGCAAAUUAGUUCAUCUUGAAUGUACAAUGGUGUCCCAUUUUUUAACAUAUAAUUAAAAUUGGAACCAAAUUUGACACUUAUGUAGACUAGUCUAGCCAUGAUGUAAAGUAGUGUUCUAUUUUUAAAACUUAAUGCAGCUUCAAUGGUAAAGUUUUUACUCAUGUGAAUUGGCUUGAUUUGGAUGCACAAUGAUGCCUAACUUUUUAACAUUUUAUUAAAUUUGGUAUCAUAUUUAACACCUAUGUAGACAAGUCAUAACCUUAAUGUAGAGGUGCAGUAAUAUUUUUGGUACUUAAUGUCGCUUAAGUGCUAAAGUCUUCACUCAUUUGAAUUUUUUGGUUGGGACGAACAAAGGUCUCUAACAUUUGAGCAUUUAAUUAAAAUCAGAAUCAUAUUUAACACUCAUGUAAAAAAGUCAUAACCUUGACACAUAGUAAUAUGCAAUGUUUUAACAUUUAAUACAACUUAAGUGCUAAAGUUUUCACUCAUGUGAAUUGGCUUGGCUUGGAUGCAUAAUGGUGUCUAACAUUUUAACACUUAAAUUAAAAUUAGAGUUAUAUUUAAUAAUCAUGUAGACAAGUCAUAACCUUGACGAGAAGCAGUAUUGUAAUUUUGACACUUCAUGUUGCUUAAAUGCUAAAGGCUUCACUCAUGCAUAUUGACUUAGCUUGGAUGAACAAUGGUAGCUAACUUUUUAACACUUUAUCAAAUUUGGAAUUAUGGUUAGCAUCCAUGUAGAAGAGUAAUAAACUUGAUGCAGAGUGAUGUUAUAUUUUUGGUACUUAAUAUAGCUUAAAUACUAAAAUCUUCACUUCUAAGAAUUAACUUGGCUUGGAUGCAUAGUGGUGUCCUACUUUUUAACACUUAAUUGAAAGUGAAAUCAUAUUUAACAUCCAUUGUAUACUAGUCAUAAACUUGAUAUAGAGCAGUGUGCAAUUUUUUAAUAUUUAAUGCAACUUAGGUGUUAAAGUCUUUACUCAUAUGAAUUAACUAAACUUAGAUGCACAUUCGUUUCCAACUUUUUAAUACCUAAUUAAAAUUAAAACCAUAUUUAAAAACCAUGUAGACAAAGACAUAAUCUUAACAUGGAGCAGUGUAUAACUCUUAGCACUUAAUUAAAAUUGGGAUUACACUUCAUAACCACAUAUUCCUCCUCCUAUUUUUCAAUUUUUUCUUGUGGUGAUGAUUGAACUCAACUAGUUUGUCCAAGUUACCCACAUACCCUUAACAGAGAAGAGAUCAAGUCAAACCUAGUUCAAAGUAUUUUUUUUUAAUAUCUAACUUUUGCCAAGGCUAAUGAUUUUAAUCUUGAAAGCUUGUCUUAACUUUUGACUAUAUAUGUAGUGUUUUCAAGUUUCAAUUUAGCGGCCUAUGAAUUGUACAAAUUGAAAAUGACUUCACUUAUGUGUAAAAAAUAAUAAAAGAUAUUCAUUCAUAGUUUUAGGGCAAUGAAAAGUAAUCGAUCCUUUUUUGCAUUAUUAUUAUUAUUGUUGUUGUUGUUGUUAUAAUUAUUAUAUUACCUUAGAAAAAGACCUUUUCCAAUUAAUCUUUUAUAUAUAUAUAUAAUCUUUUAUACAUGAUUUUUCUUAGUUUUCAUAGUAUUUUUAAAUUUAAUAAUUUUUUUUUUUAUAAAAAAAUAUCUAUACUUUCGGUCAAUGUCUCAAAUGUCUCAAAUUUUAUUACGUACGUGCUCCAGGAAGUCUCAAGUUGUAGGCUUGUUGCCUACAACUUGAGUUUGAUGAAAAAGCGCAUAAACAAAGACAAAAAAUUUAAUCUACAAGUACUUGGAUUCUAUUUGAAUAUAAAAAGAGCCACUCAUAUGCAUGGAUUAAAUAUAUGCCCCAUGGAUAAGUUGUACUUAGCCAUGGCUGAAGCUUUCCACUAUGACUUAAAGGGAAAAAAAAGAGAGGAGAAUAAUGUCAUUAAAAAACUGAUUGCCGUGUGGCUAUGCCUGCCAGUAGAUGGCUGAAAACUAGUUCUAUUCUUUUGUUUUGGCCUCUACUAAUUAACCAUAAUUGAGAGAUUCAAUGGCAACUAUCGUAUAAACAAUGUUUCAUAAAUUACUUUUAAAUUUUGACAGCAAAGACUCAAAAUGUAAAACCAUAAAAAAUUUGUUCUAUUCCCAAAUUUUUUAAAAUAAAUUUUAAAAUAAUAAAUUAAUGCCCAUGACUGUUUUCACAUCUUAUUCUCAUUUCUAUCAAUGCAAUAAUUGUAAUCAUCUUAUCUAUUAACAUGGCCUAGAGCCAUUUCAGCUAAGAGUAGUCUUUCCUUAGCAUUUCCGGUCCAAAGCUUCCAUUUCUUUAGGCCUAGAGGCAUUUUCAGUCCAGAGCUGCUGUUUCUUUCGGCCUAUAACCAUUUUCAGCCUGAAGCUGCCUUUCUUUAGCAUUUUCAGCCCAGAGCUACCUUUCCUUGGCAUAUCAGCCAAAAGCUUCUAUUUCUUUAGGCCUGGAGCCAUUUCAACACAACAUUGGUUUCUUUGGCCGGGCCUUGAGCCCUUUUCAACCCAGAACUGUCAUUUCUUCUAAAUAACUUCUCUUUUGAAAAACUUCAAUUUGCCCUUUUCAAGAAGCUGGUAAAAAUCUUCUAUUUAGCAUUUCGACAGUGAAUCGAAUUCACAUAGAAAAUAAAAAGGAAAAAAAAAGUCUUGAUGGCAUAAACUAGGACAUGACCGGGAUAGUUUGAAAUACAUAAUUUUCUCCAUUCAAAUGCAAAACAUAUUAAAAGAACAUUUGGCACGAUUUUAUGAAGCGAUUCUAUCUUUUCUAAUACUUCAAAGAUAAAUUUUUUUGAAGUAUUAGAAAAAUUAGAAAUAUUUCUUAAAAUCACUACCCUUAAUUAUAUUUAGAUACUUUAACCAUUUCAAAUGCUACAUGUUUCCUUCUACAUUUCCUCUUUAUUUUGUUUUUCUUUUACAUUUUUCCUCAAAUUUUUUAAAAACCAAACAUAGCCUAAAAGAAAAGAUAAUUUUACUUAUUUUGAAAGUUCUUUAUAUAUAUAGUUUAUAUGGAAACUUGUUUCAUGUUAAUUUAAUAAAGCAUUUAUAAUAUUGAGAUCGCUCUUUCAUAAUCAUAAAUUAACCUUUAGUUUCAACUUCUACAAGAGGCUAAAUGAAAAAAGCUAUCACAGAGGAGGCCUCAGCCAAUGAGUCAGAUGCACUGUUGUACCAAACAAUAGGUGGAAAAUACAAUUUUAUUAAGACUCUGAGACAACAAAAAUAAAAAUAAAUAAAGGAUGAUUUUACACUCAAAACAAGGAUUUAUUUAUAAUGAAGUAGAGUCUCCAUAUGCACAUAUGACUGCAUUUACAGCAUAAACAAAGACAAGGAAAUUAACAAAUGUUGAACUUAUUGGAAAAUCAUACAAAUUAUUGAAGGAGGACCUUAGCUAAGCUAACUGUCUCCUAAAUUGCCCAUCUUUUAUAUAUCUUUGCAUUCAUCCGUCUCAUCAUCGUCUUUGAUUUUAGAUGGUGAGGAUGUGAAAGUAACAGGAAGCAGUGGACGAUUGUUCACAGUGAGGCUUAGCACAUCAGCUCUCGAAUAAUGUCCUACCACAUCAAACUGGAACUUUGCUUUAGGAAUCUCUCCACGAA